Molecule: long non-coding RNA, 253024 nt
Filed under: Cucumis sativus (cucumber)
Lineage: Eukaryota; Viridiplantae; Streptophyta; Magnoliopsida; Cucurbitales; Cucurbitaceae
Description: long non-coding RNA (CSAT_LNC001544)
Source: RNAcentral
UUUAUUUUAAUCAGAGUCUUUUAUUUGUUAAAAACUAACGAUCUCGACUUACUUAGAAAAGUUGGGUCGUUACAGUUGGUAUCAGAGCCUAAGUUUUAGGUUCUGUAGACUGACUUACGAUGUAAGUCUAUGUUUUUGUGUUCCUAUGGCAAACGCGACCCUUCGUCUCUCGUCAGGUAUGCUUUAUGCUUAUAUGUAUGGUUUAUUUGCAUGACCUUGCCUAAAUUAAACUAGAUUGCAUGACGAUAAAGACUUGCUUAUGUUUAUGAUUAAGAUUUUGUUAAAGAGUGUUGUUGGUGGGUAAUAGGAAUUAUGCCGCCAAGGGAAGAAGUACGUAGAGGAGGUCGUAGAGGCCGAGGUAGAGGAGUAGUAGGGCCGAGGUAGAGGAGCAGGUCGUAAUCAGCCUACUGGGGUCAAGCUGAACAGCAAAUUCCUGCUGCACCCGUGACUCACGUUGAGUUUGAUGCACUGUCUGCUCACAUGGAGCAGAGGUUUACAGAACUUAUGACAGCUAUAGCUCAAAACCAGCAGGCACCUGCAGUCCCACCUGCACCUGUAGUUCCCCCUGCACCAGCAGCCCCUCCUGCACAAGAAUUACCUAACCAACUUUCUGCUGAGGCGAAACAUUUGAGGGACUUUCGGAAGUAUGACCUCAGACGUUUGAUGGGUCACUGGAGGAUCCUACUAAAGCUGAAAUGUGGUUGUCCUAUGUGGAAACCAUAUUUAAUUACAUGAGAUGUCCUGAGGAGCACAGAGUUCAGUGUGCUGCUUUUCUACUGAGGGACAGAGGCAUUAUCUGGUGGAGGACUACAAUGCGCAUGCUAGGUGGAGAUGUGAGGCAGAUUACCUGGGAUCAGUUUAAGGACUGCUUCUAUACCAAGUUUUUCUCGGCUAACCUUAGAGACGCCAAAAGCCAGGAAUUCUUGGAGUUGAAGCAAGGAUAUAUGACAGUCGAGGAGUACGACCAGGAGUUUGAUAUGCUGUCACGUUUUGCCCCUGAGCUUGUUAGUAAUGAGCAGGCUAGAGCUGAUAGGUUCGUCAAGGGAUUGAGAGAUGAAAUUAGGGGUUUGUGCGAGCACUAAAGCCCACUACCCAAGCUGAAGCACUGCGUCUGGCAGUGGAUAUGAGUAUUGGGAAGGAUGAAAGACAGCCAAGGAGCUUUAAUAAGGGAUCGUCGUCGGGUCAAAAGAGAAAAGUAGAGCAGAUAACUGUAGGAGUUCCUCAGAGGAACAUGAGACCAGGUGAUUCUUUUCGCAGUUUCCAGCAGAAUUCUGGCGCGUGCAGGAGACACUACUCAAGAGAGGCCAGUAUGUGAUACGUGUGGGAAACGCCACCUGGGUCGUUGUUUGAUGGAACGAGAGUCUGUUAUAAGUGCAAGCAAGAGGGACACAUGGCUGAUAGGUGUCCCUUGAGAUCUACUGGGGCUGGAUCGAGCAGUCAGGGAGAGAGACCUCCACAGCGGGGUACAAUCUUUGCCACUAAUAGAUCAGAGGCAGAGAAGGCCGGCACAGUAGUGACAGGUACGUUACCAGUAUUGGGGCAUUUUGCCUUGACCUUGUUUGACUCGGGAUCUUCUCAUUCAUUUAUUUCAUCGCUUUUUGUGACGCAUGCAUGCUUAGAAGUGGAACCUUAGACUAUGUUUUGUCAGUGUCUACACCGUCUGGAGAAAUUAUGUUGUCUAAGGAAAAGAUUAAAGCAUGUGAAAUUGAAAUAGCUGGUCGUGUGUACUGGACGUAACCUUGUUGGUAUUAGAUAUGCGUGACUUUGAUGUAAUUUUAGGUAUGGAUUGGCUAGCUACUAAUGAUGCUAGUAUUGAUUGUUCUCGUAAGGAAGUUGUGUUUAGUCCCCCUACUGCAUCUAGCUUUAAAUUCAAGGAGUAGGAACAGUAGUACUGCCUAAAGUAAUCUCAGCUAUGAAAGCUAGUAAACUACUCAACCAGGGUACUUGGAGUAUUUUGGCAAGUGUGGUGGAUACUAGGGAAGGUGAGACUUCUUUAACUUCAGAACCUGUGGUAAGAGACUACCCAGAUGUAUUUCCAAAAGAUCUUCCAGGACUACCGCCACAUAGAGAGGUUGAUUUUGCCAUUGAGUUGGAGCCAAACACUACUCCUAUUUCUAGAGCCCCUUAUAGGAUGGCUCCUGCUGAGUUGAAAGAACUGAAGGUACAGUUACAGAAUUGCUUGACAAAGGCUUUAUUCGACCUAGUGUGUCACCUUGGGGUGCACCAGUAUUGUUUGUGAAGAAGAAGGAUGGGUCGAUGCGUCUUUGCAUUGACUAUAGAGAGUUGAAUAAAGUAACAGUCAAGAACAGGUAUCCUUUACCCAGAAUCGAUGAUUUUGUUCGAUCAGUUACAGGGAGCCACGGUGUUCUCUAAGAUUGACUUACGGUCAGGUUAUCACCAGUUGAGGAUUAGAGACCGUGAUAUUCCUAAGACUGCCUUUCGUUCGAGGUAUGGACAUUAUGAAUUCAUAGUGAUGUCUUUUGUUUGACUAAUGCACCUGCUGUAUUUAUGGAUUUGAUGAACAGGGUGUUUAAGGAUUUCUUGGACACUUUUGUGAUAGUCUUCAUUGAUGAUUAUCUUGGUUUAUUCCAAGACUGAAGUCGAACAUGAGGAACAUUUUACAUAAGGUAUUAGAGACUCUUCGAGCCAAUAAACUGUAUGCUAAGUUCUCGAAGUGCGAAUUUUGGUUGAAGCAAGUGACUUUUCUUGGUCAUGUGGUUUCCAGUGAGGGAGUUUCAGUAGACCUGCAAAGAUAGAAGCUGUUACCAGUUGGUCUCGACCCUCCACAGUUGGUGAGGUUCGUAGUUUUCUGGUGUUUAGCAGGGUACUACCGGAGGUUUGUGGAGGAUUUUUCAACGUUUGGCUACUCCUUUGACUCAGUUGACAAGGAAGGGAACUCCGUUUGUUUGGAGUCCAGCUUGUGAGGAUAGUUUUCAGAACCUUAAGCAAAGGUUAGUUACUGCACCGGUCCUUACUGUACCAGAUGGAUCAUUGGAAGUUUGUGAUUUACAGUGAUGCUUCCAAGAAAGGACUGGGUUGUGUUUUGAUGCAGAAAGGUAAGGUGGUUGCUUAUGCCUCUCGUCAGUUGAAGAGUCACGAAGCAGAACUACCCACACAUGAUUUGGAGUUGGCAGCAGUGGUUUUUUGCAUUGAAGAUAUGGAGACAUUACUUUGUACGGUGAAAAGAUACAAAUCUUUACUGACCAUAAGAGCCUAAAGUACUUCUUCACUCAGAAGGAGUUGAAUAUGAGACAGCCGAAGGUGGCUCGAGUUGGUAAAAGAUUAUGACUGUGAGAUAUUAUACCAUCCUGGUAAGGCGAAUGUGGUGGCUGAUGCUCUUAGUAGAAAAGCAUCACAUUCGUGCAGCACUCAUUACUAGACAGGUACCAUUGCAUCGAGACUUGGAGAGAGCUGAGAUUGCAGUGUCUGUGGGAGAGAGUCACCUCACAGCUAGCUCAAUUAACGGUGCAACCGACUCUGAGGCAGCAAGAUUGUUGAUGGCUCAGAGUAAUGAUCCUUAUUUGAUGGGAGAGACGUAGCCUUGUUGAACAGGGCAGACUGAUGAGUUCUCCAUAUCCUCUGAUGGUGGGUUUGAUGUUUGAGAGACGUUUAUGUGUGCCAGCGAACAGUACAGUUAAGAUUGACUUACUAGAUGAAGCCCAUAAUUCCCCAUUUUCCAUGCAUCCUGGUAGCACGAAAAUGUAUCAGGAUCUAAAACGAUUUUAUUGGUGGCGGAAUAUGAAAAGAAGUGGCGGAAUUUGUUAGUAAGUGUCUAGUAUGUCAGCAAGUUAAGGCACCUAGACAGAAACCAGCAGGUUUAUUACAACCUUUAAGUGUGCCAGAGUGGAAGUGGGAGAAUGUGUCGAUGGAUUUUAUUUCAGGGCUGCCUAAGACCCUGAAGGGUUUCACAGUGAUUCUGGUUGUCAUAGACAGGCUUACAAAAUCGGCACAUUUUGUACCAGGAAAAUCCACUUAUACUGCUAGUAAGUGGGCAGAGUUGUAUUUAACUGAGAUUGUGAGACUGCAUGGAGUGCCUGUAUCGAUUGUUUCUGAUAGGGAUGCACGGUUUACUUCCAAGUUUUGGAAGGGACUUCAGACUGCUAUGGGUACGAGAUUGGAUUUCAGUACAGCCUUUCAUCCACAGACUGAUGGUCAAACUGAACGUUUGAACCAAGUUUUAGAGGAUAUGCUACGAGCUUGUGUUAUAGAGUUUCCAGGUAGUUGGGACUCUCAUCUACAUUUGAUGGAGUUUGCUUAUAACAACAGUUUCCAGGCUACCAUCGGUAUGGCACCAUUUGAGGCUUUAUAUGGCAAAUGUUGUAGAACCCCUGUUUGUUGGAGUGAGGUUGGUGAACAUAGAUUGAUGGGACCUGAAUUAGUUCGGUCUACUAAUGAGGCUAUUCAAAAGAUUAGAGCACGUAUGCAAACAGCGCAGAGUAGACAGAAGAGUUAUGCGGAUGUACGACGAAAAGACCUUAAGUUCGAUGUGGGAGAAAAGGUAUUCUUGAAGGUAGCACCUAUGAAGGGUGUUAUGCGUUUUGAGAAGAAAGGAAAGUUAAGUCCUCGUUUUGUUGGACCAUUUGAGAUCUUAGAGAGGGUUGGUGUUGUGGCGUAUCGCUUGGCAUUACCACCAUCUCUCUCUGCAGUUCAUAAUGUUUUCAUGUUUCGAUGUUGAGGAAGUAUGUGGCCGAUACGUCUCAUGUAGUGGACUAUGAACCCUUGGAGAUUGAUGAGCAUUUGAGCUAUGUAGAACAACCUGUGGAGAUUCUGGCUAGAGAGGUAAAGAUGCUUCGUAAUAGAAGCAUUCCAUUAGUAAAGGUUUUGUGGCGGAAUCAUCGAAUUGAAGAGGCGACAUGGGAGCGAGAGGAAGAGAUGAGGACUCGUUAUCCAGAGUUAUUUCAGGAUUAAAACUUUCGAGGACGAAAGUUUCUUAAGGAGGGAAGAAUGUAAUGCCCCAAAGGUAUGUAUAUAUAUAUAUUUUGUUUUUAAUUUUAUAUAUAUAUAUAUUUAUACUUAAUUUAAAUAAAAAGAAAGAAAAGAAAAGAAUAUUUUUCCUUCCUUCUUCCUCUCGCACGAGCGUCGCACACAACCCCUCUCUCAUUUUCUUUUCUUCUUCCCGUCCCGCCGCAGCCAACCGCAGCCCAGCCGCAACCACACCUCUAUCUUCUUCUUCCCGUCCCGCCGCAGCCAACCGCAGCCCAGCCGCAACCACACCUCUAUCUUCUUCUUCCCGUCCCGCAGCUAGCCGCCGAUCCUUUCUUUCCAUUUUCUUCUUCCGUCCGCAGCCCCACCGCGAAGCAAGACUGCGCCGCUGCCAGUCCAGAUCUGCGGCGCCGUUGCUCUUCCGUCGCUGCAACCGCGGCCGCCAUCUCUGUUCGCGAAGCAAGGCCGCCGCGUGAACCUGUAACCGCCGGCUGUCUCCCCUCCCUUUCUCCUCUGUUUUCAGCCCAGCCGCCGCCGAUUCCUUCUCCUCCGUCGUCUGCACUGCCGCGCGACUCUCCGGCCAUUUGUAUACGGUCUCUCCGUCGCACGUCAUCUCUUCGCAAAGCCACUGCUCGAUUUCUUUCGUGAAGAUUUGGGUAAGUUGCAAAAAGAUUCACAUUGGGUUGAAUUUAAAUGACUGAUGCGUUGAAGGAAUUAUUGAGAAAUUGUCUUAAUGUUUAGGUUCGUUCUUCAUAGACUUCAACGUGGUUAAGGAGCUUAACAAAUUUGAAGGUAAGGGAUUUUCUACUGGACUCACUUAUGAUUGUGAAUUGCAUGUCUGAAUGAUUAUCUUUGACUGAGUAAAGAUGUUGAGAUGAUACUUAUGUUUAUACACGUAUGGGUGUAGAUUCGGUGCUGAAUGUACACUGUGGAUUGACUGAAAAUAUAUAUACAUAUGCAUAGGAAUUGAAGUAGACUUAAUGUGGAAUGCAUAUUGUGAUUGUCAUGGAAUAUAUAUAUAUGUGUGUGGAUGUGGACAGGACGAAAAUUGUAGAUUAUGCUUGUAUGAGAUGCAGAUGCGAUCUUGUGAUUGUCGUUUAGAUUGGGUGUCGUUACGCUAAAGUAUGACUGUGUGCUGGUGAUCUGAGGGGUGUAUUGACUGUAUAGUUUGAUUGACUGAUGUAUUAGUAUGUUAUUGACAGACAUAUGACCUAAGUGAGAUAAGUUGACUGUUAGGACGUUGAGAGAAAGAACUCUAUGUUUUGAAGUAUCUGAAGGAUGGGUUGAAUGGAAUGAGGGGAUAAAUUGUUAGGUUGUAUUGGGAUGAUUACCUUGUAGGUGUCCCACGGGAUCACCAAUUUAUUUUGCACCUUCGGGAGCAUUUGACUGAUAUGUGUUCUGCAGAACACUAGACUGAUAUGUACGUCCCUCGGGGCGUUAGACUGAUAUGUACGUCCUUCGGGCGUUAGACUGAAAUGUGUAUCCUACGGGAUCACAAGACUGCGACUGUACAGGGUGUCCCAAUAGAACUUUAACAAUUUAUUUUCCCCUGACGAGACCAGUAGAGGGUCUCUUACUGAGUAUUUAAAAUACUCACCCUUCUUAUGUUUAAUUUUCAGGCAAAGGUAAUAAAGGCGGCAAACCGGCGAGGGGCAGGAAGGAAGCGUGAUGCCAUAGGAAACGUGUAAUUGCUUCCGCUUAAUUAAGAUUGAUUUGAAAUUUAGUUUACAAACGUUUGUUGCAAACAGUAUUAGUUUAUGUUUUCUUGAAUGUUUAAAAAUCAGGCCUGACUUGAAGAUGUUUUUUUUUUUAAAUUGCUUACGUUUUGUUUUAUUUUAAUCAGAGUCUUUUAUUUGUUAAAAACUAACGAUCUCGACUUACUUAGAAAAGUUGGGUCGUUACACUUUCUAUUCAAUAAUUGAAACAAAUGGAAAGAGGACAUAUGAAUAUUAAAUAAAGAUGGAAUUAAUUGGGAACUCACGGAGUAAUGCGAUUUGUUCGGGGCUCACCAUUGGAGUUGGAAAAGACACAAGGAUUAGAAAGGAAAGGAAGAGGAGCGUCUGAUAAUCCAACGGAUUCUUUGAUGAGGGAGUACUAAUAGUAGUAGUGGAGGUUCCAAGGACAUUGAAGUCAAUCCGGUGAGAGUGAGGGAAUUUAGAAGGUUGAGGUUGAAGAGAGUAGAAAUUGCAACCAAAAUCGGUGACGAUGGUGGAAUCGAAAUUGCGAGGGAAGAAGAAAAGAGCAUCACAUAUCGAAGUAGAGGAGGAAUCAACACUGGAGAAAGGAGGAAGAUAAGGAGAACUUGCCAUUAAUGGAAGAGGGAGGAAGUGAGAGAGAAAGGAGAGGGAAUUAAUUAAUUAAAGAGAAUUAGGGUUUGAGAAGAGAAAGGGAAAAUGGAGUGUACGAACAAAGAAGAAGAAGAAGAAAUGGAAAGGACGCGCUAAGAGAAGAAGAUGGAGAUGGAUCGGCGAAAUGGGUAUGAUAGGGUUUCUUCCUUAAAGAAACGGAAAUUGAGAGAUAGGCCUUAGGGUUUCGAAAGAGAAAGGAAAAAUGGAGUGUACGAAGAAAUGGAAAGGACGCACUAAGAGAAGAAGAUGGAGAUUGGAUCCGUGACUAGAGAAGAAGAUGGAGAUGGAUCCGCGAAAUGGGUAUGAUAGGGUUUCUUCCUUACAGAAACGGAAAUUGAGAGAUAGGCCAAAGAAGACAAGAGAGCAAGAGAGAAUGGGGAGGAGAGGAGAGACUUGGCCGUUAGAGAAGAGGAGAAAGAAAUUUAAAUGAGAGAGACUGUACAUGUAGGGUUUUUUUUUUUUGAAAUCUUGCUUAAUUGGAUUUAGAGAAUUUUGUGUAUUCGGUUCACUGACUCGUAUUAGCUGUCCAUUGGUCCAUUGUUUUGUCAUUUUUUUUCAACAAACUAAAUGUUUUAAGCCAUUUACAAAUUAGAUUUCGAUAAAUCGAUAAUCAUAUUUUUUUACAAUAUAGGACUAAAAAAGAUAACUAAUUUAUAUAUAUAUAUAUAUAUAUAUAUAUAUACAACAGUAUUUAGUUAAAUUACAAAAAAAAAUUCUUUUGAAUUUUGUAGUUUGUGUAAAAAAAUAACCUUAAACUUUGAAAUGUUAAAAAAAAUUGUUUUGAACUUUUAAAAAUUAUUCAUAAAUACAUCUACAUACGUAGGAUGAAGGUAUUGGCAUGCUUCUCUAAAAAAACUUUCCAAAAAGAUGUUGUGUGACUUUUGAAAAAAAAUUACAAAUGGGGUCGUUUUUAAACAAAUUAGAUAUAUCGAGUUAUUUUCUUUAAUUUUUUUCCUUUUUUCACAUAUUAUCAAUCACAUCUUACUUUUUUCUUUUUCUUUGGAACCCUGCAAAAAUAACAAAAACAUUUAUAAUCACAUGACUCAUGUCACUACAUUUUCUAAAUUUUAAAAGUAGUAAAUUUAAAAGUUGAUAACCCUAUGAUUAUCGUUUGAUAGUCAUCUAAUAUCACUAAUUUUGUCAUAUUCGUAAUAUCCAAAUAAGGUUUCUUGGUGAGUCUAGAGUCGAACGUGAGACUUAUACUAAAAAUAUAUUUAUAUUUUGAAAUGAUCUUAAGGUGAUUAAUAACAUACGCCUAAGAACCAUAGCGGUAUCAUCCACUUGUAGGGGGGAGGGGUCAUCCACUAUAGAUAAGGUCCACUUGUCUCCUACUUCAUAAGGCUGCCAAAAGAGUUAGGCAUAAUCACAUCCACACAUUUACCCUUCUCUCGAACAUAAACCAACUCUCUUUUCUUCCUAAUAACGAGUAAUUGCAUCCGAUUACCUACCUCCUUUUCCUUAAUAUGCCUAAUGGGGGAGCUAUUAGUCUUACUUUCCUCCAACUAUUUAAAGUCUAACACCACAUCCACAAGACACAAUUGUCCAUUCCUCCUCUUUGUUUGAAACCACCUUGCUCACAUCAUCCUCUCGAUGAACUUUGUUUUCCACAAUCUUAGGACACUUACCACUAGAAUGCCCAAAAGACCGGCAUAAAUUACACCUUCGAGGCUUCCACUAUAAUUCACAGUCAUAACGAAAUCCUCUCCCUAAGGUGAAUUGUAAAUUCAGCAAGCAUAGGAGAGUCCACAUUUGAUUCAACACAUACUCAAGCAUGUGACAACCUUCGUCUUUCCUUAGUAGCUAGAUCUAAAGAUAGAGGUUUUCCUAUAGCACUAGCCACAACAGUCAAUCUGACAUCUGUCCAUAACUCCAUUGGAAUCCUACCUAGUUUAAUCCAUAUAGGAACAUAAUAAAAAACAAAGGAUUUAGGGACAAUACCUGGAGUCCAUUUACGGAGGAGCAUACUUUUGCCAGCAAGAUGUCGCGAUCAACGAGAUAGGAUCCAUUCAACAAGUUUUGGGCAUCUGAAUUGGAAACAGAUGAGUCCGUUCUCAAGAAUUGUAAUCGUUGGCAUUUUAAUUUUAUCAACAAUAACAACGAGCUAAACAAAAUCCUCUAUCCAGAACGCACUAAUGAAAACUAAAAUGUAAAAUAAGUACGAAGUAAUUAAUUAAAACAGAAGACAAAAGAAACCCAAAGUAAGUUGACAAAAUGCCCACAAUAAGCUUCAAGAGGUGAGAGGGAACACCAAGAGAAACAUGAAUAGCCUUGCUAACUUUUCACUACUAGCCAACUACAUAUUUUUUACAAUACGUGUUAGGGAAAUCUUUCCCUUUGCAAAACAUACCAAUAUAUAAUCAAUCAUUGGCUCCUUAUGGGAAAAUACAGAAGCCCUAUACAUGUCUGUUUCAAGCCUGUGUUGAACAACUUUUAAUUCCCUAAGAUAAGGAGAUUUAUCUGAAGGUUCGAGAAUAAUGACAUGUCCUAACUAACCCACCAUUUCGCAACAGUGAACCAGUUUGAUCGUUAGGGACAAUUUUGAUAAUAAGCGCACAACCAUGCCCCAAUUCCAAUGUUGCCCAAAAGUAAAGGCCUUUCUUCACACUGCUCCAUAAAAAAAAGUUCGGCUUUCACAUAAAGAUCUUAUUUCUUUUUUAUUGAUCCAAGAGAUCUAAUAGAUCUAUUUUCACCACACAAAUCCCUUUUGUUAUCAUGGAAAAUGUGUUGUUGUGCUCAAACCAAAUCUCUGCUAGCAACACUUUUAUCAAAUUAACCCAUAUUUUUUUUUUAAAAAAAAAGAGGAUAUGAGUCUCACUAUUAUUAAUAUUGAAAAAUGAAGAGACAAAGCUCAAUGUAAUGAGGAUUAUACAAAGAGCAAUAGGACAGAGGAUCAACAGACGCACCUGGACAUCUCAAUUAGGUUGACACCCCCUUAGCGCCCUCAUCACAUCCAAAAAGCGACAACACAAGAUCAAAACCAAAAGCCACAAAUAGAAGGCUUUUUUUGUGUUUGUUUUGCCUUUGGACAUUACUCCUUUGUUAUGGGUUUUAGCUUGGUUGGAUAUGAUGAGGGUGCUAUGGGGUGUCAACCUAGUUGAGAUGCCAAGGUGCACCCCCUGAUCCAUGGUUACAUGUUCAUUGUAUAACUCUCUUGUACUCUGAGUUUUGUCUAAUUAUUAUUAUUAUUUUAAUAUUAAUAAAGAGGUUGUCUCCUUUUCAAAAAAAAAAAGAAAAAAAAACAAAACAAAACAAAAGCCACAAAUAUAAAACCAAACAAAAUGAUAAAAAAUAUGUCCAAAACAAAAUCAUAAAUCAUAGGUAGCAGGUCAAGAACAAAGAAGAAUAAGCCUUGAUUGAGCAAAAAAUCCCAACAAAUAUUGAAUGUUUGGAGAAGACGGAACUAACAUUUCGAUACAAAGACAUAGUCAAUUAAAAGGUGCUAAAUAUUUUUCAUGUUAUCAACACAAAUGGGGCAGACAUGAGGUGAGAGGACAUGGAGAGAAGUUUUCUUUGAAGUACUAAAGCACAGUUUAAUUUUCCAAACAACGUAAUUCAUAUGGGGAAAUUUAUCCAAAGAGUGAGCUAAAUAGCCCAAUGAGUGAUUGUUUUAUAAAACAUCGUUUUGAAAUAUUAAGUAUUUAACAAUUAACUCUUAACAUAAAUGAAAUCAAAUUCAAACAACUUAUCUCAAACUUUCCCUUUCAGUUGCUAUACCUAGAAUCGUCGAGACGAAAAACAAUAAACUAGGCAUAGAAGCCCUAUCCCGUGAUACGAUACUUACGAGAUGAAACUCUAGGCAUCAAUUGUGCCCUAUCUCGUUAUAACUACAAUGAGAUGGAAAACUAGGCAUUCGUACAGGGUCUUGUCCCUUGAGAUGGGAAACUAAGCAUCUUUAAAAGUCUUCAUCUCUUAUCUAAUACCAAUGAUGGAAAGCUAGGUAUUUACUGAAUAUCCAAAUCAAAUGACCUCUAUGCACAAAAGGUAUAGACUAAAACAUGCUAAUAUUAUUUUCAAGCUUAAACAUUUUGAAAACUUAGCACAAUCAUGAUUGCUUAUAAUUUUCAUUAGUGAAUUCAUCAAUAAAAACAUGUUUACCAAAAUGUUUCUAAAUGCAUGCUUGGAAAUACUUUAUAAGUCAGUAUCCUCAAAUAUUCAAACAUCAAAGCAUGCUUGAAACAUUUGAUAGUAAAUUCAUGUUUAGAAAUCAACUUUAAACUCAUUUUUGUCACUUAUAGAGAGUAGCUUGGACCCUUGGCUUAUAAACUUGUUCGAUCUCCUUCAGAUCUAAAAUAAUGAAAAAUAAUGGAAAUAAUUCCAUUUAAUUCCCAUUGAUCAUAAAAAUAUCAAAACUUUGCUUAAAAUUUCCAAAACCACAAAAACAGCCGAAAGACAUUAGCUUGCCUUGCCAUGUCUCGUUCUAACCUCAUGUGCAGCGUGUCACAAUCACAACUUUUCAAACACGGAACAGACUAUUGUGCGGCACUUGUUGUAACUCGAUGAACACGUCAGUUGUAUGAAAUUCGAUACGAUGUAGCCUCCCUACAAGUUUUAAGAGAAGUUGGUUUUAUUAAACAUGAGAGAGAAAGGAAAGCAUUGGAAACAUCGUUAAAAAAAACUUUGAAGACUGUCCAUUGCAAAGAGAGCUUAAAUUGCAAAGAGUACCUCUGUGAUGAGAUUGGUUUGUGGAACCAAUUGGGAUGGGAAAAAGUUUAGAGAUAUUUGAGAGAAACUCUUUUCUUUUUGCAAAGAGCAAUAGCGUUAGCCUUAUUUUUUCUUUUUUAUUAAUUCAUUUUUUAAGAAAAUUGUUUUGUUCUAGAUAUUAUAACUCUCUUUCCUUCUAAGAAUAGAAAAUGAAGUAGAAGAGAACCAUGAGAUUCUAUUAAUUUACAAAUAAUUAAAUUAAUAUAUAUUUCAAAUCUAUUGAUUAAUUAAACAUUAAUCAAUUAGUUAAUAAUUAAUGAAAUCGAAUUUAAUUAAAUAAUAUUAAACUAAACUAUUAAUUAAUUCUCCAAUUAACUAAUAACACUAAAUUAUUUAUCUUAUAUUUAACUUAAAUUAAAUUUGAAUCAUAUUCAAAUAUAAGUUUCUCUCAAUAAUUUUAAUAUGAAUCCAAUUCACAUUAAAUUAAUAUUUGAACUCAUUUAAAUAUUUUAUCUCUCAUAAAUUAAUUUUGAAUCAUCCCCAAAGUUAAAUUUAUAUAGUAAAGUUUGAUAAACUUUAUAUUAUAAUGUAUCACUAUACAUUAUACUAAUUCCCAAGUUAAAUUUAAACAUUUUAAAUUACAACCAAUACAAAUAAAUCUCAUUACCCUUUACGAGCUAGGAAAAGGACCUAAUGGACCUACAGAUCAGAAGCUACAACGAUCUAAGAUUAAUUGGCUAAACUCAUUAACCACAUUAAUCAAUAUUCGUUAGCUGUGUGUACACUCCACUAAAGACUCACAACUGAACUCUUCUCACUAAAAAUAUAUUUCUAUGUCCACGGAUAUAGACCAAUAAUAGUAAGUUAGUCCUUCACGAGUGUUUGUAUCACCAGUUGGAUCAAUUUACCGCUUUACCCCUAUGUUACCUCUAAUCCUUAAAAACCAGUGCUCCUCUAAUGAACAACUUGUUUAUGGUCCUACUAAUAAACAAAAACCCCUCUCAUGUCAUCGAGAGGGUACGGGCCCUUUGUUCAAGUUUUGGAGACACCAUUUAAGCUAAAAUUCAUCUACUUACCCUAAAGUAGGAAAUGAGUGAAUUCCAUUUUGUGCAAUUAUAAUCCCAACUCCACACUCAGUCUUGUCCCCAAAAUCACUACUACAAAAACAGGCUCUCUUGAUGGUUGUAGUUUUCCUUUCUUGACGUUUUUGAGAAAAAACGUCAAGAAAGAUGUGAUUUCAAAUAAAAAAACGUCAAUAAUUUUUAUGAAAGGCCAAUUCUCAACUUUCUUGACGUUUUUUGUGCAAUUAAACAUCAAGUAAGAUGUAUUUUUUCUUGACGUUUUUUAAACGUCAAUAAUAUAUAGUUUUCCUCGAUGUUUUAAAAACGUCAAGAAAUUUAUAAAAAAUUCUUAACGUUUUUAAAAUGUCGAGAUAAUUCUAAAAAGUUCUUGACAUUUUUACAAACAUCAAGAAAUUUAUAAAAAAAUUCUUGACGUUUUUAAAACGUCAAGAUAAUUCUAAAAGAUCAUUGAUGUUUUUACAAACUUCAAGAAAUUUUAAUUUGUUUUGACGUUUUAAAAACGUCAAGAAAUUUCUAAAAAUUAUUGUUUUAAUAUUCUUUUACAAAACACAGCGCUUCAAUUAGAUCACUUCCCCUUUUCUUAAUUAAACCUAAUUCGCCGCGACUUUGUCCCUUCUCCACCCGAAAUCAAAAGCGUCGUUCACCUAACCUUCCCUUCGCGUUCAUCUGUGCAUUCAUCUGCGUUCAUUGCCGAAAAAGACUUCCCUUCGCGUUCAUCAGCAUUCACCUUCAUUCAUUUGCGUUCAUUGUCCGUCACCGUUCGUCUACUUUGUGUUCCCUUCACCUUCGUUGAUUUGUGUCCGUCUGUUCACCGUUCGAAAUGCGUAAACACAUUCUCUGUUCGAAACGAGUAAACACGUUCACCGUCCUUCUGUCACAUUCCACUUUCGCUAAACCUCUAUUCGUUUCCAAAUCCUUCAUGAUUACUCAUUCGUUGUCCCUCAAAAUUGUCGUCCUUCUCUACGAAAACGUCGUCCUUCUUUUGAGUCUUCAUUCCCUUUAUGUCAUCCUUCUGUAUUUAGAGGUUAUACUUCAUUCCCCUAAAACUUCCAUUGGUUUCCAUAUUUCAAGAAUUUGAAAUUUUUAUAGGAUAUUGCUAGUGAAAUUAAGUCAAUUAUGUUUGCUCCCAAACUACCUCCUGACUAUGCUGUCUGGUUAGGAGAAAUAAAGUCUUUGUCAUAUUUCAAGGUAGUGUAUGUUAACCAACACUUAGUGCAUUUUGUGUUUAUGAGCUUAUUUAGUUAAUAUGUUUUUGUAGGAAAAUAUGAUGUCAAUAUGCCAUAUUAUACGAUGAAAUUGUAGUCGUUUAACACAAAAUUUUGAGGUUCUUUUUCAACUAAUUAUGCUUUAUCUAAUAUAUUUUUCCAAAUCUUAAAGAAGAACUUUUGAUUUCAUUGGAGUUUAUCAUUAGAGGCAUUACUAUAUUGGCUGCCUCUCAGUGGGCUAUAGGUUUUCCAAUGGUCAUUUGAGACUGGUUGAUAAUAGCAAAAGUUAGAGCUUGAGAAGAAGGAGCGAAGAAAGUAGUGAAGACAAAAGAAGAAAGAAAGCUGAGUGAAAAACGAAAAUUGACAAGGUAGAGAUGUGACAAUAACAAACCCUUGAUAAUUAAAAAAGGAUGGUGCCAAGAAAAUUUAAAUAAAAAAAAUGAAGGUUCUUGCAAGUGUAUUGAGUGAAUGGGAGAAAGAAAGGAUAAAAAAGGUAGAAAGAGAGAAAGAGAAGUCAAGGGUAGAGAUACAUAGCUUUGUAUAUAGAAACUUUAUGUUUAUACUCCAUUAUACGUUGUGGAGAAUAUAACAUCCUGAUAUGUUUGAUUCAAUUUGAAUGAUGCAAUUAUUUAUUUUUCUGCAAUAAUUCUACUUCUAGAACCUAAAUUUUGAAAGCCUACUAAUUUUUCAGAAUUAAUUCGAGACCCCACUUUUUCUCCCCUUCCUACCUACGGUUACUUUUUGCUUAAACUUUAAAAGUUGUUUGAAAAUUUUUGCUGAAACUUGUAAAAUUUGUUUGAAGUUCGUAUAUCUCUCACAUAUUGCAAGGUUUCUUAAUUAUUUUAUUGAAUUUCCUACAUAAAUGCAUUCAAAUAUGAGUUGACAUUAUUGGAAAAGAUCCGUCAUCCUAAAGUAGUUCAGUUUUUUGGUGUCGUUACUCAGAAUUUGCCUAUGGUGAUUGUUUCUGAAUACCAUCCGAAGGUAUGGAUACAUUUUCUUACCCUUUAUUUUAUUCUAAUGAAAAUUAUUUCAUCAUGUUUCAUUCCAAGCAUUUCAUUACAUAUUUUGUUCAUAUAUGAUGAAUGGUGAUUAGUUUUUGUAUCAACUUAUUCCCUCUUCCAUGUGUAUUUCAUCUUCCAGGGUGAUAUAUAUCAAUAUAUUCCCUCUUCAAUUGAUUCUUGUUUUUACUCUUGGCUUAUAGGUUGCUACAUGAUCGUAUAUUAGGAGCAAAAUUGUGCAAUUAGUUUAUAGUUAGGGAGAUUUCAAUAGUAAAAAGCAAAGAGAGUAAAUGGUAACAAAAUCAUAUUGUUCACAUGAAAUGAUAAAAUAAUCAUUACACAUUUACAAGAACAGUAAAUAAAUUAUGUGAUUUUCGUGAGAAAAAUGAAGAAGAAAUAGCUUCUAACAAAAGUGAAUAUAAAUUAAAGGAGAAUAUAAAACUGUUGAAAAUAUUUAUUUUCAAUAAUUCGGAAGUUCUUUGGCUAUAUAUAAUGGAAGAGAGCCUUUCCAAGGUGUGAUGCCUGGCGUCAACAACGACGCGCUUAGCACAGAUACGGAACCGAACACCAUCUUCUUGGUGUUUGUCUGUGCAAAAGCCUCGAGUGGCUAUGGUCUUCUUCUUCUCUGUGAGGGAAAUGGUUGAAGUUGCUAGACUAUUUCAAUUACUAUGUGAGAGGUGGCUGAAUUUUAUUGGACCUCUCUUCUUGGCUUACUUUUUACAAUUGUUUAACAAUCUCUCUCCGAAUAUACCUUCGUCCCCUUAGCUGCUUCCCACUUUGGUAAAAUUGCCAAAGCUUUAUGUGUACAUUGCAAGAGAUAGAGGAGCAAGGCAAAAUAAGGUUAUUGGAACAAGGCGAAAGUUAUCAUUUCGUGACACAAAUUGAGUUUUCUUGACAAAAUUUUCGCAUUGUUAAUUAAUGACAUAAAUUAUGUGUCAUUAAAAAUUACCCUAAUAAAAAAUCAAUGUUUUCCUUCAAUCAUACGCUUUUUGAUUUAAAACAAAUAAUUCGAAGCUUUCAUCCCACUUGUGAACAACAACCGAAAAAAACCUUACUUCAUCCCACAUCGUCGUUGUCUUUAGCUCUCUCGCAAAUGCUCUCUGGCGACGUUCCCCCCUCUCUCGCAAAUACUCUUCACGACUUUUCCUCUCUCUCAAAAUUAAGCUCUCCACCCACCGUUUGAAGGAACUCACCAAAUUUGCAAGUAAUUGAAGAAUUCGUGGUCCAUGAGAUCGAUUAAGUCCAUUUAUGAGUUAGUUUGAUUAGAUUAUGUCACAUAUACAUGUAUUACAAUUAAGGGACACUUGCGAAAAUGGCAAAAUAAGUUAUAAUAAUUAAGUCCAUAGAACACAUACUUUAUUAUUUGAGAAAGUGACAAAAACAAAGACCAGCUCACACAUCAAGAGGUAAAAUGUCACAAAUGCCCUCGUUAUUGAUGUACAUUUGAUACACCUUAUACACGUCUGAUACACCUAAUACCUCUUGAUACAUUAAGUCCAUUUAUGAGUUAGUUUGAUUAGAUUAUGUCACAUAUACAUGUAUUACAAUUAAGGGACACUUGCGAAAAUGGCAAAAUAAGUUAUAAUAAUUAAGUCCAUAGAACACAUACUUUAUUAUUUGAGAAAAUGACAAAAACAAAGACCAACUCACACAUCAAGAGGUAAAAUGUCAAAAUGCCCUUGUUAAUGUACAUUUGAUACACCUUAUACGUCUGAUACACCUAAUACCCCUUGAUACACUUGAUACUUCUUACUGAUACACUUGAUACAUUUGAUAGAUACAAUUCAUGCACUCGGUACUCAUUGAUACACUCGAUACUUUUUGAUACACACCUGAAACAUCUUCAUACACAUAAUACUUCUCGUUACACUUGAUUCUUCUUGAUACACUUGAUCCCUGAGGCCUUGAUACACUUGAUUAGUUUGAUACACUUAAAGACUUCACUUAUAAGUUUGAUACACUUGAUACACCACUAAUAAACUUGUUAUACUUCAUUGGUACACUUAACAAAUUUGAUAUGUUUGAUGUACAUGCACUACAAGAAAUUUACCCUUUGUCGAUGACAAAUAUCGUCAGUAAAUCUUCAAAAACUAAUCGACUUUUCAUUUGCCAACGAAAUUAAGCUGUCAACACACACUGUCACGUAGGUCUGUCGGAAGAUCCUCUAUCGAUGGCAAAAAAAAACUGUCAGCAAAAAUAGGAACAAUCGAUGAAAUUGAACCAUUAGUGUGCGUGUGUGUGUGCGCUCCGUGUGCGCAUGUCCACGUGUGCUUGGGUGUGUGUAUGCGCACAUACAUGUGUACGUGUUGCGUGUGCAUUUGUGUGCGUGCGGUUUGGUGUGCGUGUGCAUGUGUGCGUUUGUGUGUGUGUGCCUACGUUCGUGUGUGUGUGUGUGCGUGUAUGGUGCACGCGCGUGCAAGUGUAUGUAUGUGUGUGCGCGUGUGAUUGUGUGUGAAUAAGUUGAUAUUUUUUAAUGUUGAGUUCUCCCAAUUUUAAAACAAUAAUUUAAUUAUCUUGAUAUUCAAGCCAUUAAUAUUAUUGUGAGAUAAAGAUAGUGAAUAAGUUGAUAUUUUUUAAUUUUGAAAUUCAAUUAAAGUUAUUUUGAUACAAAAUCUAUUGCUGAGAUUAUCAAAUUUGAAAAAUAAUAAUUUUGUUAUGUUGAAAUUCAAUUUGGUUAUUUUGAAAUUCAAAUUCAAUUAGGUUAUUUUGAAAUUAGUAAGAUUAAAUAAAGUUAAAGUCUUGAAUCCAUUAGUUGAGUCCCGAGAUAUUAAGAAAAAAGUAUAAUAUGAGUUUAUGUAUCUUUUUCAGGUAAAAAAUAAUUAAAAGUUGAUAAAUGCAUAAUAUAAAUUAAUUACAACAUAGAAAAAUAAUUUUAGUUGGAGAAUGUGGAUAUUUUGGUAUUUUAUAAAAUAUUAUGCACGUGCAAAAAAUGUUAUUUGCUAAAAUUAAAAAAAAAAUAGUUUUGCCAUUUUUCAAAAUGACCCAUAAAAAUGUUCCUAUAUCUCUUAUGACAUAGUGUAUAUCUACUGGUUCAUAUUCGACCUGUUUGUUGCAAUAGAAUUGGAUAAAAUCGCAUUAUAUUGAAAUAAUUACACGAAUGACACUUUUAAGCCAAUAUUGAUAGAAAUUAUAGUUUAAUUAAUGUUAUUAAGUCAAAUGAACAUGGUUUAAAAGUCCUUCUAAACACAAUUAAUGUAGUUUUUUUUUAAUUUUAACUCAUUUAUACAUCUUUAUGCAUAUGUGUGUGUACGUGUGCGCGUGUAGGUAGGUGUGCGUAUGUGUAUGUGCGUGCGUUUGUGCGAGUGUCCGUGUGCAUAUAUGUGUGGGUGUGUGCAUGUUUGUAUGUGUUUGUGCGUGUGUGUGUGUGCGCAGGCUAUUGCGUGUGUGCUUGGGUGUGUGGGUGUUCGCGCGUGCGUGUUUGUGCGCGUGUGCGUAUGUGUUUACGUCUGUGCGUUUGUGCGUACGCGUGUGUGCGUUUGUGCAUGUGUGUGUGCUUGUGCGCGUGUCGAUAGGUGUGUGUGUGCAUAUGCGCGUGUGUAUGUGUAUGUGCGUGCGUUCGUGGUUGGGUGUCUGUGUGUGUAGAUGUGCGUGUGUGCGCGUGUGUGUAAGUGUGCAUGUGUACGUGUGUGCGCAGUGCUUCUAUGCUUGUGUGCGAACAAGUUAAUAUUUUUUAAUGUUGAGUUUCUUCCAAUUUUAAAAUAAUAAUUUAUUAUCUUGAUAUUCAAGGCAUUAAUGUUAUUUUGAGAUAAAGAUAGUGAACAUGUUGUUUUUAAUUUUGAAAUUCAAUUAAGGUUAUUUUAAUACAAAAUCUAUCGUUGAGACUCUCAAAUUCCGAAAAAUAAUAAUUUUGUUAUUUUGAAAUUCAAAUUCAAUUAGGUUAUUUUGAAAUUAGUUAUUGUGAAUAAAGUUAUUAAUAUGUGAAUUAAUUAGUUGAGCCUCGAGAUAUUAAGAAAAAUAUUAUGAUAUGAGUUGAUGUAUCUAUUUCAAGUAAAAGAUAAUUAAAAGCUGAUAAAUGCAUAACAUAAAUUAAUUACAAUGUAGAAACGAAAUAACUACAGUUGAAGAAUGUUGAUAUUUUGGUAUUUUAUAAAAUACCAUGCACGUGCAAAAAAUGCUAGUUGCUAAAAUUCAAAGGAAAAAGUAGUUUUGUCAUUUUUCAAAAUGACCCCUAAAAACGUUGUUAUGUCUUAUGACAAAGAGUGUAGAUCUAUUGAUCUAUAUUCGAUUUGUUUUUUGUUGGUAAAAUUGGAUAAGACCGCAUUAUAUUGAAAUAAUUACACGAAUGACACUUUUUAGCCAAUAUUGAUAGAAAUUAUAAUUUAAUCAAUGUUAUUAAGUCAAAUGAACAUGGUUUAAAACUCUUUCUAAACAUAAUUAAUGUAUUUGAUUUUUAACGUUAAUUAAUUUACACAUCUUUGUGCGUGUGUGCAUAUGUGCACGUGCGUGUGCGUGUGUGGAUGGGUGUGUGUGCGUGCGUGUGCGUGCGUUGUGCACGUGUGCGCGUGUGCGAACAAGUUGAUAUUUGUUAAUGUAAAAUUUCUCCCAAUUUUAAAAUAAUAAUUCAAUUAACUUGAUAUUCAAGCCAUUAAUGUUAUUUUGACAUAAAGAUAGUGUACAAGUUGAUAUUUUUUAAUUUUCAAAUUCAAUUAAAGUUAUUUUGAUACAAAAUCUAUCAUUGAGAUUCUCAAAUUUCGAAAAAUAAUAAUUUUGUUAUUUUGAAAUUGAAAUUUAAGUAGGUUAUUUUGAAAUUAGUAAGAUUGAAUAAAAUUAAAAUCUUGAAUCAAUUAGUUGAGUCCCGAGAUAUUAAGAAAAAAGUUAUGAUAUGGGUUGAUGUAUCUUUUUCAGGUAAAAAAUAAUUAAAAGCUAAUAAAUGCAUAACAUAAAUUAAUUACAAUGUAGAAACGAAAAAAUUACUGUUUGAGAAGGUGAAUAUUUUGGUAUUUUAUAAAAUAUCAUGCACACGUGCAAAAAAUUCUAUUUGCUAAAAUUUAAAAGAAAAAGUAGUUUUGCCAUUUUUCAAAAUGACCCAUAAAAAUGUUGCUAUAUCUCUUAUGACAAAGAGUGUGCAUCUACUGGUACAUAUUCGACUUGUUUUUUGUUCGUAAAAUUGGAUAAGACUGCAUUAUAUUGAAAUAAUUACACUAACGACACUUUUAAACCAAUAUUGAUAGAAAAUUAUAAUUUUAUUAAGUCAAAUGAACAUGGUUUAAAAGUCUUUCUAAACACAAUUAUUGUAGUUAUUUUUUAAUUUUAAUUCAUUUAUACAUCUUUGUGCAUAUGUGCGUGUGUGCAUGCGUGUGCGCGAGUGCGUACGUGUGUGCGUAUGCACAUGUCCACGUGUGUGGGUGUGUGUGUCUACGUGUGCGUGGGUGUGAGUGUCCACGUGUGUGCGUUUGUGCGUGUGCGUGUGGGUGUGUGUGCGUAUACGCACGCGUGCGUGUGUACGUGAGUGGGCGUGUGAGCUUUUUGUGCUUUUCUUCCAAUUUUAAAAUAAUAAUUUAAUUAUCUUGAUAUUCAAUUCAUUAAAAUUAUUUUGAGAUAAGGUUAUUUUAAUAUAAAAUCUAUCGUUGAGAUUCUCAAAUUCUAAAAAAUAAUAAUUUUGUAAUUUUGAAAUUCAAUUUGGUUAUUUUGAAAUUCAAAUUCAAUUAGGUUAUUUUGAAAUUAGUAAGAUUGAAUAAUGUUAUUAAAAUGUUGAAUCAAUUAGUUGAGUCCCGAGAUUUUAAGAGAAAAGUUAUGAUAUGAGUUGAUGUAUCUAUUUCAAGUAAAAAUUAAUUAAAAGUUGAUACAUACAUAACAUAAAUUAAUUAUAACGUAAAAACAAAAUAAUUAUAGUUGGGGAAGGUGAAUAUUUUGGUAUUUUAUAAAAUACCAUGCACGUGCAAAAAAUGUUGUUUGCUAAAAUUGAAAAGAAAAAGUAAUUUUGCCAUUUUUCAAAUUGACCCCUAAAAAUGUUGGAUUUUUUUGUAUUCCCUUGGCCUUUCUUGUUCAAUAUUUAGUCAAAUUGCAGUAUACAUAAAAUUUGCAUUUGUUACGUCAUAAGAUUUCAUUCACUAUUUGUGUCUGUAUUAUUUUAUAUUUUAUACAGGAGACUCCGUUUGAGUGUUGAGCUUUGGGAGGGACUACCGUUGACCCCAAAAUUACAAGGUUUCAUGUUGCUUACUGGAUCACUAAUGAUUUGUCUCUAUCUUUGGCUCAUCGAGUGGUGGAGUUGGAACCCCUUGAAAGUGUAGAUUUAGACUCUCUACCGUUGUCAAGAGCUGUUAAGUAUGCAAAAAUGGCCUUGAGAAAUCCUAUAAACUCUCUAAACAGGAGACAUUCUAGUGUAAGAAGAAAUACUCAAGUCCUUGAAGAAAUUGAGGACACAACUCCAAUUCCUAGCAUGCUUUCUCUCUAAGACUAUGCUGGUCCUAGUCGGGGAGUGGCAUUUACAUCCCAGAAAGACACACAUGUAUCACCUCGUGUUGGCACUUCCAUUGCAAUGCACAACUCAAACAUAUAUAGUGCCGACAUUUCCUUCCUUAAGCUUGAAAAAAGUGUUGGAUCGGUAUGGCAACCCUAGAGGGGGGUGAAUAGGGUUUAAAUAAACUUUUAGACAAAUAAAAAGUAAAAUCAACUAAUUAGAUAUUUUUUAUAUUUAAAUAAAGAACUUUGUAAACUUUGUUAAAUAACAAGAUUGAUAAAAAGAUAUGAAUGGAAAUAUGCAAUCAAACUUAACCAAUAAGAAUAUGUAACUAAAAUUAAAUUAAAAAAUAAUUAGAAAAGAGUUAGAGAGAAGACACCGUAAUUUUAUAGUGGUUCGGUUAAACUCAACCUACAUCCACUUUCCCAAGCACCUCUUGGGAUUUUGAUUGAAAAUCUUCUUUAGACUCUUUCCACGGAUUUGAGCCGAACCGAUUCUUGCUCCUUUUUCGGGUUCAAGAGCAAACCCGAUCAUUUCCACGGGUUAGGAUCCAACCGUUACAAUAUGUUGAAAUUUUUAAAUCACACAAAAGAAAACUCUCUAAAAGAGUGAGUAUACAAUUUGAAGCUCACAAAUUUAAUCCUCACAAUACAAUAAGAAACUCUCAAGAAUAAGAUGAAAAGAAUAAAAAUUGGAAGCUUUAGAGAGAAUAACAAUGUUGGCUUUUUGCUUGAGGAUUGUAAAGAUAUUAUGAUCUUGUGUAAAUGUGAAGUAUUUAAAAAGAGAGGAAAGAUAAAUUCAAAAUCAUUUGGGUCAUUAGAUAUAAGUAAAAGAAAAAUGAAUGGUUGAGAUUUAAACUUAAUUAGCCGUUAGACACAAUACAAAUAAUAAUAUAAUAAUAUGUCUUUUCAAAAUAUUUUGUUUAAAAAGAAAUCAAUAAAGCAACUUCACCCUCUUUUAAAAAAACUAGCCGUUAGACACAAGAAAAAAUAAUAAUAUUAAAAUCAUUUUUCUUUUAAAUUCAUUUUCUUUAUAAAAGCCAAUAAAACAUAACAAAAAGCCACAUUUUCUUUUAACUUCAUUGCUUCAAGUGGCUUUCUCUAAUUGGUUCAAAUUGAAUGCUUGGUCGUCACGUCACCAUCUCGGUAUUUUUUCGUUAACUUUCUUUUAGCAAUAUUUUCUUCAUUUGAACUUCGAUUUGGGUGAUUGAAGAGGCGUUAGAAUCAUUUUUCCAAGCUCUACGAUAUGGUCUAUUCAAAUUAAUAAAAUUGUCAAUAAAAAAAGUCAGAUUUGUUAUCAUCAAAACAUAAAUUAAUUGAAUAAUUAAAAUAAAUUAAUUUGAGAUUAAGGGCCAAAAAGCCAACAAAAAGGUGAUUUGAUGUCCAUAAAAAAUUAACAGAGCAGUUAGAUAUUUUCUAUCACGUAUCGCACGUAAUUUGAUGCUCAUUGAUACUGCAUUACUGUGUCAGGAACGUGUUGAUGUAAAAUCUUUCAGUUUUGAUGGAUCUUAUUACAAGUUUUCAACUCUUCUUAGCACGACUUCUGACAGAACAAAGGUUUUAUAUAUCUUUACACGAUCGCAUAUCACAUAUGAACGAUCGCAUAUCCCAUCUGAAAUAUCGAUCACCCCUGGUAAAACAACCGUUUAGAUAUUCUACACGAUUGUUUGCUUAAGGAUACACGAUCAUUUUGUAACUAUUUUUUUUUAUUAUCCUUUUUUCUUUCUAUACUAGAAUCAGAAUCAAUUGUUUGAUGAUAUUAACAACAUGUAUGAUGAUCUUCGUGAUGAUUCUAGUCAUCACAAUCUGGACAAGAAUGAUGACCAUCAAAAUAACAAACAUGUGAUCAUCCAUGAGAAUCCAUCUGUUCAAGAGUCACAUCUUCAAGAAUCUACUGUAGAAACUCAACAGUUAGUGUUUAAUUCAUUAGUUACCGCUUUAUAUUGUUUAAAAUUGCUUAGAUUAUAAAUAAACAACAAUAAUUUUUUUCUUUUAUGUGUAGGGAACAAAAAUGAACAACGCCUCAACAUCAAGAGCAGUUAGGCAGUGAUAUUAGCAUAGAUGGCAGAGAUGCACAUUUGAUAUUAACUAUAAGUAAUAUAGCAGAAAAUAUGGAAGGUCAUACUCAAACAGAAACGGGACUGCUAGAAAUGAUUGAAAAUCUUCCGUUGGUAAGCCAACCACUUACACUUUGUGAGAUGCUACCAUUAACUACUGUCAAAGGUCUUGCAUUAGUUUAAUUGGUAUGUGUGCCCUAAAGGGAUAAAAGCUCUUGGCAGUGAAAGACUUUACAAAACCAUUCAUCAGUUUUAAUUUGAAAAUUCCAAAAUAUCAGUACAUUGACAAUAUUUAGAAUCAAAGUUCUAAAUAAAGAACUAAAUAUGCUAUUAAAUUAAAAGAUUCAUAGAACUUACUCUUGUUGACGUCUCUGAAUCUAUAAUCCACCGAAUUGGGGACACCACCCGUUGGAGACCUUCCUAUCUUCGAAGAUGAGAUUGGUUUGUGGAAAACAAUUGGAAUGAAAAAAAAAUUUAGAGAGAAACUAUGUAACACCCCCAAUAUCAAGGUAUUUCUCUUAAGCUAAAUUUUUUAAAUUUUAUUAAGAUUUUAAGGAAUUUGGUUGUGGUGUGGAUUUAGCAGGAAGUGAAGGGGGCUUUUAUGAAAAAAUAUACUAAUACUAAAGGUUAAAUAAUAAUAAUAUAUAAUAAUAAUAGAAUUAAUCUUAUUAUUAAUUUAAAAUAUCAAUUCUUUAUUGAUUCACGUGCAACUCCAUCUCUUUCUCCUUCACUCUUCCUCUUCCCCGUGCCCACCGCCGCCUGCCUCUCUUAGCCAUUUUAUAUUACUCUUGGAUGUCAGCCGGCCACGCCGUCACCGAAUUCUUCGUCUCCGUUGAAGCCGAAGCACCAUUCGUCGUGAGUUCGAACUCUCGGCAUCGCGUCUUACCUCUGUUUUCUAGCCAAGCUGUGAUUCAUUCGCGCGUAGCUCCUUCCAAGCCGUCGACCAAACCUGAGCCCGUCGCGUCUGUCGAAGUGCCGUCGCGUAUAUCGAAGUGUCGUCGCGUCUGCCGAAGUGUCAUCGCGCAACUCUUCACCUUCCAGCCAUGGGUUGUAAGCUAAAGUUUACUUUUCAUUUAUUGAUUAGAUAUGAUCUAUUACACGCGUCGAUUCCAGUUAUUCGAAGUUGUUGCCUCCAUUUUACUCUAAUUUUUGGGAUUUUUGUGGUAAGUUGUAUUGGUGAGUGUGGUGGUUUUACACUGUAAUUAUCCUUGGGUUGUAGUUUUGGAUAAUUAGUUAAAUUGUUAAUUGAUUCUUGAAGGUAGCGUUUGAGUUCGUUGGAUUCACAACUAAAUUGUAGAUUUGUUGGAGUUCGAUUCGCCAAUACUUUGGUAAGCUAGAAUUUACAUUGAGGAAAUUAAAUGAAAGAAAGUAUUGUGAAAGUAAUUGAGUUCCAUAUUCUUAUUAUUAGGUUUCCUUCGUUCGAGAAAUUUGAGUAACAUUAAAGUAAGGGGUUUCUAUUACUGGACUCUUUGAAAGUUUUGAAAUGUGUUGACUGUUUGGAUCUCUGGACUUAGUAUGGUUUACCAAUAUAUGUAGAAGUCGAUAUGAUGACAAAUGUAUAUUAUGCCAGACUGGUAUAGAAGUAGAUACGAUGGAUAAUGUAUUUGUAAACUGAGAAAGGUGUUAUGUAUAUAUAUAUAUCUUGACUGUCUGGUGUGUUGUUAUAGUAUCAACUAAUUUUGUGAUAGAUUGAAUAGAUUGAACGUAAGUGUGUUAAGUUGGAUUGAUGAUAUGAUGGAGUAGUUUGACUAUACUAGGAAUGGAUUGAUUAAAUGUGUAUAACGGACUAAGGGAAAAUUGAUAGCUUUGUCGAUUGAUCACAAGACUUUUAAAGUGCAGGGCACCUCCAAUAGGAAGUUAACAAUUUUAUUUUUCUUCUAACAAGAUCAGUAGUGGGUCUCUUACUGGGUAUGUUUAUACUCACCCUUUUAUGUUUAAUCUUUUUCCGCGAAACUGCCAUAGGGAAAUGUCCUUCAAAUUGCUUCUACUUUAAAUUUUUUUUAUUUUGGUUUUCUUUAGUAAUUGAGACUGUUUUGGGUUUCAUGAUUGAACGACUUUUAUUAUCGAUACUUUUACACUUUCAAAAUUUUAUUUGAAAUAGAGCCCGAAUAAAAACUCUUUAAUGUUGUUAAAAAAUAUAUUUUUUAAAAAUUAUAAAGUCUUAUGGUUAAAGGAUGAAUCUAGUCUUAAAGUAAUAACUUCGGCUUAAUUAAAAAAAUUAGGUCGUUACAAUCUAUUUUGCAGAAAAGAAAAUCAUCGAUUUUAUUUUGGUUAAGAAAAGCUGUUUUUCUUCUACAUAUUUAUAACUCUCUUUCUUUCAUUGAGUAGGAGACGGGGUAGGAGAAAAUCAUAGGAUUCUAUUAACUUAAAAAAUAUUAAAUUAAUAGAAGUUUCCAAUCAACUAACUAAUUAACCAUUAAUCAAUUAGUUAAUAAUUAAUUAAGUCAUAUUUAAUUAAUAUUUCGUUUAAAUCUUAUUGAAUGAAUAUCUCUCCAAUACCUUAUAGUUUCAUAUUAAUUUAAUUAUAAUAUUAAACUAAACUAUUAAUUAAUUCUUCAAUUAAUUAAUAACUAAAUUAAAUAUUUUAUAUUUAACUUAAGUUAAAUUUGAAUCAUAUUCAAAUAUAACUUUAUCUCAUAAUUAAUAAUUUUAAUAUGAAACAAAUUCACAUUAAAUUAAUAUUUGAACUCAUUCAAAUAUUUUAUCUCAUAAAUUAAUUUUGAACUUUAUCUAAAAUUAAAUUUAUAUAAUAAAGUUUCAUUAACAUAUAAACUUUAUAUUAUAAUGUAUCACUAUAUAUUAUACUAAUUAAACUAAUUUCCAAAGUAAAUUUGAAUAUUUCAAAUUAGAACCAAUAUAAAUAUAUCACAUUACCAUUUUGUAUCAUCCAUUAUUUUAUAUUCAGUCAUACUAAUUGGAUCAACCUAAUACAUAAAACAAAUAUAGAAAAAUUAAAAAAAAAAAAGCAUGCACAAAUAGAGACAAAUAGACAUUGAUAGCUAUCUAUCUCUAUCUAUCUGAAACAAGCACACAUAAAUUUUUAUAUUUCUCUAUCGGAUGGACAAAAAUAGCAGUCUAUUUAUAUCUACCUAAGAUACAAACAUUAAAAAAAAAAAAAAAAACCUUACCAAUAAAAUUCUUGACUUUUCAUGUUAUUCUAAAUGCAACACGUUCUCAGCCCAAGAAGUCAAACAACUCUUCAUUGUAAAAGUAGCUUUACUUCUUUCAUCAAACCACUUUUGCAAUACAUCUCUAAUUGAACUAAGCAUGGUAGCUACAGGUAGUUCUCUAAGAUCUUUAAAAACUAAAUUUACACUGUCUACACAAUUUGAUGUCAUCAUUCUAUAUAUGAAACUCAUUAUACCUGAGAUAGAUUCAACCAAUUUAUCAAAGAACCUUGGAAUCAACAUGUAUGAUUUAACUGUGUCACCUUUUAAUAUCUUUACUAUGUGUUCUUUUGCCCUCCAAGCUUUCUGCUAACUUAUAUUAACUCCAAGAUUUGUACAUGCCUUAUGCACAAUUGCUUUUGGAAUGAAACGAUCAGUAGACAUGAACCUGAACUCAUCUAUCAAGCAACUGUCAAUUACUGUUGAAGAAGCUUGCAUGUGACAACUAGUAUUCAAUGAACAGUCAUGUUCAUAAAUGUAUUUUCAUAGCAUCCACAACUCGCUCUUCUUAUCGUGUAAUUGAUAAUGGUAACUGAUCGUGUAAUUCCAUGUAAAUUAUCGUCAAAAACUUUAAACUAUCGAUCUUUAUAAUGAAGUACAUAAUUCUUACAUUAAUACUUAAAUUUUGUCGUAACGACCCAACUUUUCUAACUAAGUUGAAGUCAUUAGUUUUGACAAAGAGACCGUGAUUGACACAAAAUAUAGUAAAAUUCACUUGAAAUCAUACGAUCAAAGAAAACAAACUUAAGUUCGGGCCCUACUUCAAAUAACCAAAACUUUAAAAGUACUAUUUACAAAACAACAGUUCGUAAACUCAGUUCCAUCACAAAAUUUUUAAACAACCUCAUGUACAAAGGAAAAACAAAAAAACAUAAAGCGAAAGCAUUUGAAGGACAUUCCCUUAUAACAAAAAACUAGUAUUCAAUGAACAGUCAUGUUCAUAAAUGUAUUUUCAUAGCAUCCACAACUCGCGCUUCUUAUAACGAGAUGUCCUAAUAAACCAUUUGCACUCUUCUAGUAGGCAUCUAAAUUCAAGAGACCUCAAAUUUGAUAUUGUAGUUCUAAAUUGAAAGUUGUUAUUCACUUCUAUUAUGCCAAAACACUUUGAAAGCACAUGCUAUUCAUGUGCACGUGAUAUUUUUUUUUUAAUUUCUUUGUCCUCUUCGCUGUACAGAUGUAAUAUAGGGAGUCUAUCAGAUUCCUCCUCUUUUCAAAGCCUCCAAUCAAACUCAAUGCUAAGUUUGACUGCUUCCUUCAGAGUGACGACCCUCAUUUUCCCCCUUCCGUGGUUUGGGGAGGAUUCCUCCUCUUUUUAAAGCCCUCAAUCAAACUUGAUGCUAUGUUUAGAACGCUAAGAAUAGGUGGUCUAGUUUUGGUUAGGCCAAAAGUGAAAAUUUCCCCCAAAAGCACUAAUAGUUAGGGAACUCAACACAUUCUACUUGACUUAAUCGACUUGACUCUCUAAUUUUUAUGUGCUUUUUUCUAUGCAUAUUGCAUAUGUUUUUUUUAUAGUUGUUGAUUGUCUCACAUUUUUAUGGUUUGCAUUUACAAGCCUUUUUUUUCUUUCUUUGGUAUGAAAUAUGGUAAUAGGCCUUGCUAGAACCGGUGGGGUAAUCUCCUUAUGGUUCUACACUUAGUUUCAAAGUUUGAUUACUCCCUUCGAAGUGACAACAAGCCUCGUUUUCCCCUAUUGUGGAUCAGAGAGGAUUCCUCCUCUUUUCAAACCCCUCAAUCAAACUCAAUGCUAAGUUUAACUGCUCCCUUCGAAGUGAGAACAAGCCUCGUUUUCCCCUAUUGUGGAUCAAAGAGGAUUCCUCCUCUUUUCAAAGCCCUCAAUCAAACUCAAUUAGAGUAAAAAGGAAAAAAUUUCAUCUCGGGUGCGUGUCCCUCACACGUGUCUCUCUAGGAUUUCCAAGUUCUCUCACUCGGCUGGUGAAGGAGGCGAACGGCUGGUGAGUGUUGCGGUCAGCAAGGGAUCAAAUUCGAAGGUAAUUCGUUCGGUUUUGGCAGAUUGAAUGUGAAAACUAAUGUCAUUUGGUAUCCAUUUCGAAAUUUAUUACAAUUGAUCAAUUGAACCAUUACGAAUGAUAUUCGUUUUGAUUCGGGAGAAUUAACGUCUGUCCAGAAAUUGUUUAAAUCGGUUUCCAAGCUGAAUUGAUUUGAACUAUCUUGAAAGUAUUGCGUGUGGUACGAAUCGAUUUAUUGGCUAUCAGUUUUGGGUUUGAAGACCGUGAUUUAAUUCACUCGCUGGAGGGAUCUAACAUGAAUCUCCUCAGUUGAAUUUCAAUUCUUUUUGAGUUCAUUCGUGUUCCCAGAUUGGGCCGAAAAGAUCAUCACGGGUGUUGGGUUGAUGUCCUAAGCAUGAAAUGAUGAAGAAAUUCUCCAGUGACGUUGAGGAGGUGAAGAAACGCGUGAUGUCAAGCCUUCAACGCGUACAUGAUAUGGCGACGAACGACCGAAGGGCGACGACUGCAAAGGCUGACCUAAUUUCUGUGAGGAAGAAAUGGUCGACAUGAGUGGACCCGAACUGGUUUACGUGAAUCGUGAAACAUAUAAAAACUGAAAUACAGGAAAUUGACCGAGCGGAGAUGGUCCCAUGAAGAUUGUUGGGUUGAAACAUAUAAAAACAAGUGGUCUCUUUUUGUUUCUUUAACCAUUGGGUUGAAGAAGCGUCCUUUAUGGAUGUUGUGUCCUCUGCUUGGACCAAAGAUACUAGAGUUUCUCCAAUUGUGAAUAUUGUGAGGAACUUAAGAAAUCUUAAGUCGAUUCUUCGCAGGCAUUUUGGUAGGCAUAUCCGGACCAUCAGUGAGGAUGCUCAUCUUGCCAAUGAUACCAUGGACUGAGCUCAAAGAGAGAUGGAGACGAAGUCUCUGUCGGAGGAGGCGAGUAAUCACGCGAGCUUAGCCAGGGUAAACUUUUGGAAAGCGGUUAGAGUGGAGGAAGCCGCUAUGUGCCAGAAAUCGUGAGUCAGAUGGUUGAAGCUAGAUGACCAGAAUACUGCCUUUUUUCAUCGAUCUGUUCGAUCAAGGCAGAGCACAAUGCUUUGAAAUCAGUUAUUGACCCAGAUGGAAAUCGAUUGACUAACCAUGAUCAGGUGACUCAGGUGGUAGUUAAUUAUUUCAAAGAUAGUCUGGGUUCUCAGAAUAUUAGCUACAGAGAGCUCUCUACUUGUAUUGAGGAGAUUGUUCAGUUUAGAUGGACUGAGGAGUGUUGCCAGGCCUCCAGUCGCCUAUUGGCAGGAGAGGAAGUGAGACGUGUUCUGUUCUCCAUGGAUGGUGGAAAGGCUCCAGGCCCUGAUGGGUAUUCAGUUGGCUUCUUCAAAGGAGCUUGGACGGUGGUUGGAGAGGGUUUCUGUGAUGUCGUCUUACACUUCUUUGAGACCAAUUACUUCCCUCAAGGGGUGAAUACGACUGCUAUUACACUUAUUCCUAAAAGGAAUUGUGCUGAUCGAUUGGAGGAUUUCAGCCCUAUAUCUUGUUGCAGCGUUAUUUAUAAGUGCAUUUCAAGAAUAUUGGCAGAUAGGCUUCGUGUGUGGCUUCCUUCUUUUGUUAGUGGAAAUCAGCCAGCUUUCAUCCCUGGGAGGAGUAUUAUUUACAAUAUUCUUCUUUGUCAGGAGCUUGUAGGGGCAUACCAUUUGCACAGAGGUAAACCUCGAUGCACUAUGAAGGUUGACCUCCAAAAAGCUUAUGAUUCUGUUAAUUGGGAUUUCCUCUUUGGCUGCUGAUUGCCAUAGGUACGCCUUUAAGAUUUGUGAGUUGGGUUCGAGCGUGUGUGACCUCUCCGAUGUUCUCCAUUAUGAUUAAUGGAUCGUUGGAAGGUUUUUUCCAUGGGAGGAAAGGACUUAGACAAGGUGACCCUUUAUCCCCGUUCUUAUUUGUGAUGGUCAUGGAGGUGCUUUCUCGCAUGUUGAACACCCACCUCAGAAUUUUCAAUUCCACCAGUUUUGUGAGAAGGUCAGAUUAACUCAUCUUACUUUUGUAGAUGACCUGAUGAUCUUUUGUACUGCUGAUAAUCAUUCUAUGAGUUUCAUAAAAGAGACUAUUAAGAGGUUUGGUGAGCUUUCAGGACUGUUUGCUAAUCUUGCUAAAAGCUCAAAUUUUCUUGUGGGGGUUAAUAGUUCGAAAGCUUCUUGGCUUGCUGCUAACAUGGAUUUUUCCAUUGGUCAUCUCCCUGUUCGUUAUCUUGGGCUUCCUCUCCUCUCUGGAAGAUUGCGGAGCUCUGAUUGUGAUCCCCUUAUUCACGUAUUACCAGUCAUAUUCGGUCUUGGUCUGCUAGAGUGUUAUCUUUUGCAGGUAGACUUUAGCUUGUUCGCUCAGUCCUUAGGAGCCUUCAGGUUUAUUGGGCUAGUGUGUUCAUGCUUCCUAUGAAAGUCCAUAGAGACGUUGAUAAGAUCUUGAGGGCUUAUCUGUGGAGAGGUAAGGAGGAGGGAAGAGGUGGUGCUAAAGUUGCCUGGGAUGAGGUUUGUCUUCCUUUUGAUGAAGGAGGUCUUGAUAUUCGAUGGAUCUUCUUGGAAUAUAGCAAGCACGUUGAAGAUAUUAUGGUUGCUACUUGUUAAAUCUGGUAGUUUGUGGGUUGCUUGGGUGGAAUCUUAUAUCCUUAAAGGGAGAUCGCUGUGGGAGAUCGAUGCUGGGGUGGGUCGAUCUUGGUGCUUUAGGGAAAUCUUGCGUAAGCGGGAUAUCCUUAAAGCUCAUGUUAAGAUGAAGGUGGGCAAUGGAAGGAAGUGUAGAGUGUGGUUGGUUCCAUGGAUUCAGGGUGGGCCGAUUAUCCAGCAGUUUGGGUAGAGGGUGAUCUAUGAUGCGGGUAGUCGGUGGGAUGCGAGGCUGGUGGAUUUCAUGGGUCGGGAUGGUGAUUGGAGGUGGCUGCUUGUUUCUUUGGAUUUGAUGGACAUUUGGGAUAGGGUUUAGGGAGUGAGGCCGAGUCCGAGUGUUGAGGAUAGGUGGGUCUGGGUGCUGGGAGUCAUGAUAGUUUUUCGAUCACCAGUGAGUGGGAGACUAUUCGUCCUCAUAGUAGUAGGGUUGACUGGUCGGAUUUACUAUGGGGUGGGGGAAAUAUUCCUAAGCACUCCUUUGUGCUUGGUUGGCCAUCAGGGAUAGGUUGGGUACUAGAGAUAGGUUAAGUCGGUGGGAUAGGUCGAUUCCUUUAUCGUGUUUGCUUUGUGGAGGGAACUAUGAGUCUCGUGAUCAUUUUUUUUUUCUUGUCAUUUUGGGUGGGAGAUUUGGUCGAGGAUCCUUUUGCUUAUGUCAUCUUCUCAUAGAAUCGGUUAUUGGGGGUUGAGUUAUCUUGGAUUUAUAAUCAGGGUAUUGGGAAGAGUGUGAGGAGAAAACUGUGGCGCCUUCUCUGGUGUGCUACAAUUUAUUUCAUUUGGCAGGAGCGAAAUCAUCGUCUUCAUGGAGGUGCUGUUCGAGAGCUUAUGGUUGUAUUCCAGCUCAUUCGGUCGUGUAUUAAAGCGCGUGCUGCUUCUUGGUCGGAUGGUGUUCAUGGUCUUAUUUAAUGUUCUUUUCGUUUGCUUGUCCCCGGGCUGUGGGGUUUCUCUUCUCUUUAUUAACUUUGUUGUCUUUCUCUCUUCUUCUUGUCCUUUUAAUGUUUGGAACACUAGUUGGUUUCUUUUGGUUUUAGUUCUUGUUCCCGAGAUGUGGGGUUUUUUGGGUACUUAUGGGUUGUUUUGUCUAACUACUUGUUCUGUGAGUGUUGUUCGCUCUUUUGUCUUGACCUCAGGUUGUGAGGUCCACCUUGUUGUUGUAUAAUAUUAUCAUUACCUUUUCAAAAAAAAAAAUCAAACUCAAUGCUAAGUUUGACUGCUCCCUUCGAAGUGACAACAAGCCUCGUUUUCGCCCUACUGUGGAUCGAGGAGGAUUCCUCCUCUUUUCAAAGCCCUCAAUCAAACUUGACGUUAUGUUUAAAACACUAGAUGGUCUAGUUUUGGUUAGGCCAAAAGCGAUGUUUUCCCCCAAAAGCUCUAAUAGCUAGGGAACUCAACAUGUUCUACUUGACCUAACCGACUUGACUCUGUAUUUUUUAUGAGCUUUUUUUAAUGCAUAUUGCAUAUGUUUUUUUUAUAAUUGUUGAUUGUCUCACUUUUUUAUGGUCUGCAUUUACGAGCCUCUUUUCUUUCUUUGUUAUGAACUGCGGUAACUAGGCAUUGCUAGAACCGAUGGGGUAACAUUUCUAUGGUUCUACACUUAGUUUCUAAGUGUGAUUGCUCACCUCUAAUUUUCAAAACACUUAAUUUCUAAGCACAUACAAUGUUCACCUAGAAAAAAAUGAAAAUUGUUGUAGUUAAGAUCAAAACUAAAUAGUUAUGAAAUAAGACAUAAGAGAUUUGAUUUUAACAACCUUCCCGUUGUACUUGGGAUCCACUCUGGCUUUGUGCUGGAAAAUUGGUUUGGAGCUGAUCGUAAGCUUUCGGUUGCUCUUCUGUAACCUUUAGAUACUCUUCAAAGCUAUAAGCUUUGCUUCCUGACGAAGAAUCUUCUACUAUUACAAUACAUAAGAAAAUUCUAUUUCAUAAACCCUGUAUCAUAAUUGAGGCUGAUAGAAUGAUUAUUCUAUAACCCUACCGAUAGUUUCAUUCUUAACAUUCAUAGACACGAUGCAUGGCAGCUAUCCAAUUCUAUUUCAUGUUCUCGAGAAUGGCUCGGUUUAACAAUAAUGUUAAUUUUUGUUUUCUAUUUUAAAAUAAUAACGCUGCUUACUAAUCUUUUUUUUUCCAUUUGGCAUUCUACUUUUUCUACUCAGCUUUCUUUCCUAGUGAUAACAAAUAAUACGGGUGAUAAAAAACUUAAUCACUCACUUGUUUCAGCCACCGAAAGCCCUUCUGCUUUAGAAAUAGAAGAUGAGUAGGUAGAUUUACUUGCAUUGUAUGUGCUGUUCAUUGAACUCUCAAUUUCAUCGAGACCAAUUUCUCACUCAAACAUGGUCUUGCAUUCUCUAGAAACGUCCUACAAACAAAAAUGAAGAACAAAAAACUACAAUAAGGUCUAUGAAAAAGUUACAAAGGAAAAUCUCAAAAACUGAUAUGUAAGUCAUAACAACCUUAAGUCCUCUUAUCGUGGGUUAAAAUGCACGUAAGGUUUUUCCAAGAGUCCGAGCAACCAGCAUGUAAAUAAGUUAAGUCAACUAAAUUUGCUAUAAAUUUACUCGUAUUAACAUUAUCAUUGUUAUAGACUUGACAACUUCAAAUUUAUCAAUAUAAAAUAUGCUUUAACAAAACGUACCUUGAGGUUCCUCCAACCUUAUUAAAAAAGCAAAUAAUCCAACAAUUUAACAAAUUUAUAGUGCAUAUUAUGUAUAUCAAUUGAUCACAACAAAAUAAGAUCGAACAAAUACCCAUGAGUAAUAUUUAGCCACCAAAUGAAUAAUGAUGAAAACCUGAAAACAAAACCGAGAAAAAAAAGGAAACAAUUCAUCAACAAAACAAAUUUAGGGGACUAAAAAAUUGCUUACCUUAUUACACACUUCAAAAUAUUAAGAAAAGUGGAGGGAAAAAACCAACCAAUAAUCAACAAAUAAACUUCAACACAAAUAGCCAUAAAUUUUCUUCUUUAAAGGUAUCACAAAUAAGUCCAUCAGUAAUAACAAAAUAAAAAAGGGCAAUGUGCAAUUGAAUUCUGCAGUCGUAAAGCUAUGCUAAAGGCAGUAUGAAAUCAAACUUGAGCACUAACAAGAAAAUUUGCAAAACAAAAAUUACUAGACAUCAUUAACUAAAGUACCAGCACAACAAUGAAUGUGUAACCUCCGCAAGAGCAAACCCGAAUGGAGAAGAACAUGAAGAAAUAUAUAAAUAGAAGAAACAUAAAAGACAAACAUGAAACACAUGGAAAUAUACAAAGGGGAUAAAUAAAAGUACAAUUAUAAAGUGAUGAAGCACAAAUAUAGGUAUCAACAGAACCAGAAUACAAGUCUUACCCUAUCUCGACUGUCGAGGAGUGUUAACCAACCGUCGGAAGGUUGGUUUUAUUUUUUAGAAAAAAUUAAUGUUGUCUGAAUUCUUUUCCAAGCCACUAACCAGCCCCUCCUUAUCUAUGAUCGACGAUCAACUCCUCAACCUCUAAUUACAUUUAAAAGAGUGAUGCGAACAUUGUGUGAAAUCCCAAACCUUUGAUGGAUCCCACCAUCACUCUCUUUCUAUCCCUUCAAAACCUCAUUAUUUUCAAGAGAGGCCUCAAAGCUUCUUCCAAUUAACAUAAAAGAAGAAUGAAAGAGAAGGAGAGAAAGGGAAAGUGGUUCAAAAGCUAUGGAAAAAAAAGUAAAAGAAAAUGGUCUACUCAUUGGCACAUCUUACACAGAUGAUAAUGUUAGGGCAAGGCAAUGAGAGACAGAAUGCUUUUGGAGCCUUCUCCUCUACUUUCGAAGAUUUUAACAAACUAAAAUAUGCAAAUGUUACAAGAAAGAUCUUUGGAGAUUUGAAAUAAUCCAAAAUAAAGAAAAAGGAAAACCCCAAUAUGUACAAAUUUCAGAAUCUAAAACUUGAAAAGUGAUUGAAUGAUGAGAUAUGUUUGUACAAUCAGUUAUAGAGACAGUGAAAUAUUAAAACAAAAAUGAAACGUACCAAGAUAAAAAGAAUAGCAACUAGUAUUAUGACCUUUGUAUGUCUUCAAAAUACAAACAUCAAAAUGAAUCAAGAGAUCUACCACACAAAUAAUGGUAUCAACACAAAUAAAGCAAUUGUUUUAGUAACAAUAUUUGAGUACAAUUAAACUAAGCAUGCUAUUUCCUUGACAAAUUUACAUUCUUCUAAUCGAACAAAAUCUGACCUUUAAAUAGUGAUAGAAACUGAAGAUGAAAGCAAGUUUAGCUACAACUUCAGACCGUGAUAUAUAUGACGGAACCUAUAAAAAAAAGAAGAGUACCUAACUAUAUAUACACAGAGGAGAUCUGAUGCUUACUAGCACAUCAGAGGCUCAAUCGAUUUAUAUUUAAUUGAAAAACAAUCCCUAUAUUUUAAUGCAUACACAUUGAAUAGCCCUGUUUCAAUCCAAUUUACAAAACUACCUCCAUAAAAUUACAUAAUGGGGGAAGUUCGACCGGAUGCACUGUGCUUUACCAGAACCACAUGAAAUUAUUGGAACAUAGUUCAUUCAAUUAACUUUCUAUUCAAUAAUUGAAACAAAUGGAAAGAGGACAAUUGAAUAUUAAAUAAAGAUGGAAUUAAUUGGGAACUCACGGAGUAAUGCGAUUUGUUCGGGGGCUCACCACUGGAGUUGGAAGAGAGACAAGGAUUAGAAAGGAAAGGAAGAGGAGCGUCUGAUAAUCCAGCGGAUUCUUUGAUGAGUGGAGUACUAGUAGUAGUAGUGGAGGUUCCAAGGACAUUGAAGUCAAUCCGGUGAGAGUGAGGGAAUCCAGAAGGUUGAGGUUGAAGAGAGUAGAAAUUGCAACCAAAAUCGGUGACGAUGGUGGAAUCGAAAUUGCGAGGGAAGAAGAAAAGAGCAUCACAGGUCGAAGUAGAGGAGGAAUCAACACUGGAGAAAGGAGGAAGAUGAGGAGAACCUGCCAUUAAUGGAAGAGGGAGGAAGUGAGAGAGAAAGGAGAGGGAAUUAAUUAAUUAAAGAGAAUUAGGGUUUGAGAAGAGAAAGGGAAAAUGGAGUGUACGAACAAAGAAGAAGAAGAAGAAAUGGAAAGGACGCGCUAAGAGAAGAAGAUGGAUCGGUGAAAUGGGUAUGAUAGGGUUUCUUCCUUAAAGAAACGGAAAUUGAGAGAUAGGCCUUAGGGUUUUGAAAGAGAAAGGAAAACUGGAGUGUACGAAGAAAUGGAAAGGACGCACUAAGAGAAGAAGAUGGAGAUUGGAUCUAAGAGAAGAAGAUGGGGAUGGAUCCGCGAAAUGGGUAUGAUAGGGUUUCUUCCUUACAGAAACGGAAAUUGAGAGAUAGGCCAAAGAAGACAAGAGAGCAAGAGAGAAUGGGGGAGGAGAGGGAGGAGAGGGAGACUUGGCCGUUAGAGAAGAGGAAAAGAAAUUUUAAAUGAGAGAGACUGUACAUGUAGGGUUUUUAUUAGAUUUUUUUUUUUUUGAAAUCUUGCUUAAUUGGAUUUAGAGAAUUUUGUGUAUUCGGUUCACUGACUCGUAUUAGCUGUCCAUUGGUCCAUUGUUUUGUCAUUUUUUUUCAACAAACUAAAUGUUUUAAGCCAUUUACAAAUUAGAUUUCGAUAAAUCGAUAAUCAUAUUUUUUACAAUAUAGGACAAAGAUAACAUAUAUAUAUAUAUAUAUAUAUAUAUAUAUAUAUAUAUAUAUAUAUAUAUAUAUAUAUAUAUAUAUACAUACAACAGUAUACAAAAAGAAUUCUUUUGAAUUUUGUAGUUUGUGUAAAAAAAUAACCUUAAACUUUGAAAUGUUAAAAAAAAUUGUUUUGAACUUUUAAAAAUUAUUCAUAAAUACAUCUACAUACGUAGGAUGAAGGUAUUGGCAUGAUUCUCUAAAAAAACUUUCCAAAAAGAUGUUGUGUGACUUUUGAAAAGAAAAAUUACAAAUGGGGUCGUUUUUAAACAAAUUAGAUAUAUCGAGUUAUGUUUCUUUAAUUUUUUUCCUUUUUUCACAUAUUAUCAAUCACAUCUUACUUUUUUCUUUUUUCUUUGGAACCCUGCAAAAAUAACAAAAACAUUUAUAAUCACAUGACUCAUGUCACUACAUUUUCUAAAUUUUAAAAGUAGUAAAUUUAAAAGUUGAUAACCCUAUGAUUAUCGUUUGAUAGUCAUCUAAUAUCACUAAUUUUGUCAUAUUCGUAAUAUCCAAAUAAGGUUUCUUGGUGAGUCUAGAGUCGAACGUGAGGACUUAUACUAAAAAUAUAUUUAUAUUUUAAAAUGAUCUUAAGGUGAUUAAUAACAUACGCCUAAGAACCAUAGCGGUAUCAUCUACUUGUAGGGUGGGAGGGGAGUCAUCCACUAUAGAUAAGGUCCACUUGUCUCCCUCACCCAACUUCAUAAGGCUGCCAAAAGAGUUAGGCAUAAUCACAUCCACACGUUUACCCUUCUCUCGAACAUAAACCAACUCUCUUUUCUUCCUAAUAACGAGUAAUUUCAUCUCGAUUACCUACCUCCUUUUCCUUAAUAUGCCUAAUGGGGAGCUAUUAGUCUUACUUUCCUCCAACUAUUUAAAGUCUAACACCACAUCCACAAGACACAAUUGUCCGUUCCUCCUCUUUGUUUGAAACCACCUUACUCACAUCCUCCUCUCGAUGAACUUUGUUUUCCACAAUCUUAGGACACUUACCACUAGAAUGCCCAAAAGACCGGCACAAAUUACACCUUCGAGGCUUCCACUCAUAAUUCACAGCCAUAACGAAAUCCUCUCCCCUAAGGUGAAUUGUAAAUUCAGCAGGCAUAGGAGAGUUCACAUUUGAUUCAACACAUACUCAAGCAUGUGACAACCUUCGUCUUUCCUUAGUAGCUAGAUCUAAAGAUAGAGGUUUGCCUAUAGCACUAGCCACAACAGUCAAACUGACAUAUGUCCAUAACUCCAUUGGAAUCCUACCUAGUUUAAUCCAUAUAGGAACAUAAUAAAAAACAAAGGAUUUAGGGACAAUACCUGGAGUCCAUUUACAGAGGAGCAUACUUUUGCUAGCAAGAUGUCGCGAUCAACGUGAUAGGAUCCAUUCAACAAGUUUUGGGCAUCUGAAUUGGAAACAGAUGAGUCCGUUCUCAAGAAUUGUAAUCGUUGGCAUUUUAAUUUUAUCAACAAUAACAACGAGCUAAACAAAAUCCUCUAUCCAGGACGCACUAAUGAAAACUAAAAUGUAAAAUAAGUAUGAAGUAAUUAAUUAAAACAGAAGACAAAAGAAACCCAAAGUAAGUUGACAAAAUGCCCACAAUAAGCUUCAAGAUGAGUAAGAGGGAACACCAAGAGAAACAUGAAUAGCCUUGCUAACUUUUCACUACUAGCCAACUACAUAUUUUUUUACAAUACGUGUUAGGGAAAUCUUUUGUAACGACCACAACUUUUCUAGGUAAGUCGAGGUCAUUAAUUUUUAACAAAGGUAAUAAAGGUGGCAAACCGGCGAGGGGCAGGAAGGAAGCGUGAUUGCCAUAGGAAACGUGUCAUUUUGCUUCCGCUUAUGGUUUCUUUUGAGGUUUAAGAUGUAUUAAAACUUAGUUUACAAACUUUUAUUUGUAAAUAGUAUUAUUUUUAAGUUUUCUUGAAUAUUUGAAAAAUCAGGCCUGACAUAAAUUUGUUUUUCAAUUGACUUACGUUUCAUUUUGUAUCAACCAAAGUCUUUUGUUAAAAAUUAAUGACCUCGACUUACCUAGAAAAGUUGGGUCGUUACAGUUGGUAUCAGAGCCUAAGUUUUAGGUUCUGUAGACUGACUUACGAUGUAAGUCUAUGUUUUUGUGUUCCUAUGGCUAACGCGACCCUUCGUCUCUCGUCAGGUAUGCUUGAUGCUUAUAUGUAUGGUUUAUUUGCAUGACUUUGCCUAAAUUAAACUAGAUUACAUGACGAUAAAGACUUGCUUAUGCUUAUGAUUAAGACUUUUUUUAAAGAGUGUUGUUGGUGGAUAAUAGGAAUUAUGCCGCCAAGGGGAGGUGUACGUAGAGGAGGUCGUAGAGGCCGAGGUAGAGGAGCACGAGGCCGAGGUAGAGGAGCAGGUCGUAAUCAGCCUACUGAGGGUCAAGCUGAACAGCGAAUUCCUGCUGCACCCGUGACUCACGUCGAGUUUGAUGCACUGUCUGCUCACAUGGAGCAGAGGUUUACGGAACUUAUGACGGCUAUAGCUUCGAAACCAGCAGGCACCUGCAGUUCCACCUGCACCUGUGGUUCCCCCUGUACCAGCAGCUCCACCUGCACCAGCAGCCCCUCCUGCACAAGGAUUGGCUGCACAACAGCCGCAGAUAUUACCGAACCAACUUUCUGCUGAGGCGAAACAUUUGAGGGACUUUAGGAAAUAUGACCCUCAGACGUUUGAUGGGUCACUGGAGGAUCCUACUAAAGCUGAGUUGUGGUUGUCCUCUGUGGAAACCAUAUUCAAUUACAUGAGAUGUCCCGAGGAGCACAGAGUUCAGUGUGCUGCUUUUCUACUGAGGGACAGAGGCAUUAUCUGGUGGAGGACUACAAUGCGCAUGCUAGGUGGAGAUGUGAGGCAGAUUACCUGGGAUCAGUUUAAAAACUGCUUCUAUACCAAGUUUUUCUCGGCUAACCUUAGAGACGCCAAAAGCCAGGAAUUCUUGGAGUUGAAGCAAGGACAUAUGACAGUCGAGGAGUACGACCAGGAGUUUGAUAUGCUGUCACGUUUUGCCCCUGAACUUGUUGGUAACGAGCAGGCUAGAGCUGAUAGGUUCGUCAAGGGAUUGAGAGAUGAGAUUAGGGACUUUGUGCGAGCACUAAAGCCCACUACCCAGGCUGAAGCGCUGCGUCUGGCAGUGGAUAUGAGCAUUGGGAAGGAUGAAAUACGGCCAAGGAGCUUUGAUAAGGGAUCGUCGUCUGGUCAAAAGAGAAAAGCAGAGCAGAGAACUGUGGGAGUUCCUCAGAGGAACUUGAGACCAGGCGAUCCUUUUCGCAGUUUCCAGCAAAGUUCUGGCGGGGCAGGAGACACUACUCGAGAGAAGCCAUUAUGCAAUACGUGUGGGAAACGUCACCUGGGUCGUUGUUUGAUGGGAACGAGAGUCUGUUAUAAGUGCAAGCAAGAGGGACACAUGGCUGAUAGGUGUCCCUUGAGAUCUACUGGGGCUGGACAGAGCAGUCAGGGAGAGAGACCUCCACAGCGGGGUACAAUCUUUGCCACUAAUAGAUCAGAGGCAGAGAAGGCCGGCACAGUGGUGACAGGUACAUUACCAGUGUUAGGGCAUUUUGCCUUGACCUUGUUUGACUCGGGAUCUUCUCAUUUAUUUCAUCGCUUUUUGUGACGCAUGCAUGCUUAGAGGUGGAACCCUUAGAUUAUGUUUUGUCAGUGUCUACACCGUCUGGAGAAAUUAUGUUGUCUAAGGAAAAGAUUAAAGCGUGUGAAAUUGAGAUAGCUGGUCGUGUGCUGGACGUAACCUUGUUGGUAUUAGAUAUGCGUGACUUUGAUGUAAUUUUAGGUAUGGAUUGGCUAGCUACUAAUCAUGCUAGUAUUGAUUGUUCUCGUAAGGAAGUUGUGUUCAGUCCCCCUACUGCAUCUAGCUUUAAAUUCAAGGGGGUAGGAACAGUAGUACUGCCUAAAGUAAUCUCAGCUAUGAAAGCUAGUAAACUACUCAACCAGGGUACUUGGAGUAUUUUGGCAAGUGUGGUGGAUACUAAGGAAGAUGAGACUUCUUUAACUUCAGAACCUGUGGUAAGAGAAUACCCAGAUGUAUUUCCAAAAGAUCUUCCAGGACUACCGCCACAUAGAGAGGUUGAUUUUGCCAUUGCGUUGGAGCCAGACACUACUCCUAUUUCUAGAGCCCCUUAUAGGAUGACUCCUGCUGAGUUGAAAGAACUGAAGGUACAGUUACAGGAAUUGCUUGACAAAGGCUUUAUUCGACCUAGUGUGUCACCUUGGGGUGCACCAGUAUUGUUUGUGAAGAAGAAGGAUGGGUCGAUGCGUCUUUGCAUUGACUAUAGAGAGUUGAAUAAAGUAACAGUCAAGAACAGAUAUCCUUUACCCAGAAUCGAUGAUUUGUUCGAUCAGUUACAGGGAGCCACGGUGUUCUCUAAGAUUGACUUACGGUCAAGUUAUCACCAGUUGAGGAUUAGAGACCGUGAUGUUCCUAAGACUGCUUUUCGUUCGAGGUAUGGACAUUAUGAAUUCAUAGUAAUGUCUUUUGGUUUGACUAAUGCACCUGCUGUAUUUAUGGAUUUGAUGAACAGGGUGUUUAAGGAUUUCUUAGACACUUUUGUGAUAGUCUUCAUUGAUGAUAUUUUGGUUUAUUCCAAGACUGAGGCCGAACAUGAGGAACACUUACAUAAGGUGUUAGAGACUCUUUGAGUCAAUAAACUGUAUGCUAAAUUCUCUAAGUGCGAAUUUUGGUUGAAGCAGGUGGCUUUUCUUGGUCAUGUGGUUUCCAGUGAGGGAGUUUCAGUAGACCCUGCAAAGAUAGAAGCGGUUACCAGUUGGUCUCGACCCUCUACAGUUAGUGAGGUUCGUAGUUUUCUGGGUUUAGCAGGGUACUACCGGAGGUUUGUGGAGGAUUUUUCACGUUUGGCUACUCCCUUGACUUAGUUGACAAGGAAGGGAACUCCGUUUGUUUGGAGUCCAGCUUGCGAGGAUAGUUUUCAGAACCUUAAGCAAAGGUUAGUUACUGCACCGGUCCUUACAGUACCAGAUGGAUCCGGAAGUUUUGUGAUUUACAGUGAUGCUUCCAAGAAAGGACUGGGUUGUGUUUUGAUGCAGAAAGGUAAGGUGGUUGCUUAUGCCUCUCGUCAGUUGAAGAGUCACGAGCAGAACUACCCCACACAUGAUUUGGAGUUGGCAGCAGUGGUUUUUGCAUUGAAGAUAUGGAGACAUUAUUUGUACGGUGAAAAGAUACAAAUCUUUACUGACCAUAAGAGCCUGAAGUACUUCUUUACUCAGAAAGAGUUGAAUAUGAGACAGCGAAGGUGGCUCGAGUUGAUAAAGGAUUAUGACUGCGAGAUAUUGUACCAUCCUGGUAAGGCAAAAACGUGGUGGCUGAUGCUCUUAGUAGAAAAGUAUCACAUUCGGCAGCACUCAUUACUAGACAGGUACCAUUGCAUCGAGACUUGGAGAGAGCUGAGAUUGCAGUAUCUGUGGGGAGAGUCACCUCACAGUUAGCUCAAUUAACGGUGCAACCGACUCUGAGGCAGAAGAUUGUUGAUGCUCAGAGUAGUGACCCUUAUUUGAUAGAGAGACGUCGCCUUGUUGGAAUGGGACAGACUGAUGAGUUCUCCAUAUCCUCUGAUGGUGGGUUGAUGUUUGAGAGACGUUUGUGUGUGCCAGCGAACAGUACAGUUAAGAUUGACUUACUAGAUGAAGCCCAUAAUUCUCCAUUUUCCAUGCAUCCUGGUAGCACGAAAAUGUACCAGGAUCUAAAACGUUUUUAUUGGUGGCGAAUAUGAAAAGGGAAGUGGCGGAAUUUGUUAGUAAGUGUCUAGUAUGUCAGCAGGUUAAGGCACCUAGACAGAAACCAGCAGGUUUGUUACAACCUUUAAGUGUGCCAGAGUGGAAGUGGGAGAAUGUGUCGAUGGAUUUUAUUUCAGGGCUGCCUAAGACCCUGAAGGGUUUCACAGUGAUUUUGGUUGUCGUAGACAGGCUUACGAAAUCGGCACAUUUUGUACUAGGGAAAUCCACUUAUACUACUGGUAAGUGGGCACAGUUGUAUUUAACUGAGAUUGUGAGACUGCAUGGAGUGCCUGUAUCGAUUGUUUCUGAUAGGGAUGCACGGUUUACUUCCAAGUUUUGGAAGGGACUUCAGACUGCUAUGGGUACGAGAUUGGAUUUCAGUACAGCCUUUGAUCCACAGACUGAUGGUCAAACUGAACGUUUGAACCAAGUUUUAGAGGAUAUGCUACGAGCUUGUGUUCUAGAGUUUCCAGGUAGUUGGGACUCUCAUCUACAUUUGAUGGAGUUUGCUUAUAACAACAGUUUCCAGGCUACCAUCGGUAUGGCACCAUUUGAGGCUUUGUAUGGCAAAUGUUGUAGAACCCCUGUUUGUUGGAGUGAGGUUGGUGAACAUAGGUUGAUGGGACCUGAAUUAGUUCGGUCUACUAAUGAGGCUAUUCAAAAGAUUAGAGCACGUAUGCAAACAGCGCAGAGUAGACAGAAGAGCUAUGCAGAUGUACGAUGAAAAGACCUUAAGUUCGAUGUGGGAGAAAAAGUAUUCUUGAAGGUAGCACCUAUGAAGGGUGUUAUGCGUUUUGAAAAGAAAGGGAAGUUAAGUCCUCGUUUUGUUGGACCAUUUGAGAUCUUAGAGAGGGUUGGUGUUGUGGCGUAUCGCUUGGCAUUACCACCAUCACUCUCUGCAGUUCAUAAUGUUUUCCAUGUUUCGAUGUUGAGAAAGUAUGUGGCCGAUACGUCUCAUGUAGUGGACUACGAACCUUUGGAGAUUGAUGAGCAUUUGAGCUAUGUAGAACAACCUGUGGAGAUUCUGGCUAGAGAGGUAAAGAUGCUUCGUAAUAGAAGCAUUCCAUUAGUAAAGGUUUUGUGGCGGAAUCAUCGAAUUGAAGAGGCGACAUGGGAGCGAGAGGAAGAGAUGAGGACUCGUUAUCCAGAGUUAUUUCAGGAUUAAAACUUUCGAGGACGAAAGUUUCUUAAGGAGGGAAGAAUGUAAUGCCCCAAAGGUAUAUAUAUAUAUAUUUUGUUUUUAUUUUAUAUAUAUAUUUUUUAAUAUUUAAUUUAAAUAAAAAGAAAAGAAAAAGAAAAUUUCUUUAUUUUUUUUUCCUUUUUCUUUUCUUUUCUUUUCUCUCUUUUUCUUCCUCCCGUGCGCCGCGACCCCCAUCCGUUCUCUUCUCCUUCCUGUUCGCAGCAACCGCCGCCUUAUCCGUUCUCUUCUCCUUCCCGUUCGCAGCAACCGCCGCCCCAUCCGUUCUCUUCUCCUUCCCGUUCGCAGCAACAACCGCCGACCAUCCCUCUCUUUUCUUUCCGCCGCAGCCCAGCAACCGCCGCCCCUAUUCUUCUUUCCGGUCGUUUUCUUCUCUUCUUCGGAUCCAAAACUGCCGCUGUAACCGUCGGCCGCCGCGUGACCUCUGCCCAGCGCCGUGUGACCCUCUGCCCAGUCCCGCCGCGCAACAUCUGUCUCCGUCGAAGCCAAGCCAGUCGCCGUCCAUUCCUCUCCUUUCUCCUCUGUUUUCAGCCAGCCGCCGCCGAUUCCUUCUCCUCCGUUCUCUGCAAUGCCGCGCGACUCUCUGUCCGUCUGUAUACGGUCUCUCCGUCGCACGUCGUCUCUUCGCAAAGCUACUGCUCGACUUCUUCCGCGAAUAACAUCUGCCGUGAACCGAACUAAAGACCCCAGAUCCAACUUUCUACGCGUCGAGUUCCUUCUUCGUCCUGCCGCAGGAUUGGGUCGUUAGCUGUCGUUCCUGCUUUGCCACGAGUCAUUAAAUUCUGAUUGGUAAGAUUGAAGUUAUGAAAUUCGUAACUGUUUCUAAAAUAAACUGAAGUAAUAUUACAGGACUAAUUGGUUGGAGAAAUCGUUUACUGUUCGAUUAUAGGUUGAAGGUAACGUUCGAAUUCCUUGGGUUCGCAGCAAACAAUUGAUUCUAGUUAGAACUAGUUUCGCGAAGAUUUGGGUAAGUUGUAAAAAAAAAAUUCACAUUGGGUUGAAUUUAAAUGAUUGAUGCGUUGAAGAGAAUUAUUGAGAAAUUGUCUUAAUGUUUAGGUUCGUUCUUCGUAGACUUCAACGUGGUUAAGGAGCUUAACUAACUUGAAAGUAAGGGAUUUUCUACUGGACUCACUUAUGAUUGUGAAUUGUAUGUGUUGAAUGUAUACUGUGGAUUGACUGAAAAUAUAUAUAUGCAUAUGAAUUGAAGUAGACUUAAUGUUGAAUGCAUAUUGUGAUUGUCAUGGAAUAUAUAUAUGUGUGUGUGGACGUGGACAGGACGAAAAAUUGUAGAUUGUGUUUGUAUGAGAUGCAGAUGUGAACUUGUGAUUGUCGUUUAGAUUGGGUGUACGUUACGCUAAAGUAUGACUGUGUGCUGGUGAACUGAGGGGUGUAUUGACUGUAUAGUUUGAUUGACUGACGUAUUAGUAUAUUAUUGACAGACAUAUGACUAAAGUGAGAUAAGUUGACUGUUAGGACGUUGAGAGAGAGAACUUUAUGUUUUGAAGUAACUGAAAGAUGGAUUGAAUGGAAUGAGGGGAAAAUUGUUAGCUUUUAUUGGGAUGUGUGCCUUGUAGGUGUCCCACGGGAUCACCAAUUUAUUUUGCACCUUCGGGAGCAUUAGACUAAUAUGUGUUUCUGCAGAACACUAGACUGAUAUGUACGUCCCUCGGGGCGUUAGACUGAGAUGUGCAUCCUACGGGAUCACAAGACUGCGACUGUACAGGGUGUCCCAAUAGAACGUUAACAAUCUAUUUUCCCCUGACGGGACCAGUAGAGGGUCUCUUACUGAGUAUUGUUAUACUCACCCUUCUUAUGUUUAAUUUUCAGGUAAAGGUAAUAAAGGUGGCAAACCGGCGAGGGGCAGGAAGGAAGCGUGAUUACCAUAGGAAACGUGUCAUUUUGCUUCCGCUUAUGGUUUCUUUUGAGGUUUAAGAUGUAUUAAAACUUAGUUUACAAACUUUUAUUUGUAAAUAGUAUUAUUUUUAAGUUUUCUUGAAUAUUUGAAAAAUCAGGCCUGACAUAAAUUUGUUUUUCAAUUGACUUACGUUUCAUUUUGUAUCAACCAAAGUCUUUUGUUAAAAAUUAAUGACCUCGACUUACCUAGAAAAGUUGGGUCGUUACAUCUUUCCCUUUGCAAAACAGACCAAUAUAUAAUCAAUCAUUGGCUCCUUAUGGGAAAAUACAGAAGCCCUAUACAUGUCUGUUUCAAGCCUGUGUUGAACAACUUUUAAUUCCCUAAGAUAAGGAGAUUUAUCUGAAGGUUCAAGAAUAAUGACAUGUCCUAAACUAACCCACCAGUUCGCAACAGUGAACCAGUUUGAUCGUUAGGGGGCAACUUUUGAUAAUAAGCGCACAACCAUGCCCCAAUUCCAAUGUUGCCCAAAAGUAAAGGCCUUUCUUCACAAUGCUCCAUAAAGAAAAGUUCGACUUUCACAUAAAGAUCUUAUUUCUUUUUUAUUGCUCCAAGAGAUCUAAUAGAUCUAUUUUCACCACGCAAAUCCCUUUUGUUAUCAUGGAAAAUGUGUUGGUUGUGCUUAAACCAAAUCUCUGCUAGCAACACUUUUAUCAAAUUAACCCAUAUUUUUUUUAAAAACAAAAGAGGAUAUGAGUUUCACUAUUAUUAAUAUUGAAAAAUGAAGAGACAAAGCUCAAUGUCAUGAGGAUUAUACAAAGAGCAAUAGGAUAGAGGAUCAACAGACGCACCUGGACAUCUCAACUAGGUUGACACCCCCUUAGCGCCCUCAUCACAUCCAAAAAGCGACAACACAAGAUCAAAACCAAAAGCCACAAAUAGAAGGCUUUUUUUGUGUUUGUUUUGCCUUUGGACAUUACUCCUUUGUUAUGGGUUUUAGCUUGGUUGGAUAUGAUGAGGGUGCUAUGGGGGUGUCAACCUAGUUGAGAUGCCAAGGUGCCCCCCCUGAUCCAUGGUUACAUAUUCAUUGUAUAACUCUCUUGUACUAUGAGAUUUUGUCUAAUUAUUAUUAUUAUUUUAAUAUUAAUAAAGAGGUUGUCACCUUUUCAAAAAAAAAAAAAAAACAAAACAAAAAAAAAAAGCCACAAAUAUAAAACCAAACAAAAUCAUAAAAUAAUAUGUAAAAAAAAAAAUCAUAAAUCAUAGGUAGCAGGUCGAGAACAAAGAAGAAUAAGCCUUGAUUGAGCAAAAAAUCCCAACAAAUAUUGAAUGUUUGGAGAAGAUGGAACCAAAAUUUCGAUAUAAAGACAUAGUCAAUUAAAAGGUGCUAAAUAUUUUUCAUGUUAUCAACACAAAUGGGGCAGACAUGAGGUGAGAGGACAUGGGAGGGAAGUUUUCUUUGAAGUACUAAAGCACAGUUUAAUUUUCCAAACAACGUAAUCCAUAUGGGGAUAUUUAUCCAAAGAGUGAGCUAAAUAGCCCAAUGAGUGAUUGUUUUAUAAAACAUCGUUUUGAAAUAAUAAGUAUUUAACAAUUAACUCUUAACAUAAAUGAAAUCAAACUCAAACAACUUAUCUCAAACUUUCCCUUUCAGUUGCUAUACCUAGAAUCGUCGAGACGAAAAACAAUAAACUAGGCAUAGAAAUUAGCACAAUUUUAUUUUCCAUAAACAUAAAAGAAUAAACAAUAAACAUAAAAGAAUGUUGAAUGCAUAUUUUAGGUAUAGACUAAAACAUGCUAAUAUUAUUUUCAAGCUUAAACAUUUUGAAAACUUAGCACAAUCAUAUUUGCUUAUAAUUUUCAUUAGUAAAUUCAUCAAUAAAAACAUGUUUACCAAAAUGUUUCUAAAUUCAUGCUUUGGAAAUACUUUAUAUGUCAGUAUCCUCAAAUAUUCAAACAUCAAAGCAUGCUUGAAACAUUUGAUAGUAAAUUCAUGUUUAGAAAUCAACUUUAAACUCAUUUUUGUCACUUAUAGAGAGUAGCUUGGACCCUUGUCGUAUAAACUUGUUCGAUCUCCUUCGGAUCUAAAAUAAUGAAAAAUAAUGGGAAAUAAUUCCAUUUAAUUCCCGUUGAUCAUAAAAAUGGAAAGAUGUAUAGAGUGAGGGAGAUAAGGUAUAGAGUGAGGGAGAUAAGGUUUAUAUGUCUUAGAGAAUGGAAAGAUGGAAUUUGUGCUAAAAUCAUUAGUGUUCCAAAUACAAUUAUGAAUUGGGUAUAGUUGCAUUCCCCCUUCUUGAUUGCAUAGCACAUAAAUAUAUUCUCAUGGAUUGCAUAGCACAUAAAUAUAAUGUCAAAAACAAUAACAUAAAACACAAACUUGAUUUAGUUUCAUUCGCACUUGCACACCAACAUGUUUCAAGGAUUGAUCAUAUAUUAAAAAUCAUUUUCAAAUUUGGUAAUAUAAAAUGGAAGAAGUGAGACCUUGAGGUUUUGACCACCAAUACUAUCUAACUGAUGAGUUUAUGAUUUUUGUUUCUACUGUGUUCUUUCCUUAAGCUUUAACUUGCUUUAGGGGCAAGAUGGUGAAGGUCUAGUCCACAACCUUUCCCAAGAAUUUAAUGAUGUUUGGGUUGACCCAAUUAUUGUUAUUGGACAGCGUUUUAUGGUAAUUGGUUGUUAUGGUUUUUAAGUGUGUUUUGAUAUCUUGUGUUAAAAAAUAAUUGCAAAAAGUUGGAAAAGUUUGUUAAAGAUUAGGUAUUUUUAAGUUUGUCAUUCCACUUUAAUUCUCACCAGUACUUUCUGAAUGGAAGCCUCUUGUCUAAGACAAUUCGAGUGGAAUAACUCUCGUGACUACCACAACAUUUGGGAACUCACCAAAUGUAAGACUAUUCCUUUAUCCUAGCAUUUGAUCUCUCUCUAUAAUUUGGUUUGCUAUCGUAAGUUUGAUUAAAAUAAAUGUUGAUAAUUCAACUCCAAUGUUCUUAUUUUCUUAACUCUCAUUCAGUCAGUUAGAAUCAGAACUCAUUUAUUUAUCUUGUCUCCAUAAUUUGGAUUCAAAGAUUCAUCACAAUAAUCUUCUCAACAACAUUCUUGAAAAGGUAUUGAAUUUUCAACUGUGUGACCUUUAUACACAAAUUUCUUCAAAGAAAUUUACAUUCUUUAGAGUUUAGAGCUUUGAAUUCUAGUACAACUUAUAAAGCUUUUGAUACUUGUUAGACUUUUUUGCUUGGUGCGGAUAAAACCUUAUUUACAUUCUUUCUUUCCUGCAUGUUCUCUUUUGAUAUUUGUUAGACUUUUUUGCUUGGUUGUCCUUAGUGUUUUCCUCUUUAGCUGAAAUUUCUCAAUCUUGAAAAAAAUAGAGCUUUAAAAUUCAACUUUAACUUUAUUUGAUACUAUCUUAGUCCAUACUUAUUUUGGUAUUUCUUUCCUUUCUCACAAACACAUCUAAGAGGUUGCCUUCACAAUAUGGCAACCCUUUUCAUUGCAAAACAUAUUAGACGUUGGUUACUUAGUUAGCCUUAUUGGGUAAAUAAUUGACAUUUAGGUACUUUUUAGUUUGUAUAUUUAUAGAUGCCAAAUCGAUAUGUGAAUUUUAAUAGUUGCUUAUUUGAAACAUUGCAACCAUUUGAUAAAAUGUUGCUAUGUGAAUCCAUCUUAACUUGAUAUAUUAUUUUAUUUUGGUUUAGGUUGUGGAAUCCAAGUUUGUAUUUGAAGUCAAAUUCAUCCAAGAUCAUUGAGUUCAUAAUACACUCAAGAUUAAGACUAAGUUAUCUAGGUCAUCCUAGUGAAAUAGAAACCUAACUAGUUAAUGUAGUAACACCAAGUGGUUACUAUUUCACAGUCUAGUCUAUUGCAAUCUCAUUGCAUAGGAUACCUUCACUCGCAUGUCAACUACAUGAACACAUUGGAUCAUUGUAUUUGUAUCAAAUACAAAGUGAGUCGUAUUCAUAAUGUUACCAUGAUAAAGGUACCCAGUCUUAUCCCUAUACUAUAGACCCUUUAAGCUGAUCUCGAACAUUGAUCCCUGUAUGUCUCUACAUACUAUUCAAUACUUAUUAAACAGUUUAGGAUGUUAGUUUAUUGGAUUUGAGUUAUUAAGACAAAACUAAUAAUAUAAUCAAUAACAAUUAUUACAAUAAUAACACUUUAUUAACAAUGGUCAAUGGAUUAAAACUUGAUUCCAAGGCUACUCAUGUUUAUUCUCUUGGUGAAAAUGAAUUGUCAGGUGAUACUGGUUGAACCUAUCAAAAAUAAAUGAGUCAUAGUUUGUUUGAUCAUUCAUUUUCUAAUCUUUCUUCUUUAUAUUUAAUUAGUUGUUUAAUUUCUUAAAAAAGAAUUAUAGUUUAUUUAUAGUAUAUUUGGUAGUAUGCAUGCCUCAGCUCCUUUAAUGCAUGUCUCUUAGAGUAUAUUUGGUAGUCUUUUAUAAUGUUACACCCUUUUUUUAAUUCCUAAAACCUUUUAACUUUCCAAAUUUUCAUUCAUUCUUUUAGAAAAUUAUUUUCAUUAUUUUUUUAUGGUUACAAAACCAUCCAUUAACUACAUUAAUUAGACAAUUCACUCCAAUAAUAAAUAAAUAACUUUUUUGGAUCUAAGGUCUUUUCUCAUUCUACAAAUUUAAUUUACUAUAUAAAGGUUAUUAUGCUAAUUGAAAAAUAUAUUUCUCUCAAGUAUGUAAUGACAGAAAAUUAGGUUAUAAAUAUAAAAAAAAUAUAUUUUUAGGUAUUAUAAUUUUUUUAAAAAAAUUAUAUUUUUAAUUUUUAAUAAAACCUUGCAUUUGGGGAUUCACAUGUUGUUACUUGUCGAACCAAAAAAGAUAAAUUCGCGGUGAAAACUCUUUAAAACCCAAUUUGUGGAAGGAAAAAUUGAACUGUGGCGUUGAGUUAUUUUGUUGUUGAAGAAGAUCAGUAAAAAACCCACAACAUUAAAACUUCUUUUUGUUUCUUUAAGUAUUUUUAGAUUGCAGCGUAUUUUCUAUUUGGGUUUAGUUAGGGUUUCUCUUGUUUAUUCCAAGAUAUGCAUGGAUAGUUCAUGUUCGACUAUUUGGAAAGAGGGAUUUAUGUAGCACGGGUAUUAUAUUCUGGUUUUGGAAGUGUCGAGAUAAAUUAAGGACUUUUUUAAUCUUCUUCAAACAAACCUAUACGAAGGCGAAGAAUAAUUUAUGCUUGUAUUUUAGUCGGAAUAAGAAGAAACAUGAAGAGAAUGCCCACGAGGAAAAUGACCACGAGAAAAAGUUGUGUAUUCCUCCAUCCUUAACUGAGCUCUCUAAUGUGUAUUCCUCCCUCCAUAACUGGCUUACUUUGGAUUGUUUGGAUAGAAAGAAACAAUAGAAUUUUUAAGGAUAAAUCAAGGUUUAUUGUUAACUUGUGGGAAGACAUAUGUAACUUGAUCGGAGUUUGGUCUAGGCGUCAUUCAUCUUGUAACCAAUAUGAUGUUACUACCAACUCUUAACUUUAAGCUUUGUUAGAUUAGGUUGCUUCGGGCUUCCCUCUAGCCUUCAACCUUGUAACUUUAACUCUAUGUUAAUAGGUAAUGACUGUUAUCCUAGGUUUAUCCUAGUUUAAAGGAUUCGGUUUCUUCUUCUUAAAACAAGUUGUAUUUCGACUACUAUUUUGGAGGAAAAUGUGCUUAACUAACUAAAAAUCUAAUGACAUUUCCAAAACCAGUCAUUUCGAAAGAUGUUUCCUCAAUAAUAUAUUUAUAAUGCUCUUCCUUUAUAGAGUAAAACAGUAAAGCAACAAAACCAUUUUAAUUCAUUAUAUAUAUAUAUAUAUAUAUAUAUAUAUAUAUAUAUAUAUAUAUAUAUAUAUAUAUAUAUAUAUAUAUAUUUAUAUAUUUAUUUAUGUAUGUAUAUAUAUAUAUAUAUUUACGUAUGUCAUUACUACAAAAAAGGCCUUUCUUGACGUUUGUUGUUUUUCUUUCUUGACAUUUUUUUCAAAAAACGUCAAGAAAGGGCUAGUUCCAAAGAUAAAACGUCAAGAAUUUUUACGAAAAGGCGUGGGUAGGUCAAUUUUCAGAUUUCUUGACGUUUAUUAAACAUCAACUAAUAUGUAUUUUUUCUUGACGUUUUAAAAAUGUCAAGAAAUAUCUAUAAAAAUUUUGACGUUUUUAAAACGUCAAGAAUGUUUAUAUAUUCAACAUUCUUCAAAAUUUUCAAACGUCAAGUAAUAUGUACUUUUACUUGACAUUUUAAAACCGUCAAGAAAUAUCUUAAAAAUUCUUGACGUUUUUAAGAAAUUUUUAUAAAAAGCCGGAGAAGAGUUAUUUUUAAAAUUUCUUGAUGUUUUUUAGACGUCAAGUAAGAUCGUUUUUCUUGACAUUUUAAAAACGUCAAGUGUUAUUAAAUAUAUAUUUAUAUAUAUAUAUAUAUAAGAAAAUAUUGGGUUGAAUCCUUCGAAGCCCUAGACUUGUCUCUGCCGCAUUCGAAAAUGCCAAGUUCUCUGUGAGGAUCGCUCACUUCUGCCGUGUUCACCGUCCGUCCGUCCGCAUUCACCACGCCCUCUCCGAAAAUGCGUACUAGAUCCUUCGCUUUCAGUCGUUCACCAUCCACUGAGUACGAGAUCCCUAAGACUUCCGCCAUCUGCCAUCCCUAAUACUCUGAAAUCGUCAUUCGUUGUCCCUCAAAAUUGUCGUCCUUCUGUACGAAAAAGUCGUCCUUCUUUUGAGUCUUCAUUCCCCUUUAUGUCGUCCUUCUGUAUUUAGAGGUUAUACUUCAUUCCCCUAAAACUUCCACUGGUUUCCAUAUUUCAAGAAUUUGAAAUUUUUAUAGGAUAUUGCUAGUGGAAAUUAAGUCAAUUCUAUUUGCUCCCAAACUACCUCCUAAUUAUGCUGUCUGGUUGGGAGAAAUAAAGUCUUUGUCAUAUUUCAAGGUAGUGUAUGUUAACCAACACUUAGUGCAUUUUCGUGUUUAUGAGCUUAUUUUAGUUAAUAUGUUUUUGUAGGAAAAAUAUGAUGUCAAUAUGGCAUAUUAUACGAUGAAAUUGUAGUCGUUUAACACAAAAUUUUGAGGUUCUUUUUCAACUAAUUAUGCUUUAUCUAAUAUAUUUUUCCAAAUCUUAAAGAAGAACUUUUGAUUUCAUUGGACUUUAUCAUUAGAGGCAUUACUAUAUUGGCUGCCUCUCAGUGGGCUAUAGGUUUUCCAAUGGUCAUUUGAGACUGGUUGAUAAUAGCAAAAGUUAGAGCUUGAGAAGAAGGAGCGAAGAAAGUAGUGAAGACAAAAGAAGAAAGAAAGCUGAGUGAAAAAUGAAAAUUGACAAGGUAGAGAUGUGACAAUAACAAACCCUUGAUAAGUAAAAAAGGAUGGUGCCAAGAAAAUUUAAAUAAAAAAAAAUGAAGGUUCUUGCAAGUGUAUUGAGGUCAAUUGUGAUAGAAAGAAAUAGAUAGACAUAGAUAUACAUUUAUUACUGAAUAAAAGAAUAAAAUGUACAAAAUGAUAAUAAUAAACACAAUGCAAGAAUAAGUAAACGAUCGUGCAAUGAAAUAAUAUACAUUAAACGAUCCUAUUAACCGUGAUAAACGACCAUUUAACAACGGUAAAUGAUAAUAUUGAUUAAAAUAAAUUAUCGUGUUGACAUGGGUACACGAUCAUAUAAUAUUGGUGAUCGUAUUGAAUAGUGUAAACAAUUGUCUUGUUAUCGAUACACGAUCGUGUUAAUAUUUGUAAGUGAUUCUAUUGAUAGUGGUAACUGAUCGUGUAAUUCCAUGUAAACUAUCGUCAAAAACUUUAAACUAUCGAUCUUUAUAAUGAAGUACAUAAUUCUUACAUUAAUACUUAAAAUUUGUUGUAAUGACCCAACUUUUCUAACUAAGUUGAAGUCAUUAAUUUUGACAAAGAGACCUUGAUUGACACAAAAUAUAGUAAAAUUCACUUGAAAUCAUACGAUCAAAGAAAACAAACUUAAGUUUGGGUCCUAUUUCAAAUAACCAAAACUUUAAAAGUACUAUUUACAAAACAACAGUUCGUAAACUCAGUUCCAUCACAAAAUUUUUAAACAACCUCAUGUACAAAGGAAAAACAAGAAACAUAAAGCGGAAGCAUUUGAAGGACAUUCCCUUAUGGCAAUCACGUCUCCUUUUUGUCCCUCGUCGGUCUACCUCCUUUGUUACCUUUGCCUGAAAUAGUUAAACAUGAAAGGAUGGGUAUAAACAUACCCAAUAAGAGACUCGCUAUUGGUCCCGUUAGGUGAAAAAGUAACUGUUAACUUCCUAUUGAGGUACCCUGCACAGUCACAAUCUUGUGAUCCCGUAGGAUACACAUAAUCAGUCUAACGCCUCAAAGGACGCAUAAAUCAGUCUAGUGUUCCGCAGAAACACAUAUCAGUCUAAUGCUCCCGAAGGAUGCACAUAUCAGUAUAGUGCUAUCGAAGGAUACACAUAUCAGGUGGUGAUCCCGUAGGACACCUGCAAGGUAACUACCCAAUAGAAAUCUAACAAUUUUCCCCUCAAUCCAUUCUAAUCAUCUUAACACUCAUUCAUAGUACAGUCCAGCUACUUCAACAUAUAAUCCUUUCACUUAACACCCUAAUAGUCAACCUAUCUCACUUUAGCCCAAUGUCCGCCAGUAACAUAUCAAUACAUCAGUCAAUCAAACUAUAUAGUCAUAACACCCCUCAAUUCACCAGUACACAACCAUACUUUAGUAUAACAUACACCCAAUCUAAACGACAAUCACAAGUUCACAUCCACAUUCCAUACAAACACAAUCUACAAUUGUCGUCUUGUCUACAUCCAUACAUAUAUAUAUAUAUAUAUAUAUUCCCAGACAAUCACAAUAUGCAUUCAACAUCAAGUCUACAUCAAUCCAUGUAUAUAUAUAUUUUUUCAGUCAUUCAUAGUAUACAUUCAACACCAAGUCUACAUCCAUACGUGUAUAUAUCGUUUCGACAUCUUUACUCAAUCGGAGGUAACUAUACAGACAGCACAAUUCAAAACUAUAGGUGAGUCCAGUAGUAGAGAAUCCCUUACCUUAUCACCUUACUUAAGCUUCUUUUUCAAACUAAAGUGCAACGAACCGACCUAAACAUAAUUGAAGAGAAAUCAAUCACUUCCACAAACAAUUUAAUCCAUUCAAUUCACUCUAUAUGUAAAUUCCAUAACUUACCCAAAUUGUGGAGAAUCAAAUUCUAAUGGAGACGGAUCGGUGCAACAAAUAACCGAACAAUUCAGAUCUAAACAUACAUGGCGUGACAGAACCGGAGUGACUCGGGCUAACGGUGAUGCGACGAUAGGACAAAAUUUGCUUGACGUUCGGUGUAGGUGGAAGACGGUGGUGAAGUUGAUUGGAGAAGGAAAAGAGAAGGAAGAAAAGAGAUGGUGGUGUGGCCGUAGGUUGAAGAGGAUGAGAAAGGAAGAAGAUGAAUAGGAAAAGAGAAAAAAUAAGAUUAAAUAUUAUAAAUAUAUAUAUAUGAAAUACAAAAAUAAAAGUAGAAUAACGAUCAAAUUUUGAAAAAUGAAAAUUUGGAUAAAGUAAAAUUUGAAAAUAAAGAUUUGAUACAAAUCCAAUAUUUGGAGAAAAAAAAAGUGUGUUAAGAUAAUGUAGGAGAAAAUCAAUAUUUAUGCUAAAAUUUUGCAUAUUUCAAAAUUAGUUACAGUUUAACUAAAAAGCAGGCGAGGAGAUUUUAGGGUUAAUGAAAAUUCAAAACACGUGAAAUGCUCAUGUUUGCUAUUCUUCUAAUAAAAUUUUGCUAUUUUCUCAAAUGAGUGUAAUCCAACAAAAUGAAGUUGUGUGUGUGUGAACAAAAAUGAGGUAAAUAGCUUUGAUGAUGAUGGCAAAUGGGUAAAGAAAAUCUUAUCUUAUUCUUCACUUUUCAUUUAAUUGACAAAAAGUAACCAACCAUAUGAAGGGAAAAACAAAAUGCUCUCUCAGUUACUUUACUCAUUUCUUUGUUCUUUGUGUGGGAGAUAUUUGAAAUGGAGAUGAAGAUCAAAAUGAAAGAGAGAUUAUGCAUACACUGUGAGAAGCACACAGAAAAACUGAAAAUAAAUUGAAAAGAAGAGAGAGAUAAGUCUGAGGGAGAAAUAUUCAUUUCCCUUUCAAAGUGAAUUGCAAAGAAAUUUUCUCAAUUUGAAAAGAAAGGAGAAAUAUACAAAGUCAGCCACCGCUUCUUCUCCCUUCAGUUUGCAGUUUUCGUCUCCCUCUCUUCUAUUAUUAAAAUAAAUAAAUAAAAUAUCACAACCCGACUUAACACAAACUAUUUACUCCAACUUUUUAAACUACAAAUUUAAUUUCUCAACUUUUAAACUAUUUUAAACUUACAAAUCUACUUUAUUCAUUUCUUCAGAUUUAUAUCUAACAAAUAAAAAAAAUCAAAACUUAUAGACACUUAAAACAUAAAAUUGAAAGACCUAUUAAACAAUUGAAAGGUUUAAGGGGUAACUAAACAAACUUUAAAAGUUCUAAGGGAAAGAAUCUUUUGUUUAACUAUUACAGUAAUUAAUUUUGAAAAUAUGUUAUUUUAGAAAAACUACAAGUGUUUGACAACUCUUUAAAAGCUAUUGAAAUACUCUCAAAUUGUAUUUUAAGCAAUUUUAAUAAAAAGAAAGUCUACAUAAAAAAAUUACCCUUUUUAAAGGAACAUUUUUUCUCUAAUCACUCCAAUGGAACUCAAACACGUACUUUAAGUUAAUUCUGGUAUCCAAGAAUCAGUCUCAUCUAACAUAAACAAGAACAUUCAACUUGAUAAAACUUCAUAACCUCAUUUUUACAAUUCUCAAAGUUACUAAAUGAAGGACCAUUCCUAAAACAUACUUACAUCCAACUUUCUCCAUGAAUAAACUUAUCGUCUUUUAUGUACUGAUGAAUAUAGAGAUGGAGCGAUCAGAGCUUGUUUAUGUACCAAAGUAGAGUGAGUUGAGAAAAGAGUGGAUACACAAGGACGAAAUGGCUGGCUGUUGCUUGUUCAAAACUGAAAGUUAGGGUGACCUUGUUUCUCACAGGGACUCAGCAAAUUGAAGGGCCUCCAAGUCUACUUCUUGUCUCAUUAUACAUGCCAUUAGCUAUUCAACGUUGAAAGUCCAUAUCCCUUUUUCUACGGCCACCAAGGCUUCCUCCACGUCUUCCUCACAAGCCACAAAGAUCGUCUACCAUACGUUGUUUACUUUAUCUAGCUCAUGAAUCACCUAAAUUUUCAAGCAUAAUUAAUUUGCCAAAUGAGAGAAAAUAUUAUGUAUAUACUACAAGGAAAUUGUUGGAAUUCACCCUAUCAUAAUUAGAAACAAUAAAAUGUUGCGACCAGAAAACAAUCUAAUCAUAAUUAGAAACAUGGAUGUAUGUAUUUGUACACCAAAUCACAAAAAAUAACUCCAGAUUUCGAUCUAGAGACAAUUAAAAACUUGAACAAAUUUGAUAAUUAAAGAAACACGGAGAUGGCCAUAUGACCCCUUGUGCAUAGACUUUUUACAUUACAUGCUCAAUUCCUAGGAUCAAAACAAACAUAAAUAUUAGAGACUUAAGAAGCACCUACACUCAAGUUUGGCUAGUGUAUCAAUAAACAAUAUGUAUGGAACACUCGGAGAACACGUGUUGAACACUAGUUAGUACAGUAGAUGUGUUAGACAACAAGUAUUCCAAUGCAAUAAAGGUUCAAGAUUGGUUACACACACAUAUUAAACUCUUGGCUUUGAAUAAGUUUUGAGUGAAGGACAAGCUUAUUUUUAAGCAUAUAAAUACAUAAACUUAUUGACUUUGAAUAUUAUAAUAUUUAAUUUCUCAAUAACAACUUUAUUGAAUAGAAUAUGAUUUACAAACUACGAGUUUUAGGACAAAAAAUUCCAACACGGAGGCCUCGAAAGUUUACGUCUAGAUACUGGGUGGUCCGAUUCUGAGUGGUCUCAAAGUUUCUUGCCCACAGAAGCCGAACGGUGAUGCCCCGGACUCGGUUUCUUGGUUUCGUCCGAAAACGCCGAAAGAAAGGCACAAUGGCCUAGAAAGGAACGACCGAACUUAGAACGAAGUCAGAGGCCUCGAAAGUUCACGUCUAGCUACUGGGUGGUCCGAUUCUGAGUGGUCUCGAAGUUUCUUUCCCACAGAAGCCGAACGGUGAUGCCCCGGACUCGGUUUCUUGGUUCCGUCCAAAAACACCGAAAGAAAGGCACAAUGGCCUAGAAAGGAACGACCGGACUUAGAACGGGGUGGAGGCCUCGAAAGUUCACAUCUAGCUACUGGGUGGUCCGAUUCUGAGUGGUCUUCAAGUUUCUUGCCCACAGAAGCCGAACGGUGAUGCCCCGGACUCGGUUUCUUGGUUUGAUCCGAAAACGCCGAAAGAAAGGCACAAUGGCCUAGAAAGGAACGACCGGACUUAGAACGGGGUCGGAGGCCUCGAAAGUUCAUGUGUUGCUACUGGGUGGUCCGAUUCUGAGUGGUCUCGAAGUUUCUUGCCCAUAAAAGCCGAAGGGUGAUGCCCCAGACUCGGUUUCUUGGUUCGGUCCCAAAACGUUGAGAGAAAGGCACAUUGGCUUAGAAAGGAACGACCAGACUUAAAACGGGGUCGGAAGCCUUGAAAGUUCACGUCUGGCUACUGGGUUGUCCGAUUCUAAGUGGUCUCGAAGUUUCUUGCCCACAAAAGCCGAACGGUGAUGCCCUAGACUCGGUUUCUUGGUUCCGUCCCAAAACGCCGAAAGAAAGGCACAAUGGCCUAGAAAGGAACGACCGGACUUAGAACGGGGUCGGAGGCCUCGAAAGUUCAUGUAUUGCUACUGGGUGGUCCGAUUCUGAGUGGUCUCGAAGUUUCUUGCCCACAAAAGCCGAAGGGUGAUACCCCAGACUCGGUUUCUUGGUUACGUCCCAAAACGCCAAAAGAAAGGCACAAUGGCCUAGAAAGGAACGACCAGACUUAAAACGGGGUCGGAGGCCUCGAAAGUUCAUGUCUGGCUACUGGGUUGUCCGAUUCUAAGUGGUCUCGAAGUUUCUUGCCCACAAAAGCCGAACGGUGAUGCCCUAGACUCGGUUUUUGGUUCCGUCCCAAAACGCCGAAAGAAAGGCACAAUGGCCUAGAAAGGAACGAUCGGAUUUCGAACAGGGUCAGAGGCCUCGAAAGUUCACGUCUGGCUACUGGGUGGUCCGAUUCUGAGUGGUCUCGAAGUUUCUUGCCCACAAAAGCCGAACGGUGAUGCCCCAGACUCGGUUUCUUGGUUCCGUCCCAAAACGCCGAAAGAAAGGCACAAUGGCCUAGAAAGGAACGAUCAGACUUAGAACGGGGUCGGAGGCCUCGAAAGUUCACGUCUGGCUACUGGGUGGUCCGAUUCUGAGUGGUCUCGAAGUUUCUUGCCCACAAAAGCCGAACGGUGAUGCCCCAGACUCGGUUUCUUGGUUCCGUCCCAAAACGCCGAAAGAAAGGCACAAUGGCCUAGAAAGGAACGACGGACUUAGAACGGGGUCGGAGGCCUCGAAAGUUCACGUCUGGCUACUGGGUGGUCCGAUUCUGAGUGGUCUCGAAGUUUCUUGCCCAAAAAGCCGAACGGUGAUGCCCCAGACUCGGUUUCUUGGUUCCGUCCCAAAACGCCGAAAGAAAGGCACAAUGGCCUAGAAAGGAACGACCGGACUUAGAACGGGGUCGGAGGCCUCGAAAGUUCACGUGUUGCUACUGGGUGGUCCGAUUCUGAGUGGUCUCGAAGUUUCUUGCCCACAAAAGCCGAACGGUGAUGCCCUAGACUCGGUUUCUUGGUUCCGUCCCAAAACGCCGAAAGAAAGGCACAAUGGCCUAGAAAGGAACGACCGGACUUAGAACGGGGUCGGAGGCCUCGAAAGUUCACGUCUAGCUACUGGGUGGUCCGAUUCUGAGUGGUCUCGAAGUUUCUUGCCCACAAAAGCCGAACGGUGAUGCCUAGACUCGGUUUCUUGGUUCCGUCCCAAAACGCCGAAAGAAAGGCACAAUGGCCUAGAAAGGAACGACCGGACUUAGAACGGGGUCGGAGGCCUCGAAAGUUCACGUCUGGCUACUGGGUGGUCCGAUUCUUAGUGGUCUCGAAGUUUCUUGCCCACAAAAGCCGAACGGUGAUGCCCCAGACUCGGUUUCUUGGUUCCGUCCCAAAACGCCGAAAGAAAGGCACAAUGGCCUAGAAAGGAACGACCGGACUUAGAACGGGGUCGGAGGCCUCGAAAGUUCACGUCUGGCUACUGGGUGGUCCGAUUCUGAGUGGUCUCGAAGUUUCUUGCCCACAAAAGCCGAACGGUGAUGCCCAGACUCGGUUUCUUGGUUCCGUCCCAAAACGCCGAAAGAAAGGCACAAUGGCCUAGAAAGGAACGACCGGACUUAGAACGGGGUCGGAGGCCUCGAAAGUUCACGUCUAGGUACUGGGUGGUCUCGAAGUUUCUUGCCCACAAAAGCCGAACGGUGAUGCCCAGACUCGGUUUCUUGGUUCCGUCCCAAAACGCCGAAAGAAAGGCACAAUGGCCUAGAAAGGAACGACCAGACUUAGAACGGGGUCAGAGGCCUCGAAAGUUCACGUCUAGGUACUGGGUGGUCUCGAAGUUUCUUGCCCACAAAAGCCGAACGGUGAUGCCCUUGACUCGGUUUCUUGGUUCCGUCCCAAAACGCCGAAAGAAAGGCACAAUGGCCUAGAAAGGAACGACCAGACUUAGAACGGGGUCGGAGGCCUCGAAAGUUACUGUCUAGCUACUGGUGGUCCGAUUCUGAGUGGUCUCGAAGUUUCUUGCCUACAAAAGCCGAACGGUGAUGCCUCAGACUCGAUUUCUUGGUUCCGUCCCAAAACGCCGAAAGAAAGGCACAAUGGCCUAGAAAGGAACGACCGGACUUAGAACGGGGUCGGAGGCCUCGAAAGUUCACGUCUAGCUACUGGUGGUCCGAUUCUGAGUGGUCUCGAAGUUUCUUGCCCACAAAAGCCGAACGGUGAUGCCCCAGACUCGGUUUCUUGGUUCCGUCCCAAAACGCCGAAAGAAAGGCACAAUGGCCUAGAAAGGAACGACCGGACUUAGAACGGGGUCGGAGGCCUCGAAAGUUCACGUCUAGCUACUGGGUGGUCCGAUUCUGAGUGGUCUCGAAGUUUCUUGCCCACAAAAGCCGAACGGUGAUGCCCCUGACUCGGUUUCUUGGUUCCGUCCCAAAACGCCGAAAGAAAGGCACAAUGGCCUAGAAAAGGAACGACCGGACUUAGAACGGGGUCGGAGGCCUCGAAAGUUCACGUCUGGCUACUGGGUGGUCCGAUUCUGAGUGGUCUCGAAGUUUCUUGCCCACAAAAGCCGAACGGUGAUGCCCAGACUCGGUUUCUUGGUUCCGUCCCAAAACGCCGAAAGAAAGGCACAAUGGCCUAGAAAGGAACGACCGACUUAGAACGGGUCGGAGGCCUCGAAAGUUCACGUCUGGCUACUGGGUGGUCCGAUUCUGAGUGGUCUCGAAGUUUCUUGCCCACAAAAGCCGAACGGUGAUGCCCAGACUCGGUUUCUUGGUUCCGUCCCAAAACGCCGAAAGAAAGGCACAAUGGCCUAGAAAGGAACGACCGGACUUAGAACGGGUCGGAGGCCUCGAAAGUUCACGUCUAGCUACUGGGUGGUCCGAUUCUGAGUGGUCUCGAAGUUUCUUGCCCACAAAAGCCGAACGGUGAUGCCCCAGACUCGGUUUCUUGGUUCCGUCCCAAAACGCCGAAAGAAAGGCACAAUGGCCUAGAAAGAAAGACCGACUUAGAACGGGGUCGGAGGCCUCGAAAGUUCACGUCUCUACUGGGUGGUCCGAUUCUGAGUGGUCUCGAAGUUUCUUGCCCACAAAACCGAACGGUGAUGCCCCAGACUCGGUUUCUUGGUUCCGUCCCAAAACGCCGAAAGAAAGGCACAAUGGCCUAGAAAGGAACGACCGACUUAGAACGGGGUCGGAGGCCUCGAAAGUUCACGUCUGGCUACUGGGUGGUCCGAUUCUGAGUGGUCUCGAAGUUUCUUCCCACAAAAGCCGAACGGUGAUGCCCAGACUCGGUUUCUUGGUUCCGUCCCAAAACGCCGAAAGAAAGGCACAAUGGCCUAGAAAGGAACGACCGGACUUAGAACGGGGUCGGAGGCCUCGAAAGUUCACGUCUAGCUACUGGGUGGUCCGAUUCUGAUGGUCUCGAAGUUUCUUGCCCACAAAAGCCGAACGGUGAUGCCCAGACUCGGUUUCUUGGUUCCGUCCCAAAACGCCGAAAGAAAGGCACAAUGGCCUAGAAAGAACGACGGACUUAGAACGGGGUCGGAGGCCUCGAAAGUUCACGUCUAGCUACUGGGUGGUCCGAUUCUGAGUGGUCUCGAAGUUUCUUGCCCACAAAAGCCGAACGGUGAUGCCCAGACUCGGUUUCUUGGUUCCGUCCCAAAACGCCGAAAGAAAGGCACAAUGGCCUAGAAAGGAAGACGACUUAGAACGGGGUCGGAGGCCUCGAAAGUUCACGUCUAGCUACUGGGUGGUCCGAUUCUGAGUGGUCUCGAAGUUUCUUGCCCACAAAAGCCGAACGGUGAUGCCCAGACUCGGUUUCUUGGUUCCGUCCCAAAACGCCGAAAGAAAGGCACAAUGGCCUAGAAAGGAACGACCGGACUUAGAACGGGGUCGGAGGCCUCGAAAGUUCACGUCUAGCUACUGGGUGGUCCGAUUCUGAGUGGUCUCGAAGUUUCUUGCCCACAAAAGCCGAACGGUGAUGCCCCAGAUUCGGUUUCUUGGUACCGUCCCAAAACGCCGAAAGAAAGGCACAAUGGUCGGGGAAGAAACGACCGGACUUAGAACGGCGUUGGAGGCCUCGAAAGUUCACGUCUAGCUACUGGGUGGUCCGAUUCUGAGUGGUCUCAAAGUUUCUUGCCCACAAAAGCCGAACGGUGAUGCCCAGACUCGGUUUCUUGGUUUCGUCCUAAAAUGUCGAAAGAAAGGCACAAUGGCCUGGAAAGGAACGACCGGACUUAGAACGGGGCGGAGGCCUCGAAAGUUCACGUCUAGCUACUGGGUGGUCCGAUUCUGAGUGGUCUCGAAGUUUCUUGCCCACAAAAGCCGAACGGUGAUGCCCUAGACUCGGUUUCUUGGUUCCGUCCCAAAACGCCGAAAGAAAGGCACAAUGGCCUAGAAAGGAACGACCGGACUUAGAACGGGUCGGAGGCCUCGAAAGUUCACGUCUAGCUACUGGGUGGUCCGAUUCUGAGUGGUCUCGAAGUUUCUUGCCCACAAAAGCCGAACGGUGAUGCCCCAGACUCGGUUUCUUGGUUCCGUCCCAAAACGCCGAAAGAAAGGCACAAUGGCCUAGAAAGGAACGACCGGACUUAGAACGGGGUCGGAGGCCUCGAAAGUUCACGUCUAGCUACUGGGUGGUCCGAUUCUGAGUGGUCUCGAAGUUUCUUGCCCACAAAAGCCGAACGGUGAUGCCCCAGACUCGGUUUCUUGGUUCCGUCCCAAAACGCCGAAAGAAAGGCACAAUGGCCUAGAAAGGAACGACCGGACUUAGAACGGGGUCGGAGGCCUCGAAAGUUCACGUCUAGCUACUGGGUGGUCCGAUUCUGAGUGGUCUCGAAGUUUCUUGCCCACAAAAGCCGAACGGUGAUGCCCCAGACUCGGUUUCUUGGUUCCGUCCAAAACGCAAAAAAGGCACAAUGGCCUAGAAAGGAACGACCGGACUUAGAACGGGGUCGGAGGCCUCGAAAGUUCACGUCUGGCUACUGGGUGGUCCGAUUCUGAGUGGUCUCGAAGUUUCUUGCCCACAAAAGCCGAACGGUGAUGCCCCAGACUCGGUUUCUUGGUUCCGUCCCAAAACGCCGAAAGAAAGGCACAAUGGCCUAGAAAGGAACGACCGGACUUAGAACGGGGUCGGAGGCCUCGAAAGUUCACGUCUGCUACUGGGUGGUCCGAUUCUGAGUGGUCUCGAAGUUUCUUGCCCACAAAAGCCGAACGGUGAUGCCCCAGACUCGGUUUCUUGGUUCCGUCCCAAAACGCCGAAAGAAAGGCACAAUGGCCUAGAAAGGAACGACCGGACUUAGAACGGGGUCGGAGGCCUCGAAAGUUCACGUCUGGCUACUGGGUGGUCCGAUUCUGAGUGGUCUCGAAGUUUCUUGCCCACAAAAGCCGAACGGUGAUGCCCCAGACUCGGUUUCUUGGUUCCGUCCCAAAACGCCGAAAGAAAGGCACAAUGGCCUAGAAAGGAACGACCGGACUUAGAACGCGGUCGGAGGCCUCGAAAGUUCACGUCUGGCUACUGGGUGGUCCGAUUCUGAGUGGUCUCGAAGUUUCUUGCCCACAAAAGCCGAACGGUGAUGCCCCACUCGGUUUCUUGGUUCCGUCCCAAAACGCCGAAAGAAAGGCACAAUGGCCUAGAAAGGAACGACCGGACUUAGAACGGGGUCGAGGCCUCGAAAGUUCACGUCUGGCUACUGGGUGGUCCGAUUCUGAGUGGUCUCGAAGUUUCUUGCCCACAAAAGCCGAACGGUGAUGCCCAGACUCGGUUUCUUGGUUCCGUCCCAAAACGCCGAAAGAAAGGCACAAUGGCCUAGAAAGGAACGACCACUUAGAACGGGGUCGGAGGCCUCGAAAGUUCACGUCUGGCUACUGGGUGGUCCGAUUCUGAGUGGUCUCGAAGUUUCUUGCCCACAAAAGCCGAACGGUGAUGCCCCAGACUCGGUUUCUUGGUUCCGUCCCAAAACGCCGAAAGAAAGGCACAAUGGCCUAGAAAGGAACGACCGACUUAGAACGGGGUCGGCGGCCUCGAAAGUUCACGUCUGGCUACUGGGUGGUCCGAUUCUGAGUGGUCUCGAAGUUUCUUGCCCACAAAAGCCGAACGGUGAUGCCCCAGACUCGGUUUCUUGGUUCCGUCCCAAAACGCCGAAAGAAAGGCACAAUGGCCUAGAAAGGAACGACCGGACUUAGAACGGGGUCGGCGGCCUCGAAAGUUCACGUCUAGCUACUGGGUGGUCCGAUUCUGAGUGGUCUCGAAGUUUCUUGCCCACAAAAGCCGAACGGUGAUGCCCCAGACUCGGUUUCUUGGUUCCGUCCCAAAACGCCGAAAAAAGGCACAAUGGCCUAGAAAGGAACGACCGGACUUAGAACGGCCUCGAAAGUUCACAUCUAACUACUGGGUGGUCCGAUUCUGAGUGAUCUCGAAGUUUCUUGCCCACAAAAGCCGAACGGUGAUGCCCCAGACUCGGUUUCUUGGUUCCGUCCCAAAACGCCGAAAGAAAGGCACAAUGGCCUAGAAAGGAACGACCGGACUUAGAACGGGGUCGGCGGCCUCGAAAGUUCACGUCUAGCUACUGGGUGGUCCGAUUCUGAGUGGUCUCGAAGUUUUUUGCCCACAAAAGCCGAACGGUGAUGCCCCAGACUCGGUUUCUUGGUUCCGUCCCAAAACGCCGAAAGAAAGGCACAAUGGCCUAGAAAGGAACGACCGGACUUAGAACGGGGUCGGAGGCCUCGAAAGUUCACGUCUAGCUACUGGGUGGUCCGAUUCUGAGUGGUCUCGAAGUUUCUUGCCCACAAAAGCCGAACGGUGAUGCCCCAGACUCGGUUUCUUGGUUCCGUCCCAAAACGCCGAAAGAAAGGCACAGGCCUAGAAAGGAACGACCGGACUUAGAACGGGGUCGGCGGCCUCGAAAGUUCACGUCUAGCUACUGGGUGGUCCGAUUCUGAGUGGUCUCGAAGUUUCUUGCCCAAAAAGCCGAACGGUGAUGCCCCAGACUCGGUUUCUUGGUUCCGUCCCAAAACGCCGAAAGAAAGGCACAAUGGCCUAGAAAGGAACGACCGGACUUAGAACGGGGUCGGAGGCCUCGAAAGUUCACGUCUAGCUACUGGGUGGUCCGAUUCUGAGUGGUCUCGAAGUUUCUUGCCCAAAAAGCCGAACGGUGAUGCCCCAGACUCGGUUUCUUGGUUCCGUCCCAAAACGCCGAAAGAAAGGCACAAUGGCCUAGAAAGAACGACCGGACUUAGAACGGGUCGGAGGCCUCGAAAGUUCACGUCUAGCUACUGGGUGGUCCGAUUCUGAGUGGUCUCGAAGUUUCUUGCCCACAAAAGCCGAACGGUGAUGCCCAGACUCGGUUUCUUGGUUCCGUCCCAAAACGCCGAAAGAAAGGCACAAUGGCCUAGAAAGGAACGACCGGACUUAGAACGGGGUCGGAGGCCUCGAAAGUUCACGUCUAGCUACUGGGUGGUCGAAUUCUGAGUGGUCUCGAAGUUUCUUGCCCACAAAAGCCGAACGGUGAUGCCUAGACUCGGUUUCUUGGUUCCGUCCCAAAACGCCGAAAGAAAGGCACAAUGGCCUAGAAAGGAACGACCGGACUUAGAACGGUCGGAGGUCGAAAGUUCACGUCUAGCUACUGGGUGGUCCGAUUCUGAGUGGUCUCGAAGUUUCUUGCCCACAAAAGCCGAACGGUGAUGCCCCAGACUCGGUUUCUUGGUUCCGUCCCAAAACGCCGAAAGAAAGGCACAAUGGCCUAGAAAGGAACGACCGACUUAGAACGGGGUCGGCGGCCUCGAAAGUUCACGUCUAGCUACUGGGUGGUCCGAUUCUGAGUGGUCUCGAAGUUCUUGCCCACAAAAGCCGAACGGUGAUGCCCCAGACUCGGUUUCUUGGUUCCGUCCCAAAACGCCGAAAGAAAGGCACAAUGGCCUAGAAAGGAACGACCGGACUUAGAACGGGGUCGGCGGCCUCGAAAGUUCACGUCUAGCUACUGGGUGGUCCGAUUCUGAGUGGUCUCGAAGUUUCUUGCCCACAAAAGCCGAACGGUGAUGCCCCAGACUCGGUUUCUUGGUUCCGUCCCAAAACGCCGAAAGAAAGGCACUGUGGCCUAGAAAGGAACGACCGACUUAGAACGGGGUCGGCGGCCUCGAAAGUUCACGUCUAGCUACUGGGUGGUCCGAUUCUGAGUGGUCUCGAAGUUUCUUGCCCACAAAAGCCGAACGGUGAUGCCCCAGACUCGGUUUCUUGGUUCCGUCCCAAAACGCCGAAAGAAAGGCACAGUGGCCUAGAAAGGAACGACCGGACUUAGAACGGGGUCGGCGGCCUCGAAAGUUCACGUCUAGCUACUGGGUGGUCCGAUUCUGAGUGGUCUCGAAGUUUCUUGCCCACAAAAGCCGAACGGUGAUGCCCCAGACUCGGUUUCUUGGUUCCGUCCCAAAACGCGAAAGAAAGGCACAAUGGCCUAGAAAGGAACGACCGACUUAGAACGGGGUCGGAGGCCUCGAAAGUUCACGUCUAGCUACUGGGUGGUCCGAUUCUGAGUGGUCUCGAAGUUUCUUGCCCACAAAAGCCGAACGGUGAUGCCCCAGACUCGGUUUCUUGGUUCCGUCCCAAAACGCCGAAAGAAAGGCACAAUGGCCUAGAAAGGAACGACCAGACUUAGAACGGGGUCGGAGGCCUCGAAAGUUCACGUCUGGCUACUGGGGGUCCGAUUCUGAGCGGUCUCGAAGUUUCUUAGCCACAAAAGCCGGUCGGUGAUGCCCCAGACUCGGUUUCUUGGUUUCGUCCCAAAACGCCGAAAGAAAGGCACAAUGGCCUAGAAAGGAACGACCGGACUUGGAACGCGGUCGGAGGCCUCGAAAUUCACUUGGCUACUGGGGUCCGAUUCUGAGUGGUCUCGAAGUUUCUUGCCACAAAAGCCGAACGAUGAUGCCCAGACUCGGUUUCUUGGUUCCGUCCCAAAACGCCGAAAGAAAGGCACAAUGGCCUAGAAAGGAACGACCGACUUAGAACGGGGUCGGAGGCCUCGAAAGUUCACGUCUAGGCUACUGGUGGUCGAUUCUGAGCGGUCUCGAAGUUUCUUGCCCACAAAAGCCGAACGGUGAUGCCCAGACUCGGUUUCUUGGUUCCGUCCCAAAACGCCGAAAAAAGGCACAAUGGCCUAGAAAGGAACGACCGACUUAGAACGGGGUCGGAGGUCUCGAAAGUUCACGACUGGCUACUGGGUGGUCCGAUUCUGAGUGGUCUCAAAGUUUCUUGCCCACAAAAGCCGAACGGUGAUGCCCCAGACUCGGUUUCUUGGUUCCGUCCCAAAACGCCGAAAGAAAGGCACAAUGGCCUAGAAAGGAACGACCGGACUUAGAACGGGGUCGGAGGCCUCGAAAGUUCACGUCUGGCUACUGGGUGGUCCAAUUCUGAGUGGUCUCGAAGUUUCUUGCCCACAAAAGCCGAACGGUGAUGCCCCAGACUCGGUUUCUUGGUUCCGUCCCAAAACGCCGAAAGAAAGGCACAAUGGCCUAGAAAGGAACGACCGGACUUAGAACGGGGUCGGAGGCCUCGAAAGUUCACGUCUGGCUACUGGGGGGUCCGAUUCUGAGCGGUCUCGAAGUUUCUUGCCCACAAAAGCCGAACGGUGAUGCCCAGACUCGGUUUCUUGGUUUCGUCCCAAAACGCCGAACGAAAGGCACAAUGGCCUAGUAAGGAACGACUGGACUUAGAACGGGGUCGGAGGCCUUGAAACUUCACUUUUGGCUACUGGCGGGUCCGAUUCUCAGCGGUCUCGAAGUUUCUUGCCCACAAAAGCCGACCAAUGAUGCCCCAGACUCGGUUUCUUGGUUCCGUCCCAAAACGCCGAAAGAAAAGCACAAUGGCUUAGAAAGGAACGACCGGAUUUAGAACGCGAUCGGAGGCAUCGAAAGUUCACGUCUGGCUACUGCGUGGUCCGAUUCUGAGCGGUCUCGAAGUUUAUUGCCCACAAAAGCCGAACGGUGAUGCCCUAGACUCGGUUUCUUGGAUCCGUCCCAAAAUGCCGAAAGAAAGGCACAAUGGCCUAGAAAGGAACGACCGGACUUAGAACGGGGUCGUAGGAAUCGAAAGUUUAGGUCUAGCUACUCGAUGGUCCGAUUCUGCGCGGUCUCGAAGUUUCUUGCCCCCAAAUGCCGAACGGUGAUGCCCUAAACUCAGUUUCUUUGUUCUGUCCCAAAACGCCGAAAGAAAGGCACAAUGGGCUAGAAAGGAACGACCGGACUUAGAAUGGGGUCGGAGGCCUUGAAAAUUCACGUCUGGCUACUGGGUGGUCCGAUUCUGAGCGGUCUCGAAGUUUCUUGCCCACAAAUACCGAACGGUGAUGCCCCAGACUCGGUUUCUAUGUUCCGUCCCAAAACGCCAAAAGAAAGGCACAAUGGCCUAGAAAGGAACGACCGGACUUAGAACGAGGUCGGAGGCCUCGAAAGUUCACAUCUGGCUACUGGGGGGUCCGAUUCUAAGUGGUCUCGAAGUUUCUUGCCCACAAAAGCCGAACGCUGAUGCCCCAGACUCGGUUUCUUGGUUUCGUCCAAAACGCCGAAAGAAAGGCAUAGUGGCCUAGAAAGCAACGACCGGACUUAGAACGGCGGCCUCGAAACUUCACGUCUGGCUACUGGGUGGUCCGAUUCUGAGUGGUCUCGAAGUUUCUUGCGCACAAAAGCCGAACGGUGAUGCCCCAGACUCGGUUUCUUGGUUCGUCAAAAAACGCCGAAAGAAAGUCACAAUGGGCUAGAAACGAACGACCGGAUUUAGAACGGGGUCGGAUGCAUCGAAAGUUCACGUCUGGCUACUGGGUGGUCCGAUUCUGAGGGGCCUCGAAGUUUCUUGCCCACAAAGGCCGAACGGUGAUGCCCCAGACUCGGUUUCUUGGUUCCGUCUCAAAACGCCGAAAGAAAGGCACAAUGGCCUAGAAAGGAACGACCAGACUUAGAAUGGGGUCGGAGGCCUCGAAAAUUCACGUCUGGCUACUGGGUGGUCCGGUUCUAAGCGGUCUCGAAGUUUCUUGCCCACAAAUACCGAACGGUGAUGCCCCAAACUCGGUUUCUUGGUUCUGUCCCAAAACGCCGAAAGAAAGGCACAAUGGCCUAGAAAGGAACGACCGGACUUAGAACGGGGUCGGAGGCCUCGAAAGUUCACGUCUGGCUACUGGGUGGUCUGAUUCUGAGUGGUCUCAAAGUUUCUUGCCCACAAAAGUCUAUCGGUAAUGCCCUAGACUCGAUUUAUUGGUUUCGUCCCAAAACGCCGAAAGAAAGGCACAGUGGCCUAGAAAGGAACGACGGGACUUAGAACGAGGUCGGCGGCCUCGAAAGUUCACUUCUGGCUACUGGGUGGUUCGAUUCUGAGCGGUCUCGAAGUUUCUAGCCCACAAAAGCCGAACGGUGAUGCCCUAGACUCGGUUUCUUGGUUCCGUCCUAAAACGCCGAAAGAAAGACACAAUGGCCUAGAAAGGAACGUCGGACUUAGAACGGGGUCGGAGGCCUCAAAAGUUCACGUCUAGCUACUGGGUGGUCCGAUUCUGAGCGGUCUCGAAGCUUCUUGCCCACAAAAGCCGAACGGUGAUGCCCCAUACUCGGUUUCUUGGUUUUGUCCCAAAACGGCGAAAGAAAGGCACAGUGGCCUAGAAAGGAACGACGGGACUUAGAACGGCAGCCUCGAAACUUCACGUCUGGCUACUGGGUGGUCCGAUUCUGAGUGGUCUCGAAGUUUCUUGCCCACAAAAGCUGAACGGUGAUGCCCCAGACUCGGUUUCUUUGUUCCGUCCCAAAACGCCGAAAGAAAGGCACAGUGGCCUAGAAAGAAGGACAAGACUUAAAACCGCGGCCUCGAAAGUUCACGUCUAGCUACUGGGUGGUCCGAUUCUCAGUGGUCUCGAAGUUUCUUGCCCACAAAAGCCGAACGGUGAUGCUCCAGACUCGAUUUCUUGGUUACGUCCCAAAACGCCGAAAGAAAGGCACAAUGCCUAGAAAGGAACGACCUGUUGGAAUUUUUUGUUCUAAAACUCGUAGUUUUUAAAUCAUAUUCUGUUCAAUAAAGUUGUUAUUGAAAAAUUAAAUAUUAUAAUCUUAAAUCCAAUAGAUCAAGGUCCAAGGCUAUUUUUGCAUAAACUUGAACUUUAUGUGUAAACAUAAACGUGGAUCAAGUUCGAGUAUAUAGCCUAAAUAGUCUAUAGUAUAUGAAAUAAAGGUUGGGCGCCUUAUUUAGAGAAACUAUGGAUGCGGGCCACUUUGUAGUUUAAACGAAGUGAUCCUAAUCGUUCAUGUAGAGACAUGAAAGUGCGGGCAUCCUAUGUAAAAUGUUUACAUAAGACUGAACCAUGAAUUAGUCUUUUUUACGUUAUAACACUGUUUACUGUUUAAAACUGACUAUCUCAAUUAUUGAUGACCUAGGUAACUUAGUCUUAAUCCUGAGUUAACUAUGAACUCCUGUUCACACGAGAUUAUACUUAGAUCUGCAUAGGUGAUGGCAGCUCAUCAGCGUUGGCCCAAUAGCCUCCCAAUUCAGGGGUAAGAUCAGGUGGAUAGCUCGGAACAUAGGGUAUAAGAUGGAAUUCACUCCUACCCGCUUUAGGGUUAGUAGAUAGGUUGUUCUCUUAAGCACUGAAUCCAAGUCUUGAACAAGGGGCCCCACCCUCUCAUUGUCCCGAGAGGGAUUAAGUUUAUAGGUUGAACCUUAAACUAGUUGUUCAAUAGUGGAUUAGUGGGACUUAAGGAGCAAGAUGUAAUCUUGGGGGUAAAACGGUAUUUUGACCCAGCCAAGGUUACAAGCAACCUGUGAAGGAUUAACUAACUGAUUAUUGUUUUAUCAAAUGGACACAAAUAUAUCUAUAGUGCCGAAUGCAACUACGGGACUUUAGUGGAAUGACCCGUUAGUUAACGAAUGUUGAUUAACUCGGUUUAAAAGAGUUUAGCUAGUUAAUCUUGAAUCUUUGGAGCCCAUGAUCUUUAGGUCCAUUAGGUUCCUCUGCUAGCUCAUAUGGAUUAAACUUAGAACAGUGUGAUGAAAUAAGUCGAAUUGUUCGAAUUGGGAGAAGAAAGGGAAUCCGACAAAUAUAGUGAUAGUCGUCGGUCUUCUAAUUAGAAAUAGAGCUUUAUGUUUUACAUACUAUAAGUAUGAAUGCGGAUUCAUACUAAGAAACUCGAAAUUGAAGGAAUUGGUCAAAAAAUAGUAAAAAGUCAAAAUGUUGACUUUUGACUUUGAAAAGUCAAACUUUGACCGGCCUUACAUUCAAAUGUGAUUUGAAUUUUGGAAAAAUGAAUGCGGAUUCAUGCUCGGGAGGUUGGAAUUAGUCAAGACGGACAAAAUGAUAAAAAGUCAAAAUAUUGACUUUUGACUAAGAAAAGUCAAAGUUUGACUUUUUGACUAGAAAUAUCUAAUGACCAUUUUACCCUUGGACUAAGUUAGUGGGAAAAUCCAACAUUUUGUUGGAUAAUCCCACUAACUCUUAGUGGGAUAUGUGGCUAUAUGAGAUAUAGACACCUAGCCCACUAAGUUCCACUAAUUGUUAGUGGAACAUUAGGUGUUGAGAUUUGGCAAAUGAAUUGCAUGCAUUUUUGCAUGUAAUUAGGUUAUAAAUAGAGGUGUUUUCAAAUGUUGAAAAAACUUUUGCCUCUUUGAUCAUUUUCAUCAUCUCAACAAAAGAAAAAAGAAACCUUCCAAUACCAUUCUAUCUCCAUUACUUUCUACACCAAAAUUGGGUCCCACAACCCGGUUCUUUGUCUAAAGGAUAGCAGUUGAGUACUAGUGAUGGUCUCAGUCAGAAUUGGUAAGAAGAUAUCAAACCUUUUGAAAGCUUCAAAGGUAAUAUUUCUUAAAACCCUAAUUUGAUUAGUUUAUGGUUACAUAUUAAUUGUGGCAAUUAGGGUAGAAAUUCGAUUCUUUUUCCGAUGUGCAUGACUUAGUUCUAUCACGACCGGACUUAGAACGGGGUCGGCAGCCUCGAAAGUUCACGUCUAGCUACUGGAUGGUCCGAUUCUGAGUGGUCUCGAAGUUUCUUGCCCACAAAAGCCGAACGGUGAUGCCCCAAACUCGGUUUCUUGGUUCCGUCCCAAAACGUCGAAAAAAGGCACAAUGGCCUAGAAAGGAACGACCGGACUUAGAACAGGGUCGGAGGCCUCGAAAGUUCACGUCUGGCUACUAGGUGGUCCGACUCUGAGCAUUCUCAAAGUUUCUUGCCCACAAAAGCCGAACGCUGAUGCCCCAGACUCGGUUUCUUGGUUGCAUCCCAAAACAGCCGAAAGAAAGGCACAGUGGCCUAGAAAGGAACGACGAGAGUUAGAACGGGGUCGGCGGCCUCGAAAGUUCACGUCUAGCUAUUGGGUGGUCCGAUUCUGAGUGGUCUCGAAGUUUCUUACCCACAAAAGCCAAACGGUGAUGCCCCAGACAAGGUUUCUUGGUUGCGUCCCAGAACGCCGAAAGAAAGGCACAAUGGCCUGGAAAUGAACGACCGGACUUAAAACGGGGUCAGAGGCCUCGAAAGUUGUCGUCUGGCUACAUGGUGGUCUGAUUCUGAGUGGUCUCGAAGUUUCUUGCCCACAAAAGCCGAACGGUGAUGCCCCAGACUCGGUUUCUUGGUUCCGUCCCAAAACGCCGAAAGAAAGGCACAAUGGUUUAGAAAGGAACGACCGGAUAUAGAACAGGGUCGGAGGCCUCGAAAGUUCACGUCUGGCUACUGGGUGGUCCAAUUCUGAGUGGUCUCGAAGUUUCUUGUCAACAAAAGCCGAACGGUGAUGCCCCAGACUCGGUUUCUUGGUUCCGUCCCAAAACGUCGAAAGAAAGGCACAAUGGCCUGGAAAGGAACGACCGAACUUAGGAUGGGGUCGGAGGACUCGAAAGUUCACAUCUGGCUACUGGGUGGUCUGAUCUUAGUGGUCUCGAAGUUUCUUGCCCAGAAAAGCCUAACGGUAAUGCCCCAGACUCGGUUUCUUGGUUCCGUCCCAAAACGCCGAAAGAAAGGCACAAUGGCCUAGAAAGGAACGACCGGACUUAGAACGGGGUCGAAGGCCUCGAAAGUUCACGUCUGGCUACUGGGUGGUUCGAUUCUGAGUGGUCUCGAAGUUUCUUGCCCACAAAAGCCGAACGGUGAUGCCCCAGACUCGGUUUCUUGGUCCCGUCCCAAAAACGUCGAAAGAAAGGCACAAUGGCCUAGAAAGGAACGACCGGACUUAGGAUGGGGUCGGAGGCCUCGAAAGUUCACGUCUGGCUACUGGGUGGUCUGAUUCUUAGUGGUCUCGAAGUUUCUUGCCCACAAAAGCCUAACGGUGAUGCCUUAGAGUUGGUUUCUUGGUUCCGUCCCAAAAUGCCGAAAGAAAGGCAUAAUGGCCUAGAAAGGAACGACCGGACUUAGAACGGGGUCGGAGGCCUCAAAAGUUCACGUCAGGCUUCUGGGUGGUCUGAUUUUGAGCGGUCUCGAAGUUUCUUGCCUAGAAAAGCCGAACGGUGAUGCCCCAAACUCGGUUUCUUGGUUCCGUCCCAAAAUGUCAAAAGAAAGGCACAAUGGCGUAGAAAGGAACGACCGGACUUAGAACGGGGUCGGAGGCCUCGAAAGUUCACGUCUGGCUACUGGGUGGUCCGAUUCUGAGUCGUGUCGAAGUUUCCUGCCCACAAAGGCCGAACGAUGAUGCCCCAGACUCGGUUUCUUGGUUCCAUCCCAAAACGCCGAAAGAAAGGCACAAUGGCCUAGAAAGGAACGACCGGACUUAGAACAGGGUCGGAGGCCUCGAAAGUUCACGUCUGGCUACUGGGUGGUCCGAUUCUGAGUGGUCUCGAAGUUUCUUGCCCACAAAAGCCGAACGGUGAUGCCCCAAAUUCUGUUUCUUGGUUCCGUCCCAAAAUGCCGAAAGAAAGGCACAAUGGCCUAGAAAGGAACGAUCGGACUUAGAACGGGGUCGAAGGCCUCGAAAGUUCACGUCUGGCUACUGGGUGGUCCGAUUCUGAGUGGUCUCAAAGUUUCUUGCCCACAAAAGCCGAACGGUGAUGCCCCAGACUCGGUUUCUUGGUUCCAUCCCAAAACGUCGAAAGAAAGGCACAAUAGCCUAGAAAGAAACGACCGGACUUAGAACACGGUCGGAGGCCUCGAAAGUUCACGUCUGGCUACUAGGUCGUCUGAUUCUGAGUGGUCUCGAAGUUUCUUGCCCACAAAAGCCGAACGGUGAUGCCCUACACUCGGUUUCUUUGUUCGGUCCCAAAACGCCGAAAGAAAGGCACAAUGGCCUAGAAAGGAACGACCGGACUCAGAACGGGGUUGGAGGCCUCGAAAGUUCACGUCUGGCUACUGGGUGGUCCGAUUUGAGUGGUCUCGAAGUUUCUUGCCCACAAAAGCCGAACGGUGAUGUCCCAGACUCUGUUUCUUAGUUCCGUCCCAAAACGCCGAAAGAAAGGCACAAUUACUUGGAAAGGAACGACCGGACUUAGAACGGGGUCGAAGGCCUCGUAAGUUCACGUCUAGCUACUGGGUGGUUCGAUUCUGAGUGGUCUCGAAGUUUCUUGCCCACAAAAGCCGAACGGUGAUGCCCUAGACUCGGUUUCUUGGUUCCGUCCCAAAACACCGAAAGAAAAGCACAGUGGCCUAGAAAGGAACGACCGGACUUAGAACGGGGUCGGCGGACAAGAAAGUUCACGUCUAGCUACUGGGUGGUCCGAUUCUGAGUGGUCUCGAAGUUUCUUGCCCACAAAAGCCGAACGGUGAUGCCCAGACUCGGUUUCUUGGUUCCGUCCCAAAACACCGAAAGAAAGGCAAAGUGACCUAGAAAGGAACGACCGGACUUAGAACGGGGUCGGCGGCCUCAAAAGUUUACGUCUAGCUACUGGGUGGUCUGAUUCUGAGUGGUCUCGAAGUUUCUUGCCCACAGAAGCCGAACGGUGAUGCCCCAGACUCGGUUUCUUGGUUCCGUCCCAAAACACCGAAAGAAAGGCACAGUGGCCAAGAACGAUACGGUCGGACUUAGAACGGGGUCGGAGGCCUCAAAAGUUAACGUCUAGCUACUGGGUGGUCCGAUUCUGAGCGGUCUCGAAGUUUCUUGCCCACAAAAGCCGAACGGUGAUGCCCUAGACUCGGUUUCUUGGUUCCGUCCUAAAACGUCGAAAGAAAGGCACAAUGGCCUAGAAAAGAACGGCUGGACUGAGAACGGGGUCGGAGGCCUCGAAAGUUGAUGUCUAGCUACUGGGUGGUCCGAUUCUGAGCGGUCACGAAGUUUCUUGCCCAUAAAAGCCGAACGAUGAUGCCCCAGACUCGGUUUCUUGGUUCCGUCCGAAAACGCCGAAAGAAAGGCAAAGUGUCCUAGAAAGGAAUUGUCGGACUUAGAACGGGGUCGGAGGCCUCGAAAGUUCACGUCUAGCUACUGGGCGGUUCGAUUCUGAGUGAUCUCGAAGUUUGUUGCCCACAAAAGCCGAACGGUGAUGCCCCAGACUCGGUUUCUUGGUUCCGUCGCAAAACGCCGAAAGAAAGGCACAGUGGCCUAGAAAGGAACGGCCGGACUUAGAACAGGGUCGGAGGCCUCGAAAGUUCACGUCUAGCUACUGGGUGGUAUGAUUCUGAGUGGUCUCGAAGUUUCUUGCCCAGAAAAGUCGAACGGUGAUGCCCAAGACUGAUAGAACUAUGUCAUGCACAGCGGAAAAAGAAUCGAAUUUCUACCCUAAUUGCCACAAUUAACAUGUAACCAUAAACUAAUCAAAUUAGGGUUUUAGGAAAUAUUACCUUUGAAGCUUUCAAAAAGCUUGAUAUCUUUUUACCAAUUCAAACCGAGACCACCACUAGUAUUCAACUGCUAUCCUCUAAAUAAAGAACCGGGUUGUGAGACUCAAUUUUGGUGUAAAAAGUAAUGGAGAUAAAAGGGGGUUAGAAGGUUUCUUUUUUUCCUUUGAGUGAGAUGAUGAAAAUGAUAAAAGAGGCAAAAGUCCUUCUACAUUUGAAAACACCUCUAUUUAUAACCUAAUUACAUGAAAAAAUGCAUGCAAUUCAUUUGCCAAAUCUCAACACCUAAUGUUCCACUAACAAUUAGUGGAACUUAGUGGGCUAGGUGUCUAUAUCUCAUAUAGCCACAUAUCCCACUAAGAGUUAGUGGGAUUAUCCAACAAAAUGUUGGAUUUUCCCACUAACUUAGUCCAAGGGUAAAAUGGUCAUUAGAUAUUUCUAGUCAAAAGUCAAACUUUGACUUUUCUUAGUCAAAAGUCAAUAUUUUGACUUUUUACCAUUUUGUCCAUCUUGACUAAUUCCAACCUCCCGAGCAUGAAUCCGCAUUCAUUUUUUCAAAAUUCAAAUCACAUUUGAAUAUAAGGCCGGUCAAAGUUUGACUUUUAAAGUCAAAAGUCAACAUUUUGAGUUUUUACUAUUUUUGACCAAUUCCAUCAAUUCCGAGCUUCUUAGUAUGAAUCCGCAUUCAUACUUAUAGUACGUAAAACAUAAAGCUCUAUUUCUAAUUAGAAGACCGACGACUAGAUCACUAUAUUUGUCGGUUUCCCUUUCUUCUCCCAAUUCGAAAAAUUCGACUUAUUUCAUCACACUGUUCUAAGUUUAAUCCAUAUGAGCUAGCAGAGGAACCUAAUGGACCUAUAGAUCAUGGGCUCCAACGAUUCAAGAUUAACUAGCUAAACUCUUUUAAACCAUGGCUUAGAAAGGAACGGUCGGAUUUAGAACGGGGUCGGAGGCCUCGAAAGUUCACAUCUAGCUACUGGGUGGUCCGAUUCUGAGUGGCCUCGAAGUUUCUAGCCCACAAAAGCCGAACGGUGAUGACCAAGACUCGGUUUCUUGGUUCCGUCCCAAAACGCCGAAAGAGAGGCACAAUGGCAUAGAAAGGAACGAUCGGACUUAGAGUGGGGUCGAAGGCCUCGAAAGUUCACAUCUAGCUACUGGGUGGUCUGAUUCUGAGUGGUCUCGAAGUUUCUUGCCAACAAAAGCCGAACGGUGAUGCCCAGACUCGGUGUCUUGGUUCCGUCCCAAAACGCUGAAAGAAAGGCACAAUGGCCUAGAAAGGAACAGCCGAACUUAGAAGGGGGUCGGAGGCCCCGAAAGUUAACGUCUAGCUACUGGGUGGUCCGAUUCUGAGUGGUCUCAAAGUUUCAUACCCACAAAAGCCGAACAGUGAUGCCCAAGACUCGGUUUCUUGGUUCCGUCCCAAAACACCGAAAGAGAGGCACAAUGGCCUAGAAAGGACUGACCCGACUUAAAACGGGGUCAGAGGCCUCGAAAGUUCACGUCUAGCUACUGGGUGGUCCGAUUCUUAGUGGUCUCGAAGUUUCUUACCCACAAAAGCCGAACGGUGAUGCCCAGACUCGGUUUCUUGGUUCCAUCCCGAAAUGCUGCAAGAAAGGCAUAAUGGCCUCGAAAGCAACGUCCAGACUUAGAAUGGGGUCGGAGGCCUCGAAAGUUCACGUCUAGCUACUGGGUGGUUCGAUUCUAAGUUGUCUCGAAGUUUCUUGCCCACAAAAGCCGAACGGUGAUGCACAAGACUCGGUUUCUUGGUUCCAUCCUAAAACGCCGAAAGAGAGACACAAUGGCAUUCAAAGGAAUGACCGAACUUAGAAUAGAGUCGGAGGCCUCAAAAUUUUACGUCUAGCUACUCGGUGGUCCGAUUCUGAGUGGACUCGAAGUUUCUUGCCCACAAAAGUCGAAAGGUGAUGCCCAAACUCGGUUUCUUGGUUCCGUCUCAAAACGCCGAAAGCAAGGAAAAAUGGCCUCGGAAAGAACGACUAGACUUAGAAUGGGGUCGAAGGCCUCGAAAGUUCACAUCUAGCUACUAGGUGGUCCGAUUCUGAGUGGCCUCGAAGUUUCUUGCCCACAAAAGCCGAACGGUGAUGCCCCAGACUCGGUUUCUUGGUUCCGUCCCAAAACGCCGAAGGGAGGCAAAAUGGCGUCGAAAGGAACGACCGGGUUUAUAACGAGGUCGGAGGCCUCGAAAGUUUACGUCUAGCUACUCGGUGGUCCGAUUAUGAGUGGUUUCGAUUUUUCUUGCCCACAAAAGUCGAAAGGUGAUGCCCAGACUCGGUUUCUUGGUUUCAUCCCAAAACGCCGAAAAAAAGGCAUAAUGGCCUCGAAAGGAACGACCAGACUUAGAACGGGGUCGGAGGCCUUGAAAGUUCACGUCUAGCUACUGGGUGGUUCGAUUCUGAGUGGUCUCGAAGUUUCUUGCCCACAAAAAUCAAGUGGUGAUGCCCCAGACUCGGUUUCUUGGUUCCAGCCAAAAAGGCCGAAGAGAGGCACAAUGGCCUAGAAAGGAACGACCGGCAUUAGAACGGGGUUGGUAGCCUCGAAAGUUCACGUCUAGCUACUAGGUGGUCCGAUUCUGAGUGGUCUCGAAGUUUCUUACCCACAAAAGUCGAACGGUAAUGCCCCAGUCUCGGUUUCUCGGUUACGUCCCAAAAUGCCGAAAGAAGGCACAUAGGCCUAGAAAGGAACGACCGGACUCAGAAGGGGGUCAGAGACCCCGAAAGUUCACGUCUAGCUACUGGGUGGUCCGAUUCUGAGUGGUCUCGAAGUUUCUUGCCUACAAACGCCGAACGGUGAUGCCCAGACUCAGUUUCUUGGUUUCGUCCCAAAACGCCGAAAGAAAGGCACAAUGGCCUAGAAAGGAAUGGCCGGACUUAGAAAGGGGUCGGAGGCCCCGAAAGUUCACUUAUAGCUACUGGGUGGUCCGAUUCUGAGUGGUCUCGAAGUUUCUUGCCCACAAAAGACGAACGGUGAUGCCCAAGACUCGGUUUCUUGGUUCCGUCCCAAAAUGCCGGAAGAAAGGCACAAUGCCCUAGAAAGGAACGACUGGACUUAGAACGGGGUCGCAGGCCCCGAAAAUUCAUGUCUAGCUACUGGAUGGUCCGAUUCUGAGAGGUCUUGAAGUUUCUUGCCCACAAAAGCCGAACGGUGAUGCCCGAGACUCGGUUUGUUGUUUCUGUCCCAAAACGCCGAAAGAAAAGCACAAUGGCUUAGAAAGGAACGACCGGACUUAGAAUAGGGUCGGAGGCCUCGAAAGUUCACGUCUAGCUACUGGGUGGUUUGAUUCUGAGUGAUCUCGAAGUUUCUUGCCCACAAAAGCCGAACGGUGAUGCCUAGACUCGGUUUCUUUGUUUCGUGCCAAAACGCCGAAAGAGAGGCACAAUGGCCUAGGAAGGAACGACUGAACUUACAACGAGGUCGGAGGCUCCAAAAGUUCACGUCUAGCUACUCGGUGGUCCGAUUCUGAGUGGUCUGAAAAUUCUUGCCCACAAAAGCUGAACGGUUAUGCCCAGACUCGGUUUCUUGGUUCCGUCCCAAAACGCCAAAAGAAAGGUACAAUGUCCUAGAAAGGAACGACCGAACUUAGAACGGGGUCGGAGGCCUCGAAAGUUCACGUCUAGCAAACUGGACGAUCCGAUUCUAAGUGGUCUUGAAGUUUCUUGCCCACAAAAGCCGAACGGUGAUGCCCUAGACUUGGUUUCUUGGUUCCGUCAAAAAAUGCCGAAAGAGAGGCACAAUGGCGUAGAAAGUAGCGACCGGACUUAGAACGGGGUCGGAGGCCUCGAAAGUUCUCGUCUAACUACUUGGUGGUUCGAUUCUGAGUGGUCUCAAAGUUUCUUACCCACAAAAGCCGAACGGUGAUGGCCCAGACUCGGUUUCUUGGUUCCGUCCCAAAACGUCGAAAUAAAGGCACAAUGACCUAGAAAGGAACGACCAGAAUUAGAACGGGGUCGGAGGCCUCGAAUGUUCACGUCUAGCUACUGGGUGGUUCGAUUCUAAGUGGUCUCAAAGUUUCUUGCCCACAAAAGCCGAAUGAUGAUGCCCCAAAUUCGGUUUCUUGGUUCCGUCCAAAAACGCCGAAAGAGUGGCACAAUGGCCUAGAAAGGAACGACCAAACUUAGAACGGGUUUGGAGGGCUCGAAAGUUCAUGUCUAGCUACUCGGUGGCUCGAUUCUGAUUGGUCUCGAUGUUUUUUGCCCAUAAAAGCCGGACGGUGAUGUUCCAGACUCGGUUCUUGGUUCCGUCCCAAAACGUCGAAAGAGAGGCACAAUGGUUUAGAAAGGAACGACCAAACAUAGAACGGAGUCGAAGUUCUCGAAAGUUCAUGUCUAGCUACUGGGUGGUCCGAUUCUGAGUGGUCUCGAAGUUUCUUACCCUCAAAAGCCAAACGGUGAUGCCCAGACUCGGUUUCUUGGUUCCUUGCCAAAACGGCGAAAGAGAGGCACAAUGGCCUAGAAAGGAACGACCGGACUUAGAAUGGGGUCGGAGUGCUCGAAAGUUCACGUCUAGCUACUGGGUGGUUCGAUUCUGAGUGGUGUCGAAGUUUCUUUACCACAAAAGCUUAACGGUGAUGCCCAAGACUCGGUUUCUUGGUUCCGUCCCAAAACGCCGAAAGAAAGGCACAAUGGCCUAGAAAGGAACGACCGGACUUAGAACUUGGUCGGAGGCCUCAAAAGUUCACGUCUAGCUACUGGAUGGUCCGAUUCUGAGUGGUGUCGAAGUCUCUUUCCCACAAAAGCCGAACGGUGAUGCCCAGACUCAGUUUCUUGGUUCCGUCCAAAAACGCCGAAAGAAGGGCACAAUGGCCUAGAAAGGAACGACCGAACUCAGAAUGGUGUCGGAGGCCUCGAAAGUUCACGUCUAGCUACUAGGUGGUCCGAUUCUGAGUGGUCUCAAAGUUUCGUGUCCACAAAAGCCGAACGGUGAUGCCCAGACUCAGUUUCUUGGUUCCGUCCAAAAACGCCAAAAGAAGGGCACAAUGGCCUAGAAAGGAACGACCGAACUCAGAACGGGGUCGGAGGCCUCGAAAGUUCACGUCUAGCUAUUGGGUGGUCCGAUUCUGAGUGGUCUCAAAGUUUCGUGUCCACAAAAGUCGAACGGUGAUGCCCAGACUCGGUUUCUUAGUUCCGUUCAAAACGCCAAAGAGAGGCACAAUGGCCUAGAAAGAAACGACCCGACUUAGAACGGGGUCGGAGGCCUCGAAAGUUCACAUCUAGCUACUGGGUGGUCCGAUUCUGGGUGAUCUCGAAGUUUCUUUCCUACGAAAGCCGAACGGUGAUGCCCUAGACUCGGUUUCUCGGUUCCGUCUCAAAAUGCCAAAGAAAGGCACAAUUUCCUAGAAAGGAACGACCAGACUUAGAACGAGGUCAGAGGCCUCGAAAGUUCACAUCUAGCUCUUGAGUGGUCCGAUUCUGAGUGUUCUCAAAGUUUCUUGCCCAAGAGAGCCGAACGGUGAUGACCCAGACUCGGUUUCUCGGUUCCGUCCCAAAACGCUGAAGAAAGGCACAAUGGCCUAGAAAGGAACGGUCGGACUUAGAACGGGGUCGGAGGCCUCGAAAGAUCACAUCUAGCUACUGGGUGGUCCAAUUCUGAGUGAUCUCGAAGUUUCUUGCCCACGAAAGCUGAAUGGUGAUGCCCCAGACUCGAAUUCUUGGUUCCGUCCCAAAACGCCGAAGAAAGGCACAAUGGCCUAAAAAGGAACGACCGGGCUCAGAACGAGGUCGGAGGCCCUGAAAGUUCACAUCUAACCACUAGGCGGUCCAAUUCCGAGUGAUCUCGAAGUUUCUUGCCCUCAAAAGCCAAACGGUGACGCCCCAUACUCGUUUUCUUGGUUUCAUCCUAAAACGCGAAAGAAAGGCAUAAUGGCCUUGAAAGGAACGACCGGACUCAGAACGGGGUCGGAGGCCCCGAGCGUUCAUAUCUAACCACUGGGCGGUCCAAUUCUGAGUGAUAUCGAAGUUUCUUGCCCGCAAAAGCCGAACGGUGAUGCCCCAUACUCGGUUUAUUGGUUUCGUCCCAAAACCCUAAAGAAAGGCACAAUGGCCUCGAAAGGAACGACAAUACUUUGAACGGGGUAGGAGGCCUCGAAAGUUUAUAUCUAACCACUGGGCGGUCCGAUUCUGAGUGAUCUCGAAGUUUCUUGCCCACAAAAGAUGAACGGUGGUGGCCCAUACUCGGUUUCUUGGUUUCGUCCCAAAACGUCGAAGAAAGGCACGAUGGCCUAGAAAGGAGCGACUGGACUCAGAACAAGGUCGGUGGCCCUGAAAGUUCACAUCAAACCACUGGGCGGUCUGAUUCUAUGUGGUCUCGAAUUUUCUUGCCCACAAAAGCCGAACGGUGAUGCCCCACACUCAGUUUCUUGGUUCCGUCCUAAAACGUCGAAGAAAGUCACGAUGGCCUAGAAAGGAACUACCGGACUCAGAACGGGGUCGGAGGCCUCGAAGUUCACAUCUAACCACUGGGCGGUCCAAUUCUGAGUGAUCCCAAAGUUUCUUGCCCACAAAAGUCAAACGUUGAUGCCCCAUACUCGGUGUCUUGGUUGCAUCCCAAAACGCCGAAGAAAGGCACAAUGGCCUAGAAAGCAACGACUGGACUCAGAACGGGGUCGGAGGCCCCAAGAGUUCACAUCUAACCACUAGGCGGUCUGAUUCUGAGUGAUCUCGAAGUUUCUUGCCCACAAAAGCAGAACGGUGAUGCCCCAUACUCGGUUUCUUGGUUCCAUCCCAAAACCCCGAAGAAAGGCACAAUGGCCUAAAAAGGAACGACCGGGCUCAGAACGGGGUCGGAGGCCCUGAAAGUUUACAUCUAACCACUAGGCGGUCCAAUUCUGAGUGAUCUCAAAGUUUCUUGCCCUCAAAAGCCGAACGGUGAUGCCCAUACUCAUUUUCUUGGUUUCAUCCUAAAACGCGAAAGAAAGGCAGAAUGGCCUCGAAAGGAACGACCGGACUCAGAACGGGGUCGGAGGCCCCGAGCGUUCACAUCUAACCAUUGGGCGGUCCAAUUCUGAGUGAUAUCGAAGUUUCUUGCCCACAAAAGCUGAACGGUGAUGCCCCAUACUCGGUUUCUUGGUUUCUUCCCAAAACGCCGAAGAAAGGCACAAUGGCUUAAAAAAGGAACGAUCAGAGUCAGAACGGGGUCGGAGGCCCCGAAAGUUCACAUCUAACCACUGGACGGUCCGAUUCCGAAUGAUCUCAAAGUUUCUUGCCCACAAAAGCCGAUUGGUGAUGCCCCAAACUCGAUUUCUUGGUUCCGUCCCAAAACGUCGAAGAAAGCCACAAUAGCCUAGAAAGGAACGACCGGAAUAAGAAUGGGGUCGGAGGCCUCGAGAGUUCACAUCUAACCACUGGGCGGUCCGAUCCUGAGUGAUCUCGAAGUUUCUUCCCCACAAAAGCUGAACGGUGAUACCCCAUACUAGGUUUCUUUGUUCAGUCCCAAAACGCCGAAGAAAGGCACAAUGGCCUAAAAAGGAUUGACCGGGCUCAGAACGGGGUCAGAGGCCCCGAAAGUUCACAUCAAACCACUGGGCGGUCUGAUUCUUAGUGAUCUCGAAGUUUCUUACCCACAAAACCCGAAGGGUGAUGCCCCAUACUCGGUUCUUGGUUUCGUCCCAAAACGCUGAAGAAAGGCACAAUGGCCUAGAAAGGAACGACCAGACUCAAAACGGGGUCGGAGGCCACGAAAGUUUACAUCUAACAACUGGGCGGUUCGAUUAUGAGUGAUCUAGAAGUUUCUUGCCAACAAAAGCCGAACGUUGAUGCCCAAUACUCGGUUUCUUCGUUCCGUCCCAAAACGCCGAAGAAAGGCACAAUGGCCUAGAAAAGGAACGACCGGACUGAAUGGGGUCGCAGGCCUCGAAAGUUCACAUCUAACCACUGGUCAGUCCGAUUCUGAGUGAUCUCGAACUUUCUUACCCACAAAAGCCGAACGGUGAUGCCCCAUACUCGGUUUCUUGAUUUCUCCCAAAACGCUGAAGAAAGGCACAAGGCCUAGAAAAGAACGACCAGACUCAGAACAGGUCGGACGACCCGAAAGUUCACAUCUAACCACUGGAUGGUCCGAUUCUGAGUGAUCUCGAAGUUUUUUGCCCACAAAAGUGGAACGAUGAUGCCCCAUACUCGAUUUCUUGGUUCCGUUCCAAAACGCGAAAGAAAGGCACAAUGGCCUAGAGAGGAACGACCGGACUCAAAACGGGGUCGGAGGCCCCGAGAGUUUACAUUUAACCACUAGACGGUUCGAUUCUGAGUGAUCUUGAAGUUUCUUGCCACAAAAGCCGAACGGUGAUGCCGCAUACUCGGUUUCUUGGUUUCAUCCCAAAACGCCGAAGAAAGGCACAAUAGCCUAGAAAGGAUAGACCGGACUCAGAACGGGGUCGGAGGCUCCUGAAAGUUCACAUCUAACCACUAGACGGUCCGAUUCCUAGUGAUCUCGAAGUUUAUUGCCGACAAAAGCCGAACGGUGAUGCCCCAUACUCGAUUUCUUGGUUACGUCCCAAAAUGUCGAAGAAAGGCACAAUGGCCUAGAAAGGAACGACCGGACUUAGAACAGAGUCGGAGGCCUCGAAAGUUCACGUCUAGCUACUGGGUGGUCCGAUUCUGAGUGGUCUCGAAGUUUCUUGCCCACAAAAGCCGAACGGUGAUGCCCCAGACUCGGUUUCUUGGUUCCAUCCCAAAACGCCGAAAGAAAGGCACAAUGGCCUAGAAAGGAACGCUCGAACUUAGAACGGGGUCGGAGGCUCCGAGAGUUCACAUCUAACCACUGGACGGUCCGCUCUGAGUGAUCACGAAGUUUCUUCCCCACAAAAGUCGAACGGUGAUGCCCCAUACUCGGUUUCUUUGUUCCGUCCCAAAACGCCGAAGAAAGGCACAAUGGCCUAAAAAGGAAAGACCGGGCUCAAAACGGGGUCGGAGGCCCUGAAAGUUCACAUCUAACCACUGGGCGGUCCGAUUCUGAGUGAUCUCGAAGUUUCUUGCCCACAAAAGCCGAAUGGUGAUGCCCAGACGCGGUUUCUUGGUUCCGUACCAAAACGCCGAAGAAAGGUACAAUGGCCUAGAAAGGAACUACUAGACUCAGAACGGGGUUGAGGCCUCCAAAGUUCACAUCUAACCACUCUGCCGUCCGAUUCUAAGUGAUCUCGAAGUUUCUUGCCCCCAAAAUCCGAACGUAUGGCCCAUACUCGGUUUCUUGGUUCCGUCCCAAAACGCCGAAGAAAGGCACAAUUGCCUAGAAAGGAACGACCGGACUAAGAACGGGGUCGGAGGACUCGAGAGUUCACAUCUAACCACUGGGCGGUCCGAUUCUGAGUGAUCUCGAAGUUUCUUCCCCACAAAAGCCGAACGGUGAUGCCCCAUACUAGGUUUCUUUGUUCAGUCCCAAAACGCCGAAGAAAGGAACAAUGGCCUAAAAAGGAACGACCGGGCUUAGAACGGGGUCGGAGGCCCCGAAAGUUCACAUCAAACCAUUGGGCGGUCCGAUUCGGAGUGAUCUCGAAGUUUCUUGCCCUCAAAAGCCGAACGGUGAUGCCCCAGACGCGAUUUCUUGGUUCCGUACCAAAACGCCGAAGAAAGGCAUAAUGGCCUAGAAAGGAACUACCAGAAUAAGAACAGAGUCGGAGGCCUCCAAAGGUUACAUCUAACCACUGGGCGGUCCGAUUCUGAGUGAUCUCGAAGUUUCUUGCCCACAAAACCCGAACUAUGAUGCCCCAUACUCGGUUUCUUGGUUCCAUCCCAAAACACUGAAGAAAGGCACAAUGGCCUAGAAAGGAACGACCGGACUCAGAACGGGGUCGGACGCCUCCAAAGUUCACAUCUAACCACUGGGGCGUCCGAUUUUGAGUGAUCUCGAAGUUUCUUGUCCACAAAACCCGAACGGUGAUGCCCCAUACUCGGUUUCUUGGUUGCGUCCCAAAACGCCGAAGAAAGGCACAAUUGCCUAGAAUGGAACGACCAGACUAAGAACGGGGUCGGAGGACUCGAGAGUUCACAUCUAACCACUAGGCGGGUCGAUUCUGAGUGAUCUCGAUGUUUCUUCCCCACAAAAGCCGAACGGUGAUGCCCCAUAGUAGGUUUCUUUGUUCAGUCCCAAAACGCCGAAGAAAGGCACAAUGGCCUAAAAAGGAACGACCGGGCUCAGAACGGGGUUGGAGGCCGCAAAAGUUAACACCAAACCAUUGGGCGGUCCGAUUCGGAGUGAUCUCGAAGUUUCUUGCCCACAAAAGCCGAACAGUGAUGCCCGGACGCGGUUUCUUGGUUCCGUACCAAAACACCGAAGAAAGGCACAAUGGCCUAGAAAGGAACUACCAGACUCAGAACGGGGUCGAGGCCUCCAAAGUUCACAUCUAACUACUGGGCGGUCCGUUUCUGAGUGAUCUCGAAGUUUCUUGCCCACAAAAGCCGAACGGUGAUGCCCCACACUCGGUUUCUUGGUUCCGUCCCAAAACGCCGAAGAAAGGCACAUUUGCCUAGACAGGAACGACCGGACUAAGAACGGGGUCGGAGGACUCGAGAGGUCACAUCUAACCACUGGGCGGUCCGAUUCUAAGUGAUCUCGAAGUUUCUUCCCCACAAAAGCCGAACGGUGAUGCCCCAUACUAGGUUUCUUUGUUCAGUCCCAAAACGCCGAAGAAAGGCACAAUGGCCUAAAAAGGAACGACCGGGCUCAGAACGGGAUUGGAGGCCCCGAAAGUUAACAUCAAACCAUUGGGCGGUCCGAUUCGGAAUGAUCUCGAAGUUUCUUGCCCACAAAAGCCGAACAGUGAUGCCUCGGACGCGGUUUCUUGGUUCCGUACCAAAACGCCGAAGAAAGGCACAAUGGCCUAGAAAGGAACUACCAGACUCAGAACGGGGUCGAUGCACCAUAGUUCACAUCUAACCACUGGGCGGUCUGAUUCUGAGUGAUCUCGAAGUUUCUUGCCCACAAAACCCGAACGGUGAUGCCCCAUACUCGGUUUCUUGGUUCCGUCCCAAAACGCCGAAGAAAGGCACAAUUGCCUAGAAAGGAACGACCAGACUAAGAACAGGGUCGGAGGACUCGAGAGUUCAAAUCUAACCAUUGGGCGAUCCGAUUCUGAGUGAUCUCGAAGUUUCUUCCCCACAAAAGCCGAACGGUGAUGCCCCAUACUAGGUUUCAUUGUUCAGUCCCAAAACGCCGAAGAAAGGCACAAUGGCCUAAAAAGGAACGACCGGGCUCAGAACGGGGUCGGAGGCCCCGAAAGUUAACAUCAAACCAUUGGGCGGUCCGAUUCGGAGUGAUCUCGAAGUUUCUUGCCCACAAAAGCCGAACGGUGAUGCCCCAGACGCGGUUUCUUGGUUCUGUACCAAAACACCGAAGAAUGGCACAAUGGCCUAGAAAGGAACUACCAGACUCAGAACGGGGUCGGAGGCCUCGAAAGUUCACAUCUAACCACUGGGCGGUCCGAUUCUGAAUGAUCUUGAACUGUCUUCCCCACAAAAGCCGAACGGUGAUGCCCCAUACUCGGUUUCUUGGUUCCGUCCCAAAACGCCAAAGAAAGGCACAAUGGCCUAGAAAGGAACGACCGGACUCAGAACGGGGUCGGACGCCUCUAAAGUUCACAUCUAACCACUGGCCCGUCCGAUUCUGAGUGAUCUCGAAGUUUCUUGCCCACAAAACCCGAACGGUGAUGCCCCAUACUCGGUUUCUUGGUUCCGUCCCAAAACGCUGAAUAAAGGCACAAUGGCCCAGAAAGGAACGACCGGACUCAGAACGGGGUCGGACGCCUCCAAAGUUCACAUCUAACCACUGGGCCGUCCAAUUCUGAGUGAUCUCAAAGUUUCUUCCCCACAAAACCCGAACGAUGAUGCCCCAUACUCGGUUUCUUGGUUCCGUCCCAAAAUGCCGAAGAAAGGCACAAUUGCCUAGAAUGGAACGAUCGGACUAAGAACGGGGUCGGAGGACUCGAGAGUUCACAUCUAACCACUGGGCGGCAGUCCGAUUCUGAGUGAUCUCGAAGUUUCUUCCCCACAAAAGCCAAACGGUGAUGCCCCAUACUAGGUUUUUUGUUCAGUCCCAAAACGCCGAAGAAAGGCACAAUGGCCUAAAAAGGAACGACCGGGCUCAGAACGGGGUCGGAGGCCCCGAAAGUUAACAUCAAACCAUUGGGUGGUCCGAUUCGGAGUGAUCUCAAAGUUUCUUGCCCACAAAAGCCAAACGGUGAUGCCCCAGACGCGGUUUCUUGGUUUCGUACCAAAACGCCGAAGAAAGGCACAAUGGCCUAGAAAGGAACUACCAGACUUAGAACGGGGUCGGAGGCCUCGAAAGUUCACAUCUAACCACUGGGCGGUCCAAUUCUGAAUGAUCUCGAACUGUCUUCCCCACAAAAGCCGAACGGUGAUGCCCCAUACUAGGUUUCUUUGUUCAGUCCCAAAACGCCGAAGAAAGGCACAAUGGCCUAAAAAGGAACGACCGGGCUCAGAACGGGGUCGGAGGCCCCGAAAGUUAACAUUAAACCAUUGGGCGGUCCGAUUCGGAGUGAUCUCGAAGUUUCUUCCCCAUAAAAGCCGAACGGUGAUGCCCCAGACGCGGUUUCUUGGUUUCGUACCAAAACGCCGAAGAAAGGCACAAUGGCCUAGAAAGGAACUACCAGACUCAGAACGGAGUCGGAGGCCUCCAAAGGUUACAUCUAACCACUGGGCAGUCCGAUUCUGAGUGAUCUCGAAGUUUCUUGCCCACAAAACCCGAACGGUGAUGCCCCAUACUCGGUUUCUUGGUUCCGUCCCAAAACACCGAAGAAAGGCACAAUGGCCUAGAAAGGAACGAUCGGACUCAGAACGGGGUCGGACGCCUCGAAAGUUCACAUCUAACCACUGGGCGGUCCGAUUCUGAAUGAUCUUAAACUUUCUUGCCCACAAUAGCCGAACGGUGAUGUCCCAUACUCGGUUUCUUGGUUUCGUCCCAAAACGACGAAGAAAGGCACAAUGGCGUAGAAAGGAACGACCGGACUCAGAAUAGGUCGGAGGCCCCGAAAGUUCACAUCUAACCACUUGACGGUCCAAUUCUGAGUGAUCUCGAAGUUUUUUGCCCACAAAAGCCAAACGGUGAUGCCCCAAACUCGAUUUCUUGUUCCGUCCCAAAACGCAGAAGAAAGGCACAAUGGCCUAGAAAGGAACGAACGGACUCAGAACGGGGUCGGACGCCCCGAGAGUUCAUAUCUAACCACUGGGCGGUCUGAUUCUGAGUGAUCUCGAAGUUUUUUGCCCACAAAAGCCGAACGGUGAUGCCGCAUACUCCGUUUCUUGGUUUCGUCCCAAAACGCCGAAGAAAGGCACAAUGGCCUAAAAAGGAACGACCGGACUCAGAACGGGGUCGGAGGCCCCGAAAGUUCACAUCUAACCACUGGACGGUCCGAUUCUUAGUGAUCUCGAAGUUUCUUGCCCACAAAAGCCGAACGGUGAUGCCCCAUACUCGAUUUCUUGGUUCCGUUCCAAAACGCCAAAGAAAGGCACAAUGGCCUAGAAAGGAACGACCGGACUAAGAACGGGGUCGGAGGCCCCGAGAGUUCACAUCUAACCACUAGGCGGUCCAAUUCCGAGUGAUCUCGAAGUUUCUUGCCCACAAAAGCCGAACGGUGAUGCCCCUAAAACAGUUUACAUAGGAUGCCCCCACUUUCAUGUCUCUACAUGAACGAUUAGGAUCACCUCGUUUGUACUACAAAGUGGGCCGCAUCCAUAGUUUCUCUAAAUAAAGCACCCAACCUUUAUUCAUAUACUAUAGACUAUUUAGGCUAUAUAUACUCGAACUUGAUCCACGUUUAUGUUUACACAUAAAGUUCAAGUUUAUUCAAAAAAUAGCCUUGUAACUUGAUUUAUUGGAUUUAGGAUUAUAAUAUUUAAUUUCUCAAUAAUAACUUUAUUGAAACAGAAUAUGAUUACAAACUACGAGUUUUAGGACAAAAAAUUCCAAGAAACUCCCACUUGGACUAAAACUCCUAGUGGUAUGAGAGAAACUAGGCACAUGGCCAAUAAGUCUCCCACUUGUCCUAGCUUACAAACAUCGUAGACCUAAACUGUGUAGGUGACCCUCAAACACUUUAGCCGUGAGGGCUUUUGUAAAAGGAUCAGCAAUGUUUGGCUGAGAAGAAAUCUGGGUUACUACAACGUCACCACGAUGUACAAUUUCCCUGAUAAGAUGGUACUUGCGUUCAAUAUGCUUUCCUCUUUUAUGGCUUCUAGGUUCUCUUGAAUUUGCAACUGCACCACUGUUGUCACAGUAUAAAGUGAUUGGUAGAUGCAUAUUUGGAACGACUUCCAAUUAUGUCAAGAAUUUUCUUAGCCAUACUACUUCUUUUUUGCCUUCACAAGCCGCUACGUAUUCAGCUUCCAUUGUGGAAUCAGCUAUACAAGUUUGCUUUAUGCUUCUCCAAACUACUGCUCCUCCAUUUAGAGUAAAUACUGAUCCUGAUGUAGACUUUCUAGCAUCUUUAUCAGUUUGGAAAUCUGAAUCAGUGUAUCCAGUAAGGAUCAGAUCCUUUGUACCAUACAUGAGAAUGUAGUCUUUUGUUCUUCGAAGAUAUUUUAGAAUGUUUUUAACGGCUGUCCAGUGAUCACGUCCAGGAUUGGAUUGAUACCUACUGACCAUCCCUACUGAAUAGCAAAUGUCAAGUCUAGUACAUAACAUUGCAUACAUUAAACUUCCAACAGCGGAAGCAUAGGGAAUAUUUCUCAUAUCCUCAACUUCUUGAGGUGUCUUAGAACAUUGUUCCUUUGACAAAUGAAUUCCAUAUCUGUACGGCAGCAGACCCUUUUUGUAAUUCUGCAUUUUAUAUCUAGACAACAUUUUGUCUAUGUAAGAUGCUAGAGACAUGGCUAGUGUUUUGUUCUUACGGUUUCGAAUAAUUUGGAUUCCGAGAACGUAUUGUGCAUCUCCAGAUCUUUCAUUUGAAAUUACAUAGCUAGCCAUUUGUUCUUGAUCUUGUUCUAUAAACCCCUCUGGUUGAGACAUAUAGAUACUCUCUUCAAGAUUACCGUUCAAAAAAGCUGUCUUGACAUCCAUAUGCCAAAUUUCAUAAUCAUAAAAAGUGGCGAUGGAUAAGAGUAUUCUAAAUGACUUUACCGGUUUGGUCUCGUUUUCUCUUGUAGAUCCAUUUACAACCAAUAGGUUUUACGUCAUUUGGUUGAUCUACCAGAGUCCGGACAGAAUUAAAGUACAUAGACUCCAUUUCGAGGUCCAUGGCUUUGAUCCAUUGGUCACGAUCUACAUCUUUCAUUGCCUGUUUAUAGGUUAAUGGAUCCUCUAUGCCAUCGUCAGGUAUGACAACUUGAGUUUCAAUUAAACCCAAAUAGCGAUCAGGCUGAUGAACAACCCUCCCACUACGUCGAGGCUCUCUCAACUGUUGAGAAGGAUGUGAUUGACCAGAUUUCCUAGUCUUAUCAACUACUUUAGUGGAUGAACUAGGUUUAUCUAUAACACUUUUGGAAAUUUCUUUUAAUACUAGUUUACUACGAGGUUGAUGAUCCCUGAUGUUGUCUUCCUCUAAGAAUGUGGCAUUUUUUGACACAAAUAUUUUAUUUUCUUGAGGAUCAUAAAACAAACCACCUCUUGAUUCUUUUGGAUAACCUAUGAAAAAGCAUAAUUUUGAACGAUGUUCCAAUUUCUUAGGAUUUUGUACCAACACGUGUGCUGGACAACCCCCAAUUCUAAAAUAACGUAAACUUCCUUUACGCCCUUUCCAUAACUCAUAAGGUGUUUCUGAAACACUUUUAGAGAGAACAUUAUUCAAAAUAUAAGCAGCUGUUUCUAAAGCAUAUCCCCAAAAAGAAUCUGGCAUCUGAGAAAAACUCAUCAUAGAGCGAACCAUGUCUAACAAGGUCCAGUUUCUUCUUUCUGAUACACCGUUCUGUUGAGGCGUACUAGGUGCAGAGAGUUGUGACUGGAUUCCAUUUUCUAUUAAAUAGUCUUGGAAUCGUAAGUCCAUAUACUCUCCACCUCGAUCUGAUCGAAGUAUUUUUAUUGUUUUACCAAAUUUGUUUUCUACUUCAGCCUUAUAUUCUUUGAACAUUUCAAGACUAUUAGACUUAUGGUGUAUUAGGUAAAUAUGACCAUACCUUGAAUAAUCAUCAAUGAAGCUAAUGAAAUAUUCAUAUCCACCUCGAGCUUUGACAUUCAGUGGUCCACAAAGGUCCGAAUGUACGAGCUCUAAGGGUCCUUUGGCUCUAAGACCUUUUCCAGUAAAAGAUCUCUUGGUCAUUUUUCCUUCAAGACAAGAUUCACAAGGAGGUAAAGAGUUAUCUUCUAACUGACUUAGAAGCCCACUUUUAACCAAUCUCCCAAUCCUGUUGAGAUUUAUGUGACCAAGUCUUAAGUGCCAUAAAUAGGCAUUAGAAGAAACUUUUUGUCUUUUAUUUGAGUUUCAGCUGUUCUGAAUAUUUCAGUAUUUAAGACAAAAUUUGCUCUAGUUGGUCUUAACUUAUAUAAGUUGUCUUCAAGUAUGGCAGAACAAACUAGAAUACCUUUAUAGAAAACGAACGCUUCAUUAAUUUCAAAAGAUAUUCUAUAAAUUUGUUCCAAAAUACAAGAGAUAGAUAUUAAAUUUCUUUUCAUUUGAGGUACAUAUAAGACAUUCUUAAGUAUGACAUAUCUAUCUCUAAAAAACAACUUUAAAUCUCUUCACUGCUGAAGCUGAGACCAUCUCUCCUGUUCCAACCUUGAGAGUGAUCUCGCCUUCUGAAAGCUUUUUCCAAGAACUAUUUUCCUGAAAUGAGAAGCAAAUAUGGUUAGUGGCUCCUGAAUCUAGUAUCCAGGUACAAUUUUCAUAUUCCACUAAACAUGUUUCUACAACUAGUAAAUCAUAUUUACCUUGUGUUUCCUUCUCUGCCUUUUUUUCUGCAAGGUAUUUUGGGCAUGUUCUUAACGAGUGCCCGUUUUGGCCACAAUGGUAACACUUACCUUUUUCUGCACCUUUCUUACCCUUGUUCUGUUUGGGAGUCUUUCCCUUUCCCUUCUUUUUAUUUGAGCAUUAGGUUUUGAGGGUCCAGCUUUGGUUUUAGAGGACGAUCCUCUUAUAAAUUUUCUUUUUGUGGUAGCAACAUUUGCUUCCACUUGUUUUCCUUUACCCAUAGUAAGGUUUUGGAUUCGCUGGAGUUCAUUCAGAAGGGUUGUCAAGCUAAAUUCUAUCUUGUUCAAAGACGCAUUCGUUUGGAAUGGAAUGAAGCUCUUCGGAAGAGACUCUAAGAUAAAACUAACUUGAUUAACCUCUUCGAUGGGACCACCAUUCACUUCAGCGAUGUUGAAGUGCAUCAUCAUGUCCAGAACAUGUUCUCUAACAGAGGUCCCUUCCUUCAUACGCUUAGUGUAAAUGUAUUUGACUGCCUCGUGUCUUAAGGACCAUUCUGGUUGCCCAAACAUUCCCCUUAAUGAAUCCAUAAUCUCUUUAGCCGUGGCUAAGGAUUCAUGUUUCUUUGCCAAUACAUCAGACAUGCUGGCAAGAAUGUAGACACGGGCUUUUUCAUUAGCUUUUAUCCAUCGAUCAUAUGCAUCCCGACUAGUUCGGUUAGCAUUAGAGGCAGGGUUUUGAGGACAUUCCUCAGUUAAGACAAAUCUUAAAUCGUCAACCACUAGUAUUGUGUUAAGAUUUGAUUUCCAAGCCGCAUAAUUAUCGCCAUUAAGUUUUUCGGAAGCUAAAAGUUGAACUAUUGAGCUAUUCAUGCUGAAAAACAAACAUAUUCUUUUUAGGAAAAAACUAUAAUCAUAAAAAAUAUCCAAUCUAAUUUAGCAAUUACUAAUAAUGUACCCUUUCAUUAUUUGUAUUUUGCAACAAUAUUUCAAAGGUUUAGAACAACCUUCUCCGAAGGGUAGUUGAUUAUUCCUCCUUUGAACCAAGACAAUCUUGACUAGAUGCUAUCUCUAGAAUAACUGCUUAUUCUUUAUAGCACUUAGUUAUCGCUACUUUAGUCAAAAUAUACUAACAACUUAGUAAUUCUUGUGAGUGUUACCCACCAUUUUCAGACUUCAUAGAUUAGAAUCAUUUAUGAAAACUAAUCUAAGAAAACCUAUCCAGAUUUGGAGUUCGCGGUGUUCUGAAUCCUAUAAUACAACCCUCCGAAGGGAACGUCGCUCCAGGGCAGACAAGUAGGCAUAUUAUAGAAAUCUCACGGUGCGACCUAAUGGAAGAGACCGUGGGAUGUGCUGCCACAAAUCCCUCACCCACUUACUAUGAACUACUUCCCCUAUUCACCUUGAUUUUGAUCCAUGCAAACACUCUCCGAAGGGAGUCUGCUCCUAUGCACAGCACAAAGCCCUGCAUGGACCUCAUAGUGUGAACUCUUAGGGACACUAGAGCUAAAAUACAUUUAUUUUUCUCUAGUUGAAGUGUUCUAAAGAAGAAAAAAAAUAGGGUAAUCCAAGCUUCAAGAUUUAUAUUUAGGCUAACUUAAACAAAUCUUUAAGUCUAGAUAAAACGUCCAAGUAUAACCAUUAUACAGGAUUUUAACCUAUGAUGUCUAGGUGAUAAACCAUUUUUAUUACCUCACACCUCUCACGAAUGCUCAUAAAACUAGGUUAACUAGGCUAAAAAAUUGAUUACGAUCUCCAGGUAGGAGGUGUUCCAUAAACCGUCAACUUAAGAACAUCCAGCCUUAGUCAUCUUAUCUGACUUGUUGACAAGAUUGAACCAGGUGAGCCUUUUGUAAAAACAAUAAUUAAUUAAUUUUAGACUUAAUCAAUCAUUUUAUCAAUAUAUAACCUUAUAAAAACAAUCAAUUAAUAUGGAUUUUAAUUUAUUUAACUUUAAUUAAAUCAUAUUUAAUUUUUAAUUUAAUUAAAUCAUAUUUAAUUAAAUUAAAUCAAACAAUAAUUAAUUAAUUUGAUUAAAUCAUAUUUAAUCAAGAAUAACUUAAUUAAUUAAAUAAUUAAUUAAUCAUAUUAAUUAAUUUCCUUAUUAAUCAAUUAACAUGCAUACAAUACAAUAUAACCUUUAUAUCAUACAUUUUAAUGCAUGAACAUGUUAACCUAUGGUUGGAUUUUAAAUCUAUAUGACAUUCAAAAUGCACAUACAAAUUUAAAGUAAUUUAAUCAUACAUCACAUGCAUAAAUAAAAAAAACACUCUAAAAUGGACUGAUUUUUGGCUCCUAAAUUAAGCUAAGUACUAAAUUAUUACAUAAUUAAUUUGGUGUAGUACAUAACCACUCCCAAAAACUUCGAACCGGCCCAAAAACCAAAUUUAUUGGCUUGAACCGGGCCAAUUAACUAAACAGGCCCAGGCGCACACAGGUCAGGCGCAGGCGGGUCGCGAAGCGGGUCAAGGCUGGGUUUUCGGGUCUGUGACCUUCUUUUCUUCAUUUUUUUUUACUUCUCUCACCCAGUUGAACCAAUUACAGCCUAACUUCAACUCUAAUGACUUUUUUUUAUUUUAAAAAAAUUACAAACACUUUGCAACAAUAAAAAUAAGCCAUUAACAAGGCUAAUUACAAUAAUUAGAAAAAAAAUGUUGGAUUUUCCCACUAACUUAGUCCAAGGGUAAAAUGGUCAUUAGAUAUUUCUAGUCAAAAGUCAAACUUUGACUUUUCUUAAUCAAAAGUCAAUAUUUUGACUUUUUACAAUUUUGUCCGUCUUGACUAAUUCCAACCUCCCGAACAUGAAUCCGCAUUCAUUUGUCCAAAAUUCCAAUCACAUUUGAAUAUAAGGGCGGUCAAAGUUUGACUUUUUUUGACCAAUUCCAUCAAUUCCGAGCUUCUUAGUAUGAAUUCGCAUUCAUACUUAUAGUAUGUAAAACAUAAAGCUCUAUUUCUAAUUAGAAGACCGACGACUAUAUCACUAUAUUUGUCGGUUUCCCUUUCUUCUCCCAAUUCGAACAAUUCGACUUAUUUUAUCACCAUGUUCUAAGUUUAAUCCAUAUGAGCUAGCAGAGGAACCUAAUGGACCUAUAGAUCAUGGGCUCCAACGAUUCAAGAUUAACUAGCUAAACUCUUUUAAACCGAGUUAAUCAACAUUCGUUAACUAACGGGUCAUUCCACUAAAGUCCCGUAGUUGCACUCCCCUAACUAUAGAUAUAUUUGUGUCCAUUUGAUAAAACCAUAAUCAGUAAGUUAAUCCUUCACAGGUUGCUCAUAACCUUGGCUGGGUCAAAAUACCGUUUUACCCCCAAGAUUACAUCUUGCUCCUUAAGUCCCACUAAUCCACUAUUGAACAAUUGGUUUAACCUUCAACCUAUAAACUUCAUCCCUCUCGGGCCAAUGAGAGGGUGGGGCCCCUUGUUCAAGACUUGGAUUCAGUGCUUAAGAGAACAACCUAUCUACUAACCCUAAAGCGGGUAGGAGUGAAUUCCAUCUUGUACCCUAUGUUCCCAACUAUCCACCCGAUCUUACCCCUGAAAUGGGAGGCUUAUUGGGCCAACGAUGAAGAGCUACUGGGUGGUCCGAUUCUGAGUGAUCUCAAAGUUUCUUGCCCACAAAAGCCGAACGGUGAUGCCCUAGACUCGGUUUCUUGGUUCCGUCCCAAAACGCCGAAGAAAGGCACAAUCGCCUAGAAAGGAACGACCGGACCCAGACUCGGUUUCUUGGUUCCGUCCCAAAAUGUCGAAGAAAGGCACAAUGACCUAGAAAGGAACGACCGGAGUAAGAACGGGUCGGAUGACCCAAAAGUGCACAUCUAACCACUAGGUGGUCCGAUUCUUAGUGAUCUCGAAGUUUCUUGCCCUCAAAAGCUAAACGGUGAUGCCCCAUACCCGGUUUUUUUGUUCCGUCGCAAAACUCCCAAGAAAGGCACAAUGGCCUAGAAAGCAACGACCGGACUCAGAACGGGGUCGAAGGCCUCAAAAGUUCACAUCUAACCUCUGGGCGGUCUGAUUCUGAGUGAUCUCGAAGUUUCUUGCACACAAAAGCCGAACGGUGAUGCCCCAUACCCGAUUUCUUUUGUUCCGUCGCGAAACAACCACGAAAGGCACAAUGGCCUAGAAAGGAACGACCAGCCUUAGAACGGGGUCGAAGGCCUCGAAAGUUCACAGCUAACCACUGAGCAGUCUGAUUCUGAGUGAUCUCGAAGUUUCUUGCCCACAAAUACCGAACGGUGAUGCCCCAUACCUGGUUUCUUGUUUCCGUAGCAAAACGGCCAAGAAAGGGACAGUGGCCUAGAAUGCAACGACCGGACUCAAAACAGGGUCGGAGGCCUCGAAAGUUCACAUCUAACCACUGGGCGGUCAGAUUAUGAGUGAUCUCGAAGUUUCUUGCCCACAAAAGCUGAACGGUUAUGCCCUAGACUCGGUUUCUUGGUUCCGUCGCAAAACGCCGAAGAAAGGCACAACGGCCUAGAAAGGAACGAGCAGACUCAGAACGGGGUCGAAGCCCCCAGAAGUUUACAUCUAACCAUUGGGCGGUCUGAUUCUGAGUGAUCUCGAAGUUUCUUGCCCACAAAAGUCGAACGAAGAUGUCCUAGACUCGGUUUUUUGGUUUUGUCCACAAACGCCGAAGAAAGGCACAAUGGCCUAGAAAGGAACGACUGAUCUCAGAACGGGGUCCGAGGCGUCGAAAGUUCACAUCUAACCACUGAGCGGUCCGAUUCUGAGUGAUCUCGAAGUUUCUUGCUCACAAAAGGUGAACGGUGAUGCCCCAGACUCGGUUUCUUGGUUCCGUCCCAAAAUGUCGAAGAAAGUCAAAAUGGCUUAGAAAGGAACGACCAGACUCAGAACGGGGUCGGAGGCCUCGAAAGUUCACAUGUAACCACUGGGCGGUCUGAUUCUGAGUUAUCUUGAAUAUUCUUGCCCACAAAAGCCGAACGGUGAUGCCCCAGAGUCGGUUUCUUGGUUUCGUCCCAAAAUGCCGAAGAAAGGCACAAUGACCUAGAGAGGAACGGCCGGACUCAGAACGGGGUCCGAGGCCUCGAAAGUUCACAUGUAACCACUGGGCGGUCUGAUUCUGAGUGAUCUCGAAGUUUCUUGCCCACAAAAGCCGAACGGUGAUGCCCCAGACUCGGUUUCUUGGUUCCGUCCCAAAACGCCGAAGAAAGGCACAAUGGCCUAGAAGGAAACGACCGGACUUAGAAUGGGGUUGGAGUCCUUGAAAGUUCAUAUCUAACCACUGAGCGGUCCGAUUCUAAGUGAUCUCAAAAUUUCAAGCCCACAAAAAGCGAAAGGUGUUGUCCCAGACUCGGUUUCUUGGUUCCGUCCUAAAACGCCGACGAAAGGCACAAUGGCCUAGAAAGGAACGUCUGGACUCAGAACGGGGUCCGAGGCCUCGAAAGUUCACAUCUAACCAUUGGGCGGUCCGAUUCUGAGUGAUCUUAAAGUUUCUUGUCGACAAAAGCUGAACGGUGAUGCCUCAGACUCGGUUUCUUGGUUCCAUCCCAAAACGACAAAGAAAGGCACAAUGGCUUAGAAAGGAACGACCGGACUCAGACAGGGGUCGGAGUCCUUGAAAGUUCACAUCUAGCCACUGGGCGGUCCGAUUCUGAGUGAUCUCGAAGUUUCUUGCCCACAAAAGGUGAACGGUGAUGCUCCAGACUCGGUUUCUUGGUUCCGUCUCAAAACGUUGAAGAAAGCCACAGUGGCCGAGAAAGGAACGACCGGACGCAGACAGGGGUCGGAGUCCUCGAAAGUUCACAUCUAGCCACUGGGCGGUCCGAUUCUGAGUGAUCUCGAAGUUGCUUGCCCACAAAAGCCGAACGAUGAUGCCCUAGACUCGGUUUGUUGGUUUCGUCUCAAAACAUCGAAGAAAGGGACAAUGGCCUAGAAAGGAACGGCCGAACUCAGAACGGGGUCCGAGGUCUCGAAAAUUCACAUCUAACCACUGGGCGGUCUGAUUCUGAGUGAUCUUGAAUAUUCUUGCCCACAAAAGCCGAACGGUGAUGCCCCAGACUCGGUUUCUUGGUUUCGUCCCAAAAUGCCGAAGAAAGGCACAAUGACCUAGAAAGGAACGGCCGGACUCAGAACGGUGUCGGAGGCCUCAAAAGUUCACAUCUAACCACUGGACGGUCCGAUUCUGAGUGAUCUCAAAGUUUCUUGCCUACAAAAGCCGAACGGUGAUGGCCCAUACUCGGUUUCUUGGUUCCGUCUACAAACGCCGAAGAAAGGCACAAUGGCCUAGAAAGGAACGACCGAACUCAGAACGGGGUUCGAGGCCUCGAAAGUUCACAUCUAACCAGUGGGCGGUCCGUUUCUGAGUGAUCUCGAAGUUUCUUGGCCACAACAACCGAACGGUGAUGCCCAGACUCCGUUUCUUGGUUCCGUCCCAAAACGCCAAAGAAAGGCACAAUGGCUUAGAAAGGAACGACCGGACUCAGACAGGGGUCGGAAACCUUGAAAGUUCACAUCUAGCCACUGGGCGGUCCGAUUCUUAGUGAUCUCGAUGUUUCGUACCCACAAAAGGCGAACGGUGAUGCCCUAGACUCAGUUUCUUGGUUCCGUCCCAAAACGCCGGAGAAAGGCAUAAUGGCCUAGGAAGGAACGACCAGACUCAGAACGGGGUCGGAGGCCUCGAAAGUUCACAUCUAACCACUGGGCGGUCGUAUUCUGAGUGAUCUUGAAGUUUCUUGCCCACAAAAGCCGAACGGUGAUGACCCAGACUCGGUUUCUUGGUUCCGUCCCAAAACGCCGACGAAAGGCACAAUGGCCUAGAAAGGAACGACCGGACUCAGACAGGGGUCAGAGUCCUCAAAAGUUCACAUCUAGCCACUGGACGGUCUGAUUCUGAGUGAUCUCGAAGUUUCUUGCCCACAAAAGUUGAACGAUGAUGCCCUAGACUCAGUUUCUUGGUUCCGUCCCAAAACGUCGAAGAAAGGCACAAUGGCCUAGAAAGGAACGGCCGGACUCAAAACGGGGUUGGAGGCCUCGAAACUUCACAUCUAACCACUGGGCGGCGUCUGAUGCUGAGUGAUCUCAAAGUUUCUUGCCGACAAAAGCCGAACGGUGAUGCCCCAGACUCGGUUUCUUGGUUCCGUCCCAAAACGUCGAAGAAAGGCACAAUGACCUAGAAAGGAACGACCAGACUCAGAACGGGGUCGGAGGCCUCGAAAGUUCACAUCUAACCACUGGACGGUCCGAUUUGAGUGAUCUCGAAGAGUCUUGCCCACAAAAGCCGAACGGUGAUGCCCUUGACUCGGUUUCUUGGUUCCGUCCCAAUCGUUUCGACAUCUUUACGCAAUCGGAGGUAACUAUACAGACAGGACAAUUCAGAACUAUAGGUGAGUCCAACAGUAGAGAAUCCCUUACCUUAUAACCUUACUUAAGCUUAUUUUUCAAACUAAUGUGCAACGAACCGACCUAAACAUAAUUGAAGAGAAAUCAAUCACUUCUACAAACAAUUUAAUCCAUUCAAUUCACUCUAUAUGUAAAUUCCAUAACUUACCCAAAUUGUGGAGAAUCAAAUUCUAACGGAGACGGAUCGGUGCAACAAAUAACCGAUCAAUUCAAAUCUAAACAUACAUGACGUGACGGAACCAGAGUGACUCGGUCUAACGGUGAUGCGACGAUAGGACAAAAUUUGCUUGACGUUCGGUGUAGGUGGAAGACAGUGAUGAAGUUGAUUGGAGAAUGAAAAGAGAAGGAAGAAAAGAGACAGUGGUGUGGCCGUAGGUUGAAGAGGAAGAGAAAGGAAGAAGAUGAAUAGGAAAAGAGAAAAAAUAAGAUUAAAUAUUAUAAAUAUAUAUAUAUAUAUAUAUAUGAAAUACAAAAAUAAAAGUAGAAUAACGAUGAAAUUUUGAAAAAUGAAAAUUUGGAUAAAGUAAAAUUUGAAAAUAAAGAUUUGAUACAAAUCCAAUAUUUGGAGGAAAAAAAAGUGUGUUAAGAUAAUGUAGGAGAAAAUCAAUAUUUAUGCUAAAAUUUUGCAUAUUUCAAAAUUAGUUACAGUUUAACUAAAAAGCAGGCGAGGAGAUUUUAGGGUUAAUGAAAAUUCAAAACACGUGAAAUGCUCAUGUUUGCUAUUCUUCUAAUAAAAUUUUGCUAUUUUCUCAAAUGAGUGUAAUCCAACAAAAUGAAGUUGUGUGUGUGUGAACAAAAAUGAGGUAAAUAGCUUUGAUGAUGAUGGCAAAUGGGUAAAGAAAAUCUUAUCUUAUUCUUCACUUUUCAUUUAAUUGACAAAAAGUAACCAACCAUAUGAAGGGAAAAACAAAAUGCUCUCUCAGUUACUUUACUCAUUUCUUUGUUCUUUGUGUGGGAGAUAUUUGAAAUGGAGAUGAAGAUCAAAAUGAAAGAGAGAUUAUGCAUACACUGUGAGAAGCACACAGAAAAAUUGAAAAUAAAUUGAGAAGAAGAGAGAGAUAAGCCUGAGGGAGAAAUAUUCAUGUAACGCCCCAAACUUGAAGGUAAAUUAUUUUGAGAGAAUUAUUUCGAUUUGUUCAAGAUUUUUUUUUUUAAAUAUGUUAAAGGGGAGAAGGAAGAUUUGAAAAUGUAUUAAUAUAAUUAAAUAUGUAUAUGUAUUUAAUUAUAUUUUUAUUAUUAUAUUUAUUUUACAUUUUAUUAAAUAAAAGAAAAGAAAAUGAAAAUUUUAAAUAUAUAUAUAUAUAUUUAUUUUAUAUUUUUUAUUAUAUUUAUUUUAUAUAUUUUUUAAAUAAAAAGAAAAGAAAAUGAAAAUUUCUUUUUUCCCUUUUCUUCUUCCGCCCAGCGCCGCGACCCUCCCUUCCGUUCCCCAUCUCCGUUCGCGAAGCAACCUUGCAGCAGUCGUCCCGCGUGACUCUCCGUUCGUCUGUUUCCGUCUCCAUUCACCGAAGCCGAACCCAACCGCCACCCUCUCUUUUCUCCUUCGGAUCGAAACCGCCGCGCCCAUCCACCUGUAACUGUCGUGCCUCCCCGCUCACAACCGUCGUCCAGAUCUGCAUCGCCGAGCCGUCCAGGUCCUCGCUGCCGCUCGUGCUUCACCCUUGCAGUUCGCAGUAACCCAGAUCCGUCGCUGCAACCGUCGGCCGGUUCGUGAAGCCCUGCCGCGCAACCUCUGUUUCCAGCCGCCGCCCAUUUCGUUCUCCUCUGUUUUCUGCACUGCCGCGCGACUCUCCGACCGCGUCUGUCUUCACCUCCGUGAAGCCGUCGAUGCAUACAUCUUGUGAAGCCCGGUCGCGCCGCGUCAGAUCGUCGAUCGAUUUUGAGGCAGCCGCCACGUCUCCUUUGGCCGACCGCUGACCGACCCACACUUAGGAUUUUUGCUGCGAGUUCGACAGUCGUGCGUUGAGGUGUUGGGAGUAACGUUGGGCUCCCUUAAAUUCACAACCAAUAUAUGAAUUGUUGAGGGUUCAGUUCGCCAAUACUUCGGUGAGUUGGAACUUACGUUGAGGAAAGUAAGUGAGAUAUGUAUCUUGAAAGUAAUCGAAUUUUUGUAUUGUAUUGCUUAGGAUUGUUUCGAGGACGUUAGUAUAUUAAGGAGCUUCCCUAACUUUAAGGUAAGGGAUUUUCUACUUGACUCACUUAUGAUUGUGAAUUGUAUGUCUGUAUGAUUGUCUCUGACUGAGUAAAGAUGUUGAGAUGAUAUAUAUAUAUACACGUAUGGAUGUAGAUUCGGUGUUGAAUGUAUACUGUGGAUUGACUGAAAAUAUAUAUAUACAUAUGGAUUGAAGUGGACUUAGUGUUGAAUGCAUAUUGUGAUUGUCUUGGAUAUAUAUAUAUAUAUAUGUGUGUGUGUGUGGAUGUGGACAGGACGAAAAUUGUAGAUUGUGUUUGUAUGAGAUGCAGAUGUGAACUUGUGAUUGUCGUUUAGACUGGGUGUACGUUACGCUAAAGUAUGACUGUGUGCUGGUGAACUGAGGGGUGUAUUGACUGUAUAGUUUGAUUGACUGACGUAUUAGUAUGUUAUUGACAGACAUAUGACUUGAUAGAACUAAGUCAUGCACAGCGGAAAAAGAAUCGAAUUUCUACCCUAAUUGCCACAAUUAACAUCUAACCAUAAACUAAUCAAAUUAGGGUUUUAAGAAGUAUUACCUUUGAAGCUUUCAAAAGGUUUGAUGUCUUCUUACCAAUUCUACCCGAGACCACCACUAGUACUCAACUGCUAUCCUCUAGACAAAGAACGGGUUGUGGGACCCAAUUUUGGUGUAGAAAGUAAUGGAGAUAAAAUGAGAUUGGAAGCUUUCUUUUUUCUUUUGUUGAGAUUAUGAAAAUGAUAAAAGAGGCAAAAAGUCCUUCAACAUUUGAAAACAUCUCUAUUUAUAGCCUAAUUACAUGCAAAAAUGCAUGCAAUUCAAUUGCCAAAUCUCAACACCUAAUAUUCCACUAACAAUUAGUGGAACUUAGUGGGCUAGGUGUCUAUAUCUCAUAUAGCCACAUAUCCCACUAAGAGUUAGUGGGAUUAUCCAACAAAAUGUUGGAUUUUCCCACUAACUUAGUCCAAGGGUAAAAUGGUCAUUAGAUUUUUCUAGUCAAAAGUCAAACUUUGACUUUUCUAAGUCAAAAGUCAAUAUUUUGACUCUUUACCAUUUUGUCCGUCUUGACUAAUUCCAACCUCCGCGAGCAUGAAUCCGCAUUCAUUUUUCCAAAAUUCAAAUCACAAUUUGAAUAUAAGGCCGGUCAAAGUUUGACUUUUCAAAGUCAAAAGUCAACAUUUUGACUUUUACUAUUUUUGACCAAUUCCGAGCUUCUUAGUAUGAAUCCGCAUUCAUACUUAUAGUAUGUAAAACAUUAAAGCUCUAUUUCUAAUUAGAAGACCGACGAUUAUAUCACUGUAUAUGUCGGUUUUCCUUUCUUCUCCCUAUUCGAACAAUUCGACUUAUUUCAUCACACUGUUCUAAGUUUAAUCCAUAUGAGCUAGCAGAGGAACGCUAAUGGACCUAUAGAUCAUGGGCUCCAACGAUUCAAGAUUAACUAGCUAAACUCUUUAAAACCGAGUUAAUCAACAUUCGUUAACUAACGGGUCAUUCCACUAAAGUCCCGUAGUUGCACUCCCCUCACUAUAGAUAUAUUUGUGUCCAUUUGAUAAAACCAUAAUCAGUAAGUUAAUCCUUCACAGGUUGCUCGUAACCUUGGCUGGGUCAAAAUACCGUUUUACCCCCAAGAUUACAUCUUGCUCCUUAAGUCCCACUAAUCCACUAUUGAACAAUUGGUUUAAGGUUCAACCUAUAAACUUAAUCCCUCUCGGGCCAAUGAGAGGGUGGGGCCCCUUGUUCAAGACUUGGAUUCAGUGCUUAAGAGAGCAACCUAUCUACUAACCCUAAAGCGGGUAGGAGUGAAUUCCAUCUUGUACCCUAUGUUCCCAGCUAUCCACCCGAUCUUACCCCUGAAAUGGGAGGCUUAUUGGGCCAACGCUGAUGAGCUGCCCUCACCUAUGCAGAUCUAAGGAUAAUCUCGUUAUGGACAGGAGUUCAUAGUUAACUCAGGAUUAAGACUAAGUUACCUAGGUCAUCAAUAAUUGAGAUAGUCAGUUUUAAACAGUAAACGGUGUUAUAACGUAAAAAUGACUAAUUCAUGGUUCAGUCUUAUGUAAACAUUUUACAUAGGAUGCCCCCACUUUCAUGUCUCUACAUGAACGAUUAGGAUCACAUCGUUUGUACUACAAAGUGGGCCGCAUUCAUAGUCUCUCAAAAUAAGGCGCCCAACCUUUAUUUCAUAUACUAUAGACUAUUUAGGCUAUAUACUCGAACUUGAUCCACGUUUAUGUUUACACAUAAAGUUCAAGUUUAUUCAAAAAAUAGCCUUGGAACUUUGAUUUAUUGGAUUUAAGAUUAUAAUAUUUAAUUUCUCAAUAACAACUUUAUUGAAUAGAAUAUGAUUUACAAACUACGAGUUUUAGGACAAAAAAUUCCAACAUGACUAAAGUGAGAUAAGUUGAUUGUUAGGACGUUGAGAGAAAGAACUUUAUAUUUUGAAGUAACUGAAAGAUGGAUUGAAUGGAAUGAGGGGAAAAUUGUUAGCUUUUAUUGGGAUGUGUGCCUUGUAGGUGUCCCACGGGAUCACCAAUUUAUUCUGCACCUUCGGGAGCAUUAGACUGAUAUGUGUUUCUGCAGAACACUAGACUGGUAUGUACGUCCCUCGGGGCGUUAGACUGAAAUGUGCAUCACGACUGUACAGGGUGUCCCAAUAGAAUGUUAACAAUUUAUUUUCCCCUGACGGGACCAGUAGAGGGUCUCUUACUGAGUAUUGUUAUACUCACCCUUCUUAUGUUUAAUUUUCAGGCAAAGGAAAUAAAGGUGGCAAAUCGACGAGGGGCAGGAAGGAAGCGUGAUUGCCAUAGGAAACGUGUCAUUUUGCUUCCGCUUAUGGUUUCUUUUGAGGUUUUAAGAUGUUGUAUUGAAAUUUAGUUUACAAACUUUUAUUUGUAAAUAGUAUUAUUUUUAAGUUUUUUUUUUUUAUAUUAGAAAAUCAGGCCUGACUUAAAGUUGUUUUUAAAUUGGCUUACGUUUCAUUUUGUAUCAACCAAAGUCUUUUGUCAAAAAUUAAUUGACCUCGACUUACCUAGAAAAGUUGGGUCGUUACAAUUCAUAUUCCUUUUUCAAAGGGAAUUGCAAAGAAAUUUUCUCAAAUUGAAAAGAAAGGAGAAAUAUACAAAUUCAGCCACCGCUUCUUCUCCCUUCAGUUUGCAGUUUUCGUCUCCCUCUCUUCUAUUAUUAAAAUAAAUAAAUAAAAUAUCACAACCCGACUUAACACAAACUAUUUACUCCAACUUUUUAAACCACAAAUUUAAUUUCUCAACUUUUAAACUAUUUUAAACUUACAAAUCUACUUUAUUCAUUUCUUCAGAUUUAUAUCUAACAAAUAAAAAAAAUCAAAAUUUAUAGACACUUAAAACAUAAAAUUGAAAGACCUAUUAAACAAUUGAAAGGUUUAAGAGGUAACUAGACAAACUUUAAAAGUUUAAGGGAAAGAAUCUUUUGUUUAACUAUUACAGUAAUUAAUUUUGAAAAUAUGUUAUUUUAGAAAAACUACAAGUGUUUGACAACUCUUUGAAAGCUAUUGAAAUACUCUCAAAUUGUAUUUUAAGCAAUUUUAAUAAAAGAAAGUCUACAUAAAAAAAUACCCUUUUUAAAGGAACAUUUUUUCUCUAAUCACUCCAAUGGAACUCAAACACGUACUUCAAGUUAAUUCUGGUAUCCAAGAAUCAGUCUCAUCCAACAUAAACAAGAACAUUCAACUUGAUAGAACUUCAUUACCUCAUAUUUACAAUUCCCAAAGUUACUAAAUGAAGGACCAUUCCUAAAACAUACUUACAUCCAACUUUCUCCAUGAAUAAACUUAUCGUCUUUUAUGUACUGAUGAAUAUAGAGAUGGAGCGAUCAGAGUUUGUUUAUGUACCAAAUUAGAGUGAGUUGAGAAAAGAGUGGAUUUACACAAGGACGAAAUGGCUGGCUGCUGCUUGUUCAAAAUUGAAAGUUAGGGUGACCUUGUUUCUCAUAGGGACUCAGCAAAUUGAGGGGCCUCCAAGUCUACUUCUUGUCUCAUUAUACAUGCCAUUAGCCAUUCAACGUUGAAAGUCCAUAUCCCUUUUUCUACGCCACCAAGGCUUCCUCCACGUCUUCCUCACAAGCCACAAAGCUCGUCUUCCAUACGUUGUUUACUUUAUCUAGCUCAUGAAUCACCUAAAUUUUCAAGCAUAAUGAAUUUGCCAAAUGAGAGAAAAAAUUAUGUAUAUACUACAAGGAAAUUGCAAGUAUUCACCCUAUCAAAAAAUAUUAAACAAAUUCUUGUUCUAGUCCCUAAAAUUUUUCAUCUUUUCCCAACUUUCAAAAUGCUUCCUAUGAGAUAUAUUCCAAUCACAUAUAGCAGAAAUGACCGAUGAGUAUUGGAUAAAUGGAUAUUAAUUGAUAAAAUAAUUUAUAAAAUACUAAAACCGUUAGUUGGCUACGUUUUGGAAGCUCGAUGACUAAAAUGGAUGUUUUGAAAGUUCUAAGGCUAAAAUGGAAUUUAAAUCAACAUAAUAGUAAGUUCAAGAUCAAAGACAAGCUAAACAAUAAAAUGUUGCGAGCAGAAAACAAUCUAAUCAUAAUUAGAAACAUGGAUGUAUGUAUUUGUACACCAAAUCACAAAAAAUAACUCCAGAUUUCGAUCUAGAGACAAUUAAAAACUUGAACAAAUUUGAUAAUUAAAGAAACACGGAGAUGGCCAUAUGACCCCUUGUGCAUAGACUUUUUACAAUACAUGCUCAAUUCCUAGGAUCAAAACAAACAUAAAUAUUAAAGACUUAAGAAAGCACAUACACCUAAGUUUGGCUAGUGUAUCAAUAAACAAUAUGUAUGGAACACUCGGAGAACACGUGUUGAACACUAGUUAGUACAGUAGAUGUGUUAGACAACAAGUAUUCCAAUGCAAUAAAGGUCAAGAUUGGUCACACACACAUAUUAAACUCUUGGCUUUGAAUAAGUUUUGAGUGAAGGACAAGCUUAUUUUUAAGCAUAUAAAUACAUAAACUUAUUGACUUUGAAUUUCUAUAUAAAUAUGAUACAUACUUUUUAAAUUAUAUAUAUUAAAACUGUGUUCUAGCACUAUCCUACAUUUUUAAGAAAAAAAUGACACGUCACCAUGUCUAUGAUUUAUUGACCCAUGUCUAGAAUUCGUAUACGUGCUUGUUUUUUGAGAACUUCACGUCUUCAUUAGAUGGGAGGAUAGCCAUAUUAUAGUGGUUGUAUAUGUAAUAUAGAGAACCAAACCUAGUACUCGAGAUUUGUACAAUAACAGAGAACUUACAUUUCCACCGGCUGACUUGACUAUCAGGGAUAGAGUUUUAGGUGGUGGUUGAGCGUGAGCUGAUAUGCAAACAUCAUACCCUUCAAAUAAAGCUCAAGAACAUGCUUUUGCCCUGAGAACUACAACUUUUAGGCUGGCUCGAUACUUCGAUAUGUAGUCAUCAUCAUUUAGUAUGUAAGGCAACUCGUCUGCAGAUCCAUAAGGAAUUAAUCAAUCACAAAAAUUAGGUAGGAUGAAAAACAUAAGUGGAAGAAAAUACAUUACGCUUUGAUACUAGCAAGCCAUUCGAACUUACCAACAAAUCUGCCUUCCCGGUAGCUUUCCUUUAACAAACUGGAGGAGACAAUCCAAGCUCUGAGUAAUUUGCAAUUAACAUGCAAUUUUAGUAACAAGAUAUAGUAAAAAUUAUGAGCAAGAGCACACUGACACGCUUGAAGCCACAUGGUAAUGCAUAUGCUCGAUAAUCAUUGAGAACAUUAACAGGAGAAAAUAAAGUUAAGAACAGUAGCUUGAAGAAGAAAAAACAUUCUACAACAUAAAAUCUUCAAAAACACAUUGCUUAAAAUCAAGUUUACUAAUAUAAAAGGUAAGAUAUUACGUUCCACUCUCCACACUAUUGAAGUUCAACAUUUCACAUGAAAGAAAUGAAAUACUACUCUCAAAUAUAACUAAAAAUGCAUAAAUGGGUAAAGAAAAAGCAUAGAGAAAUGCAAAAGAAUCCUUGGCUUUGAUAUAUUGAAAGGUAAAGAAUAUCAACCAUAGAUGCCCGGGAGAAGAACUCCUACAAAUACACACUUAACGCAGAUUAUCAUUCGCUAACAUGAGACCUUCUAGAGUUAUUCUGUUAGGAUACUUCCUAACAAGAACAAGUUCUUAAUUUAUUAUAAUGAACUAUAAGAAAAUACAAGAUAAAACCAAGUAUAAGGCACUUGGAACCUCCCUCUUGAGUACUCUCACCCAAGCCCUAGAUCACUCCCCAGAAUUCUCCCCUCACUUACCCUCCCUCCAUUUAUAAUAAGAUGUAACCACACUUACAUAAUAACUACUAGUAACUUUCUAAAUAUCUAAUUACCCUUAUACCCCUAACCUUAUACUAAUCUAGGUAUCUAACAUUACCCGAUCCUUCAAAACACCUUGUCCUCAAGGUGUGCUUACAAACAUGAUCAAGGCCCCUUUCUCUUUUUUUCUCUUUUUAAUUGCAAACAAUCCCCAGCAUUCUGCUCUUCAAUGUUGAAAAAGAAAUCCUCCCCUUCGGCUUUGAAAAACUCUCGAUUCCAAUAAGGUCCAUUGACUUCAGCCUACAAAGCAGCCCAAUGUACUUGAAUUUUCCUUUUCCAUAACACAUUGUCUUAGUUAACCCUUUGCAUAUCACCAACAAGUGUUUAAUUUUCAAACCCUUCAUCUCUAGUGGGCUAGGCCAUAAUCAAAUUGUUGCGUCAAGAUCAAAAUCAUACUGCCACCGGUUUCAUUCCUAGGACCCACCUACAUACACGUUUUUCUUCCCUCCUAUUUUUGGAACUCUCCACCCACUUCAUCUACAAAAUGAUGUGCCCCCAAUGUUUUAUUUAGAAUAAGUUGAAGCUCAUUUAGAGAAAGUUGAAGCCCACUUGAAAUAGUAAAACCCAAGAUUGUUCCUUUUGUCCUAAUCCUCUUUCCUACCAAUUUCUACCACGUCAUUGGCACCAUCAUGUGUGCAUCAACUUCUUCCUCGUCACGUGAUUCACCCCUAUUCCAGACCACCUUCUCGAGCCUCUGUAGACCGAUAACUGUCGGCUUCUUCUUUCUCCAUUGCAACCAGCCAUUUUGUGUUUCUGUGAGCAACAAAUUUUUCUUCACUCGAGUCUUCAUUUCGAGCCUCACAGGUAAUCAUCAUCGACCUUCCUCUAUAGUUUCUUCUUGGUCACUCUUUGCCAUCCUCUUCACCUUUGUUGUAUAACCGUUGCAAUCGCGUUUUCCUCGAUUCUUCUAUGGAUUCAGCAACUUCUUGGAGUCCAUCGAUUUAUGGACCUGAAGAUUCCAAUCCAUUCUAAAUAAACACAAUUCAGAUCAGUGCCACUGAACACAGGCAUUUCAACCUUCUUGAAUUUGCUAUGAUCGUUUGAGUUUUCAUCCCUUUCAAACUUGUUUGUUUUACCUUCUACCUUGAUUUCCUUCAAUGUCUUACCUCCACCUUCGAUGAUACUCUCAAUCGUUGGUCCUUUGCUCGACAAUCCUUCCAUUCUUCCGGAGAUUGUCGAAUAAAAAGAACUUGACUUGGACCCUCUACUUCUCUCGAGCACGAACGACGGCAGCCUCUACUUCUUUGGAAUAUUUUGUCCCCUUUCUCCCUCCUCUUUCCUCCCUUUUAUUUUGCUUUACUAACAAACUAAUGGGAAAGAUCUCCUCCGAUAUUCUCUCCUCCUAUAAUCUCUCAUAUAUUCUUGUGUGGGUCAAUAUUACCCUUUUUAAUUCUCCUACUAUACUUAAAUAAUAUUGGAGACCAGAAUUCUCCCCACUUACCCUCCCUCCAUUUAUAAUAACAUGUAACCACCCUAGUUACCACACUUACAUAAUAACUACUAGUAACCACACUUACACAAUAACUACUAGUAACUUUCUAAAUAUCUAAUUACCCUUAUACCCCAACCCUAUACUAAUCUAGGUAUCUAACAAAUUCCAUAACAUAAUGUAUUAGGGGAAGAAGGAAAUCGAGGAUAAAAACACUAGCUAGCCAACAAAUAUCUUUCAUUAGUGAGCUUGAGCCAUUUUACACGUAAAAUGGGAAAAGUAAGCCUGCAACCCAAAUUAGCCUAAUGGUUGUCUUAACAACCACUACCCACCAUCACGAUAGAAACAACUGAAAAGGAAGAGCAUGAUACAAUCCAACUCAAACAUAAGAAUUGAUUUUGAUGUUUAACUAAAAGUAAACAGGCAGUAGAAUAAGAAACUAUGCCCUUUUAGAUUUAAAAGGUUCACAACAAUUUCCAGCCUAAGCACAACUACGAGGCAAUGGAAAAAUAACGGCAAAGGCCUUGUGUGCAUGGAAUUGCUAACUUUGGUGCAAAUGAGAUGAUUAUCGGUAUUCAAAGGCCAAAAGGACACAUAGAAGAGUGUUCGUCUAAGGUUGCAAGACUAACCCUAAAAAGAGAGCAAUACAAAAAUUUAGAGUUUUCCGCACUUUUCCUGUAAUGACAUGAGUGCUUGUACUCCCAUCAGCAGUGAGAGAACCACCAAGCUCCUCAAUCAUCUGAAUCAGAAAACAACUGCAUAUUAGAGCAGUCACAAUUUGGAAUAAAUAGAACUUUUUAUUGUUAGAAUCUUAGAAUAUUUACGAAAAGUUUAUGGGAAUAUUUUUCUUAAUUCCUAAAUAUUUUCCUUUUUUAUUCCUCUGUAUAUUCUAUUUAUUCUCCCUUGUACCUAUUGUAUUUUUCAUCAGAAAAUAAUAAGAAGAAAAAUAUAGUGGUUUUUCUCCUGGUACACAGGUUUCCACGUAAAGUUGUGUGUUUGUUUGUCUCCCUUUCAAUAUGGUAUCCGAGCAGGUGGUCCAAGAAGGUCUUGUCUUCAAGCCUCGCAUUGUCGUUUCCUCCCCAAUUAAAAUCCAUUUCCAGUUGUUGGGCCUUUCAAAUAUUUCAAGCCCACAAGUGAGGAGAGUGUUGGUGAUAUAUAAUUGAAUUUUCUUUCUUUUUUUAAAAAAGGAUACGAGUCUCACUAUUAUUAAUAUAAAGAAAGACACAAAGCUCAAUGUACAUGAGGAUUAUACACAGAGCAAAAGAGGAGAGGGAAGAUCAACAGGCGUAUUCGGGCAUCUCAAACUAGGUUGACACCCCCUUAGUGCCCUCAAAACAUCCAAAAAGCGACAACACAAGAUCAAAACAAAAAGCCACAAAAACAAAGACAAAGAAAAUGAUAAAAAGAAUCUUUCCAAAGAAAAAUCAUAAUCAAAGGCAGCAUGCUGAGAACAAAGAAGAAUAAACCUUGAUUGGUUGAGCAAAAACUGUUUAAAAGCAGAGGGCUGAUCUGAAAGUCCUGAUCAUCGAAGACUUCAAAAUGGGGAUGCUGUAAAGGCUGGCCAAUAUAACACAAUAUCCUACAUCGAAGAUCUUCUUUUGCAUUACAUUUUCUAAAAUUUCCAAUCCACUCUGUUAAAGGCCUUUUCAAGGUAUAAUUUAAUGAUCCAUCUUUUCUUUUUUCGGAUACUAUAGACCUCCAUAGUUUCUUUUGCUAUUAAAAUAGGAUCCAAGAUUUGGCACUCUUCCAGAAAGCCACAUUGUAAUGGAGAAGUAUGUUAGGAUUCUAACAAUAAAACACAAAAUAUCCUAACCAAAUGGCUAAAUAGAGGCAUCACUCUGUAAAUCUUUAUUUAUGUAAAAGCCAAAACACAUUCAACAGUAGUAGAUAUGAAAAAUAAAGGAAGAACAACAUAGAAAACUUACCCAGCUUCUUUAUACGGGGCUGGAUACCCUCAGGCUACAGCAGCCUUUACUCUCCUUGAAAUAACCAAAAAAGACCUAGCCUCCCCUACCCCAACAUUACAUAUUUAUACCUCUCUCUCUCAUCCCUCCUGGCAGGCCCCACCUGCACGAUCCUCUCCCAUUAUUCUCUCAUCAUUGGUUGCUAAGGAAUUUCUCUUUCUACCCUUCCUUUUAUAGGUAUAGAUAAUAGGAGAUCUUACAAAGUAAUACCUGGCCUGACUUUCUUUAAUCUUUCUGCGAGAACCUUUCCAAACAACUUAUAAAUUAAUGUUGAAACAACUUAUGAGCCACACUGUAAUGACCUUCCUUCUCUUGACCGAACUUCAAUAAUCGACAACUUAUAUUUAUCCACAUAAUCAGCAAAACUCUUAAUUUGCCACUACCUUCAAACAAAGACCCAGCCAAUUCCUUUUGAACUCCAUAGUGCCUUUAUAAUACAACUGGCAAUCUCUUCUCUUUUGGUCUCUGGAAUCAAUGCUCUAUCUGGAUUAGCUUUCUUCAAAAUAUUUUUAAUAGCCAAUUGUUUCGAAUAGCCCAUGAAUCCUCUAGUGUUCCAUGAUAUAAUCUCCAUCUUUGCUACCUCUGCCUUAUAUCAAUUCAUUUCACAUGCUGCCAAGAAAGGAACCAACUCUUGAGGGGGAAGGAUACUUACACUGGUGACUGAUUCAACUUCCAUGAAUUCAUCUUCUAGGUUCUCAACUUUUUUUAGACAAGAAGUAUCUUGCACAAAAUUAAAGAAUGAACCAGAAAGUUUGGAGGAGGAUUGAGAAAAUUUAUUACUUAAGGAGGAAGGCAGUACUGACCUUUUGCCAACUGAAUUUGGAAUUUGUAUCUUCACACAACUUUCCUCUAAUAAAUCAGAAUUAGCCAAGCUCAUCCAAAUGUUGCGAAAAGAAGUUCUCCCUUUGGUAUAGGUCUUGAGGUGCUUAGAAAAAUUUCUGGCAUGAAAUGGAAUAGCUUUCAUUGCAGAUGAUAUUUUAGUCUUGGGAGAGGCUGGUAAUUUUGGUUGAGAACUGAAAACAGGAGAUGGCCCGCAAGUGAAGUUCCUUGAUGGAGGAGAGGACUCUGAUUCUUCCUCCAAUUCGUCAGAAUACCAAAAGCCAUUGGAAUUCUGAUUAAUAAAAUUCUUGGGGCCUACCAUCUGUGUGUCAGCUUUUAAAAUGUCUGCAGAUACAUUAAGUUUGAAACAAUCUGGUUGGGGAGGGCUAGGUGAGCUGUUUUUUGAGAUAAUAAAAUGUCGGCUGGCUGCCUUUUCUUCUUUCGAGGUCUGUUUUUCUCUCUUUUCUGUUGAAGUCUUUUCCCCUUCUAAGUACGUGGAGAUGCCAACUAUACCCAAAUUUGAAUUUUUCCUUCUGAAAAUUAUUUUUUCCGGCGAGGAUUCAAGGGCUGAAACUCUUUCCGGUCGAACAAGGUUUUCUUCUUCAUCACCCAACUUCCUAAGUACUUCGAAAGGAUUUCUUGAGAUGGAUGGGGCAUUCUGUUUGAGAAAAUUCAGGUAUCUGGGAGACCAUCACUUUGGAGCCCUUCAUCUAACAUCACUGAAUUUAUUCUACAUAAAUCAAUAGGAUUGGAAAAAUCACUUUGAAAUAGAUCAGAUUGGAUUAUUACAGGAGCUUCUAUGGGUUCAAAAUCCCCAAAAUUAAGGGAAAAAUUUCCUCAGUUCUCACUCUUUAAUUCUAUAGUUGCAGAAUCCGCAAAGAUUUUUCCGAACUUUAAUUCUUGCUUCAGAGAACUUGAUCAGAUUGAGUGUUUCUAAGAUUAUACUUUCUAGUCCACCAAAGUAGCUUAAGGCUAUAAUUGAAUUUUCUUUCAACCACCAGCUUAAACUUUUUGGUGAAUCGGUAGUUUAAUAUUUAUAUUAAUAUUUUAUAAAAAAAGUAUACAGCUAAUGCCAUAUAAAAUAAAUAAAGAAAUACUAUAAAAUCUACAUCCAUAAAAUAUGCAUGUGAACACAUAUCAGAAGAUGGAUAUUCGUAAGUUAGAAAGACCGAUAACAAAAUGUCAUAAUUAAACAACAGCAUUAAUAUUAUGGGUAGUUUCAAGCUUCAUUUGUCUAUUCUAGGUAGGGAUAUUGAAUAACUCUUAAGAAUAAUAUAAAGAUUGAAUCCCUAAACUUCAGGUGCUUGCUAGUAUACAACCUAAAAGUUCAACAGUUAAAGAAACUGAUUAAUCAUUUUUGGCAGGAUGUCAGAUUCGCCUUUUGAAAGCCUACAUGAGUAGAGCCAGCCAAAUAAGCCAAGCAAGAUAUGCCUCUUAAGGAAUAUGGAGAAGUUCAGUGACUGGGUAUGUAUAUGAUAAGCCUUAACCUCAAUUUUAUUUAUCAAUAAUGGAGGGAAGGAAUCAGAAGCUUCUCUAGCUCUUCAGAAUUGAGGUCCUCUGAUGCCACAUUUACACUUCCAAAUUCUUGACAAAAAUUUUGUGUACACUGAUUGGUUGGAUUUUUAGGAUAAAUACUUGAUAAAAUUUCAUGCUUUGAAUUGGCUAAAGAGCAUCCUUGAGAGCAGGUAUCGUAUACAUCACUUUUAGGAUCAAGAUUUUUGUUAGAGUGGGAAUGGAAAUGGUCCAGAUUGACUCCUUUUACUUUCUUUGACGUCAGGGAAGAAAGUGAUGCUUCCCAAACUCUCUUUGCGCUAUGUUUAGAGCAAGAACAAUGUGUCUCAUCCAAAUUACCAAGAGUAUUGGAUAAUUUUGCAAUACUAGCUGUCGUGUUGUUCUCUAUUUCUGCUAAAGAAACUGGACCGUUGUUGUCAUGCACUGCAUCCUGGUUUAAAUAAACCGUUAUGAGAUAAUUAAGCAACAUAUGGAGAAUAAUUUGAAUUGUACUAUCUUGUGGAACAAAACCUGAAUUACACAUACCCUGAAUUUCAUUUUCUUCUCCAAGGGGCACUAAAGUUACAAACUCGUCAUGUUGAAAAUUCAAAUUUUGAAUGGUAUGCUGAUCAGUUGCAUUUGAAACGUUGCAACCUCGAUUGGCAACACUGAUUCUUGCAACACUGAUUCUUUAAGAACGUCUUUAAGUUAUGGGGAGUUCCAUCAAGCAUUGUGAGUGACAGGGAUGGUAGAUUCAUUGGUACUCUCUGGACCGAACUAUUCGCCUUCUUGGGGACACGCCUAAAUAUAUCCUUAAGCUGCCAUCCUCAGACGAAUGGCCAAACUGAAGGAUUCAAUUGUAUGCUUAAGGAAUAUCUACUACAUUUUGUUGAUUUUGGACAAAAGAAUUGGGCCUAGUUGAUGGAUGUGGCUCAAGUUUUGAGCGGAAGACCAACUCUUCAUAGAGUUUAAAGCAAAGCAAAUUUGAUUUAGAGGACAUCAACAUCAGCAUCUCACCAGAAAAUACGAAGGGCUGUGGAAGUUCUGAAGAAAAUUGGAAAUUCAUCCUAUAGGGUAUCGUUGCCUGCAUGGAUAAAAAAUCAUCUAGUAGCUCAUGUGAGCAACUUGAAACCUUACCAUCAAGAUCCAGAUGACCAGUAGUGCAACAAUGGUGUAUGGUCAUCUAGUGACCUAAAGCAGAAAGACAAUAAAGAAAUGGAAGAAAUCCUUCCUAAGAGAGUGAGGAAGGGUAUACCCAUGAAGAAGAUACAUGAAUUCCUACUGAAGUGAAAGAACCUCCAUGUGGAAGAAACACGUUAGGAAUGUGCUGAAGACCUUGGAGCGUGAAAGAAGAAGAUCGAGGAAUUCUAGCUUCGCCAAUCGACAGGGACGUCAAUUGUUUAAGUGGGGAAGAAUGUAACAAGCAUGCUUGUCCAGGGCGCUGUUUACUUAUGGCCGCAUGCCCAAACACCCCCAAUUUACAUUGUUUUCAUGUUUUGUAUUUAGUUUUACUUUUUGCUUUCCUUUUUAUGUCAUAAACCUUGGGUGUGACUUGGCUUUUUCUUAUGCAAGCCUACCAGAACUAAAAAAGUCUAAAAUGUACUAUAGAUGGGACAUAGUAGUUGAAUCCCUGCCCAAGCCUUGUUGCACUCUUCGCAAUCAAAGUUUUUCUUUGCAAUUGACAGUCUUCAAUGCUUGCUUUAACGAUAUUUUCAUUGAAUUUCUUUCUUCUCACGUUUUAUAAAACAUUUUCUCAAGAACCUGAAGAGAGGCUACAUCGUAUCAUGUGUUUGUCUGUGGUUUUUGGAUUUUGAUCAGCUAACUUGUUGUCUACGUAAAACAAGUGCAACAUAAUCGCGCCUCUCGUGUUUGAAAGCUCGCGAUUGUGACACAAGAAAAUGCACUAGCCAAGAAUGCACAUGAGGAGGGCUAUACGAAAUGCCAAGCACGCAACCAAGUGAGGUUCACAAUGUGCUUGUGUGUGAGGUUAGCACGCGGGCAUGCCCAACACGCAUGAAAAGCCUCUUGUGAGAUCACACACAGUAGCCAGCGCCCAACCAAGGCCCUGCCACCCACCCAUUCGUGUCAGGCAGUGUCAUAUUGCGUGUUGAGCUAUUGGUAAUUUUUUGAGUUUUUUAAGUAUACUUUUGAUAUUUUCUUGGCAAAAGAUAAUUAAUUGUACUAUUUUACCAUUAUUUCAAGACAUGAGAAGAUCAUACAAAUUUAUAAACCAAGGAUUUGAGCUUGUAUCUGUGAGUGGAAAAUGUUUUAUUUAAAGUGAUUUCAAGCAUGUUCUUAAGUCAUGAUUUAUGACGGAUUUAUGAUAAAAUAUUUAAGUUAUGUUAUGAAAAGUCUUUCAAGCGUGUUAUUGUUUAAAGGUAUUUAUUCUAGCAUAUUGUUUACUCUUCAAAAUGCAUAAUAUUCAAAAUGUUUUCCCACUUUCUAGGUAGAGAUCGUGUCCUCUAAGCCUAACUUGUUGCUACCUGUCUACUGAAGGAUUUCAUUUUGUUAUCGUAUGUGUCAUGUUAUUUUGUACUAAUGAUAAAUUAGUCUUUUGUGCUAUCAGACUUAGGCUUUUGGGAAGGUUUUAUAAGGUUUUGUUCUAGAUAAAGAAGAUUACGUUUUUUCUAUGUAAAACUUGUCUAAGGUUGUUAAAUGAAAAAGGUUUAGCCCAAUUGGUUUUAGUAAAACUUAUGUGUUAUGUUUCCGCUAUUGUUUAGAGUUUAAACGUUCAAGCUAAGGGUCAAAUGGUGUCGUUCUUGACGUGGGUGCUAUCGAUUGGCUUCACGCCAUAUCUCGAGCCACGCAAGUAGGUGCUCAUGGUGGGGGGUGAUAGCCUAAGUUGGCUUAUUAACGGUUAAAAUGUAAACAUGUCCAUAAGAAAAUAGUCGGCAAGGCCCAUGUGGACCGACUGGUAAAGGUUGAAGAGCAAAUGCUCUACCUAAUGAAAGUUCCUAACUCAAUUCGCUUCUUGGAAACCCGCCUUGAAGAAAUUUUUUAGAAAGCUGAUGCUAUUAAUUAAACCACCACCCAAAAUCUUAAGCUAGUGAUUAAAAGUAAAUUUAAUUAUAUAUCACUAACAAUCCCCCACUUAUGGGUUCGAAAUAUCUAAAAGGUCCAACAAGUGAACAUCAAUUUUAAUUGGGAAGGAAACACCAAUACAGGGACUUGAACAUAAGACCUUUUGGACCACCUGCUCUAAUACCAUAUUAAACCCCAAAUUCACCCAAAAGCUUAAGCUAGUGGUUGAAGGUAAAUUUAAUUAUAUAUUACCAAAGUAUGAGGUUUCAUCACAAUACCAAUUGGCAAUGAGAGGAGUAGCUCAUCUAUUUUAUAAGGAGUCUAAGUUUCCUUGGUUUUUCAAUUGUGGGAACAUGCCCCUUCAAGAUGGUGCCUCUUUGGUUUCACCUAUCUUGAACCAAAUAUCCGUUUAGGCUUAAUGAGCUCUAAUACCAUAUUGAAAGCAAUAUAUACGAAACCAAAGCUUACGUGAAAACGUAAGAAUCGAAAGAAAAGCAUUGUGUUUGUAGUUUUAUUAUUUUUAUGAUAAUUACAGACGUACAAUUGGUGGUUUAAUAUAUAUCACUAACACUAUUGCUGCAAUGAUCGAUCAUCUCGAUGGAUUACCCAUUUAAGAGUUGUUGACAAGAGUUGACACUCUAGAAUCAAAAGUUGUAAGAACUAGAUGUUGUAAUAAAUGUCCUAAAACUCGUUGUAAUCAUAAUCUAUUCAUUAAAGUCGUUAUUGAUACUAUAAUCUUAAAGCCAAUAAACUAAGGACCCGAGUUAUUAUUAAGUAAACUUGAACUUUAUGUAGAGACAUAAAAGUUGAUCAAGUUUAAGUAUAGAGCCUAAAUAGUAUAGAUUGUACGAAUACAGUUAGGCACCUUAUUCCAGGACACAAUGAAUGCAGUCUGCUUUGUAUUUAGUAUAAACGAUGUGAUCCUAAAUCCUAGAGACAUGAAAGUGUGGACAUCCUAUGUAAAGAGUUUACAAAAGACUAGAACCAUGAAAUAGUCACUUUUAAGUUAUAACAUCGUUAACUUUGAAAAACUUACUAUUUCAUUGAUAGAUAUCAAAUAUAACUUAAUCUUAAUACUGAGCUAACUAUAAGCUUCUGUUCUCACCAGCAUGCUUGUUUAAGGCGUUGUUUAUCUAUGGCCACAUGCCCAAAUACCCCCAAAUCACCUUUUCUUUAUGUCUUGUAUUUAGUUUAGUCUAUUGCUUUCCUUUUUAUGUCAUAGACCUAGGGUGUGAGGUGUCACACAUUUUCAUUUGCAAACCUGUCAAAGCUCAAAAAGUCUAAAUUGUACUAUAGAAGAGAGACCCAAUAGUUGAAUCCCCAACCAUGUCUUAUCGUAUUCUUUAUAAUCAAAUUUUUAUUUGCAUUGAAAGUCUUCAACGCAUUCUUUAAUGAUGUUUUUAAUGAUAUUCUCUCUCACAUUUUAUAAAACAAUUUUUUCAAGAACGGGAAGGGAGGUUAUAUCAUAUCGUGAGUUUGUUCGUGAUUUUCAGAUUUUACAUGACUGACUUAUUGACUGAGCAAAACAAGUGUUCUACAAUUGCCGUUCCAUGUUUGAAAGAUUGCGAUUGUGGCACGCAGAGUGUCACAAGUGUGCUUGUCCAAGGCAUUAUUUUCCUAUGGUCCGCAUGCUCGAAUAUCCUCAAACCAUUUUCUUUUAUGCUUUGUACUUAGUUUAGUCAACUGCUUUCUUUUGUUGUCACCGACCUAAGGUGCGUCGUUUCGCAAUUUUCAUAUGCAAGGUUGUCAAUGCUAAAAAAGUUUAAGAUGUAUUGUAGGGGAGGCAUGGUAAUUGAAUCCCCAACUAAGCCUAUUUGUGAUUUUUGCAAAUCUAAGCUUUCUUUGCAAUUGACAAUAUUCAAUUUUUUCUUUAAGGAUGUUAUCAUUGUUUUUCUUUAUCUCUCACGUUUUAUAAAACCAAUUUCUCUCAAAAGAUGAAGCGAGGCUACAUCGUACAACAAGUUUUGUCCACAACUUUCAAAUUUCACAAGGUUGCCUUGUUCAUCAAUUUAGAACAAGUGUUGCACAAUCACCCGUCCCGUAUUUGAAAAGUUGCAUUUUGUGACAAGUGGUAUUAAAGCUUUUAGCUCCUUGGCUAAGCGAGAUGCAAUUAUGUCGACAAUGAAACAACUAUCAAAGUUGCAAUCUGAGCGACUGACUGAGAUUGAAGAGGAAUUCUUGGAUAUGAAAGAAUUGCCAAACGAAGUAAGAUUUCUCCAGACCUAACUUGAGAUGUUUAAAGAAAAAGUCAGAGAACUAGACGCAUUGAAUGCCUAAAUAGACAAACUACCCAUAAAUGAAUUGGCGCUGAGGGUUGAUUCGUUAGAACAUAAAACCACCAAAGUAGGUAGUUUUGAACGUGGAAGUAGCUCUUCAAGUUCUAUCGCACAAAUGGAAGAGCGUGUCGAAGAGUUUGACUUUUGACAAGCUCCAACAUAAUCAGUUAUAUUUCAAGAAAGAGAAAAGUGUUUUUGCUAAAUAGCGUAUCAAUUUUCUGGGUCACAUCAUCGAAUGUAGAAAGAUUUGAAUGGACGAACAUAAGUUGUGAGCUAUUAAGGAGUGGAGAGCCCCCACUUCCGUGAAAGAGUUACGUUUCAUCCUUCAAUAUAUUCUAAAAUAGGGUUCACCUACUAUCCUCAAGAUUCAGUACCGGAGAAAGAAAUAGAUGGAAAAAGAAAUGGGCUUGGUAAUUUUUUUUUCUAUGUAAAUAAGAAAAAGAAAUCCAAUUUGGUACAAGAGCCCAAAUUCAAUAGCCAGCCCAUCAAAUGAGGUCAACGACCCUAUUUAUAAGGAUUUUCCAUGCAAAAUUGCAUGUCCAUGGAAUACUAAAGCCCAACAACUCAAAGCUCUAUUUCUAAUAUGAAAUUCGAUGGCUAUAACACAUAUACUUGUCAGUUUCUCUCUCUUCUCCCAAUUCGAACAAUUCGACUUAUUCCAUCACACUAUUUUAAGUUUAUUCCAUAUGAGCUAGCAAGGGAAACUAAUGGACCUAUAUAUCAUGGACUCCAAUGAUUCAAGAUUAAUUGACAAAUUCUUAUAGACUGAGUUAAUCAACAUUCGUUAACUAACGGGUCAUUCAUGUAUGUACUGGAACGAUUCAGAAUCACCUCGUUUGUACUAACUACAAAGCGGGCGGCAUCCACAGUUUCUCUGAAAAAAUCUGGGUUACUACAACGUCACCACGAUGUACAAUUUUCCUGAUAAGAUGGUACUUACGUUCGAUAUGUUUUCCCCGUUUACGGCUUUUAGGUUCUCUUGAAUUUGCAACUGCACCACUGUUGUGACAGUAUAAAGUGAUUGAUAGAUGCAUAUUUGGAACGACUUUCAGAUCUGUCAAGAAUUUUCUUAGCCAUAAUGCUUCUGUUGUUGCUUCAAAAGUUGCUACGUAUUCUACCUCCAUUGUGGAAUCAACUAUACAAGUUUGUUUUAUGCUUCUCCAAACUACUACUCUUCUAUUUAGAGUGAAUACUAAUCCUGAUGUAGACUUUCUAGCAUCUUUAUCAGUUUGAAAAUCAUAAUGAGUGUAUCCAGUAAGGAUCAAAUCUUUUGUACCAUACACGAGAAUGUAGUGUUUUGUUCUUCAAAGAUAUUUUAGAACAUUCUUAACGGUUGUCCAGUGAUCACGUCCAAGAUUGGACUGAUAUCUACUGACCAUCCCUACUAAGUACAAAUGUCAGAUCUAGUACACAACAUUGCAUAUAUCAAACUUCCAACAGCGGAAGCAAGGAAAUUUUCUCAUAUCCUCAAUUUCUUGAGGUGUCUUAGGACAUUGUUCCUUUGACAAAUGAAUUCCGUAGAUGUAUAAUAGCAUACCCUUUUUGGAAUUCUACAUUUUAUAUCUAGACAACAUUUUGUCUAUAUAAGAUGCUUGAGACAUGGCUAGUGUUUUGUUCUUGCAGUUCUGUACAAUUUGGAUCUUAAGAAUGUAUUGUGCAUUUCCCAGAACUUUCAUUUGAAAUUGCAUAGCUAGCCAUUUCUUGAUAUUAGUAUGAAAUCCUAUGUCCUUUUCCAAUAAGUAGAAUAUCAUCUACAUACAAGACUAAGAAUACUACAAUGGAAUUGACGACCUUUUUUGUAAACAUAAGGUUCGUCAACCUUUUGUAUCAAAGCCAUAAGAUUUGAUCAUAGUAUCAAAUCUUAUAUUCCAGGAUCUAGAUGUUUGUUUUAAUCCAUAAAUGGAUUUUUGAAUCUUACAAACCUUUUGUUAUUGAUCUUGAUCUAUAAACUCUCUAAUUGAGUAAUAUAGAUACUCUCUUCAAGAUUGUCAUUCAAAAAAAGUUGUCUUGACAUCCAUCUGCCAAAUUUCAUAAUCAUAAAACGUGUCGAUGCAUAAGACUAUUCUAAUUGACUUUAGCAUGGCAACGAUAGAGAAAGUUUCUUCAUAGUCUAUGUUAGAAAGAGACAUGCAUAGUGGAAAAAUGGAAUACAAAAUUACCCUAAUUGCACCUAUUUAACUUGCAACCCUAAAUUAAAAGAAUUAGGGUUUAGGAAAUAUUAUACCUUUGUAUCUAUUCGAAUAUGAACGUCUAUACCUCUCACAAAAUUCCAAAAGUUUUUGAAACCAAAAUGUAACACCUUAAACUUAGGAUUUGGAAUUCGUAUCUCCAGCAUUCUCUACAUCCUCUGCGACCUGGCAGCAUCAUCCUUACUAUUCUUAAAAACUUAUUAGAAUGAAAUUCCUCUUCACAAACCAACACGAAAUCUUUCAGCAUGCUUUUCCUCACUCACAUGCAUCCUAGGAAAAUUUCCAAGAGGUCACCCAACAUAGAAUUUCUUCAAGCUAAGCACGCUUAACUCUGAAGUCCCUAUAAUCGAGCCACAAAAAAAAAAAGGUUCACAUUGUUGGUAUAGGUAUAAGUUUAAUUCUUUUCAGUCUUUCUUAACAUGACUUUCAUGUCCUCAAGGUGCACCUUGUCGGUAUACUUGUUGAUUUCUCUCUCUUCUCUCAAUUCGAACAAUUCGACUUAUUCCAUCACAAUGUUCUAAGUUUAUUCCAUAUGAACUAGCAGGGAAACCUAAUGGACUUAUAUAUCAUGGGCUCCAACGAUUCAAGAUUAACUGGUUAAACUCUUUUAGACCGAGUUAAUCAACAUUCGUAAACUAACGGGUCAUUCCACUAAAGUCUCGCAGUUGCACUCCCCUCACUAUAGAUAUAUUCUUGUCCAUUUAAUAUAACCAUGAUCAAUAAGUUUAAUCCUUCACAUGUUAUUCGUAACCUCGAAUGGAUCAAAUUACUGUUUUAUCCUUGAGACUACAUCUUAUUUCUUAAGUCUCAUUGAUCCACUAUUGAACAAUUGGUUUAAGGUCCAACCUAUAAACUUAAUCCCUCUCAGGCUAAUGUGAGGGUGGGGCCCCUUGUUCAAGACUUGGAUUCAGUGCUUAAGAGAACAACCUAUCUACUAAUCUAAAACAGGUAGAAGUGAAUUUUGUCUUGCAUCCUAUGUUCCCAGCCAUUCAUCUGAUCUUACCCUUGAAAUAGGAGGCUUAUUGGGAGAACGUUGAUGAGAUACCCUCACCUAUGCAGAUGUAACCCUAAAACAAGUAGAAGUGAAUUCAGUCUUAUGUAAGUACUUUACAGUGCUUAAGAGAACAACCUAUCUACUAACCCUAAAACAGGUAGAAGUGAAUUCUGUCUUGCAUCCUAUGUUCCCAGCCAUUCAUCCGAUCUUACCCUUGAAAUGAGAGGCUUAUUGGGAGAACGUUGAUGAGAUACCCUCACCUAUGCAAAUGUAAGGAUAAUCUCAUGUGAACUGGAGUUCAUAGUUAGCUUAGGAUUAAGAUUAAGCUACCUAAGUCAUCAAUAAACGAAAUAGUCAGUUCUAAACAGUAAACGGUGUUAUAACGUAAAAGUGACUAUUUCAUGGAUCAGUCUUAUGUAAGUACUUUACAUAGGAUGCCCCCACUUUCAUGUCUCUACAUGAACAAUUUAGGAUCACCUCGUUUGUACUAAUUACAAAGCGGGUCACAUCCGUAGUUUCUCUAAAUAAGGCACUAUAGACUAUUUAGGCUAUAUACUCGAAUUUGAUCCGCUUUUAUGUCUCGACAUAAAGUUCAAAUGUAUUAAAAAAUAGCAUUAAGACUUAGUUUAUUGGAUUUAAGAUUAUAAUUUUAAAUUUUUCAAUAACGAUUUUAUUGAACUGAAUAUGAUAACAAACUACGAGUUUUAGGACAUAAAAUCCCAACAUAUGUAUUUUUGCCUCUAAUAAUAAUGUUGAAAGAUGUUUGUUGUGGUUUCAUAUGGGUGAUAUCUCUUCUGGUUGGACAUAGUCAGGUUUUGUAAUGGGUGACUUUAACGAUAUCAAAAUGCAUUUUGAGGCUUUUGAUAGGUCUUCUGUUCCUAUGGAUAUGGAGGAGUUCGAUAUGGCUAUUUGUGAGGCUUAUUUAGUUGAACCUAUACAUAGGGUAACUGGUUCACCUGGACUAGAAAGGUUCAUGGGUUGGUUUGAUAAAACGGUUUAAUCGUAUUCUGGUUAAUGGUGUUGGAUUACUGCAUGGCCUUCGGGUAUUUCUGAUCACUCCCCUCUUAUUUUAUCCCAACUUUUAGCAGAGACAGUGGGUAGUUUCUUUUUGUUUCUUCAACCAUUGGGUUGAGGAUUCUUUGUUUAUUGAUAUUGUCUCUUCGAUUUAGAGUCGCCAUGUAGGAGUUUCUCUGAUUGUGAGUUUCGUGAGAAAUUUACAUAACCACAAGCCUACCCUCCAUAGACAGUUUGGUAAGCACAUUAGAGCCUAAGUGAGGAGGUUCGUAUUGCUAAAGAGUCCAUGGAUAAAGCUCAGAGAAAGGUUGGGCAAAAUCCUAUGUCUGAUGUUUUGAGUCGCCAAGCAGGUCUUGCCAUUUUGGCCUUUUGGACGGCUGUUAGAUUGGAGGAAGCCUUCAUGUGUUAGAAGUCCAAGAGGUUUGUGAGUUGCCUUAGAACUUGUGUUACCUCCUCGAUGUUCUCCAUUAUGAUUAAUGGCUCUUUCAAGGGUUUUUUAAUGGGAGGAAAGGUUUGCGGUAGGGUGAUCCUUUAUCUCCUUUCCUUUUUAUCGUGGUGAUGGAGGUCCUCUCUCGUAUGUUGAAUCGGCCUCCUCCGAGCUAUCAGUUUCACAGGCAUUGUGAGAAGGUUAGCUUAACUCAUCUGACCUUUGCUAAUGAUCUUAUGAUUUUUUGUGCUGCUGAUGAUUCCUCUUUGAGUUUUAUUAACGAGACUAUUCGAAAGUUUGGUGAUCUCUCGGGGCUAUUUACUAAUCUUAGUAAAAUUUCUAUGUUUGUUGUAGGGGUUAAUAGUGAUGAUGUUUAUCGUUUGACUACCAGUUUGGGUUUUGUCCUCAGGCAUCUCCCUGUUCGUUAUCUUGGGCUUCCUUUACUUUCUGGGAGGUUACGACCUACUGAUUGUGCUCUCUUAUUCAACGUAUUACUAGUCAGAUUCAUUCUUGGUUUGCUAGAGUUUUAUCAUUUGCAGGUAGAUUGCAACUGGUUCGAUAUGUGCUUGAUAAUCUUCAGGUUUACUAGGCUAACGUGUUUGUGCUGCCUGUGAGUGUGCAUCAUGAGGUUGAUAAAAUCUUGAGGUCUUAUCUUUGGAGGGGUAAGGAGGAAGGUAGAGGAGGUGUUAAGGUGGCGUGGGCUGAGGUGUGUUCCUUUUGAGGAGGGUGGUCUUACUAUUCUUGAUGGGUCUUCUUAGAAUGUUGUGAGUACUAUGAAGAAUCUUUGGUUGUUGCUGACUAGUUCGAGUUUUCUAUGGGUUGCUUGGGUGGAGGCUUAUAUUCAUAAAGGAAGGUCAUUGUGGGAGGUCGAUUCUUGUGUUGGUCGGUCUUGGUGUCUUUGCGCUAUCAUGUGUAAACAAGAUAGUCUAAAAGAGCAUGUUCAGAUGGAGGUUGGGGAUGGUAGGCAUUGUAAACUGUGCCUGGAUCCGUGGUUGAAGGGUGGUCCUAUCCUUCAACAAGUUGGUGAGAGAGCGCUUUAUAAUGUAACGAGUAGAUAGGAGGCUAGGCUCUCUAAGUUUAUUGGUUCGAAAGGGGAGUGGAGGUGGUCGAGGGUGGAUUUUGAUUUGAUUAAUUUAUGGGAUAGGGUUCAAGUUGUAAGUUCGUGUCCUAAUGUUGGUGAUAGGUAGGUUUGGGUUCUUGGUCGUCAUAGUGGUUUUUUGAUUGCUAGUGCAUGGGAUACUAUUCAUUCUCGUAGUGUUAAGGUUCGUUGGACAGGUUUCUUGUGGGGUGGGGAUUGAGAGUCUCGUUAUCAUUUGUUUUUUCAUGUCCUUUUGGGUGUGAUAUUUAGUCUCGGGUCCUUUAGGUUAUGGCUUCCUCUCACAGGAUUGGGUAUUGGGGGGUUGAGUUGUUUGGGUUUGUCAUUAGAGUAUUGGUAAGGGUGUGAGAAGGAAGUUGUGGUAUGUUCUCUGGUGUGCUACGAUUUAUUUUAUGUGAAAGGAGCAUAAUCAUUGUCUCCAUGGUGGUCAAGCUCGUUUGCUCAUUGUUCUGUUUCAGCUUAUUCCAUAUUGUAUCAGUGCUCGUGUUGUUUAUUUGCGUGAGGAUGCUUAUGGUAUUAUUUAGCUUGUUUUGUUUUGAUUUUUGUUUUAUCUGCUUGUUCUCGGGCUGUGGGGUUGUUUGGACUUUUUAUGUUUUUGUUGCUCUUAAUUUUGUUGGGUUUAUUAUUGUUCUUUCUUUUGAUACUCUGGAUUCUUCCUGUUUUUGUGAGCAUUGUUCGCUCUUGUGAGGUCAUCCUUGUUAUAUUAUGAUAUUAACUUUUCAAAAAAAAAAAAGAUAAUGCAAUUCAACUUUAGAUAGAAACAUGAUUCAAAUUUUCAUUUCAAGAAAAUACAAGGGGACAGAACUCAAGGAUUAUGUGGAUCACAAAACUUGAAUUACUAGAAUCUAAAUUUCCAUAUGUUAGAUAUCAUCAGAAGCAGUUAGACCAAAAGUUAAUUAUCAAUAUGUUAGUUCACAGGAACUGCAUAAUCAAGCACAUAAACAUCCACAUUGUCAUUCAUUGUAGGCAGCUUUGAUACACAAAAAAUAUGGAUAUUUUCAGAAGUUCAAGCAUACACAAAAAACAUAUCCUUGUCAGAAAAUAGCCAACUAAGAAAGAGAAGUUCAAGAUUUAUAUACAAAGUGCAGCUGCAAAAGGACAAGCAAGAUGCCAGAAUCUAUAUAUAUAUGCAGUCGGAUAUUAAUUGGCAAGUACUAACAGCAAAGGUACCAAAAUAAAACUGUAUCAAUUUAUCUUGUCUAAAACUAAACAGUAUAUGUAAAUCUUGCAAACAAACAAGUUUUUUGAAUCAAAACUGUCAAAAGAUUUUGAUUCAAGUGAUAAGUGGAUUGUGAUCUUUUGUGUCACCCAUCCAUUCCUCCUGUUUUAACCAUUUAAAUCAAUAAAUAAUUUUAUGUUCAAACAUAAGUUGGACAACCUUUGUUAAAGAACUGCUUCCCAAAACAAAUAGCAUUAACCACCCUUUUUUAAUUCAACACAUGGGAAUAGAGAUCGAAUCUCUAAUUUUUUGGUCUAAGGUACCUUUCCUAAACUUGUCGAAUUCCAUUUUCUACACCAACUUUAAUUCGACCUCCCACGAAUUCUCUUCUUCUAAGGAUUAACUUUUCUCUAAGGCUCUGCACUCUACUAAAAAGCCUUGAUCUUCUUCCCCCCAAUGUUUUCAUAAACUUCUUAAGACAGACCUUGGCCUUGGUUAGGCUCGGAUCUCCUUGGAUUAUCACCUUCUUCCCCUGAUAUGUAAAUGUUAACAUCAGAUUCUUCCAAUUCACUCCAGUCGUUCCCAAGGAAUACAAUCACUGCAUUCCAAGUAUGGCAACUACCCUCCCAACUUCAAGGAUAAAAACUCAUUCACUACCUUCUAGUCUCCCAGCAUUAACUCAACAUCUUCACAAAUUACCUUCCCUUUGACUACAGUGCCCGAGCCCAAAAUGACUCCAUAAUUUGACGUUUCUCUUGUACUCAGUUACAACUCUUUCACUAUUUUUUUCUGAAAUGAAAUUGCGUGUGACUCCACAAUCAAUUAGUAUUAUAGCCACCUUCCCUUGUAUCAUCUCUUUUACCUUCAUUUUCCCUAGGUUGGAUAAUCCCACCACAUAAUUAAUGGAUAAUUCCACCAUCAUUUGACUCUCCUCUACGAUCUCAGGGGCAUUCAAUUCUUUCUGAUCAAUUCCUCCUUCUUCAAUAAUUUCAUACUCCUCGCCUUCUUCCUUCACAACAAUCAUUCGCAAUUCCCUUUGCUCUUUCAUCUUGCAUUUGUGGUCAUGAGAAUAUUUCUCAUUACAGGAAAGCACAAUCCCUUCUUUCUAGAUUGAAAUUCAGCAUCAAAUAAGCGCUUCGUCUGUCCCUCUUUCCGUACUUCCUCUUUUGUUGUUCCUCGUAGAGUAAUAGUUCUCAUCGGCCAAUUCAUUCCUCCUUUACUUUCUUCUGUAUUCGCAAUGGUAUUAGCCUUGGUGCUAUUAUGGGAGUUUAUCACCUUUUCUCCAGAAUAUCCAAAAAGAUUUGCUUCCUGACGUAUAUCUUCCUUGUUCUCUACCUUUUGCGCAAUUCGUAUCAUUUGUGCUAAUCCCUUCGACUCACAUAAAUCCAUCUCGCCUAGAUCCACAGUUUCAAUCCGACAUAAAUGUCUCUUUACCACCUUCUCUAAUAGGUCCGACAAAGGAGCUACGCACUUAUCGAAUAAAUUUUGAUAUUCCUUUAUCGUUGUCUUUUGUUGAAUUUGCAAGAACCUUACAUACAACGAUUCCUCCUAACGGAUCGAAAUCGCACCAAUAAUCUUUCCUUCAUAUUCACCCAAUCUACAAAGUUCUCUCGUUCUUCUUGAGAACGGUAAAAGUUCAAUGCUAGUCCCUCAAAACUAAUAGUGGAUACAGUCAUUUUCUCAAAUUCAGUAAGUUUAUGAAUGUUCAAAUACCUCUCUACGCAAAACAGCCAAGAAUCGGGAUCAUCUCCAUUGAAUAUCGACAUCUCCACCUUCUUAAACUUAUUGCAGUCACUAUUACUUUCAUCAUCUAUUUUCUUUCCUUCCUUCCCUGUUUCGUUCUCCCAUCUUGGUCACCCUUCGCCUUCGUCCACAUUCUUCGUCGAUGAAUUGUGCAUUGUUGUCGAUUCCAUAAUUCGUAACAUCAUCUGAUUCUACCUCUCCAUAUUUUUGGAUAUUUUGGCCAACGUCUUUUCGAUCACCAGUAUCUUACUAAUCUCUUUCUUAAUGUCUUGUAUUUCCUGGUCAAACGUCUCCAUCUCUUCGAUCCGAGUCUGAACCAUUUGCAUUCUUCUUGCCCGAGAUCAAUGCUCUGAUACCAAUUUGAUGGAAACCACUCUUGGAAUGAAAUUGCUACUAUAUUAUUAAUGAUAGAAUAGGAAUGAAAUCCUAAUUACAUUAUGAAAUCCCACUCCUGUUAUCCUCUCUCUCAAGGAAGAAUAGAAAUUCACUUUCUCAAACAAAACCUAACUUUCCCGCCCACGAUUACUUUUUAUUUAUACUAACAAUAAGGUAACUAACCCUCACAUGCUAUUCAUGUGCACGUGAUAUAUUUUUUUUAAUUUCUUUGUCCCUCUUCCGCUGUACAGAUGUAAUAUAGGGGUCUAUCAGAUUCCUCCUCUUUUCAAAGCCUCCAAUCAAACUCAAUGCUAAGUUUGACUGCUCCCUUCAGAGUGACGACCCUCAUUUUCCCCCUUCCGUGGUUUGGGGAGGAUUCCUCCUCUUUUUAAAGCCCUCAAUCAAACUUGAUGCUAUGUUUAGAACGCUAAGAAUAGGUGGUCUAGUUUUGGUUAGGCCAAAAGUGAAAUUUUCCCCCAAAAGCACUAAUAGUUAGGGAACUCAACACAUUCUACUUGACUUAUUCGACUUGACUCUCUAAUUUUUAUGAGCUUUUUUCAAUGCAUAUUGCAUAUGUUUUUUUAUAGUUGUUGAUUGUCUCACAUUUUUAUGGUUUGCAUUUACAAGCCUCUUUUUUCUUUCUUUGGUAUGAAAUAUGGUAAUAGGCCUUGCUAGAACCGGUGGGGUAAUCUCUCUAUGGUUCUACACUUAGUUUCAAAGUUUGAUUACUCCCUUCGAAGUGACAACAAGCCUCGUUUUCCCCUAUUGUGGAUCAGAGAGGAUUCCUCCUCUUUUCAAAGCCCUCAAUCAAACUCAAUGCUAAGUUUAACUGCUCCAUUCGAAGUGACAACAAGCCUUGUUUUCCCCUAUUGUGGAUCAGAGAGAAUUCCUCCUCUUUUCAAAGCCCUCAAUCAAACUCAAUUAGAGUAAAAAAGGAAAAAUUUUCAUCUCGGGCGCGUGUACCUCACACGCGUCUCUCUAGGAUUUCCAAGUUCUCUCACUCGGGUGGUGAAGGAGGCGAACGGCUGGUGAGUGCUGCGGUCAGCAAGGGAUCAAAUUCGAAGGUAAUUCGUUCGGUUUUGGCAGAUUGAAUGUGAAAACUAAUGUCAUUUGGUAUCCAUUUCGAAAUUGAUUACAAUUGAUCAAUUGAACCAUUACGAAUGAUAUUCGUUUUGAUUCGGGAGAAUUAACGUCUGUCUAGAAAUUGUUUAAAUCGAUUUCCAAGCUGAAUUGAUUUGAACUAUCUUGAAAGUAUUGCGUGUGGUACGAAUCGAUUUAUUGGCUAUCAGUUCUGGGUUUGAAGACCGUGAUUUAAUUCACUCGCUGAAGGGAUCUCACAUGAAUCUCCUCGGUUGAAUUUCAAUUCUUUUUGAGUUCAUUCGUGUUCCCAGAUUGGGCCGAAAAGAUCAUCACGGGUGUUGGGUUGAUGUCCUAAGCAUGAAACGAUGAAGAAAUUAUCCAGUGACAUUGAGGAGGUGAAGAAACUGUGAUGUCAAGCCUUCAACGCGUACAUGAUAUGGCGGCGAACGACCGAAGGGCGGCGACUGCAAAGGCUGACCUAAUUUCUGUGAGGAAGAAAUGGUCGGACAUGAGUGGACCCGAACCGGUUUACGUGAACCGUGAAACAUAUAAAAACUAAAAUACAGGAAAUGGACCGAGCGGAGAUGGUCCCAUGAAGAUUGUUGGCCCAAAUGUGGGCCGAUUGUUUUGAAUGAAAACGUGAUGAAGCCAGUGAGCCGGUAAAGGGGCUGAAGCCGAAUGGUGUGGACACAUUUACGAAUGGAAUUGGUCAUGGAUUUCUGGUUGAUGGGCCAUCGUUGAAUGAUGGGCCGCCCAUCUCACUCGAAACUGGAUCUCACAGAAGGAGUGCUUACCUGCUGGUGCUUCAAGUGUUCAGCAUGUUGGGCAAAUUGCAACAGCCGAAGGAUAUGGACCUGGGCUGGAUGCUAUUGCAAGUGCCCCAAAGAUUGGGCCGGUUGAUGGGCAUUUGAAUGAUGGGCCAGCCAUUAGAGAAUCGUUUGGUAUUAAUUCAAAUGGUGGGCCGCCUGUUUCGAUUCGUGGGCAUGAGGUGCAGGCAAAAAUUCAUGGGCUUCCUUAUUUGGCUCAACAAGAGGUUUCUCUAUGACCUAUACACCUCUGACUACCGUGGGAGAGAAAAUUGUGGUGACCCCGUUUGAAGAAGUUAUUAGUCAAGGAGUUAGAGUGUGGGAGAACUCCCUCGUCAGCCAAUUAAUUGAUGCAAAAUUGUUGUAUCUAGUCAUCUAUCGUCUUAUAGAGAAGAUUUGGGGUAGAAUUGAAAUGCCAACAAUUACUCUGAUGGAGAAUGGGCUCAUCUGCUUUCAAUUCAAACAUCUGAAGUCGAUAGAGUGGAUCUUAUCCCGUGGCCCAUGGCACCUUGGAGGCAAACCUAUGCUCCUCCGCAAAUGGACUCCAGGUAUAGUUCCUGAAUCCUUUGUCUUUGAUUCAGUUCAUGUUUUGAUAAAGUUAGGGAGGAUUCCGUUGGAGCUAUGGACGGAUGCUGGUUUGGCUGUGGUAGCGAGUGCAAUAGGAAAACCUCUUUCAGUUGAUCUUGCUACUAAAGAGAGGCGUCGUCUUUCUUAUGCCCGUAUAUGUGUGGAAUUGAAUGUGGACAGUAUUAUGCCUGCCGAAGUAACAGUCAACCUUAGAGGAGAGGAAUUUAUUGUAACUGUCACUUAUGAGUGGAAACCGAAAAAAUGUAACUUGUGUCGAUCUUUUGGACACUCGCAGAACACCUGCCCUAAGAAAAGAGGCAAUGAAGAUAGUAAAAAGGAAGCUGCAAGUAAAGAGGUUCCUGUUAAAGAGGUUGUUCCUACUAAAGAGGUGGUUCCAAUUUGUGGGGAGUAUGAAGAUGUUGUGUUGGAAUCCUUCCAACACAUGGAAGAAGGAGAAAUUAUUACCCAUAAACUGCCUGAAAAGGUGGAGGUAAAUUGGGAGGAAUUUACCCCAGUUGACAGGAAAAAUAGGGGAAUGAUCUCUAUUUGGGACAGAGGGAAAAGGGCGGAAGUGAGUAUCACUAACUCCUUUAACAACCUCAUGGAGGUGGAUAAAGGAGAUAAAUGGCCUUUAUCUAUAGUGGAUGCCUCCCCUCCUCCCUUACGAGUAGAUGACUCUUCUAUGGUCCUUUUGAGUACUGCAGGUGAUGUAAUUCCUAUGGAGAGGCGGCUCCCAUACGACCUCAUGGUUAGUUGGUGUACGUGGAACGUGCGGGGCCUUAAUAGCCCUAUAAAGUGUAGAGCGGUGAAGGACUUCUUAGCUGUGUCUACGGUGGGUUUCUGUUGCAUCCUGGAGACUAGAGUUCGAGAGGAGAACUUUGUCUCGAUAUCUAGAAGAUUUGUGAUUCGUGGGGGUUCAUUAGUAACUACAGCGAUAGUGGAGCAGGUCGAAUGUGGAUUAUGUGGAAACGUAACAGUUUUGUGUUCACGACUAACGAGGUUGUCGACCAGUUUAUUUUUGGUGUAAUAACAGAUUUGAUCUCUGGGGAGAAGGUAGAGGUUCUGUGUGUGUAUGCCUAUAAUAGUAACAUCGAGAGACGUGUUUUAUGGAGGCAAAUGGCUGAGAUCUCUGCUGGUUGGAGAGGACCGGGUAUGGUCUUGGGUGAUUUUAACACCAUCAGACUCCAGUCUGAAGCAUUCGGGGGUGCUCCGAACGUGGGGGAUAUGGAGGAGUUUGACAUGGCUAUUCGAGAGGCGGACCUUGUUGAACACGCGGUCCAGGGGAACUGGUUUACUUGGACUAGUAAGAUACAUGGUCGGGUUUGAUGAGAAGAGACUUGAUCGUAUCCUAGUGAAUGAUGAGGGGCUUAGUACAUGGCCUAACAUGAGGGUUAACGUCCUCCCGUGGGGUAUUUCUGAUCAUUCUCCCAUACUUGUCUAUCCCAGUAAUCAGCGAAGCCAACAAGUGGUCUCUUUUCGUUUCUUUAACCAUUGGGUUCAAGAAGCGUCCUUUAUGGAUGUUGUGUCCUCUGCUUGGACCAAAGAUACUAGAGUUUCUCCAAUUGUGAAUAUUGUGAGGAACUUAAGAAAUCUCAAGUCGAUUCUUCGCAGACAUUUUGGUAGGCAUAUCCGGACCAUCAGUGAGGAUGUUCGUCUUGCCAAUGAUACCAUGGACCGAGCUGAAAGAGAGAUGGAGACGAACUCUCUGUCGGAGGAGGCGAGUAAUCACGCGAGCUUAGCCACGGUAAACUUUUGGAAAGCGGUUAGAGUGGAGGAAGCCGCUAUGCGUCAGAAGUCGCGAACCAGAUGGUUGAAGCUAGAUGACCAGAAUACUGCCUUUUUUCAUCGAUCUGUUCGAUCAAGGCAGAGCAGCAAUGCUUUGAGAUCAGUUAUUGACCCAGAUGGAAAUCGGUUGACUAACCAUGAUCAGGUGACUCAGGUGGUAGUGAAUUAUUUCAAAGAUAGUCUGGGUUCUCAGAAUAUUAGCUAUGGAGAGCUCUCUACUAGUAUUGAGGAGAUUGUUCAGUUUAGAUGGACUGAGGAGUGUUGUCAGGCCCUCCAGUCGCCUAUUGGCAGGGAGGAAGUGAGACGUGUUCUGUUCUCCAUGGAUGGUGGAAAGGCUCCAGGCCCUGAUGGGUAUUCAGUUGGCUUCUUCAAAGGAGCUUGGACGGUGGUUGGAGAGGGUUUCUGUGAUGUCGUCUUACACUUCUUUGAGACCAAUUACUUCCCUCAAGGGGUGAAUACGACUGCUAUUACACUUAUUCCUAAAAGGAAUGGUGCUGAUCGAUUGGAGGAUUUCAGCCCUAUAUCUUGUUGCAGCGUUAUUUAUAAGUGCAUUUCAAGAAUAUUGGCAGAUAGGCUUCGUGUGUGGCUUCCUUCUUUUGUUAGUGGAAAUCAGCCAGCUUUCAUCCCUGGGAGGAGUAUUAUUGACAAUAUUCUUCUUUGUCAGGAGCUUGUAGGGGCAUACCAUUUGCACAGAGGUAAACCUCGGUGCACUAUGAAGGUUGACCUCCAAAAAGCUUAUGAUUAUGUUAAUUGGGAUUUCCUCUUUGGCCUGCUGAUUGCCAUAGGUACGCCUUUAAGAUUUGUGAGUUGGGUUCGAGCGUGUGUGACCUCUCUGAUGUUCUCCAUUAUGAUUAAUGGAUCGUUGGAAGGUUUUUUCCAUGGGAGGAAAGGACUUAGACAAGGUGACCUUUUAUCCCCGUUCUUAUUUGUGAUGGUCAUGGAGGUGCUUUCUCGCAUGUUGAACAGCCUACCUCAGAAUUUUCAAUUCCACUAGUUUUGUGAGAAGGUCAGAUUAACUCAUCUUACUUUUGUAGAUGACCUGAUGAUCUUUUGUACUGCUGAUAAUCAUUCUAUGAGUUUCAUAAAAGAGACUAUUAAGAGGUUUGGUGAGCUUUCGGGACUGUUUGCUAAUCUUGCUAAAAGCUUAAUUUUUCUUGUGGGGGUUAAUAGUUCGAAAGCCUCUCGGCUUGCUGCUAACAUGGGUUUUUCCAUUGGUCAUCUCCCUGUUCGUUAUCUUGGGCUUCCUCUCCUCUCUAGAAGAUUGCGGAGCUCUGAUUGUGAUCCCCUUAUUCAGCGUAUUACCAGUCGUAUUCGGUCUUGGUCUGCUAGAGUGUUAUCUUUUGCAGGUAGACUUCAGCUUGUUCGCUCAGUCCUUAGGAGCCUUCAGGUUUAUUGGGCUAGUGUGUUCAUGCUUCCUAUGAAAGUCCACAGAGACGUUGAUAAGAUCUUGAGGGCUUAUUUGUGGAGAGGUAACGAGGAGGGAAGAGGUGGUGCUAAAGUUGCCUGGGAUGAGGUUUGUCUUCCUUUUGAUGAAGGAGGUCUUGAUAUUCGCGAUGGAUCUUCUUGGAAUAUAGCAAGCACGUUGAAGAUAUUAUGGUUGCUACUUGUUAAAUCUGGUAGUUUAUGGGUUGCUUGGGUGGAAUCUUAUAUCCUUAAAGGGAGAUCGCUCUUGGAGAUCGAUGCUGGGGUGAGUCGAUCUUGGUGCUUUAGGGAAAUCUUGCGUAAGCGGGAUAUCCUUAAAGAUCAUGUUAAGAUGGAGGUGGGCAAUGGAAGGAAGUGUAGAGUGUGGUUGGUUCCAUGGAUUCAGGGUGGGCCGAUUAUCCAGCAGUUUGGGGAGAGGGUGAUCUAUGAUGCAGGUAGUCGGUGGGAUGCGAGGCUGGUGGAUUUCAUGGGUCGGGAUGGUGAUUGAAGGUGGCCGCUUGUUUCUUUGGAUUUGAUGGACAUUUGGGAUAGGGUUCAGGGAGUGAGGCCGAGUCCGAGUGUUGAGGAUAGGUGGGUCUGGGUGCCGGGGAGUCAUGAUAGUUUUUUAUCACCAGUGCGUGGGAGACUAUUCGUCCUCAUAGUAGUAGGGUUGGUUGGUCGGGUUUACUAUGGGGUGGGGGAAAUAUUCCUAAGCACUCCUUUUGUGCUUGGUUGGCCAUCAGGGAUAGGUUGGGUACUAGAGAUAGGUUAAGUCGGUGGGAUAGGUCGAUUCCUUUAUCGCGUUUGCUUUGUGGAGGGAACUAUGAGUCUCGUGAUCAUUUGUUUUUUUCUUGUCAUUUUGGGUGGGAGGUUUGGUCGAGGAUCCUUUUGCUUAUGUCAUCUUCUCAUAGAAUCGGUUAUUGGGAAGAGUGUGAGGAGAAAACUGUGGCGCCUUCUCUGGUGUGCUACAAUUUAUUUCAUUUGGCAGGAGCGAAAUCAUCGUCUUCAUGGAGUUGCUAUUCGGGAGCCUAUGGUUGUAUUCCAGCUCANNNNNNNNNNNNNNNNNNNNNNNNNNNNNNNNNNNNNNNNNNNNNNNNNNNNNNNNNNNNNNNNNNNNNNNNNNNNNNNNNNNNNNNNNNNNNNNNNNNNNNNNNNNNNNNNNNNNNNNNNNNNNNNNNNNNNNNNNNNNNNNNNNNNNNNNNNNNNNNNNNNNNNNNNNNNNNNNNNNNNNNNNNNNNNNNNNNNNNNNNNNNNNNNNNNNNNNNNNNNNNNNNNNNNNNNNNNNNNNNNNNNNNNNNNNNNNNNNNNNNNNNNNNNNNNNNNNNNNNNNNNNNNNNNNNNNNNNNNNNNNNNNNNNNNNNNNNNNNNNNNNNNNNNNNNNNNNNNNNNNNNNNNNNNNNNNNNNNNNNNNNNNNNNNNNNNNNNNNNNNNNNNNNNNNNNNNNNNNNNNNNNNNNNNNNNNNNNNNNNNNNNNNNNNNNNNNNNNNNNNNNNNNNNNNNNNNNNNNNNNNNNNNNNNNNNNNNNNNNNNNNNNNNNNNNNNNNNNNNNCUAAAGAAAACCAAAAUAAAAAAAUAUAAAGUUAGAAGCAAUUUGAAGGACAUUUCCCUAUGGCAGUUUCGCGGAAAAAGAUUAAACAUAAAAGGGUGAGUAUAAACAUACCCAGUAAGGGACCCACUACUGAUCCUGUUAGAAGAAAAAUAAAAUUGUUAACUUCCUAUUGGAGGUGCCCUGCACUUUAAAAGUCUUGUGAUCAUGUAGGAAUACACAUAAUCAGUCCAAUGCCCUAAAGGACACAAAUAUUAGUCUAGUGCUCUGCAGAAAGCACAUGUCAGUCUAGUGCUCUCGAAGAAUGCACAUGUCAGUCUAUUGCUCUCGAAGAAUGCACAUGUCAUUCUAGUGCUCUCGAAGAAUGCACAAGGUGGUGAUCCUGUAGGACACCUGCAAGGCACACUACCAAUCGACAAAGCUAACAAUUUUCCCUUAGUCCAUUAUAAACAUUUAAUCAAUCCAUUCCUAGUAUAGUCAAACUACUCCAUCAUAUCAUCAAUCCAACUUAACACACUUACGUUCAAUCUAUUCAAUCUAUCACAAAAUCAGUUGAUACUAUAACAACACACCAGACAGUCAAGAUAUAUAUAUAUACAUAACACCUUUCUCAGUUUACAAAUACAUUAUCCAUCGUAUCUACUUCUAUACCAGUAAGUUUACAAACACUAACUGUUGAGUUUCUACAGUAGAUUCUUGAAGAUGUGACUCUUGAACAGAUGGAUUCUCAUGGAUGAUCACAUGUUUGUUAUUUUGAUGGUCAUCAUUCUUGUCCAGAUUGUGAUGACUAGAAUCAUCACGAAGAUCAUCAUACAUGUUGUUAAUAUCAUCAAACAAUUGAUUCUGAUUCUAGUAUAGAAAGAAAAAAGGAUAAUAAAAAAAAUAGUUACAAAAUGAUCGUGUAUCCUUAAGCAAACAAUCGUGUAGAAUAUCUAAACGGUUGUUUUACCAAGGGUGAUCGAUAUUUUAGAUGGGAUAUGCGAUCGUUCAUAUGUGAUAUGUGAUCGUGUAAAGAUAUAUCAAACCUUUGUUCUGUCAGAAGUCGUGCUAAGAAGAGUUGAAAGCUUGUAAUAAGAUCCAUCAAAACUGAAAGAUUUUACAUCAACACGUUCCUGACACAGUAAUGCAGUAUCAAUGAGCAUCAAAUUACGUGAGAUACGUAUUAGAAAAUAUCUAACUGCUCAGUUAAUUUUUUAUGGACAUCAAAUCACCUUUUUUCAAGCUUAAGGAAGGAAAUGUCGGCACUAUAUAUGUCAGAGUUGUGCAUUGCAAUGGAAGUGCCAAACGAGGUGAUACAUGUGUGUCUUUCUGGGAUGUAAAUGCCACUCCCCGACUAGGACCAACAUAGUCUUAGGGAGAAAGCAUGCUAGGAAUUGGAGUUGUGUCCUCAAUUUCUUCAAGGGACUUGAGCAUUUCUUCUUACACUAGAAUGUCUCCUGUUCAGAGAGUUUAUAGGAUUUCUCAAGGCCAUUUUUGCAUACUUAACAGCUCUUGACAACGGUAGAGAGUCUAACUCUACACUUUCAGGGGUUCCAACUCCACCACUCGCUGAGCCAAAGAUAGAGACGAAUCAUUAAUGAUCCAGUAAGCAACAUGAAACCUUGUAAUUUUGGGGUCAACGGUAGUCCCUCCCAUUACUAGCUCAACACUCAAACGGAGUCUCCUGUAUAAAAUAUAAAAUAAUACAGACACAAAUAGUGAAUGAAAUCUUGUGACGUAACAAACACAAAUUUUAGGUAUACUGCAAUUUGACUAAAUAUUGAACAAGAAAACCCAAGGGAAUACACAAAAAUCCAACGUUUUUAGGGUCAAUUUGGAAAAUGGCAAAACUACUUUUUCUUUUCAAUUUUAGCAAACAACAUUUUUUGCGCGUGCAUGGUAUUUUAUAAAAUACCAAAAUAUUCACCUUCUCCAACUAUAAUUAUUUUGUUUUUACGUUAUAAUUAAUUUAUGUUAUGUAUUUAUCAACUUUUAAUUAAUUUUUACUUGAAAUAGAUACAUCAACUCAUAUCAUAACUUUUCUCUUAAAAUCUCAGGACUCAAUUAAUUAAUUCAACAUUUUAAUAACAUUAUUCAAUCUUAUUAAUUUCAAAAUAAUCUAAUUGAAUUUGAAUUUCAAAAUAACCAAAUUGAAUUUCAAAAUUCAAAAUUAUUAUUUUUUAGAAUUUGAGAAUCUCAACGAUAGAUUUUAUAUUAAAAUAACCUUAUCUCAAAAUAAUUUUAAUGACUUGAAUAUCAAGAUAAUUAAAUUAUUAUUUUAAAAUUGGAAGAAAAGCACAAAAAGCGCACAAGCCCACUCACGUACACACGCACGCGCGCGUAUACGCACACACACGCACACGCACACGCACAAAAGUGCACACGUGGACACUCACACCCACGCACACGUAGACACACACACCCACGCACACGUGGACACGCGCAUACGCACACACGUACGCACUCACGCACACGCACGCACACACGCACAUAUGCACAAAGAUGUAUAAAUGAAUUAAAAUUAAAAAAUAACUACAAUAAUUAUGUUUAGAAAGACUUUUAAACCAUGUUCAUUUGACUUAAUAACGUUAAUUAAAUUAUAAUUUCUAUCAAUAUUUUUAAAAGUGUCAUUAGUGUAAUUAUUUCAAUAUAAUGCAGUCUUAUCCAAUUUUACGAACAAAAAACAAGUCGAAUAUGUACCAGUAGAUGACACUCUUUGUCAUAAGAGAUAUAGCAACGUUUUUAUGGGUCAUUUUGAAAAAUGGCAAAACUACUUUUUCUUUUAAAUUUUAGCAAAUAGAAUUUUUUACACGUGUCCAUGAUAUUUUAUAAAAUACCAAAAUAUUCACCUUCUCAAACAGUAAUUAUUUCGUUUCUACGUUGUAAUUAAUUUAUGUUAUGCAUUUAUUAGCUUUUAAUUAUUUUUUACCUGAAAAAGAUACAUCCUUUUUUCUUAAUAUCUCGGGACUCAACUAAUUGAUUCAAGAUUUUAAUUUUAUUCAAUCUUACUAAUUUCAAAAUAACCUAAUUAAAUUUCAAUUUAAAAAUAAAAAAAUUAUUAUUUUUCGAAAUUUGAGAAUCUCAACGAUAGAUUUUGUAUCAAAAAUAACUUUAAUUGAAUUUCAAAAUUAAAAAAUAUUAACUUGUUCGCACACAAGCACACACAGACACGUGCACAACGCACGCACACGCACGCACACACACUCAUCCACACACGCACACUCACACGCACAUAUGCACACACGCACAAAGAUGUGUAAAUUAAUUAAAGUUAAAAAACAAAUACAUUAAUUAUGUUUAGAAAGAGUUUUAAACCAUGUUCAUUUGGCUUAAUAACAUUGAUUAAAUUAUAAUUUCUAUCAAUAUUGGCUUAAAAGUGUCAUUCGUGUAAUUAUUUCAAUAUAAUGCGGUCUUAUCCAAUUUUACCAACAAAAAACAAAUCGAAUAUGGAUCAGUAGAUCUACACUCUUUGUCAUAAGAGACAUAACAACGUUUUUAGGGGUCAUUUUGAAAAAUGACAAAACUACUUUUUCCUUUGAAUUUUAGCAACUAGCAUUUUUUGCACGUGCAUGGUAUUUUAUAAAAUACCAAAAUAUCAACAUUCUUCAACUGUAAUUAUUUCGUCUCUACAUUGUAAUUAAUUUAUGUUAUGCAUUUCUCAGCUUUUAAUUAUCUUUUACUUGAAAUAGAUACAUCAACUCAUAUCAUAAUAUUUUUCUUAAUAUCUCGAGACUCAACUAAUUAAUUCAACAUAUUAAUAACUUUAUUCAAUCAUACUAAUUUCAAAAUAACCUAAUUGAAUUUGAAUUUCAAAAUAACAAAAUUAUUAUUUUUUGGAAUUUGAGAGUCUCAACGAUAGAUUUUGUAUUAAAAUAACCUUAAUUGAAUUUCAAAAUUAAAAAAUAUCAACCUGUUCACUAUCUUUAUCUCAAAAUAACAUUAAUGCCUUAAAUAUCAAGAUAAUUAAAUUAUUAUUUUAAAAUUGGAAGAAACUCAACAUUAAAAAAUAUUAACUUGUUCGGACACAAGCAUAGAAGCACUGCGCACACACGUACACAUGCACACUUACACACACGCGUGCACACGCACACCUACACACAGACACCCACAGAUGCACGAACCCACGCACACACACAUGCACAAGCGCACGCACGCACACACACACCUAUCCACACGCACACAAGCACAUACACAUGCACAAACGCACACACGUGUACGCACAAACCUUAUCUCAAAAUAGUUCCUAUUUUUGCUGACAGUUUAUUUUUUGCCAUCGAUAGAGGAUCUUCCAAUAGACCUACGUGACGGUGUGUGUUGACAGCUUAAUUUGUUGGCAAAAGAAAAGUUGAUUAGUUUUUGAAGAUUUACUGACGAUAUUUGUCAUCGACAAAGGGUAAAUUUCUUGGAGUGCAUGUACAUCAAACAUAUCAAAUUUGUUAAGUUUACCAAUGAAGUAUAACAAGUUUAUUAGUGGUGUAUCACGUGUAUCAAACUUAUAAGUGAAGUCUUUAAGUGUAUCAAACUAAUCAAGUGUAUCAAGGUCUCAGGGGUAUCAAGUGUAUCAAGAAGAAUCAAGUGUAACGAGAAGUAUUAUGUGGAACGAGAAGUAUUAUGUGUAUGAAGAUGUUUCAAGUGUGUAUCAAAAAGUAUCGAGUGUAUCAAUGAGUACCGAGUGCAUGAAUUGUAUCUAUCAAAUGUAUCAAGUGUAUCAGUAAGAAGUAUCAAGUGUAUCAAGGGGUAUUAGGUGUAUCAGACGUGUAUAAGGUGUAUCAAAUAUACAUCAAUAACGAGGGCAUUUGUGACAUUUUACCUCUUGAUGUGUGAGUUGGUCUUUGUUUUUGUCAUUUUCUCAAAUAAUAAAGUAUGUGUUCUAUGGACUUAAUUAUUAUAACUUAUUUUGCCAUUUUCGCAAGUGUCCCUUAAUUGUAAUACAUGUAUAUGUGACAUAAUCUAAUCAAACUAACUCAUAAAUGGACUUAAUGUAUCAAGAGGUAUUAGGUGUAUCAGACGUGUAUAAGGUGUAUCAAAUGUACAUCAAUAACGAGGGCUUUGUGACAUUUUACCUCUUGAUGUGUGAGUUGGUCUUUGUUUUUGUCACUUUCUCAAAUAAUAAGGUAUGUGUUCUAUGGACUUAAUUAUUAUAACUUAUUUUGCCAUUUUUGCAAGUGUCCCUUAAUUGUAAUACAUGUAUAUGUGACAUAAUAUAAUCAAACUAACUCAUAAAUGGACUUAAUCUAUCUCAUGGACCACGAAUUCUUCAAUUACUUGCAAAUUUGGUGAGUUCCUUCAAAUGGUGGGCGGAGAGCUUAAUUUUGAGAGAGAGGAAAAGUCGUGAAGAGUAUUUGCGAGAGAGGGGGAACGUCGCCAGAGAGCAUUUGCGAGAGAGCUAAAGACACGACGAUGUGGAUGAAGUAAGGUUUUUUUCGGUCAUUGUUCACAAGUGGGAUGAAAGCUUCGAAUUAUUUGUUUUAAAUCAAAAACGUAUGAUUGAAGGAAAACAUUGAUUUUUUAUUAGGGUAAUUUUUAAUGACACAUAAUUUAUGCCAUUAUUUACAAUGCCAAAAUUUUGUCAAGAAAACUCAAUUUGUGUCACAAAAAAUUUUGUAUUUUUAUUUUUAACGACACAUUUUAUUCCCUCAUAUCCCUUUUUCUUGAUUUCAAGUGUCAUUAAAACUUAUAUUUCUAAAUAAAUUUAUUCGACGAAAGUGGCUAGAUUGGUGGGUUUGACGGCGAAGGCUUGUUGUGGGAGCAACGACAACAGUGGUUGGAGUGUGGAAUCGACGACGGCAAGUGGCAAAAAAUUGGAGGGCAAGGGUUCUUCAUAACGACUCGGUAGCCCACUUCGAAUUUUUUUGAAAUUUGAGGUUUUUUCAUUUGAAAAUUUUUUUAAUGACAAAAAAAUUGUCGUUAAUUAAUGACGCAAAAAUUGUGUUGAAAUAAAUUAAAUUGUGUCAAUAUGAUUGUUUUAAGAAAUAAUCCAUAUUUUUAUUUUCAACAACACAAUGUACCUCAUCCCACCUCUUUUUUCUUUUAUUUUCAACGACACAAUGUCUUGAUUAAAAUCCAUUUUUCUAGUAGUGACUGAAAAAAAAACUGGACAAAAUCAUAAUAUCUUUGAUAAUUAAAUCACCAGUUGGUUUGAACAUAUAUAAUCUUGGAUCUAUUCUAUUAUGAUAUGACCAUGGUACAUCAUGAACAUACAUUGACUAAAAAACUUAAAUUGAUGAGUGAAUGUAAUAAAUUUAAUAUUAAUUAUAUGAUCAAUACUUUACACAUGUAUAUUGGUAUAUCAGUCAAUAACAGUAGUAAGACAAAUUAUAAAAUAUAAGGAUAAAAGUCCUACACAUGCAUGUAUGGUAUACUCUCUUGAUAGCAAAAUGCAUUUAUGUCAACUCAUGUUUGAAUGCAUUUAUGUAGGAAAUUCAAUAAAAUAAUUAAGAAACCUUGCAAUAUGUGAGAGAUAUACGAACUUCAAACAAAUUUUACAAGUUUCAGCAAAAAUUUGAAACAACUUUUAAAGUUUAAGCAAAAAGUAACCGUAGGUAGGAAGGGGAGCAAAAGUGGGGUCUCGAAUUAAUUCUGAAAAAUUAGUAGGCUUUCAAAAUUUAGGUUCUAGAAGUAGAAUUAUUGCAGAAAAAUAAAUAAUUGCAUCAUUCAAAUUGAAUCAAACAUAUCAGGAUGUUAUAUUCUCCACAACGUAUAAUGGAGUAUAAACAUAAAGUUUCUAUAUACAAAGCUAUGUAUCUCUACCCUUGACUUCUCUUUCUCUCUUUCUACCUUUUUUAUCCUUUCUUUCUCCCAUUCACUCAAUACACUUGCAAGAACCUUCAUUUUUUUUGUAUUUAAAUUUUCUUGGCACCAUCCUUUUUUUAAUUAUCAAGGCUUUGUUAUUGUGUACCAGUAUUGUGUCGUGCCUCCUUCACUUCUCAUCAUCAUUUUCAUGUCACAUCUCUACCUUGUCAAUUUUCGUUUUUCACUCAGCUUUCUUUCUUCUUUUGUCUUCACUACUUUCUUCGCUCCUUCUUCUCAAGCUCUAACUUUUGCUAUUAUCAACCAGUCUCAAAUGACCAUUGGAAAACCUAUCGCCCACUGAGAGGCAGCCAAUAUAGUAAUGCCUCUAAUGAUAAACUCCAAUGAAAUCAAAAGUUCUUCUUUAAGGUUUGGAAAAAUAUAUUAGAUAAACUCGGACGUGGUGAACGCGGUGAACGCAGACGUGGUGAACGCGGACGGAUGGACGGUAAACACGGCAGAAGUUAGAGAUCCUCAGAGAGAACUUUGCAUUUUCGAAUGCGGUAAAGACAAGUCUAGGGCUUCGAAGGAUUCUUCUUUCUAUCCAAACAGUCCAAAGUAAGCCAGUUAUGGAGGGAGGAAUACACAUUAGAGAGCUCAGUUAUGGAUGGAGGAAUACACAACUUUUUCUCAUGGUCAUUUUCCUCGUGGGCAUUCUCUUCAUGUUUCUUCUUAUUCCGACUAAAAUACAAGCACAAAUUAUUCUUUGCCUUCGUAUAGGUUUGUUUGAAGAAGAUUAAAAAAGUCCUUAAUUUAUCUCGACACUUCCAAAACCAGAAUAUAAUACCCGUGCUACAUAAAUCCCUCUUUCCAAAUAGUCGAACAUGAACUAUCCAUGCAUAUCUUGGAAUAAACAAGAGAAACCCUAACUAAACUCAAAUAGAAAAUACGCUGCAAUCUAAAAUAUACUUAAAGAAACAAAAAGAAGUUUUAAUGCUGUGGGUUUUUUACUGAUCUUCUUCAACAACAAAAUAACUCAACGCCACAGUUCAAUUUUUCCUUCCACGAAUUGGGUUUUUAAAGAGUUUUCACCGCGAAUUUAUCUUUUUUGGUUCGACAAGUAACAACAUGUGAAUCCCCAAAUGCAAGGUUUUAUUAAAAAAUAAAAAUAUAAUUUUUUUAAAAGUAUUAUAAUACCUAAUUUUUUUUUUAUAUAUUUAUAACCUAAUUUUCUGUCAUUGCAUACUUGUAAGAAGUUAAGAUAACGAAUUAUUUUCAAUAUAGAAAGGCUAAUUGUAAGAAGUUGUUAAUGAAGUGUCCAAAUGCAUUAUGGUAAUAUUGGGUGCAGAUUGUUUGGAAGUUUUAUCCGUGUGCUGUGAAGCACCACAGAGUUGAAGCAUAUGAAACCAGUGUUUAUCUGACAAAAAAUAGUGUCAUGAUCAUUGCCUUUCCAUUCCAUAAAUUUAUGGAUAGCAGAAGAAAGAGAACUCUCAACACAUGAAUCACCAUAAAGACACACAUGACAACAUUAUUUUGGAUGAAGUUCUAAUAUUGCAACCAUGGAGGAAAAAUCAGCAAAUCUUAAAUAGAUGUAGUAGUCCAAAUGAUAAAAGUUUGUCUCAAGAUAAUAUUUCAGUAACUGCAGAUGCAUUGUGCUGAACCUAACCUCUUGUGUUUCAUGGUAAUGAACAAGGACAAUGUGUUCAAAGGUCCUGAACAAAAAGCAGAAGCAAGUCAUAAAUUAUAUAAGUAGAACACGAUAUACUGCCACUGUCUAAUUUCAUUUUUCUUUGCUUGUGGCAUGAUGGGGAUAGACCCCACUGAAACAACUGGUAGCAAGCAAUAACAUACUUAUCUAGGAGCCAAUAACACCGGCGAACAAAGGUUGGGCUAUCUAGUCCGUGGGCAUAGUAUACAUGUAUCCUUUCUACAUUACCAACCUGCUGAAGAGAAAGAAAAGAUUAUCAAAGCACACAUUUCCUUGGUUAUUAAGGUUGUAAAAGAAUGAAAAUUACCAUAAAUCUAAACAUAGUUAAUAUUAGACCAUUGAACAACCUAUAGAUUCAAAAGGAAAGACUCAAACCACCAAUAGACUGGUUAAUCAUUUAAAAUGAUCUCCAACAACAUGAUACGCAGUAUAUCGUGCUAGAUCCAUAAUUACCACAUGUGGACUUUAUGGUAAUUUCAUUGAUGAUACGCAGCUAGUAGGCAAGAUUAUGAAAUGAAGACGGUAUGUGAGACGAUUGAAAAGAUCAAGAUGAUAAAAUUAUAGGGAUUUGAAUUUAUAUCUUUAGAACACCAGAGUCAAAUGCUUAAGAUGAUUAACUGUGUUAAAUUUAACUCUAUAAUAUAUAAAUUAUUAGCAAAAACAGUAGAAAUUUCUUAAAAUUUGUAGAGAGAACAUAUAAAUUAUAUUAUAGAGAAAGAGCAUCUGAAUUAUAUUCUACAGAAACACGAGCCCAUAGCAUAUCUACUGAGUAGCAAUGACAGUGAAAAAGGGAAUAGUAAGUAACUAAUCUCAUAAACCCCUUUCUCACAUCUAACCAAGUUCUUUCACAACAUGCAAAAGCAUCAAAAUAUUUAAGAAAACUUCCAAUAUUGCAUUUGGAACUCAUUGAUUGACUUCAACGUUUAAGAGUCAUAAAAGACACAGCUUACUUUCUCACCUGUCACCACUAAGCCUAUGGCAACAUCUUUUUAUAAGAUAUUCAGCUAAUCUUUAGAUUGUUUACCGAAUAAUCGUCUAUUGUUUUGUAAUUGAUCCCACCAAGCGCUUGUGCCACCUUGAAGUUUGAGAGCAACUAAUCGAACCUUCUUGUGUUCGGGUAUAUUGGCAUAGUCGAAAAAAUUUUCUACGUUCUUGAUCCAAUCAAGAAACUUCUCCACGUCCAUUUGACCAUUGAAGGUAGGGAGAUCCACUUUCAUAUGUAUUUCUUGAUCUUCUUGAAAGUAUGGUCGAAGUCCAAGCCUUUGUUGAGGUUCUUGAUGAAUGUUCAGCAAGUUGUCUUUAUCGGAAGAGUCAUAAUCGUUUAAGAAAUUUCCAAGUACGUUGUUUCCAUACAAUCGAUUAUUGUGGAUGUGAGUAGGUUGAUUUCUUAGUAGUUCUUGGUUUACAACAGGGUUUAUUGGUUUUUCUUGUCUUUCUUGUUUGCUGCAAUUGGGUUUCUUGGGGCUGAAUUGCUUCUUCUAAAGGUUGGACAUGAAAUUGGGUAAAAAGGUUUGUUAAUUCUACUAACGAUUGUUGUAUAUUCGACUGCCCUUUUCGAAGUUCUUCAAUAGCUUGUUCUACCAACUGCAAGCGUUGGUUGAAGGAGGCUUCCGCGUCCAUGGAUAAGAGUGGUAGGAUCCAAGUUUUUUUAAGGGAAGAGUGAGCUAGGAUCACGCUCUGAUACCAAUUGAUGCAGUAAUUGCAAAGCUAGAAAUCUUUAUGUAUAAUGCCUCUUUUUUUUAUGUCUUAUUAAUGAAAAUGAGAAGCUUUUUCAUAGGCUGGAGAUUACAAGAGUUGUUAAACUAACUUGGGGUUGAGUUAGUUUAACUUGGAGUUGAGUUAGUUAUAACUAACUCAAGAUACAAAAUUGGUAAUUCAAAUAACUAAUCCUAAACUAUAAAAAUGGUACUUCAAACCCCUCCUCUAGGAUAAAACUCAAGAAACAUCAAGAAGGGAGAUGUUCUACAUCAAAGUGUAGAGAACGAUUCAAAAUCCUUGGUGAAAGGAAUGAAUGUUAACUAAUGUGUGUUUAUGUGAAAUUGUUAUGUUAUGAGUAUGUUAAGGAUAAAGAAAGGUUUAUGCGAGAUAAAAUUAUUUGAUGUUGUUUAUGCGAAAUGAUGUUUAUGAAAAGGUAUUGCGAACGGGUCUUUGUUUAUGAAAAGGUAUUAUGAAAAUUAUUUUCCUAUUAACUCAUAUUCUCUUUUUUUAUCAAGUCCUUGCUAGAGAAAGUGGACUUUGAGUUGUUGGACUUUAGUAUUGCAUGGACAUACAAUUUUGAAUGAAAAAUCCUUAUAAAUGGGGCCUUUGAACUCAUUUGAUGGGUUGGCUAUUAUAUUUGGGCUUUCACACCAAAUGGAAUUUCUUUUUCUUAUUUACUUAAAAAAAAAAGAAAAUUUACCACGCCCAUUUUUUUUCAUCUAUUUCUCUCGUCCGGUUCUUUCAUCCAACGGGUCCCACAACUCGAUUAUGAGUCUAGAGGAUACUAAGUCAAACUUAGUGGUUGUUCGAAUAAAACGCAGCUUCAAAUGUAAGUAUUCUAAAAACCUUAUUUUUUGGUUUAAUCUCGUUAACUAAGCCCAAUUAGGGUAGAAUUUCGAUUCUUUUUCUGUUGUGCAUGUCUUAGUUCUAUCAGUAACUCCUUUCAGGGUGAUAGCUCUCAUCAGCAGACUUUCCAUUGCUGGUUUCUUCCUUAGUCAUCAUUGUAUUGUUGUUUUCCACAAUAGAUAGGGUGAGUUGCAGUUUUACAUGAAAUGCACUGCUCAACCCACACUCUUUUCUCACUAGUUCCUUAUUCUCAAUCUUCAACGCAAAUUUCAUCAUCUGGGCCAACCCAAUCGGUUCCACGGUUUCCACUUCCAUUUUUAUUCAUGGGCUAAGCCCAAUCAUCAAAGUCUCCUCUAACACUACCGUUUGAAGAAAUGCUACCAGAGCUAAAUAUCGAUCAAAUCGGUUGCGGUAUUCUUCUACAUUCAUUUUCUGUUUGAUUGAGAAAAAUCUUCCAACCAAAGUUCCUUCUCGAAUUGAUCGAAACUGUACAAGCAUUCGUUCUUUCAGGUCAGCCCAAUUCUUAAAAACUUCCAACUCUUCUUGUGCUUGGUACCAAUCCAAUGCCAGAUCAUCAAAACUAAUAACGCCUGUGGUUAAUUUCUCUGAAUCGGUAAGAUCAUGUAUCUUAAAGAAGCGAUAGGCUCUAAAUGUGAGACCCAUUUCUAAUUUGAGUAAUGAAGUAAAAUUUGGCUAGGUAUUAAGAAUUUGGCGUUUGAAUAAAUCAACGAAAAGGAUUAAGCGAUAAAAAAAUUUAUGGUUAAGUAUACGUUAUUGCGAUUCAGGGUAGUUCGCGAAGGAAGUUGUGCGACCCAUUUCUAAUUUGAGUAAGGAAGUAAAAUUCGACUAAGAAUUAAGAAGUUGGUGUUCAAAUAAAUCAAUGGAAAGAUUAAGUGAUAAGAUCUUUUACGGUUAAGUAUACUUUUUUGCGAUAAGUGGGUAGUUCGCGAAAGAAGUUGUGCGAUAAUGUAACACCCCGAACUCUAAGGUAAUUAAUUUAAUCGAACCAUUCGAUAUUUUUACUCUUAAUUUUUGUUCGACGUCAUUUUUUUUUUGUCUUAAAAAAAAGUGUUGGAAAAGUCUUUCAUAAUAAUAUAUUAUUAUUAUUAUUAUUAUUAAUUAGCAUAAAAAAAAGGAAAAGAAAAAUUAAAAUAUCUUUUUCCUCUCUCCCCUCUCUCACGCGUGCGACACCCCUCUCUCCAUCUUUUUCUUCUUCUCUUUCCUGUACCCUAACCCAGCCGACCAUCAUCUUCUCCCCUUCCCUUGCCGUUCAGAUCCAUGGCCUCCGCCCACCGCCGCGUGACCCUCUGCCCAGCCCCGCCGCGUGACCUCUGUCUCCGUCGAAGCCAAGUCCAGCCGUCGUCCAUUCCUUUCCUCUCUUCUUCUCCAUUCGUGAAGCCCAGUCGCCGCGUCAGAUCGUUGAUCGAUUUUGAGGCAGCGCGCACGCCUCCUUCUAGCCGCGCGUUUCCUCUUCUUCCAGCAACAUGUUUUUUCUUCUAACCGCGAUUCACAAACCGAUGGUUUUUGUUUAGAAUCGAUUGCCGCUGCCCCUAUUUUUACUGAGAUCCGUCGAAGUAUUGUUGGUAAGAUUGAAGUUAUGAAAUUGUAGUCGUUUUCAAAACAAUUUAAGUAUGGGUUGUGAUGUUUUCAAGGUGUUCAAACGUUACGGAUGGGUUAAUUGACUAAUUUGAUAAAUUAUUCUUGAAGGUGUGAAAGGUAACCUUGGAUCACUUAAAUUCACAACCAAUUUGUGAAUUUUGAUUUCGUUUGCCCUUAUUUGGAUUGUUUCGUGGACGAUAGUUGAUUAAGGGAGCUUCCCUAACUUUGAGGUAAGGGACUUUCUACUGGACUCACCUAAAGUUUUUGAGUUGUGUUGGACUGUAUGGAUGAUGAUUAAGAUGUACACGUUUGGUUGCAGACUAAAUGUUUAGUGUAUGUUGUAUUUGACUGGAAACAUAUAUAUAAAUACAUUGAUGUGUGAAUUGAUGUGGAUUGCCGAAAGUAUACAUGUGAAUGACUGAAAUUAUGCUUAUGUGUACAUGAUGAUAUUAAUAGAUUGUUGUAUAAAGAUUUGGAUGUGAACUAGUGAAUUUGUUUCGGUUGAAUGUGAUUAUACUGAACUGUGGUUUGCGCUGGUAAAAAUGAGGGGUGUUGUGACUUUGUUGUUUACUUGACAGAUGUAUUAAAAUGUUAUCAACGACCUUCGAACUUAAGUGAGAUAGGUUGACUGUUAGAAUGUUGAGUGAAAAACUUUAUAUUUUGAAGUAACUGAAAGAUGUCAUAAAUUACCGUAAAGAUGGUUAGAAUGGAUUGAGGGGAAAAAUUGUUAGUUUUAUUGGGAUGUAUGCCUUGUAGGUGUCCUACGGGAUCACCAAUUUUUAUGCGACCUUCGGGAGCAUUAGACUGAUAUGUGUUUCUGCAGAACACUAGACUGAAAUGUACGUCCCUCGGGCGUUAGACUGAAAUGUGCAUCCUACGGGAUCACAAGACUGCGACUGUACAGGGUGUCCCAAUAGAAUGUUAACAAUUUAUUUUCCCCUGACGGACCAGUAGAGGGUCUCUUACUGGGUAUUUUUAUACUCACCCUCCUUAUGUUUAAUUUUUCAGGCAAAGGUAAUAAAGGCAGCAAACCGGCGAGGGGCAGGAAGGAAGCGUGACCGCCACAGGGGACACUUUAAAAUUUUGCUUCCGCUUAGUGAUUUAUAGUAUUAUUUGUAUUCGAACGUGAGACUGUUUAGAAAAUUUUGAAGUUUUAAAGUAUUCAAAGAUUUGAAACUUUUUAGUUUUAAAUUUUCAUGUGAAUUUUAGUAAUUUAAAACUGGGCCCAAACAAACAAAAUAAAUUUUGUUCUUUUGAGGUUUUAAAUUUUAAUUAACCAAGGUCUUUUGUCAAAAGUUAAUGACCUCGACUUAGGUAAAAAGUUGGGUCGUUACAGAUAAGAAGCGAAAAAGUCUUUGCGUAAGUUAAGAAAUGAAAGUUUUGAGUGUUAGACUAGGAGUUUUGGGUGGUCUUCGCGAGAAGAACCAAGUGUUUCGUGGAGAAGAAGUCUACGAGGAAGCCUUGGAGUUUAAGUUCGUGAUAAGAGUUUUAUGCGAGUAAAAGUUGGUUAGUUCAGGUGGAACGUUUCUUAUAAUAAAAAUAUAAUCAAGCGAUAAGGUUAUUCACGAGAAAUGUUAAGUGGUUGAAUUUAUUCACGGUUUGGGUUAGGCGGGGAGCAAGGUUUGUAAAGAAAAUGUCAAAUCUGAUUUGACAUGGGUUAACAUGUAAGAUUAAGGAUUUGAGCAUGACUAAGUUAGUAUAAGGAUCUAUAAAAUAGGAGAAUUUAGGUAACUAAGGAGGGGAUGACGAGAGUUUUGUUGAAAUGUUAAAGUGUUGUUGGUUUAGCCACGCGAAAAGAUGGUUGUGAGAAGGACUUCUUUAGUGAAGUUUGGUGAGUGCUUUUCAGUCAAAAGAAUUUAUGUUAAGAAACUUUAUUACGAUUUCUCUUUACUGAUUUGAAAGAAGAAUUCAGAUGAGAAUGUUUCAGAAAGAUUUCUACGAAAAGUUAUGUUUUCAAGCAUUAUUUAUAAUAUUAAAGCUUGAUUUGAUGACUAUGAUUUCAAUACUAUGUUUCUUUGAGAUGAUGCUAACUUUUGUGUGCACAUAAAGAGUGAAGGCCACCAUGGAGUGUACGAACUACAUGGUAAUAAGAAGCUGACUUAUGCAUUGAAAUGAGCGUAUAAAGCUUAGCGGUAUAGCAACAAAGACGAAUUUGUAUGUUCUCAGAUGUUGAUACAGUAGUCUAAACGCGAGGUAAUGAGACCAAGCGUAGAGAACGAUUCGGGAUCCUUGACAAAAUGAAAUGAUUUUUUAAGCAUAAAGAAAGGUUUAUUCGAAAUGAAAUAAUUUUUCGGUAUAUUUAAAUGAUUUGAUAUUAUUUUUUACAAAAUGAUUAUGAAAAGGUAUUGUGAAAGGUUUUCAUAAAACCUUAAAGGAUUUAAAAAAAAGUGGACCAUUCAACUUAAUUCCCAUCCACUAUCCUCUUGUCCAACAUGAAACUUUAUCUUAGUAAAACUUCUUGAUCCACUAUUUUACAAAAAUAUUCAAAACAAUACCAUACUACACCAAAUGUGAUAUUUUGGUAACACUUAAAAUGGUCAGAAAUACCAUUUUCCUGACUUUUUUUCAUCGACCAUUAAAGAAAAAGUAUAGAUGAUGUUUCACAAAAACUUCCAAACCAUUGUGUUAGUUAUCGUUUUGGAUGAGGGUUGGGGUAGAGCAUCAAUACUCAAACGUUGUUAAGAAUUAAGACCUAAGACUUGAAAACGAAAUCGCCUGCCUGGUUGACAACAACAACAUCCCACUAGAGUGCACAAUGAUGAUUUAUUGCAUUAAGAAGAAGAUGGCAGUUAACCUUAGCGCCAUAAUCAGAACCUCAAUCCUCCCUUUGAUGAAAGCACCUAAAGGUGUCAUGCCUUUCCCCUCUACCACAUUGAAGCUCUUUGUCUAACACUACAAGAAAUGAGGACUCUCUCGAUGCAUAAAAUCAUUGGGAGAUAUAUAAAAAGCGUCAGAAAAGGCUUUUCUGACGCACUAAUAUACGUCGGAACACAAGUGAGGAAAAAUGUAUCGGGAGAGGAACUCCCGAUGCACAAUGUUGUGCGUUGAGGGUUUCUAGACAUCUUCCGACGUUGUAUGAACGUCGAAGAUGUUGUCAAUAUAGCAUCGAGAGAUGUCUAGGAACCAUGCGUCGGGAGAUCCUUUUUUUUUAAAAAAAAUAACUUCAUUUAAUUCCUAAAUUCAAAUUGAAAAUUUUAAAUUCAAACUCAACUUCAACACUUCAACCUCAACUUCAACACUUCAAUCUCAACUUCAACACUUCAAAUUCAAAUUUCUAAAACCUACAACUAAUUCAAAAUUCUAACAACACUUGAAAUUAAAUUUCAUUACUAAAACUUACAACUAAUUCAAAAUCUAAAUACUAAAACUAAUUUGAAAUCUAAAAUCUAACACCUAAAACAAAUUUGAAAUCUAAAUACUAAAACUAAUUAACUAAAACAAAACAAUAACUAAACUAAACCACUUACCGAUGGCGACGACGACGGACGACAACAGGGACGACAAUGGUGAUGACAAUGCCCUCUUCUUCUCAAUCUUCCUCUCGGUCUCCCUCUCCCUCUCUCAUUUUCUUUCUCUUUAUGUUUCCUUUAUGUAAAGAAUGGAGUUAAAAAAGACAGAGAACUCCUGACGCACGACGAAAACGUCGGGAAUAGCACCCUAUUCAUGACCUGAUUUGUUAAACGUCAGAAAUCCCUAAACAUAUUCCCACGCGAUUAAUGAUACGUCGGGAAUCCCUAAAUCUAUUCUCAACGUUGCUGCCACCACGUAAGAGGAAGGCGUUACAUACAAUUAAUGAUCUGCCCUUCCUCCGACGGUUCCUAAGCUUUUAGCUUUUCUGCAAUCACCCCUUAUGCAUGUUCUCAGGCGAAUCUCAACCAAACCAUAACACUCCAUCAAAAUAAAGAAGAAGAGAGACACCUCAAAACCUUAAAUAAAGUUAAGGGAGAAGAAUGGAAUGACAGAGAAGAAGAAGAGGCUUCUCCGCUGCCACCACUACUCAAGAGGAGAAAUGUCCACGAUGACGCGUCUAACUCGUAUAAAAAGGAAAAAAGUCGAAAGCUAGACGUGGCCAUCGACCCUAAACCUCUUGCAAUCUGACCCCUAACUCUCUCAUUGCCUCCUCCAAAAUCCAAAUCCUUCAAUUCCAGUCCUCAUCCAAAAAUUGAAACUCCCCCUCAUCAAUCUUACCCAAGUCCUCUCGCAUGUCUAUUAUCCUCUCACCAAAUCCCCAUCAUUAUAACAACAUCCUUCACCUCACGACCUGACCGAACAAGCCCUUACCCGAUCAAAAGGGCAUUGUUAGCGAAGAAGAAUUCCUUAGGGUUGAGGAGGAAGACCUGCAUCACAUUCCUCUCCCUCCGCACACUACUAUACGUAAUUCCAAGGAGGAAGACUUACAUCUCGCGUGUAAACACCGAUACCCAAUAAUCCUUAAUUCAUCUAAAGAACUCAAUAGGACAUUAGGGGUUGAUGUUAGGAGAAAGAUGGUUUAAGUUGGAUAGUUUAGUUGAAGUGUUAUGGAAGAUGUGUUAAUAUUUUUAAGAUGAUAAAAGAAAAGUGUCAUCGUAACAAAGAAAGGCCUAAAGGGUGUUCGAAAAUUGGCUAAGUGUUGGCUAGGGCAUGUUGCAUACUCUAGGCGGCCAAAAGUGUCAAGCGAACCUCUAAAGAGACAUGUUGGGUGGCCAAAGGUUGAGAUGUGGUAUGGCCGAAAGGUGUCAAGACAACCUCUAUAAGACAAGGCUAUAUGACCAAGGGUAUGCGCUAGGCAAGGAAGCUAAGCAUCUAGGAAAUGUCAAGAAACUCUAAAGAAGUUAGAACGUGGAUAAGGAAUGUCAUGCAACAAAGAGGUGGGCUAUGUGGACAUAGGUCAUGCGGCCAAUGGGGCAAUUCAACCAAAUGCUAGUCAAGAUGGCAUGGUUUGUUGAAGGCAUUGAGGGAUGUUUGGGAGAUUAGGCGAGAAAAAAAAGUCUUAGGCAUUCUUGGCAGUAAGAAUUUACUAAAGAACCCUCAUAGAAAAAGGGAUAUGCGUCCAAGGAUGAGGUAAGAUGUGCGGUAGAGUACAAGUGGACAACAUACAAGAUACCUAAGUUUUGCCAAAUAAGUGUCUUGCAUGAGUUGGAAAGUGGCAAGUAUGGGCGUAAGAGGUGAGAAAAAAAGGUUCAACCAAAGAGCAUGCAAGGAUCACUAUAUGUACAACUUUGGACGAAUUAUGUUAACAAUCAACUUGUGUUAAUUGGGUAACUCUACUUCGAAAAUCUCCUAAAUUGAGUGUAGUAUCAAGAGAAAGGCUACCAAGAAGAAAGGCAUUGAAGUGAAGAAAGACUCAAAGGUCAUUUUCAAAAAAAAAAAAAAAAAAAACUUGAACAAUGUAGAGUAUUUUGAGCUACAUAACUCAAUACUUGGAAUUUGUUAGUGACACUUUGUGGUAAGCUAGUGAAGACAUUCUAAGUAAGUUUGUAGAAGGAAUCUUAUUGAUUUAAGCUUCAAAGUCGAGUUAAGUUUCUGUAGAAAAAUCAUAUUUCUAGACAAGGCCAUGGGUGGGUUGAUUGCCAGAUGACAAGGUGAGAUGAGCGUGUGUUUUGAGCGAAAGAGGUUAUUUAGGCUUGGGACAUGCAAGAAGCAUGUCCUGGCAUGAUCAAGCAGCCUGAGCCACGCGUCAUUACACACUCUAUUAUGAAAGUUGAGUAUAUUGCUACUUGUGAAGCAGCAAAAGAAGCAGUUUUGGUGAGGAAGUUCUUGCAUAAUUUGGAAGUUGUUCCAAACAUGAACAUGCCCCAUCACUUUAUAUUGUGAUAAUAGUGGGGCAUAUUACUAAUCCAUUUACAAAGACUCUCAUGGCUAAAGUGUUCGAGGGUCUUCUAGAAAGUCUAGAUCUGCGAGUUAUGUACAUUAGGUAAUCUAGGAAAAGUGGCAGAUGUGUAAUGGGUAUGAGGAUGCCCUAGUUUAUUGUAUUUGUAUAUACACAUUUUAUGUAAUACACUUGUACAUUUUACCAUUUUCAAUGUUAGAGGAUUACUUUAUUAUGAACAUCCCAAAGAGACGAGAGUUUUAGUCCAAGUGGGAGUUUGUUGGAAUUUAUGUCCUAAAACUCGUAGAUUGUAAAUAUAAUCCAUUGACCAUUGUUAAUAAAGUGUUAUUAUUGUAAUAAUUGUUAUUGAUUAUAUUAUUAGUUUUGUCUUAAUAACUCAAAUCCAAUAAACUAACAUCCUAAACUGUUUAAUAAGUAUUGAAUAGUAUGUAGAGACAUACAGGGAUCAAUGUUCGAGAUCAGCUUAAAGGGUCUAUAGUAUACGGAUAAGACUGGGUACCUUUAUCCUGGUAACAUUAUGAAUACGACUCACUUUGUAUUUGAUACAAAUACAAUGAUCCAAUGUGUUCAUGUAGUUGACAUGCGAGUGAAGGUAUCCUAUGCAAUGAGAUUGCAAUAGACUAGACUGUGAAAUAGUAACCACGUGUUACUACAUUAACUAGUUAGGUUUCUAUUUCACUAGGAUGACCUAGAUAACUUAGUCUUAAUCUUGAGUGUAUUAUGAACUCAAUGAUCUUGGAUGAAUUUGACUUCAAAUACAAACUUGGAUUCCACAACCUAAACCAAAAUAAAAUAAUAUAUCAUGUUAAGAUGGAUUCACAUAGCAACAUUUUAUCAAAUGGUUGCAAUGUUUCAAAUAAGCAACAAUUAAAAUUCACAUAUCGAUUUGGCAUCUAUAAAUAUACAAACUAAAAAGUACCUAAAUGUCAAUUAUUUACCCAAUAAGGCUAACUAAGUAACCAACGUCUAAUAUGUUUUGCAAUGAAAAAGGUUGCCAUAUUGUUAAUUUGGCCAUAUUGUGAAGGCAACCUCUUAGAUGUGUUUGUGAGAAAGGAAAGAAAUACCAAAAUAAGUAUGGACUAAGAUAGUAUCAAAUAAAGUUAAAGUUGAAUUUUAAAGCUCUAUUUUUUUCAAGAUAGAGAAAUUUCAGCUAAAGAGGAAAACACUAAGGACAACCAAGCAAAAAAGUCUAACAAAUAUCAAAAGAGAACAUGCAGGAAAGAAAGAAUGUAAAUAAGGUUUUAUCCGCACCAAGCAAAAAAGUCUAACAAGUAUCAAAAGCUUCAUAAGUUGUACUAGAAUUCAAAGCUCUAAACUCUAAAGAAUGUAAAUUUCUUUGAAGAAAUUUGUGUAUAAAGGUCACACAGUUGAAAAUUCAAUACCUUUUCAAGAAUGUUGUUGAGAAGAUUAUUGUGAUGAAUCUUUGAAUCCAAAUUAUGGAGACAAGAUAAAUAAAUGAGUUCUGAUUCUAACUGACUGAAUGAGAGUUUAGAAAAUAAGAACAUUGGAGUUGAAUUAUCAGCAUUUAUUUUAAUCAAACUUACGAUAGCAAACCAAAUUAUAGAGAAAGAUCAAAUGCUAGGAUAAAGGAAUAAUCUUACAUUUGGUGAGUUCCCAAAUGUUGUGGUAGUCAGAGAGUUAUUCCACUCGAAUUGUCUUAGACAAGAGGCUUCCAUUCAGCAAGUACUGGUGAGAAUUAAAGUGGAAUGACAAACUUAAAAACACGUAAUCUUUAACAAACUUUUCCGACUUUUUGCAAUUAUUUUUUAACACAAGAUAUCAAAACACACUUAAAAACCAUAACAACCAAUUACCAUAAAACGGUGUCCAAUAACAAUAAUUGGGUCAACCCAAACAUCAUCAAAUUCUUGGGAAAGGUUGUGGACUAGACCUUCACCAUCUUGCCCCUAAAACAAGUUAAAGCUUAAGGAAAGAACACAGUAGAAACAAAAAUCAUAAACUCAUCAGUUAGAUAGUAUUGGUGGUCAAAACCUCAAGGUCUCACUUCUUCCAUUUUAUAUUACCAAAUUUGAAAAUGAUUUUUAAUAUAUGAUCAUUACUUGAAACAUGUUGGUGUACAAGUGUGAAUGAAACUAAAUCAAGUUUGUGUUUUAUGUUAUUGUUUUUGACAGUAUAUUUAUGUGCUAUGCAAUCCAUGAGAGUAUAUUUAUGUGCUAUGCAAUCUAGAAGGGGGAAUGCAACUAUACCCAAUUCAUAAUUGUAUUUGGAACACUAAUGAUUUUAGCACAAAUUCCAUCUUUCCAUUCUCUAAGACAUAUAAACCUUAUCUCCCUGACUCUAUACCUUGGCUAUAGUGCUCUUGCAACAUAUUAAAAUUCUCGUAAAUAAAAAUUCAUACACAAUUUAAAUUAAAUUAAACAUCAAGACCCAUGACGAAGAUGAAUCUCUGUUCAUUUUUCUUUUUAUUAACAAACAAAAGUUUUUAGGUCCACUUCUUUCAACAACCUCCUCAAGGAUCCUUAAUUAUCUCUUUCCAAGUUCAUAACCACUCUAGUCAUGCAAAGAUUAAGGUUCAUGGCCAAUCAACAAUUAAUCUGUGAUUAAGAUAUUAUGAACGUUAUUCACAUAAAAACAUGAAAAGAUAAGAGCAAAUAAUCAGAUGCAUUACAAAGAAUAAUUCAUAAACUUUGUCUACAUCUAUCCCUAGGAUUAAGAGUUUAGCUCCCCAUACUUCACAAUCUAAAACACAAAACUCAAUACAAUACCCAUAACAAAAAUUCAAGGAGAAGAAAAAGAAAACGAAGAAGAAAAGCUAGUGAUUCGUAUUAUUAUAAUACUGUGUAUAACAGUAUGUGUUUUUUAAUAUUCUCUGUUUCCAGCUCCAGUGUACCAAAAUAUUAUCACAAACUCCACAAUCCUUCUCUUUCCAAUCCCUAAACUAACCAAUGAAUCAUAUUUGCACGCUUGGUAGCCUUGUUCAAAAUAUUAUAUAUUACAAUUAUAAUAACUUAUAUCCCCCCUUUUCAAGCCUAAAAUGCAAAACCUUUCUUCCAUUCUCUAAGGCACAUUUCCUCUUCUUUAAUUUUGCAUUCCAAUUUUAAAUAACAAAUUACAAAUUUUAAUCACAAAGGAAAAAAGGAAAAUUAUUACCUUUAGAAAGGGAAGAAAAUGAAUGAGUAACCAUGAAGGAUUUGGAAACGAAUAGAGGUUUAGCGAAAGUGGAAUGCGACAGAAGGACGGUGAACGUGUUUACUCAUUUUCAAACAGAGAAUGUGUUUACACAUUUCGAACGGUGAACAGACAGACGCAAAUCAACGAAGGUGAAGGGAACGCAAAGCAGACGAACGGUGACGGACGAUGAACGCAAAUGAAUUAAGGUGAACGCUGAUGAACGCAAAGGGAAGUCUUUUUCGGCGAUGAACGCAGAUGAAUGCACAAAUGAACGCGAAGGGAAGGUUAGGUGAACGACGCUUUUGAUUUCGGGUGGAGAAGGGACAAAGUCGCGGCGAAUUAGGUUUAAUUAAGAAAAUGGGAAGUGAUCUAAUUGAAACGUUGCGUUUUGUAAAAGAAUAUUCACACAAUAAUUUUUUAGAAAUUUCUUGAUGUUUUUAAAGACUCAAAAACAAAUUAAAAUUUCUUGAAGUUUUUAAAAACAUCAAUGAUUUUUUAGAAUUAUCUUGACGUUUUAAAAACGUCAAGAAUUUUUUAUAAAUUUCUUGAUGUUUUUAAAAAUGUCAAGAACUUUUUAGAAUUAUCUCAACAUUUUAAAAACGUUAAGAAUUUUUUAUAAAUUUCUUGACGUUUUUAAAACGUCGAGGAAAACUAUAUAUUAUUGACGUUUAAAAAACGUCAAGAAUGUUGAAUUCAUAAACAUUCUUGACGUUUUUUAAACGUCAAGAAAAAAUACAUCUUACUUGACGUUUAAUAAACGUCAAGAAAGUUGAAAAUUGGCCUUUCAUAAAAAUUCUUGAGGUUUUUUUAUUUAAAAACGUCAAGAAAGGAAAACUACAACCGUCAAGAGAGCCUAUUUUUGUAGUAGUGAUUUUGGGGACAAGACUGAGUGGGGAGUUGGGAUUAUAAUUAAACAAAAUAGAAUUCACUCAUUUCCUACUUUAGGGUAAGUAGAUGAAUGUUAGCUUAAAUGGUGGCUCCAAAACUUGGACAAAGGGUUCGUACCCUCUCUAUGACAUGAGAGGGGUUUUUGUUUAUUAGUAGGACCAUAAACAAGUUGUUCAUUAGAGGAGCACUGGUUUUUAAGGAUUAGAGGUAACAUAGGGGUAAAGGUAAAUUGAUCCAACUGGUGUUACAAACACUCGUGAAGGACUAACUUACUAUUAUUGGUCUAUAUCCGUGGACACAGACAUAUAUUUUUAGUGAGAAGAGUUCAGUUGUGAGUCUUUAAUGGAGUGUACACACAGCUAACGAAUAUUGAUUAAUGUGGUUAAUGAGUUUAGCCAAUUAAUCUUAGAUCGUUGUAGCUUUUGAUAUGUAGAUCCAUUAGGUCCCUUUCCUAGCUCGUAAAGGGUAAUGAGAUUUAUUUAUAUUGGUUGUAAUUUAAAAUGUUUAAAUUUAACUUGGGAAUUAGUAUAAUGUAUAGUGAUACAUUAUAAUAUAAAGUUUAUCAAACUUUACUAUAUAAAUUUAACUUUGGGGAUGAUUCAAAAUUAAUUUAUGAGAGAUAAAAUAUUUGAAUGAGUUCAAAUAUUAAUUUAAUGUGAAUUGGAUUCAUAUUAAAAUUAUUGAGAGAAACUUAUUUUGAAUAUGAUUCAAAUUUAAUUUAAGUUAAAUAUAAGAUAAAUAAUUUAGUGUUAUUAGUUAAUUGGAGAAUUAAUUAAUAGUUUAGUUUAAUAUUAUUUAAUUAAAUUCGAUUUCAUUAAUUAUUAACUAAUUGAUUAAUGUUUAAUUAAUCAGUAGAUUUGAAAUAUAUCUAUUAAUUUAAUUAUUUUAAAUUAAUAGAAUCUCAUGGUUCUCUUCUACUUCAUUUUCUAUUCCUAGAAGGAAAGAGAGUUAUAAUAUCUAGAAGAAAACAAUUUUCUUAAAAAAAUGAAUUAAUAAAAAAAAAAAAAAUAAGGCUAACGCUAUUGCUCUUUGCAAAAAGAAAAGAGUUUCUGUCAAAUAUCUCUAAACUUUUUCCCAUCCCAAUUGGUUCCACAAACCAAUCUCAUCCAGAGGUACUCUUUGCAAUUUAAGCUCUCUUUGCAAUGGACAAUCUUCAAAGUUUUUUUUAACGAUGUUUCCAAUGCUUUCCUUUCUCUCUCAUGUUUAAUAAAACCAAUUUCUCGUAAAACCUGUAGGGAGGCUACAUCGUAUCGAAUUUCAUACAACUGACGUGUUCAUCGAGUUACAACAAGUGCCGCACAAUUGUCUGUUCUGUGUUUGGAAAGUUGUGAUUGUGACACGCUGCACAUGAGGUUAGAAUGAGACAUGGCAAGGCAAGCCCUACGCGCGCCUGCCAACUUCUGCCACAAUAUUUUGUACGCAAGCUAAUGUCUUUGGGCUGUUUUUGUGGUUUUUGGAAAUUUUAAGCAAAGUUUUGAUAUUUUAGAUCUGAAGGAGAUAGAACAAGUUUAUAAGCCAAGGGUCCAAGCUACUCUCGAUAAGUGACAAAAAUGAGUUUAAAGUUGAUUUCUAAACAUGAAUUUACUAUCAAAUGUUUCAAGCAUGCUUUGAUGUUUGAAUAUUUGAGGAUACUGACUUAUAAUGUAUUUCCAAAGCAUGAAUUUAGAAACAUUUUGGUAAACAUGUUUUUAUUGAUGAAUUUACUAAUGAAAAUUAUAAGCAAUCAUGAUUGUGCUAAGUUUUCAAAAUGUUUAAGCUUGAAAAUAAUAUUAGCAUGUUUUAGUCUAUACCUAAAAUAUUCUAAGAUAUAUAGCAACCCUUCGGGAGAGAUUUUCUUGUGCAUAGAGGUCAUUUGAUUUGGAUAUUCAGUAAAUACCUAGCUUUCCAUCAUUGGUAUUAGAUAAGAGAUGAAGACUUCUAAAGAUGCUUAGUUUCCCAUCUCAAGGGACGAGACCCUGUACGAAUGCCUAGUUUCCAUCUCAUUUGUAGUUAUAACGAGAUAGGGCACAAUUGAUGCCUAGAGUUUCAUCUCGUAAGUAUCAUAUCACGGGAUAGGGCUUCUAUGCCUAGUUUAUUGUUUUUCAUCUCGACGAUUCUAGGUAUAGCAACUGAGAGGGAAGUUUGAGAUAAGUUGUUUGAGUUUGAUUUCAUUUAUGUUAAGAGUUAAUUGUUAAAUACUUGUUAUUUCAAAACGAUGUUUUAUAACACAAUCACUCAUUGGGCUAUUUAGCUCACUCUUUGGAUAAAUAUCCCCAUAUGGAUUACGUUGUUUGGAAAAUUAAACUGUGCUUUAGUACUUCAAGAAAACUUCCCUCCCAUGUCCUCUCACCUCAUGUCUGCCCCAUUUGUGUUGAUAACAUGAAAAAUAUUUAGCACCUUUUAAUUGACUAUGUCUUUGUAUCGAAAUGUUGGUUCCGUCUUCUCCAAACAUUCAAUAUUUGUUGGGAUUUUUUGCUCAAUCAAGGCUUAUUCUUCUUUGUUCUCGACCUGCUACCUAUGAUUUAUGAUUUUGUUUUGGACAUAUUAUUUUAUCAUUUUGUUUGGUUUUAUUUUGUGGCUUUUGUUUGUUUUUUUUUUUUUUUUUUUUUUUUUGAAAAGGAGACAACCUCUUUAUUAAUAUUAAAAUAAUAAUAAUAAUUAGACAAAAGCUCAUAGUACAAGAGAGUUAUACAAGGAACAUGUAACUAAAGAUGCUUUUGUUUUGCUUUUGAUUUUGAUCUUGUGUUGUCGCUUUUUGGAUGUGAUGAGGGCGCUAAGGGGUGACUCAACUAGUUGAGAUGUCCAGGUGCGUCUGUUGAUCCUCCAUCCUAUUGCUCUUUGUAUAAUCCUCAUGACAUUGAACUUUGUCUCUUCAUUUUUCAAUAUUAAUAAUGGUGAGACUCAUAUCCUUUUUUUUAAAAAAAAACAAUAUGGGUUAAUUUAAUAAAAGUGUUGCUAGCAGAGAUUUGGUUGAGCACAACCAACACAUUUCCAUGAUAACAAAAGGGAUUUGCGUGGUGAAAAUAGAUCUAUUAGAUCUCUUGGAGCAAUAAAAAAGAAAUAAGAUCUUUAUGUGAAAGUCGAACUUUUUUUUUAUGGAGCCUUGUGAAGAAAGGCCUUUACUUUUGGGCAACAUUGGAAUUGGGGCAUGGUUGUGCACUUAUUAUCAAAAGUUAUCCCCUAACCAUCAAACUGGUUCACUGUUGCGAAAUGGUGGGUUAGUUUAGGACAUGUCAUUAUUCUCGAACCUUCAGAUAAAUCUCCUUAUCUUAGGGAAUUAAAAGUUGUUCAACACAGGCUUGAAACAUACAUGUAUAGGGCUUCUGUAUUUUCCGAUAAGGAGCCAAUGAUUGAUUAUAUAUUGGUCUGUUUUGCAAAGGGAAAGAUUUCCCUAACACGUAUUGUAAAAAAAUAUGUAGUUGGCUAGUAGUGAAAAGUUAGCAAGGCUAUUCAUGUUUCUCUUGGUGUUCCCUCUCACUCAUCUUGAAGCUUAUUGUGGGCAUUUUGUCAACUUACUGUGGGUUUCUUUUGUAUUUUGUUUUAAUUAAUUACUUCGUACUUAUUUUACAUUUUAGUUUUCAUUAGUGCGCCCUGGAUAGAGGAUUUUGUUUAGCUCGUUGUUAUUGUUGAUAAAAUUAAAAUGCCAACGAUUACAAUUCUUGAGAACGAACUCAUCUGUUUCCAAUUCAGAUGCCCAAAACUUGUUGAAUGGAUCCUAUCUCGUUGAUCGCGACAUCUUGCUGGCAAAAGUAUGCUCCUCCGUAAAUGGACUCCAGGUAUUGUCUCUAAAUCCUUUGUUUUUUAUUAUGUUCCUAUAUGGAUUAAACUAGGUAGGAUUCCAAUGGAGUUAUGGACAGAUGUCAGAUUGACUGUUGUGGCUAGUGUUAUAGGCAAACCUCUAUCUUUAGAUCUAGCUACUAAGGAAAGACGAAGGUUGUCACAUGCUUGAGUAUGUGUUGAAUCAAAUGUGGACUCUCCUAUGCCUGCUGAAUUUACAAUUCACCUUAGGGGAGAGAAUUUUGUUAUGGCUGUGAAUUAUGAGUGGAAGCCUCGAAGGUGUAAUUUGUGCCGGUCUUUUGGGCAUUCUAGUGGUAAGUGUCCUAAGAUUGUGGAAAACAAAGUUCAUCGAGAGGAGGAUGUGAGCAAGGUGGUUUCAAACAAAGAGGAGGAACGGACAAUUAUGUCUUGUUGAUGUGGUGUUAGACUUUAAAUAGUUGGAGGAAAGUAAGACUAAUAGCUCCACCAUUAGGCAUAUUAAGGAAAAGGAGGUAGGUAAUCGAGAUGAAAUUACUCGUUAUUAGAAAGAAAAGAGAGUUGGUUUAUGUUCGAGAGAAGGGUAAACGUGUGGAUGUGAUUAUGCCUAACUCUUUUGGCAGCCUUAUGAAGUUGGGUGAGGGAGACAAGUGGACCUUAUCUAUAGUGGAUGACUCCCCUCCCCCCUUACAAGUGGAUGAUACCACUAUUGUUAUUAAGCGUAUGUUAUUAAUCACCUUAAGAUAAUUUCAAAAUAUAAAUAUAUUUUUAGUAUAAGUCCUCACGUUUGACUCUAGACUCACCAAUCAACCUUAUUUGGAUAUUAAGAAUAUGACAAAAUUAGUGAUAUUAGAUGACUAUCAAACGAUAAUCAUAGGGUUAUCAACUUUUAAAUUUACUACUUUUAAAAUUUAGAAAAUGUAGUGACAUGAGUCAUGUGAUUAUAAAUGUUUUUGUUAUUUUUGCAGGGUUCCAAAGAAAAAAGAAAAAAGUAAGAUGUGAUUGAUAAUAUGUGAAAAAAGGAAAAAAAAUUAAAGAAAUAUAACUCGAUAUAUCUAAUUUGUUUAAAAACGACCCCAUUUGUAAUUUUUCUUUUCAAAAGUCACACAACAUCUUUUUGGAAAGUUUUUUUAGAGAAGCAUGCCAAUACCUUCAUCCUACGUAUAUAGAUGUAUUUAUGAAUAAUUUUUAAAAGUUCAAAACAAUUUUUUUUAACAUUUCAAAGUUUAAGGUUAUUUUUUUACACAAACUACAAAAUUCAAAAGAAUUUUUUUUUUGUAAUUUAACUAAAUACUGUUGUAUGUAUAUGAGAAAGAAAAUGUUUAAGGUGGCGUACUUCGAGAACCAAUUGAUUAUAACCAAGAUGCCUCAAAGUCGUUCACCUUUGGGAUGUGUAAUAAAAUCCAUGGAUUUCGCACAUUCAGGGAAUUUCAAUGUGUUCGACUAACUUUCCAAAGUUACUUUCUCUACUAAAGCCUGAAGCCCCGUAUGCUGCAAGAAUCAGUGUUGCGAAUCGAGGUUGCAACGUUUCAAAUGCAACUGAUCAGUAUACCAUUCAAAAUUUGAAUUUUCAACAUGACGAGUUUGUAACUUUAGUGCCCCUUGGAGAAGAAAAUGAAAUUCAGGGUAUGUGUAAUUCAGGUUCUGUUCCACAAGAUAGUACAAUUUAAAUUAUUCUCCAUAUGUUGCUUAAUUAUCUCAUAACGGUUUAUUUAAACCAGGAUGCAGUGCAUGACAGCAACGGUCCAGUUUCUUUAGCAGAAAUAGAGAACAACACGACAGCUAGUAUUGCAAAAUUAUCCAAUACUCUUGGUAAUUUGGAUGAGACACAUUGUUCUUGCUCUAAACAUAGCGCAAAGAGAGUUUGGGAAGCAUCACUUUCUUCCCUGACGUCAAAGAAAGUAAAAGGAGUCAAUCUGGACCAUUUCCAUUCCCACUCUAACAAAAAUCUUGAUCCUAAAAGUGAUGUAUACGAUACCUGCUCUCAAGGAUGCUCUUUAGCCAAUUCAAAGCAUGAAAUUUUAUCAAGUAUUUAUCCUAAAAAUCCAACCAAUCAGUGUACACAAAAUUUUUGUCAAGAAUUUGGAAGUGUAAAUGUGGCAUCAGAGGACCUCAAUUCUGAAGAGCUAGAGAAGCUUCUGAUUCCUUCCCUCCAUUAUUGAUAAAUAAAAUUGAGGUUAAGGCUUAUCAUAUACAUACCCAGUCACUGAACUUCUCCAUAUUCCUUAAUAGGCAUAUCUUGCUUGGCUUAUUUGGCUGGCUCUACUCAUGUAGGCUUUCAAAAGGCGAAUCUGACAUCCUGCCAAAAAUGAUUAAUCAGUUUCUUUAACUGUUGAACUUUUAGGUUGUAUACUAGCAAGCACCUGAAGUUUAGGGAUUCAAUCUUUAUAUUAUUCUUAAGAGUUAUUCAAUAUCCCUACCUAGAAUAGACAAAUGAAGCUUGAAACUACCCAUAAUAUUAAUGUUGUUGUUUAAUUAUGACAUUUUGUUAUCGGUCUUUCUAACUUACGAAUAUCCAUCUUCUGAUAUGUGUUCACAUGCAUAUUUUAUGGAUGUAGAUUUUAUAGUAUUUCUUUAUUUAUUUUAUAUGGCAUUAGCUGUAUACUUUUUUUAUAAAAUAUUAAUAUAAAUAUUAAACUACCGAUUCACCAAAAAGUUUAAGCUGGUGGUUGAAAGAAAAUUCAAUUAUAGCCUUAAGCUACUUUGGUGGACUAGAAAGUAUAAUCUUAGAAACACUCAAUCUGAUCAAGUUCUCUGAAGCAAGAAUUAAAGUUCGGAAAAAUCUUUGCGGAUUCUGCAACUAUAGAAUUAAAGAGUGAGAACUGAGGAAAUUUUUCCCUUAAUUUUGGGGAUUUUGAACCCAUAGAAGCUCCUGUAAUAAUCCAAUCUGAUCUAUUUCAAAGUGAUUUUUCCAAUCCUAUUGAUUUAUGUAGAAUAAAUUCAGUGAUUUUAGAUGAAGGGCUCCAAAGUGAUGGUCUCCCAGAUACCUGAAUUUUCUCAAACAGAAUGCCCCAUCCAUCUCAAGAAAUCCUUUCGAAGCACUUAGGAAGUUGGGUGAUGAAGAAGAAAACCUUGUUCGACCGGAAAGAGUUUCAGCCCUUGAAUCCUCGCGGAAAAAAUAAUUUUCAGAAGGCAAAAUUCAAAUUUGGGUAUAGUUGGCAUCUCCACGUACUUAGAAGGGGAAAAGACUUCAACAAAAAGAGAGAAAACAGACCUCGAAAGAAGAAAAGGCAGCCAGCCGACAUUUUAUUAUCUCAAAAAACAGCUCACCUAGCCCUCCCCAACCAGAUUGUUUCAAACUUAAUGUAUCUGCAGACAUUUUAAAAGCUGACACACAGAUGGUAGGCCCCAAGAAUUUUAUUAAUCAGAAUUCCAAUGGCUUUUGGUAUUCUGACGAAUUGAGGAAGAAUCAGAGUCCUCUCCUCCAUCAAGGAACUUCACUUGCGGGCCAUCUCCUGUUUUCAGUUCUCAACCAAAAUUACCAGCCUCUCCCAAGACUAAAAUAUCAUCUAAUGAAAGCUAUUCCAUUUCAUGCCAGAAAUUUUUCUAAGCACCUCAAGACCUAUACCAAAGGGAGAACUUCUUUUCGCAACAUUUGGAUGAGCUUGGCUAAUUCUGAUUUAUUAGAGGAAAGUUGUGUGAAGAUACAAAUUCCAAAUUCAGUUGGCAAAAGGUCAGUACUGCCUUCCUCCUUAAGUAAUAAAUUUUCUCAAUCCUCCUCCAAACUUUCUGGUUCAUUCUUUAAUUUUGUGCAAGAUACUUCUUGUCUAAAAAAAGUUGAGAACCUAGAAGAUGAAUUCAUGGAAGUUGAAUCAGUCACCAGUGUAAGUAUCCUUCCCCCAAGAGUUGGUUCCUUUCUUGGCAGCAUGUGAAAUUGAAUUGAUAUAAGGCAGAGGUAGCAAAGAUGGAGAUUAUAUCAUGGAACACUAGAGGAUUCAUGGGCCAUUCGAAACAAUUGGCUAUUAAAAAUAUUUUGAAGAAAGCUAAUCCAGAUAGAGCAUUGAUUCCGGAGACCAAAAGAGAAGAGAUUGCCAGUUGUAUUAUAAAGGCACUAUGGAGUUCAAAAGGAAUUGGCUGGGUCUUUGUUUGAAGCUAGUGGCAAAUUAAGAGUUUUUGAUUAUGUGGAUAAAUAUAAGUUGUCGAUUAUUGAAGUUCGGUCAAGAGAAGGAAGGUCAUUACAGUGUGGCUCAUAAGUUGUUUCAACAUUAAUUUAUAAGUUGUUUGGAAAGGUUCUCGCAGAAAGAUUAAAGAAAGUCAGGCCAGGUAUUACUUUGUAAGACCUCCUAUUAUCUAUACCUAUAAAAGGAAGGGUAGAAAGAGAAAUUCCUUAGCAACCAAUGAUGAGAGAAUAAUGGGAGAGGAUCGUGCAGGUGGGGCCUGCCAGGAGGGAUGAGAGAGAGAGGUAUAAAUAUGUAAUGUUGGGGUAGGGGAGGCUAGGUCUUUUUUGGUUAUUUCAAGGAGAGUAAAGGUGCUGUAGCCUGAGGGUAUCCAGCCCCGUAUAAAGAAGCUGGGUAAGUUUUCUAUGUUGUUCUUCCUUUAUUUUUCAUAUCUACUACUGUUGAAUGUGUUUUGGCUUUUACAUAAAUAAAGAUUUACAGAGUGCUGCCUCUGUUUAGCCAUUUGGUUAGGAUAUUUUGUGUUUUAUUGUUAGAAUCCUAACAUACUUCUCCAUUACAAUGUGGCUUUCUGGAAGAGUGCCAAAUCUUGGAUCCUAUUUUAAUAGCAAAAGAAACUAUGGAGGUCUAUAGUAUCCGAAAAAAGAAAAGAUGGAUCAUUAAAUUAUACCUUGAAAAGGCCUUUAACAGAGUGGAUUGGAAAUUUUAGAAAAUGUAAUGCAAAAGAAGAUCUUCGAUGUAGGAUAUUGUGUUAUAUUGGCCAGCCUUUACAGCAUCCCCAUUUUGAAGUCUUUGAUGAUCAGGACUUUCGGAUCAGCCUCUGCUUCAAACAGUUUUUGCUCAACCAAUCAAGGCUUAUUCUUCUUUGUUCUCAGCAUGCUGCCUUUGAUUAUGAUUUUUCUUUGGAAAGAUUCUUUUUAUCAUUUUGUUUGUCUUUGUUUUUGUGGCUUUUUGUUUUGAUCUUGUGUUGUCGCUUUUUGGAUGUUUUGAGGGCACUAAGGGGGUGUCAACCUAGUUUGAGAUGCCCGGAUGCGCCUGUUGAUCUUCCCUCUCCUCUUUUGCUCUGUGUACAAUCCUCAUGUACAUUGAGCUUUGUGUCUUUCUUUAUAUUAAUAAUAGUGAGACUCGUAUCCUUUUUUAAAAAAAGAAAGAAAAUUCAAUUAUAUAUCACCAACACUCUCCUCACUUGUGGGCUUGAAAUAUUUGAAAGGCCCAACAACUGGAAAUGGAUUUUAAUUGGGGAGGAAACGACAAUGCGAGGCUUGAACACAAGACCUUCUUGGACCACCUGCUCGGAUACCAUAUUGAAAGGGAGACAAACAAACACAAAACUUUACAUGGAAACCUGUGUACCAUAAGAAAAACCACUAUAUUUUUCUUCUUAUUAUUUUCUGAUGAAAAAUACAAUAGGUACAAGGGAGAAUAAAUAGAAUAUACAGAGGAAUAAAAAAGGAAAAUAUUUAGGAAUUAAGAAAAAUAUUCCCAUAAACUUUUCAUAAAUAUUCUAAGAUUCUAACAAUAAAAAGUUCUAUUUAUUCCAAAUUGUGACUGCUCUAAUAUGCAGUUCUUUUCUGAUUCAGAUGAUUGAGGAGCUUGGUGGUUCUCUCACUGCUGAUGGGAGUACAAGCACUCAUGUCAUUACAGGAAAAGUGCGGAAAACUCUAAAUUUUUGUAUUGCUCUCUUUUUAGGGUUAGUCUUGCAACCUUAGACGAACACUCUUCUAUGUGUCCUUUUGGCCUUUGAAUAUCGAUAAUCAUCUCAUUUGCACCAAAGUUAGCAAUUCCAUGCACACAAGGCCUUUGCCGUUAUUUUUCCAUUGCCUCGUAGUUGUGCUUAGGCUGGAAAUUGUUGUGAACCUUCUAAAUCUAAAAGGGCAUAGUUUCUUAUUCUACUGCCUGUUUACUUUUAGUUAAACAUCAAAAUCAAUUCUUAUGUUUGAGUUGGAUUGUAUCAUGCUCUUCCUUUUCAGUUGUUUCUAUCUAUGUGUCCUUAAGGCAUCACCGUUCGGCUUUCGUAGGAAAGAAACUUCGAGAUCAUCUAGAAUCGGACCACCCAGUAGCUAGAUGUGAACUUUCGAGGCCUCCGACCCCGUUCUAAGUCGGGUCGUUUCUUUCUAGGCCAUUGUGCCUCUCUUCGGCGUUUUGAACGGAACCAACAAACCGAGUCUGGGGCAUCACCGUUCGACUUUUGUGGACACAAAACUUAGAGACCACUCAGAAUCGGACCACCCAGUAGCUAGAGGUGAACUUUCGAGGCCAUUAUGCCUUUCUUUCGCCGUUUCGGGACGGAACCAAGAAACCGAGUAUGGGGCAUCACCGUUCGGCUUUUGUGGGUAAGAAACUUCGAGACCACUCAGAAUCGGACCACCCAAUAGCUAGACGUGAACUUUCGAGGCCUCUGACCCCAUUUUAACUCCGGUCAGUCCUUUCUAGGCCAUUGUGCCUCUCUUUCGGUGUUUUGGGACGGAACCAAGAAACCGAGUCUUGGGCAUCACUGUUCGGCUUUUGUGGGUAAGAAACUUUGAGACCACUCAGAAUCGGACCACCCAGUAGCUAGACGUGAACUUUCGGGGCCUCCGACCCCCUUCUGAGUCUGAUCGUUCCUUUCUAGGCCAUUGUGCCUUCUUUCGGCGUUUUGGAACGGAACCGAGAAACCGAGAAUAGGGCAUCACCGUUCGGUUUUUGUGGGCAAAAAACUUAGAGACCACUCAGAAUCGGACCACCCAGUAGCUAGACGUGAACUUUCGGGGCCUCCGACCCUCUUCUGAGUCUGAUCGUUCCUUUCUAGGCCAUUGUGCCUUCUUUCGGCGUUUUGGAACGGAACCGAGAAACCGAGACUAGGGCAUCACCAUUCGGUUUUUGUGGGCAAAAAACUUAGAGACCACUCAGAAUCGGACCACCCAGUAGCUAGAUGUAAACUUUCGGGGCCUCCGACCCCCUUCUAAGUCCGGCUGUUCCUUUCUAGGCCAUUGUGCCUUUCUUUCGGCGUUUUGGGACGGAACCAAGACACCGAGUCUGGGGCAUCACCGUUCGGCUUUUGUUGGCAAGAAACAUCGAGACCACUCAGAAUUGGACCACCCAGUAGCUAGAUGUGAACUUUCUAGGCCUCUGACCCCGUUCUAAGUCUGGUCGUUCCUUUCUAGGCCAUUGGGCCUCUCUUCGGUGUUUUGUGACGGAACCAAGAAACCGAGUCUUGGUCAUCACCGUUCGGCUUUUGUGGGCAAGAAACUUGGGAGGCCACUCAGAAUCGAACCACCGAGUAGCUAGAUGUGAACUUUCGAGGCCUCUGACCCCGUCCUAAGUCCGGUCAUUCCUUUCUAGGCCAUUAGGCCUCUCUUUGGUGUUUUGGGACGGAAUCAAGAAACCGAGUCUGGGGCAUCACAGUUCAGCUUUUGUGGGUAAGAAACUUCGAGACCACUAAGAAUCGGACCACCAAGUAGCUAGACGUGAACUUUCGAGGCCUCUGACCCCGUUUUAACUUCGGUCAGUCCUUUCUAGGCCAUUGUGCCUCUCUUUCGGUGUUUUGGGACGGAACCGAGAAACCGAGAAUAGGGCAUCACCGUUCGGUUUUUGUGGGCAAAAAACUUAGAGACCACUCAGAAUCGGACCACCCAGUAGCUAGACGUGAACUUUCGGGCCUCCGACCCCCUUCUGAGUCUGAUCGUUCCUUUCUAGGCCAUUGUGCCUUCUUUCGGCGUUUUGGAACAGAACCGAGAAACCGAGACUAGGGCAUCACCGUUCGGUUUUUGUGGGCAUAAAACUUAGAGACCACUCAGAAUCGGACCACCCAGUAGCUAGAUGUGAACUUUUGGGGCCUCCGACCCCCUUCUAAGUCCGGCUGUUCCUUUCUAGGCCAUUGUGCCUUUCUUUCGGCGUUUUGGGACGGAACCAAGACACCGAGUCUGGGGCAUCACCGUUCGGCUUUUGUUGGCAAGAAACAUCAAGACCACUCAGAAUUGGACCACCCAGUAGCUAGAUGUGAACUUUCUAGGCCUCUGACCCCGUUCUAAGUCUGGUCGUUCCUUUCUAGGCCAUUGGGCCUCUCUUCGGUGUUUUGUGACGGAACCAAGAAACCGAGUCUUGGUCAUCACCGUUCGGCUUUUGUGGGCAAGAAACUUCAAGGCCACUCAGAAUCGGACCACCGAGUAGCUAGAUGUGAACUUUCGAGGCCUCUGACCCCGUUCUAAGUCCGGUCAUUCCUUUCUAGGCCAUUAGGCCUCUCUUUGGUGUUUUGGGACGGAAUCAAGAAACCGAGUCUGGGGCAUCACCGUUCGGCUUUUGUGGGUAAGAAACUUCGAGACCACUCAGAAUCGAACCACCCCGUAGCUAGACGUGAACUUUCGGGGCCUCCGACCCCGUUCUAAGUCUGGCCGUUCCUUUCUAGGCCAUUGUGCCUUUCUUUUGGCGUUUUGGGACGGAACCAAGACACCGAGUCUGGGGCAUCACCGCUCGGCUUUUGUGGGUAAGAAACUUCGAGACCACUCAGAAUCGGACCACCUAGUCGCUAGACGUGAACUUUAUGGGCCUCCGACCCCUUUCUAAGUCUGACCAUUCCUUUCUAGGCCAUUGUGCCUUUCUUUCGGCGUUUUAGGACGGAACCAAGAAACUGAGUCUGGGGCAUCACCGUUAGGCGUUUGUGGGCAAGAAACUUCAAGAACACUCAGAAUCGGACCACGCAGUAGCUAGACGUGAACUUUUGGGGACUCCGACCUCCUUCUGAGUCCGAUCGUUCCUUUCUAGGCCUAUGUGCCUUCUUUCGGCGUUUUGGGACGGAACCCAGAAACCGAGACUGGGACAUAACUGUUCGACUUUUGUGGGUAAGAAACUUCGAGACAACUUAGAAUCGGACCACCCAGUAGCUAGACGUGAACUUUCGAGGCCUCCGACCUCGUUCUAAGUCCGGUCGUUCCUUUCUAGGCCACUUUGCCUUUCUUUCGGCGUUUUGGGACGGAACCAAGAAACCGAGUCUGGGCAUCACCGUUCGGCUUUUGUGGGCAAGAAACUUCGAGACCACUCAGAAUCGGACCACCCAGUAGCUAGACGUAAACUUUCGAGGCCUCCGACCCCGUUCUAAAUCCGACCGUUCCUUUCUAAGCCAUUGUGCCUUUCUUUCGGCGUUUUGGGACGGAACCAAGAAACUGAGUCUGGGCAUCACCGUUCGUCUUUUGUGGGCAAGAAACUUCGAGACCACUAAGAACCGGACCACCCAGUAGCUAGACGUAAACUUUCGAGGCCUCCGACCCCGUUCUAAGUCCUGCCGUUCCUUUCUAGGCCAUUGUGCCUUUCUUUCGACGUUUUAGGACGGAACCAAGAAACCGAGUCUGGAGCAUCACCGUUCAGAUUUUGUGUGCGAGAAACUUCGAGACCAAUCAGAAUCGGACCACCCAAUAGCUAGACGUGAACUUUCGAGGCCUCCGACCCCGUUCUAAGUCCGACCGUUCCUUUCUAGGCCAUUGUGCCUUUCUUUUGGCGUUUUGGGACGGAACCAAGAAAUCGAGUCUGGGGCAUCAGCGUUCGACUUUUGUGGGCAAGAAACUUCAAGACCACUCAGAAUCGGACCACCUAGUAGCUAGACGUGAAAUUUCGAGGCCUCCGACCCCGUUCUAAGUCCGGUCGUUCCUUUGUAGGCCAUUGUCUACAUUCUUGCCAGCAUGUCUGAUGUAUUGGCAAAGAAACAUGAAUCCUUAGCCACGGCUAAAGAGAUUAUGGAUUCAUUAAGGGGAAUGUUUGGGCAACCAGAAUGGUCAUUAAGACACGAGGCAGUCAAAAAUAUUUACACUAAGCGUAUGAAGGAAGGGACCUCUGUUAGAGAACAUGUUCUGGACGUGAUGAUGCACUUCAACAUCGCUGAAGUGAAUGGUGGUCCCAUCGAAGAGGUUAAUCAAGUUAGUUUUAUCUUAGAGUCUCUUCCAAAGAGCUUCAUUCCAUUCCAAACGAAUGCGUCUUUGAACAAGAUAGAAUUUAACUUGACAACCCUUCUGAAUGAACUCCAGCGAUUCCAAAACCUUACUAUGGGUAAAGGAAAACAAGUGGAAGCAAAUGUUGCUACCACAAAAAGAAAAUUUAUAAGAGGAUCGUCCUCUAAAACCAAAGCUGGACCCUCAAAACCUAAUGCUCAAAUAAAAAAGAAGGGAAAGGGAAAGACUCCCAAACAGAACAAGGGUAAGAAAGGUGCAGAAAAAGGUAAGUGUUACCAUUGUGGCCAAAACGGGCACUGGUUAAGAAACUGCCCAAAAUACCUUGCAGAAAAAAAGGCAGAGAAGGAAACACAAGGUAAAUAUGAUUUACUAGUUGUAGAAACAUGUUUAGUGGAAUAUGAAAAUUGUACCUGGAUACUAGAUUCAGGAGCCACUAACCAUAUUUGCUUCUCAUUUCAGGAAAAUAGUUCUUGGAAAAAGCUUUCAGAAGGCGAGAUCACUCUCAAGGUUGGAACAGGAGAGAUGGUCUCAGCUUCAGCAGUGGGAGAUUUAAAGUUGUUUUUUAGAGAUAGAUAUGUCAUACUUAAGAAUGUCUUAUAUGUACCUCAAAUGAAAAGAAAUUUAAUAUCUAUCUCUUGUAUUUUGGAACAAAUGUAUAGAAUAUCUUUUGAAAUUAAUGAAGCGUUCGUUUUCUAUAAAGGUAUUCUAGUUUGUUCUGCUAUACUUGAAGACAACUUAUAUAAGUUAAGACCAACUAGAGCAAAUUUUGUCUUAAAUACUGAAAUAUUCAGAACAGCUGAAACUCAGAAUAAAAGACAAAAAGUUUCUUCUAAUGCCUAUUUAUGGCACUUAAGACUUGGUCACAUAAAUCUCAAUAGGAUUGGGAGAUUGGUUAAAAGUGGGCUUCUAAGUCCGUUAGAAGAUAACUCUUUACCUCCUUGUGAAUCUUGUCUUGAAGGAAAAAUGACCAAGAGAUCUUUUACUGGAAAAGGUCUAAGAGCCAAAGGACCCUUAGAGCUCGUACAUUCGGACCUUUGUGGACCAAUGAAUGUCAAAGAGGUGGAUAUGAAAUAUUUCAUUAGCUUCAUUGAUGAUUAUUCAAGGUAUGGUCAUAUUUACCUAAUACAUCAUAAGUCUAAUAGUCUUGAAAAGUUCAAAGAAUAUAAGGCUGAAGUAGAAAACGAAUUAGGUAAAACAAUAAAAAUACUUCGAUCAGAUCGAGGUGGAGAGUAUAUGGACUUACGAUUCCGAGACUAUUUAAUAGAAAAUGGAAUCCAGUCACAACUCUCUGCACCUAGUACACCUCAACAGAACGGUGUAUCAGAAAGAAGAAACCGGACCUUGUUAGACAUGGUUCGCUCUAUGAUGUUUUUCUCAGAUGUCAGAUUCUUUUUGGGGAUAUGCUUUAGAAACAGCUGCUUAUAUUUUGAAUAAUGUUCCCUCUAAAAGUGUUUCAGAAACACCUUAUGAGCUAUGGAAAGGGCGUAAAGGCAGUUUACGUCAUUUUAGAAUUUGGGGUUGUCCAGCACACGUGUUGGUACAAAAUCCAAAAAUUGGAACAUCGUUCAAAAUUAUGCUUUUUUAUAGGUUAUCCAAAAGAAUCAAGAGGUGGUUUGUUUUAUGAUCCUCAAGAAAAUAAAAUAUUUGUGUCAACAAAUGCCACAUUCUUAGAGGAAGACCACAUCAGGGAUCAUCAACCUCGUAGUAAACUAGUAUUAAAAGAAAUUUCCAAAAGUGCUAUAGAUAAACCUAGUUCAUCCACUAAGGUAGUUGAUAAGACUAGGAAAUCUGGACAAUCACAUCCUUCUCAACAGUUGAGAGAGCCUCGACGUAGUGGGAGGGUUGUUCAUCAGCCUGAUCGCUAUUUGGGUUUAAUUGAAACUUAAGUCGUCAUACCUGACAAUGGCAUAGAGGAUCCAUUAACCUAUAAACAGGCAAUGAAAGAUGUAGAUCGUAACCAAUGGAUCAAAGCCAUGGACCUCGAAAUGGAGUCUAUGUACUUUAAUUCUGUCUGGACUCUAGUAGAUCAACCAAAUGACGUAAAACCUAUUGGUUGUAAAUGGAUCUACAAGAGAAAACGAGACCAUGCCGGUAAAGUACAGACUUUUAAGGCUCGACUUGUGGCAAAGGGUUAUACCUAGAGAGAGGGAGUAGACUAUGAGGAAACUUUCUCUCCUGUUGCCAUGUUAAAGUCAAUUAGAAUACUCUUAUCCAUCGCCACUUUUUAUGAUUAUGAAAUUUGGCAGAUGGAUGUCAAGACAGCUUUUUUGAAUGGUAAUCUUGAAGAGAGUAUCUAUAUGUCUCAACCAGAGGGGUUUAUAGAACAAGAUCAAGAACAAAAGGUUUGUAAGCUUAAAAAAUCCAUUUAUGGAUUAAAACAAGCUUCUAGAUCCUGGAAUAUAAGAUUUGAUACUGCGAUCAAAUCUUAUGGCUUUGAACAAAAUGUUGACGAGCCUUGUGUUUACAAAAAGGUCGUCAAUUCCAUUAUAGCAUUUUUAGUCUUAUAUGUAGAUGAUAUUCUACUUAUUGGAAAUGACGUAGGAUAUCUUACUAAUAUCAAGAAAUGGCUAGCUAUGCAAUUUCAAAUGAAAGAUCUGGGAGAUGCACAAUACAUUCUCGGAAUCCAAAUUGUUCGAAACCGUAAGAACAAAACACAAGCCAUGUCUCAAGCAUCUUACAUAGACAAAAUGUUGUCUAGAUAUAAAAUGCAGAAUUCCAAAAAGGGUCUGCUGCCGUACAUAUAUGGAAUUCAUUUGUCAAAAGAAAAAUGUCCUAAGACACCUCAAGAAGUUGAGGAUAUGAGAAAUAUUCCCUAUGCUUCAGCUGUUGGAAGUUUAAUGUAUGCAAUGUUAUGUACUAGACCUGACAUUUGCUACUCAGUAGGGAUGGUCAGUAGGUAUCAAUCCAAUCCUGGACGUGAUCACUGGACAGCCGUUAAAAACAUUCUAAAAUAUCUUCGAAGAACAAAAGACUACAUGCUCAUGUAUGGUACAAAGGAUCUGAUCCUUACUGGAUACACUGAUUCAGAUUUCCAAGCUGAUAAAGAUGCUAGAAAGUCUACAUCAGGAUCAGUAUUUACUCUAAAUGGAGGAGCAGUAGUUUGGAGAAGCAUAAAGCAAACUUGUAUAGCUGAUUCCACAAUUGAAGUUGAAUACGUAGCGGCUUGUGAAGCAGCAAAAGAAGCUAUAUGGCUAAGAAAAUUCUUGACAGAUUUGGAAGUCGUUCCAAAUAUGCAUCUACCAAUCACUUUAUACUGUGACAACAGUGGUGCAGUUGCAAAUUCAAGAGAACCUAGAAGUCAUAAAAGAGAAAAGCAUAUUGAACACAAGUACCAUCUUAUCAGGGAAAUUAUACAUCGUGGUGACGUUGUAGUAACCCAGAUUUCUUCUCAGCAAAACAUUGCUGAUCCUUUUACAAAAGCCCUCACGGCUAAAGUGUUUGAGGGUCAACUACACAGUUUAGGUCUACGAUGUUUGUAAACUAGGACAAGUGGGAGACUUAUUGGCCAAGUGCCCUAGUUUCAUAUCUAUUCUCUCACACCACAUCUCUCACACCACUAGGAAUUUUAGUCCAAGUGGGAGUUUGUUGGAAUUUUUUGUCCUAAAACUCGUAGUUUGUAAAUCAUAUUCUGUUCAAUAAAGUUGUUAUUGAGAAAUUAAAUAUUAUAAUCUUAAAUCCAAUAAAUCAAGUUCCAAGGCUAUUUUUGAAUAAACUUGAACUUUAUGUGUAAACAUAAACGUGGAUCAAGUUCGAGUACAUAGCCUAAAUAGUCUAUAGUAUAUGAAAUAAAGGUUGGGCGCCUUAUAUAGAGAAACUAUGGAUGCGACCCACUUUGUAGUACAAACGAGGUGAUCCUAAUCGUUCAUGUAGAGACAUGAAAGUGGGGGCAUCCUAUGUAAAAUGUUUACAUCAGACUGAACCAUGAAUUAGUCUUUUUUACGUUAUAACAUCGUUUACUGUUUAAAACUGACUAUCUCAAUUAUUGAUGACCUAGGUAACUUAGUCUUAAUCCUGAGUUAACUAUGAACUCCUGUUCACACGAGAUUAUCCUUAGAUCUGCAUAGGUGAGGGCAGCUCAUCAUCGUUGGCCCAAUAAGCCUCUCAUUUCAAGGGUAAGAUCGGGUGGAUAGCUGGGAACAUAGGGUACAAGAUGGAAUUCACUCCUACCCGCUUUAGGGUUAGUAGAUAGGUUGUUCUCUUAAGCACUGAAUCCAAGUCUUGAACAAGGGGCCCUACCCUCUCAUUGGCCCGAGAGGGAUUAAGUUUAUAGGUUGAACCUUAAACCAAUUGUUCAAUAGUGGAUUAGCGGGACUUAAGGAGCAAGAUGUAAUCUUGGGGGUAAAACGGUAUUUUGACCCAGCCAAGGUUACGAGCAACCUGUGAAGGAUUAACUUACUGAUUAUGGUUUUAUCAAAUGGACACAAAUAUAUCUAUAGGUCCAUUAGGUUCCUCUGCUAGCUCAUAUGGAUUAAACUUAGAACAGUGUGAUGAAAUAAGUCGAAUUUUUCGAAUUGGGAGAAGAAAGGGAAACCGACAAAUAUAGUGAUAUAGUCGUCGGUCUUCUAAUUAGAAAUAGAGGUUUAUGUUUUACACACUAUAAGUAUGAAUGCGGAUUCAUACUAAGAAGCUCGAAAUUGAUGGAAUUGGUCAAAAAUAGUAAAAAGUCAAAAUGUUGACUUUUGACUUUGAAAAGUCAAACUUUGACCGGCCUUAUAUUCAAAUGUGAUUUGAAUUUUGGAAAAAUGAAUGCGGAUUCAUGCUCGGGAGGUUGGAAUUAGUCAAGAUGGACAAAAUGGUAAAAAGUCAAAAUAUUGACUUUUGACUAAGAAAAGUCAAAGUUUGACUUUUGACUAGAAAUAUCUAAUGACCAUUUUACCCUUGGACUAAGUUAGUGGGAAAAUCCAACAUUUUUUUCGAUAAUCCCACUAACUCUUAGUGGGAUAUGUGGCUAUAUAAGAUAUAGACACCUAGCCCACUAAGUUCCACUAAUUGUUAGUGGAACAUUAGGUGUUGAGAUUUGGCAAAUGAAUUGCAUGCAUUUUUGCAUGUAAUUAGGUUAUAAAUAGAGGUGUUUUCAAAUGUAGAAGGACUUUUGCCUCUUUUAUCAUUUUCAUCAUCUCAGUCAAAGGAAUAAAAGAUACCUUCUAACCCCCUUUUAUCUCCAUUACUUUCUACACCAAAAUUGAGUCUCACAACCCAAGUUCUUUAUUUAGAGGAUAGCGGUUGAGUACUAGUGGUGGUCUCGGUUUGAAUUGGUAAAAAGAUAUCAAACUUUUUGAAAGCUUCAAAGGUAAUAUUUCCUAAACCCUAAUUUGAUUAGUUUAUGGUUACAUGUUAAUUGUGGCAAUUAUGGUAGAAAUUCGAUUCUUUUUCCGCUGUGCAUGACUUAGUUCUAUCAGUCUGGGGCAUCACCGUUCGACUUUUGUGGGCAAGAAACAUCGAGACCACUCAGAAUCGGACCACCCAGUAGCUAGACGUGAACUUUUGAGGCCUCCGACCCUGUUCUAAGUCCGGCCAUUCCUUUCUAGGCCACUAUGUCUUUCUUUCGGCGUUUUGCGACGGAACCAAGAAACCAAGUCUAGGGCAUCACCGUUCGGCUUUUGUGGGCAAGAAACUUCGAGACCGCUCAGAAUCGGACCACCCAGUAGCUAGACGUCAACUUUUGAGGCCUCCGACCUCGUUCUCAGUACGGCCGUUCCUUUCUAGGCCACUGUGCCGUUCUUUCGGCGUUUUGGGACGGAACCAAGAAACCGAGUCUAGGGCAUCACCGUUCGGGUUUUGUCGGCAAGAAACUUCGAGACCGCUCAGAAUCGGACCACCCAGUAGCUAGACGUGAACUUUCGAGACCUCCGACCGCGUUCUAAGUCCGGCCGUUCCUUUCUAAGCCACUACGCCUUUCUUUCGGAGUUUUGGGACGGAACCAAGAAACCGAGUCUUGGGCAUCACCGUUCGGCUUUUUUUGGCAAGAAACUUGGAGACCGCUCAGAAUCGGACCACCUAGUAGCUAGACGUUAACUUUUGAGGCCUCCGACCCCGUUCUAAGUCUGACCGUUCCGUUCUAGGCCACUCUGGCUUUCUUUCGACGUUUUGGGACGAACCAAGAAACUGAGUCUGGGCAUCACCGUUCGGCUUUUUUGGGCAAGAAACUUAGAGACCGCUCAGAAUCGGACCACCCAGUAGCUAGACGUUAACUUUUGAGGCCUCCGACCCCGUUCUAAGUCCGACCGUUCCGUUCUAGGCCACUGUGCCUUUCUUUCGGCGUUUUGGGACGAAACCAAGAAUUCGAGUCUGGGCAUCACCGUUCGGCUUCUGUGGGCAAGAAACUUCGAGACCGCUCAGAAUCGGACCACCCAGUAGCUAGACGUUAACUUUUGAGGCCUCCGACCCCGUUCUAAGUCUGACCGUUCCGUUUUAAGCCACUGUGCCUUUCUUUCGGCGUUUUGGGACGAAACCAAGAAUUCGAGUCUGGGGCAUCACCGUUCGGCUUCUGCAGGCAAGAAACUUCGAGAUCGCUCAGAAUCGGACCACUCAGUAGCUAGACGUGAACUUUCGAGGCCUCCGACCCCGUUCUAAGUCUGGCCGUUCCUUUCUAAGCCACUGUGCCUUUCUUUCGGCAUUUUGGGAUGAAACCAAGAAGUCGAGUCUAGGCAUCACCGUUCGGCUUUUUUGGUCAAGAAAUUUGGAGAUCGCUCAGAAUCGGACAACCCAGUAGCUAGACGUUAACUUUUGAGGCCUCCGACCCCGUUCUAAGUCCGACCGUUCCAUUCUAGGCCACUGUGCCUUUCUUUUGGCGUUUUAGGACGAAACCAAGAAUUCGAGUCUAGGGCAUCACCGUUCGGCUUUUGUGGGCAAGAAACUUUGAGACCACGCAGAAUCGGACCACCCAGUAGCUAGACGUGAACUUUCGAGGCCUCCGACGCCGUUCUAAGUCCGGUCGUUCCUUCCUAGGCCAUUGUGCCUUUCUUUCGGCCUUUUGGGACGAAACCAAGAAACCGAGUCUGGGCAUCCCCGUUCGGCUUUUUUGGGCAAGAAACUCUUAGACGACUCAGAAUCGGACCACCCAGUAGCUAGACGUGAACUUUCGAGGCCGACCGCGCGUUCUAAGUUAGUCCAGUCGUUCCUUUCUAGGCCAUUGUGCCUUUGUUUCGGUUUUGGGACGAAGAAGAAACCGAGUAUGGGGCAUCACCGUAAGGCUUUUGUGGCAAGAAACUCUGAGACGACUCAGAAUCGGAACACCCAGUAGCUAGACGUGAACUUCGAGGCCUCCCGACGCCGUUCUAAGUCUGGGUCGUUCCUUUCUAGGCCAUUGUACCUUUCUUUGGCGUUUUGGAAGGAACCAAGAACCGAGUCUGGGCAUCACCGAGUUCGGCUUUUUGUGGCAAGAAACUUCGAGACCGCUCAGAAUCGGACCACCUAGUAGCUAGACGUGAACUUUCGAGGCCUCCGACCCCGUCUUAUGUUCGGUCGUUCCUUUCUAGGCCAUUGUAUCUUUCUUUCGGCUUUUGGGACGGAACCAAGAAACCGAGUCUGGGGCAUCACCGUUCGGCUUUUCUGGGCAAGAAACUUCGAGACCACUCAGAAUCGGACCACCCAGUAGGUAGACGUAAACUUUCGAAGCCUCCGACCCCGUUCUAAGUCUGGUCGUUCCUUUCUAGGCCAUUGUGCUUUCUUUCGGGGUUUUGGGACGGAACCAAGAAACCGAGUCUGGGCAUCACCGUUCGGCUUUUGUGGGCAAGAAACUUCGAGACGCUCAGAAUCGGACCACCUAGUAGCUAGACGUGAACUUUCGAGGCUCGACCCCGUUCUAAGUUCGGUCGUUCCUUUCUAGGCCAUUGUAUCUUUCUUUCGGCUUUGGGACGGAACCAAGAAACCGAGUCUGGGGCAUCACGUUCGGCUUUUCUGGGCAAGAAACUUCGAGACCACUCAGAAUCGGAACCCAGUAGCUAGACGUAAACUUUCGAAGCCUCCGACCCCGUUCUAAGUCCGGUCGUUCCUUUCUAGGCCAUUGUGCCUUUCUUUCGGGGUUUUGGGACGGAACCAAGAAACCGAGUCUGGGGCAUCACCGUAAGGCUUUUGUGAGCAAGAAACUUCGAGACCACUCAAAAUCAGACCACCCAGUAGCUAGACGUGAACUUUCGAGGCCUCCGACUUCGUUCUAAGUCCGGUCGUUCCUUUCUAGGCCAUUGUGCCUUUCCUUCGGCGUUUUGGACGGAACAAGAAACUGUCUGAGGCAUCACGUUCGGCUUUUGUGGGCAAGAGACUUCGAGACCACUCAGAAUCGGACCACGUAGCUAGACGUGAACUUUCGAGGCCUCCGACCCGUUCUAAGUCCUGUCUUUCCUUUCUAGGCAUUGUGCUUUCUUUCGACGUUUUGGGACGGAACCAAGAGACCGAUUCUGGGCAUCACCGUUCGGCUUUUGUGGGCAAGAAACUUCGAGACCACUCAGAAUCGGACACUAGUAGCUAGACAUGAACUUUCGAGGCUCGACCGUUCUAAGUUCGGUCGUUCCUUUCUAGGCCAUUGUAUCUUUCUUUCGGCUUUUGGGACGGAACCAAGAAACCGAGUAUGGGGCAUCACCGUUCGGCUUUUCUGGGCAAGAAACUUCGAGACCACUCAAAAUCGGACCACCCAGUAGCUAGACGUAAACUUUCAAAGCCUCUGACCCCGUUCUAAGUCCGGUCGUUCCUUUCUAGGCCAUUGUGCCUUUCUUUCGGGGUUUUGGGACGGAACCAAGAAACCGAGUCUAGGGCAUCACCGUAAGGCUUUUGUGGGCAAGAAACUUCGAGACCACUCAAAAUCGGACCACCCAGUAGCUAGACGUGAACUUUCGAGGCCUCCGACUCGUUCUAAGUCCGAUCGUUCCUUUCUAGGCCAUUGUGCCUUUCUUUCGGCGUUUUGGGACGGAACAUGAAAGAGUCUGGGGAUCACCGUUCGGCUUUUGUGGCCAGAAACUUCGAGACCACUCAGAAUCGGACAACCUAGUAGCUAGACGUGAACUUUCGAGGCCUCCGACUUCGUUCUAAGUCCGCUCGUUCCUUUCUAGGCCAUUGUGCCUUUCCUUCGGCGUUUUGGAACGGAACCAAGAAACAGAUUCUGAGGCAUCACCGUUCGGCUUUUGUGGUCAAGAAUCUUCGAGACCACUCAGAAUCGGACCACUCAGUAGCUAGACGUGAACUUUCAAGGCCUUCGACCGAGUUCUAAGUCCGGUCGUUCCAGACCAUUGUGCCUUUCUUUUGGCAUUUUGGGACGAAACCAAGAAACCGAGUCUGGAGCAUCACCGUUCGGCUUUUGUGGGCAAGAAACUUCGAGACCACUCAGAAUCGGACCACCCAGUAGCUAGACGUGAACUUUCAAGGCCUUCGACCCCGUUCUAAGUCCGGUCUUUCCUUUCUCGGCCAUUGUGCCUUUCUUUCGGCGUUUUGGGACGAAACCAAGAAACCGAGUCUGGGGCAUCACCGUUCGGCUUUUGUUGGCAAGGAACUUUGAGACAACUCAGAAUCAGACCACCCAGUAGCCAGACGUGAACUUUCGAGGCCUCCGACCCCGUUCUAUGUCCGGUCGUUCCUUUCUAGGCCAUUGUGCCUUUCUUUCGGCGUUUUGGGACGAAACCAAGAAACCGAGUCUGGGGCAUCACCGUUCGGCUUUUGUUGGCAAGAAACUUCGAGAUCACCCAGUACCUAGACGUAAACUUUCGAGGCCUCCGACCCAAUUCUAAGUCCGGUCCUUCCUUUCUACGCCAUUGUGCUUUUCUUUCGGCGUUUUGGGACGGAACCAAGAAACCGAGUCUGGGGCAUCACCGUUCAGCUUUUGUGGGCAAGAAAAUUCGAGAUCACCCAGUACCUAGACGUGAACUUUCGAGGCCUCCGACCCCAUUCUAAGUCCGGUCGUUCCUUUCUAGGCCAUUGUGCCUUUCUUUCGACGUUUUGGGACGGAACCAAGAAACCGAGUCUGGGUCAUCACCGUUUGGCUUUUGUGGGCAAGAAACUUCGAGAUCACCCAGUACCUAAACGUGAACUUUUGAGGUCUCCGACCCCGUUCUAAGUCCGGUCGUUCCUUUCUAGGCCAUGGUGCCUUUCUUUCGGCGUUUUGGGACGGAACCAAGAAACUGAGUCUGUCGCAUCACCGUUCGGCUUUUGUGGGCAAGAAACUUCUGUUGGAAUUUUUUGUCCUAAAACUCGUAGUUUGUAAAUCAUAUUCUGUUCAAUAAAGUUGUUAUUGAGAAAUUAAAUAUUAUAAUCUUAAAUCCAAUAAAUCAAGUUCCAAGGCUAUUUUUUGAAUAAACUUGAACUUUAUGUGUAAACAUAAACGUGGAUCAAGUUCGAGUAUAUAGCCUAAAUAGUCUAUAGUAUAUGAAAUAAAGGUUGGGCGCCUUAUUUAGAGAAACUAUGAUGCGGCCACUUUGUAGUACAAACGAGGUGAUCCUAAUCGUUCAUGUAGAGACAUGAAAGUGGGGGCAUCCUAUGUAAAAUGUUUACAUAAGUCUGAACCAUGAAUUAGUCUUUUUUACGUUAUAACACCGUUUACUGUUUAAAACUGACUAUCUCAAUUAUUGAUGACCUAGGUAACUUAAUCUUAAUCCUGAGUUAACUAUCAACUCCUGUUCACACGAGAUUAUCCUUAGAUCUGCAUAGGUGAGGGCAGCUUAUCAGCGUUGGCCCAAUAAGCCUCCCAUUUCAGGGGUAAGAUCGGUUGGAUAGCUGGGAAAAUAGGGUACAAGAUGGAAUUCACUCCUACCCGUUUUAGGGUUAGUAGAUAGGUUGUUCUCUUAAGCACUAAAUCCAAGUCUUGAACAAGGGCCCCACCCUCUCAUUGGCCCGAGAGGGGUUAAGUUUAUAGGUUGAACCUUAAACCAAUUGUUCAAUAGAUUAGUGGGACUUAAGGAGCAAGAUGUAAUCUUGGGGGUAAAACGGUAUUUUGACCCAGCCAAGGUUACGAGCAACCUGUGAAGGAUUAACUUACUGAUUAUGGUUUUAUCAAAUGGACACAAAUAUAUCUAUAGUGAGGGAGUGCAACUAUGGGACUUUAGUGGAAUGACCCGUUAGUUAACGAAUGUUGAUUAACUCGUUUAAAAGAGUUCAUCUAGUUAAUCUUGAAUCGUUGGAGCCCAUGAUCUAUAGGUCCAUUAGGUUCUCUGCUAGCUCAUAUGGAUUAAACUUAGAACAGUGUGAUGAAAUAAGUCGAAUUGUUCGAAUUGGGAGAAGAAAGGGAAACGACAAAUAUAGUGAUAUAGUCGUCGAUCUUCUAAUUAGAAAUAGAUUUAUGUUUUACAUACUAUAAGUAUGAAUGCAGAUUCAUACUAAGAAGCUCGGAAUUGAUGGAAUUGGUCAAAAAUAGUAAAAAGUCAAAAUGUUGACUUUUGACUUUGAAAAGUCAAACUUUGACCGGUCUUAUAUUCAAAUGUGAUUUGAAUUUUGGAAAAAUGAAUGCGGAUUCAUGCUCGGGAGGUUGGAAAUAUCUAAUGAGCAUUUUACCCUUGGACUAAGUUAGUGGGAAAAUCCAACAUUUUGUUGGAUAAUCCCACUAACUCUUAGUGGGAUAUGUGGCUAUAUGAGAUAUGGACACCUAGCCACUAAGUUCCACUAAUUGUUAGUGGAACAUUAGGUGUUGAGAUUUGGCAAAUGAAUUGCAUGCAUUUUUGCAUGUAAUUAGGUUAUAAAUAGAGGUGUUUUCAAAUGUUGAAAAGACUUUUUCCUCUUUUUAUCAUUUUCAUCAUCUCAACAAAAGAAAAAAAAACCUUCAAAUCCAUUUUAUCUCCAUUUCUUUCUACACCAAAAUUGGGUCCCACAACCCGGUUCUUUGUCUAGAGGAUAGCAGUUGAGUACUAGUGGUGGUCUCGGUUAGAAUUGGUAAGAAGAUAUCAAACUUUUGAAAGCUUCAAAGGUAAUAUUUCUUAAAACCCUAAUUUGAUUAGUUUAUGGUUACAUGUUAAUUGUGGCAAUUAGGGUAGAAAUUCGAUUCUUUUUCCGCUGUGCAUGACUUAGUUCUAUCAUGUGGUAUCAGAGCAUGCUUCAUUUUUACCCAAUUGCAGGUGGUGGGUUCAUAUUCAUAUUUAUUAGAUAAAUUUUGGUUUGAACUAAAAUGGAUAUAUUAUGAUUUUGGCUCUAGAUUAAGUGUUUUUGUUCUAAUUAUUGUAAUUAGCCUUGUUAAUGGCUUAUUUUUAUUGUUGCAAAGUGUUUGUAAUUUUUUUAAAAUAAAAAAAGUCAUUAGAGUUGAAGUUAGGCUGUAACUUGUUCAACCGGGUGAGAGAAUUGAAAAAAAUGAAGAAAAGAAGGUCACAGACCCGAAAACCCGGCCUUGACCCGCUUCGCGACCGCCUGCGCCGACGACUGUGUGCGCCUGGGCUUGUUUAGUUAAUUGGGCCGGUUCAAGCAAUAAAUUUGGUUUUUGGGCCGGUUCAAGCUGUUUCGGUUGGUUUUUCAGUCGGUUCGAAGUUUUUGGGAGUGGUUCUGUACUACACAAAUUAAUUAUGUAAUAAUUUAAUACUUAGCUUAAUUUAGGAGCCAAAAAUUAGUCAUUUUAGGGUGUUUUUUUUAUUUAUGCAUGUGAUGUAUGAUUAAAUUACUUUAAAUUUGUAUGUGCAUUUUGAAUGUCAUAUAGAUUUAAAAUCCCACCAUAGGUUAACAUGUUCAUGCAUUAAAAUGUAUGAUAUAAAGGUUAUAUUGUAUUGUAUGCAUGUUAAUUGAUUAAUAUGGAAUUAAUUAAUAUGAUUAAUUAAUUAAGUUAUUAUUGAUUAAAUAUGAUUUAAUCAAAUUAAUUAAUUAUUGUUUGAUUUAAUUUAAUUAAAUUAAAAAUUAAAUAUGAUUUAAUUAAAUUAAAAAUUAAAUAUGAUUUAAUUAAAUUAAAAAUUAAAUAUGAUUUAAUUAAAGUUAAAUAAAUUAAAAUCCAUAUUAAUUGAUUGUUUUUAUAAGGUUAUAUAUUGAUAAAAUGAUUGAUUAAGUCUAAAAGUUUUUAUAAGUGUUAUAAAAUAAAUUAGACUUUUAAAAUCAAUAACAAAGAUUAAAUGCAUGCUCACUUAGGUUAAACAUAUCUUCCAUUUUUCAUAGAAAUAGGUCGAUAUUUGUAAAACUGGUUACAAAGGCUCACCUGGUUCAAUCUUGUCAACAAGUCAGAUAAGAUGACUAAGGCUGGAGGUUCUUAAGUUGACGGUUUACGGAACACCUCCUACCUGGAGAUCGUAAUCAGUUCUUGAGCCUAGUUAACCUAGUUUUAUGAGCAUUUGUGAGAGGUGUGAGGUAAUAAAAAUGAUUUAUCACCUAGACAUCAUAGGUUAAAAUCCUGUAUCCAAUCACAUCCUUCUUAACAGUUGAGAGAGCCUUGACGUAGUGGGAGGGUUGUUCAUCAGUCGAGGCUCUCUCAACUGUUAAGAAGGAUGUGAUUGACCAGAUUUCCUAGUCUUAUCAACUACUUUAGUGGAUGAACUAGGUUUAUCUAUAGCACUUUUGGAAAUUUCAUUUAAUACUAGUUUACUACGAGGUUGAUGAUUCCUGAUGUGGUCUUCCUCUAAGAAUGUGGCAUUUGUUGACACAAUUAUUUUAUUUUCUUGAGGUUCAUAAAACAAACCACCUCUUGAUUCUUUUGGAUAACCUAUGAAAAAGCAUAAUUUUGAACGAUGUUCCAAUUUCUUAGGAUUUUGCACCAACACGUGUGUUGGACAACCCCAAAUUCUAAAUUGACGUAAACUUCCUUUACGCCAUUUCCAUAGCUCAUAAGGUGUUUCUGAAACACUUUUAGAGGGAACAUUAUUCAAAAUAUAAAUAGCUAUUUCUAAAGCAUAACCCCAAAAAGAAUCUGGCAUCUGAGCAAAACUCAUCAUAGAGCGAACCAUGUCUAAGAAGGUUCGGUUUCUUCUUUCUGAUACACCGUUCUGUUGCAGUGCACUAGGUGUAGAGAGUUGUGACUGGAUUCCAUUUUCUAUCAAAUAGUCUUGGAAUCGUAAGUCCAUAUACUCUCCACCUUGAUUUGAUCGAAGUAUUUUUAUUGUUUUACCUAAUUCCUUUUCUACUACAGCCUUAUAUUCUUUGAACUUUUCAAGACUAUUAGACUUAUGAUGUAUUAGGUAAAUAUGACCAUACUUGAAUAAUCAUCAAUGAAGCUGAUGAAAUAUUCAUAUCACUCGAGCUUUGAUAUUCACUGGUCCACAAAGGUCCGAAUGUACGAGCUCUAAGAGUCCUUUGGCUCUAGACCUUUUCCAGUAAAAGAUCUCUUGGUCAUUUUUCCUUCAAGACAAGAUUCACAAGGAGGUAAAGAGUUAUCUUCUAACCGACUUAGAAGCCACUUUUAACCAAUCUUCCAAUCCUAUUGAGAUUUAUGUGACCAAGUCUUAAGUACCAUAAAUAGGCAUUAGAAGAAAUUUUUUGUCUUUUAUUCUGAGUUUCAGCUGUUUUGAAUAUUUCAGUAUUUAAGACAAAAUUUGCUCUGGUUGGUCUUAACUUAUAUAAGUUGUCUUCAAGUAUGGCAGUACAAACUAGAAUACCUUUAUAGAAAACGAAUGCUUCAUUAAUUUCAAAAGAUAUUCUAUACAUUUGUUCCAAAAUACAAGAGAUAGAUAUUAAAUUUCUUCUCAUUUGAGGUACAUAUAAGACAUUCUUAAGUAUGACAUAUCUAUCUUUAAAAAACAACUUUAAAUCUCCCACUGCUCUAGCUGAGACCAUCUCUCCUGUUCCAACCUUGAGAGUGAUCUCGCCUUCUGAAAGCUUUUUCCAAGAACUAUUUUCCUGAAAUGAGAAGCAAAUAUGGUUAGUGGCUCAUGAAUCUAGUAUCCAGGUACAAUUUUCAUAUUCCACUAAACAUGUUUCUACAACUAGUAAAUCAUAUUUACCUUGUGUUUCCUUCUCUGCCUUUUUUUUCUGCAAGGUAUUUUGGGCAGUUUCUUAACCAGUGCCCGUUUUGGCCACAAUGGUAACACUUAUCUUUUUCUGCACCUUUCUUACCCUUGUUCUGUUUGAGAGUCUUUCCCUUGUAAAUUUUCUUUUUAUUGUAGCAACAUUUGCUUCCACUUGUUUUCCUUUACCCACAGUAAGGUUUUGGAAUCGCUGGAGUUCAUUCAGAAGGGUUGUCAGGUUAAAUUCUAUCUUGUUUAAAGACGAAUUCGUUUGGAAUGGAAUGAAGCUCUUCGGAAGAGACUCUAAGAUAAAGCUAACUUGAUUAACCUCUUCGAUGGGACCACCAUUUACUUCAACGAUGUUGAAGUGCAUCAUCAUGUCCAGAACAUGUUCUCUAACAGAGGUUCUUCCUUCAUACGCUUAGUGUAAAUGUAUUUGACUGUCUCGUGUCUUAAGGACCAUUCUGGUUGCCCAAACAUUCCCCUUAAUGAAUCCAUAAUCUCUUUAGCCGUGGCUAAGGAUUCAUGUUUCUUUGCCAAUACAUCAGACAUGCUGGCAAGAAUGUAGACAGGGGCUUUUUCAUUAGCUUUUAUCCAUCGAUCAUAUGCAUCCCGACUAGUUCGGUUAGCAUUAGAGGCAGGGUUUUGAGGACAUUCCUCAGUUAAGACAAAUCUUAAAUCGUCAACCAUUAGUAUUGUGUUAAGAUUUGAUUUCCAAGCCGCAUAAUUAUCGCCAUUAAGUUUUUCGGAAGCUAAAAGUUGAACUAUUGAGCUAUUUAUGCUGAAAAACAAACAUAUUCUUUUUAGGAAAAAACUAUAAUCAUAAAAAUAUCCAAUCUAAUUUAGCAAUUUACUAAUAAUGUACCCUUUCAUUAUUUGUAUUUUGCAACAAUAUUUCAAAGGUUUAGAACAACCUUCUCCGAAGGGUAGUUGGUUAUUCCUCCUUUGAACCAAGACAAUCUUGACUAGAUACUAUCUCUAGAAUAAUUGCUUAUUCUUUAUAGCACUUAGUUAUCGCUACUUUAGUCGAGAAUAUACUAACAACUUAGUAAUUCUUGUAAGUGUUACCUACCAUUUUCAGAUUUCAUAGAUUAGAAUCAUUUAUGAAAACUAAUCUAAGAAAACCUAUCCAGAUUUGGAGUUCGCGGUGUUUCGAAUCCUAUAAUACAACCCUCCGAAAGGAACGUCGCUCCAAGGCAGACAAGUAGGCAUAUUAUAGAAAUCUCACGGUGCGACCUAAUGGAAGAGACCGUGGGAUGUGCUGCCACAUAUCCCUCACCCACUUACUAUGAACUACUUCCCCUAUUCACCUUGAUUUUGAUCCAUGCAAACACUCUCCGAAGGGAGUCCGCUCCUAUGCACGGCACAAAGCCCUGCAUGGACCUCACGGUGUGAAUCUUAGGACACUAGAGCUAAAAUACAUUAUUUUUCUCUAGCUGAAGUGUUCUAUUUUAAUCAAGAAUAACUUAAUUAUUAAACAAUUAAUUAAUCAUAUUAAUUAAUUUCCAUAUUAAUCAAUUAACAUGCAUACAAUACAAUAUAACCAUUAUAUCAUACUUUUAAUGCAUGAAUAUGUUAACCUAUGGUGGGAUUUUAAAUCUAUAUGACAUUCAAAAUGCACAUACAAAUUUAAAGUAAUUAAAUCAUACAUCACAUGCAUAAAUUAAUAAAAAAAAACACCCUAAAAUAGACUGAUUUUUGGCUCCUAAAUUAAGCUAAGUACUAAAUUAUUAUAUAAUUAAUUUGGUGUAGUAUAGAACUACUCCCAAAAACUUCGAACCGGCUGAAAAACCAACAAAAACAGCUUGAACCGGCCCAAAAAAAAUUUAUUGGGCUUGAACAGGCCCAAUUAACCAAACAGGCCCAGGCGCACACGGGUCGGGCGCAUGGACGCAAGCGGGUGUGCGGGCGCAGGCGAGCGCAAGAAGGCGCGGCGGGCGCAGGAGGCCGUGCGGGCGCAGACGAACGCGCGGGUUGCUGGCGGGUCGAAGUCGGGUUUUCGGUCUGUGACCUUCUUUACCUUUUUUUUUAAUUCUCUCACCCGGUUGAACCAAUUACAGCCUAACUUCAACUCUAAUGACUUUUUUUAAAAAAAAAUUACAAACACUUUGCAAUAAUAAAAAUAAGCCAUUAACGAGGCUAAUUACAAUAAUUAGAACAAAAAACACUUAAUCUAUAGCCAAAAUCAUAAUAUAUCCAUUUUAGUUCAAACCAAAAUUUAUCUAAUAAAUAUGAAACCACAUGCAAUUGGGUAAAAAUGAAGCAUGCUCUGAUACCACAUGAUAGAACUAAGUCAUGCACAGCGGAAAAAGAAUCGAAUUUCUACCCUAAUUGCCACAAUUAACAUGUAACCAUAAACUAAUCAAAUUAGGGUUUUAGGAAAUAUUACCUUUGAAGCUUUCAAAAAGUUUGAUAUCUUCUUACCAAUUCAAACCGAGACCACCACUAGUACUCAACUGCUAUCCUCUAAAAAAGAAUCGGGUUGUGGGACCCAAUUUUGUGUAGAAAGUAAUGGAGAUAAAAGGGGGUUAGAAGGUUUCUUUUUUUUUUUGGUUGAGAUGAUGAAAAUGAUAAAAGAGGCAAAAGUCCUUCAACAUUUGAAAACACCUCUAUUUAUAACCUAAUUACAUGCAUUUUUGCAUGUAAUUCAUUUGUCAAAUCUCAACACCUAAUGUUCCACUAACAAUUAGUGGAACUUAGUGGGCUAGGUGUCUAUAUCUCAUAUAGCCACAUAUCCCACUAAGAUUUAGUGGGAUUAUCCAACAAAAUGUUGGAUUUUCCCACUAACUUAGUCCAAGGGUAAAAUGGUCAUUAGAUAUUUCUAGUCAAAAGUCAAACUUUGACUUUUCUAAGUCAAAAGUCAAUAUUUUGACUUUUUACCAUUUUGUCCAUCUUGACUAAUUCCAACCUCCCGAGCAUGAAUCCACAUUCAUUUUUCCAAAAUUCAAAUCACAUUUGAAUAUAAGGUCGGUCAAAGUUUGACUUUUCAAAGUCAAAAGUCAACAUUUUGACUUUUUACAAUUUUUGACCAAUUCCAUCAAUUCCGAGCUUCUUAGUAUGAAUCCGCAUUCAUACUUAUAGUAUGAAAAACAUGAAGCUCCUUUUCUAAUUAGAAGACCGACGACUAUAUCAAUACUUGUCGGUUUCUCUUUCUUCUCCCAAUUCGAACAAUUCGACUUAUUUCAUCACACAGUUCUAAGUUUAAUCCAUAUGAGCUAGUAGAGGAAACCUAAUGGACCUAUAGAUCAUGGGCUCCAACGAUUCAAGAUUAACUAGCUAAACUCUUUUAGACAGAGUUAAUCAACAUUCGUUAACUAACGGGUCAUUCCACUAAAGUCCCGUAGUUGCACUCCCUCACUAUAGAUAUAUUUGUGUCCAUUUGAUAAAACCAUAAUCGGUAAGUUAAUCCUUCACAGAUUGCUCGUAACCUUGGCUGGGUUAAAAUACCGUUUUACCCCAAGAUUACAUCUUGCUCCUUAAGUCCCACUAAUCCACUAUUGAACAAUUGGUUUAAGGUUCAACCUAUAAACUUAAUUUCUCUCGGCCAAUGAGAGGGUGGGGCCCCUUGUUCAAGACUUGGAUUCAGUGCUUAAGAGAACAACCUAUCUACUAACCCUAAAGCGGGUAGGAGUGAAUUUCAUCUUGUACCCUAUGUUCCCAGCUAUCCACUCGAUCUUACCCUUGAAAUGGGAGGCUUAUUGGGCCAACGCUGAUGAGCUGCCCUCACCUAUGCAGAUCUAAGGAUAAUCUCGUGUGAACAGGAGUUCAUAGUUAACUCAGGAUUAAGGCUAAGUUACCUAGGUCAUCAAUAAUUGAGAUAGUCAGUUUUAAACAGUAAACGGUGUUAUAACGUAAAAAAGACUAAUUCAUGGUUCAGUCUUAUGUAAACACUUUACAUAGGAUGCCCCCACUUUCAUGUCUCUACAUGAACGAUUAGGAUCACCUCGUUUGUACUACAAAGUGGGCCGCAUCCAUAGUUUCUCUAAAUAAGGCGCCCAACCUUUAUUUCAUAUACUAUAGACUAUUUAGGCUAUAUACUCGAACUUGAUCCACGUUUAUGUUUACACAUAAAGUUCAAGUUUAUUCAAAAAUAGCCUUGGAACUUGAUUUAUUGGAUUUAAGAUUAUAAUAUUUAAUUUCUCAAUAACAACUUUAUUGAAGAGAAUAUGAUUACAAACUACGAGUUUUAGGCAACAAAUUCCAACAACAAGCACGUAUACGAAUUCUAGACAUGGGUCAAUAAAUCAUAGACAUGGUGACGUGUCAUUUUUUUCUAAAAAAUAUAGGAUAGUGCUAGAACACAGUUUUAAUAUAUAUAAUUUAAAAAGUAUGUAUCAUAUUUAUAUAGAAAUUCAAAGUCAAUAAGUUUAUGUAUUUAUAUGCUUAAAAAUAAGCUUGUCCUUCACUCAAAACUUAUUCAAAGCCAAGAGUUUAAUAUGUGUGUGUGACCAAUCUUGACCUUUAUUGCAUUGGAAUACUUGUUGUCUAACACAUCUACUGUACUAACUAGUGUUCAACACGUGUUCUCCGAGUGUUCCAUACAUAUUGUUUAUUGAUACACUAGCCAAACUUGAGUGUAUGUGCUUCUUAAGUCUCUAAUAUUUAUGUUUGUUUUGAUCCUAGGAAUUGAGCAUGUAAUGUAAAAAGUCUAUGCACGGGGUCAUAUGGCCAUCUCCGUGUUUCUUUAAUUAUCAAAUUUGUUCAAGUUUUUAAUUGUCUCUAGAUCGAAAUCUGGAGUUAUUUUUUGUGAUUUGGUGUACAAAUACAUACAUCCAUGUUUCUAAUUAUGAUUAGAUUGUUUUCUGGUCGCAACAUUUUAUUGUUUCUAAUUAUGAUAGGGUGAAUUCUUGCAAUUUCCUUGUAGUAUAUACAUAAUUUUUUCUCUCAUUUGGCAAAUUCAUUAUGCUUGAAAAUUUAGGUGAUUCAUGAGCUAGAUAAAGUAAACAACGUAUGGUAGACGAUCUUUGUGGCUUGUGAGGAAGACGUGGAGGAAGCCUUGGUGGCCGUAGAAAAAGGGAUAUGGACUUUCAACGUUGAAUGGCUAAUGGCAUGUAUAAUGAGACAAGAAGUAGACUUGGAGGCCCUUCAAUUUGCUGAGUCCCUAUGAGAAACAAGGUCACCCUAACUUUCAGUUUUGAACAAGCAACAGCCAGCCAUUUCGUCCUUGUGUAUCCACUCUUUUCUCAACUCACUCUAAUUUGGUACAUAAACAAACUCUGAUCGCUCCAUCUCUAUAUUCAUCAGUACAUAAAAGACGAUAAGUUUAUUCAUGGAGAAAGUUGGAUGUAAGUAUGUUUUAGGAAUGGUCCUUCAUUUAGUAACUUUGGGAAUUGUAAAAAUGAGGUUAUGAAGUUUUAUCAAGUUGAAUGUUCUUGUUUAUGUUAGAUGAGACUGAUUCUUGGAUACCAGAAUUAACUUAAAGUACGUGUUUGAGUUCCAUUGGAGUGAUUAGAGAAAAAAUGUUCCUUUAAAAAGGGUAAUUUUUUUAUGUAGACUUUCUUUUUAUUAAAAUUGCUUAAAAUACAAUUUGAGAGUAUUUCAAUAGCUUUUAAAGAGUUGUCAAACACUUGUAGUUUUUCUAAAAUAACAUAUUUUCAAAAUUAAUUACUGUAAUAGUUAAACAAAAGAUUCUUUCCCUUAGAACUUUUAAAGUUUGUUUAGUUACCCCUUAAACCUUUCAAUUGUUUAAUAGGUCUUUCAAUUUUAUGUUUUAAGUGUCUAUAAGUUUUGAUUUUUUUUAUUUGUUAGAUAUAAAUCUGAAGAAAUGAAUAAAGUAGAUUUGUAAGUUUAAAAUAGUUUAAAAGUUGAGAAAUUAAAUUUGUAGUUUAAAAAGUUGGAGUAAAUAGUUUGUGUUAAGUCGGGUUGUGAUAUUUUAUUUAUUUAUUUUAAUAAUAGAAGAGAGGGAGACGAAAACUGCAAACUGAAGGGAGAAGAAGCGGUGGCUGACUUUGUAUAUUUCUCCUUUCUUUUCAAAUUGAGAAAAUUUCUUUGCAAUUCACUUUGAAAGGAAAUGAAUAUUUCUCCCUCAGACUUAUCUCUCUCUCUUCUUUUCAAUUUAUUUUCAAUUUUUCUGUGUGCUUCUCACAGUGUAUGCAUAAUCUCUCUUUCAUUUUGAUCUUCAUCUCCAUUUCAAAUAUCUCCCACACAAAGAACAAAGAAAUGAGUAAAGUAACUGAGAGAGCAUUUUGUUUUUCCCUUCAUAUGGUUGGUUACUUUUUGUCAAUUAAAUGAAAAGUGAAGAAUAAGAUAAGAUUUUCUUUACCCAUUUGCCAUCAUCAUCAAAGCUAUUUACCUCAUUUUUGUUCACACACACAACUUCAUUUUGUUGGAUUACACUCAUUUGAGAAAAUAGCAAAAUUUUAUUAGAAGAAUAGCAAACAUGAGCAUUUCACGUGUUUUGAAUUUUCAUUAACCCUAAAAUCUCCUCGCCUGCUUUUUAGUUAAACUGUAACUAAUUUUGAAAUAUGCAAAAUUUUAGCAUAAAUAUUGAUUUUCUCCUACAUUAUCUUAACACACUUUUUUUUUCUCCAAAUAUUGGAUUUGUAUCAAAUCUUUAUUUUCAAAUUUUACUUUAUCCAAAUUUUCAUUUUUCAAAAUUUCAUCGUUAUUCUACUUUUAUUUUUGUAUUUCAUAUAUAUAUAUUUAUAAUAUUUAAUCUUAUUUUUUCUCUUUUCCUAUUCAUCUUCUUCCUUUCUCAUCCUCUUCAACCUACGGCCACACCACCAUCUCUUUUCUUCCUUCUCUUUUCCUUCUCCAAUCAACUUCACCACCGUCUUCCACCUACACCGAACGUCAAGCAAAUUUUGUCCUAUCGUCGCAUCACCGUUAGCCCGAGUCACUCCGGUUCUGUCACGCCAUGUAUGUUUAGAUCUGAAUUGUUCGGUUAUUUGUUGCACCGAUCCGUCUCCGUUAGAAUUUGAUUCUCCACAAUUUGGGUAAGUUAUGGAAUUUACAUAUAGAGUGAAUUGAAUGGAUUAAAUUGUUUGUGGAAGUGAUUGAUUUCUCUUCAAUUAUGUUUAGGUCGGUUCGUUGCACUUUAGUUUGAAAAAGAAGCUUAAGUAAGGUGAUAAGGUAAGGGAUUCUCUACUACUGGACUCACCUAUAGUUUUGAAUUGUGCUGUCUGUAUAGUUACCUCCGAUUGAGUAAAGAUGUCGAAACGAUAUAUACACGUAUGGAUGUAGACUUGGUGUUGAAUGUAUACUGUGAAUGACUGAAAAAAUAUAUAUACAUGGAUUGAUGUAGACUUGAUGUUGAAUGCAUAUUGUGAUUGUCUGGGAAUAUAUAUAUAUAUAUGUAUGGAUGUAGACAGGACGACAAUUGUAGAUUGUGUUUGUAUGGAAUGUGGAUGUGAACUUGUGAUUGUCGUUUAGAUUGGGUGUAUGUUAUACUAAAGUAUGGUUGUGUACUGGUGAAUUGAGGGGUGUUAUGACUAUAUAGUUUGAUUGACUGAUGUAUUGAUAUGUUACUGGCGGACAUUGGGCUAAAGUGAGAUAGGUUGACUAUUAGGGUGUUAAGUGAAAGGAUUAUAUGUUGAAGUAGCUGGACUGUACUAUGAAUGAGUGUUAAGAUGUUUAGAAUGGAUUGAGGGGAAAAUUGUUAGAUUUCUAUUGGGUAGUUACCUUGCAGGUGUCCUACGGGAUCACCACCUGAUAUGUGCAUCCUUCGAUAGCACUAGACUGAUAUGUGCAUCCUUCGGGAGCAUUAGACUGAUAUGUGUUUCUGCGGAACACUAGACUGAUUUAUGCGUCCUUUGAGGCGUUAGACUGAUUAUGUGUAUCCUACGGGAUCACAAGAUUGUGACUGUGCAGGGUACCCAAUAGGAAGUUAACAGUUACUUUUUCCCCUAACGGGACCAAUAGCGAGUCUCUUAUUGGGUAUGUUUAUACCCAUCCUUUCAUGUUUAACUAUUUCAGGCAAAGGUAACAAAGGAGGUAGACCGACGAGGGACAAAAAGGAGACGUGAUUGCCAUAAGGGAAUGUCCUUCAAAUGCUUCCGCUUUAUGUUUCUUGUUUUUCCUUUGUACAUGAGGUUGUUUAAAAAUUUUGUGAUGGAACUGAGUUUACGAACUGUUGUUUUGUAAAUAGUACUUUUAAAGUUUUGGUUAUUUGAAAUAGGACCCGAACUUAAGUUUGUUUUCUUUGAUCGUAUGAUUUCAAGUGAAUUUUACUAUAUUUGUGUCAAUCAAGGUCUCUUUGUCAAAAUUAAUGACUUCAACUUAGUUAGAAAAGUUGGGUCGUUACAACAAAUUUUAAGUAUUAAUGUAAGAAUUAUGUACUUCAUUAUAAAGAUCGAUAGUUUAAAGUUUUUGACGAUAGUUUACAUGGAAUUACACGAUCAGUUACCACUAUCAAUAGAAUCACUUACAAAUAUUAACACGAUCGUGUACCGAUAACAAGACGAUUGUUUACACUAUUCAAUACGAUCACCAAUAUCAUAUGAUCGUGUACCCAUGUCAACACGAUAAUUUAUUUUAAUCAAUAUUAUCAUUUACCGUUGUUAAAUGGUCGUUUAUCACGGUUAAUAGGAUCGUUUAAUGUAUAUUAUUUCAUUGCACGAUCGUUUACUUAUUCUUGCAUUGUGUUUAUUAUUAUCAUUUUGUACAUUUUAUUCUUUUAUUCAGUAAUAAAUGUAUAUCUAUGUCUAUCUAUUUCUUUCUAUCACAAUUAAAUACUUAAUUUUUUUUUUUACAGAUUAUAAUGUCUUUUCCUAUUGUUGUUUUUUAUUGAGGUCAAUGGAAUGGAUGUAAUAUUUAUGAGAAUUACUUAGUUGCUGAAAUUUUGGUAGAUGUCCGAGUCAGCUUUAAUUCUCUAGUUGAUUUAAUAUGUGAACAGAUUCAAUUGGAUGGAUAAGUAGAAUUAUCUGUUUUACUUGAUUUUGGUAAAAGCAAGGUCCAACUGUGGUGCCAGUAAAGAAAGACAAUGAUGUGGCUUGGUAUUUAUCUUUUGCUAAAGAUGCAACUAAUAUACAUCCAUUAGUUGCUCAUGUAACUGUUGAUUUUUUUAGAAGGUCUUCUUCUUCUUAGAGAACUACCUGUAGCUACCAUGCUUAGUUCAAUUAGAGAUGUAUUGCAAAAGUGGUUUGAUGAAAGAAGUAAAGCUACUUUUACAAUGAAGAGUUGUUUGACUUCUUGGGCUGAGAACGUGUUGCAUUUAGAAUAACAUGAAAAGUCAAGAAUUUUAUUGGUAAGGUUUUUUUUUUUUUUUAAUGUUUGUAUCUCAGGUAGAUAUAAAUAGACUGCUAUUUUUGUCCAUCCGAUAGAGAAAUAUAACAAUUUAUGUGUGCUUGUUUCAGAUAGAUAGAGAUAGAUAGCUAUCAAUGUCUAUUUGUCUCUAUUUGUGCAUGCUUUUUUUUUUUUUAAUUUUUCUAUAUUUGUUUUAUGUAUUAGGUUGAUCCAAUUAGUAUGACUGAAUACAAAGUAAUGGAUGAUACAAAAUGAUAAUGUGAUUUAUUUAUAUUGGUUCUAAUUUGAAAUAUUCAAAUUUACUUUGGAAAUUAGUAUAAUUAGUAUAAUAUAUAGUGAUACAUUAUAAUAUAAAGUUUAUAUGUUAAUGAAACUUUAUUAUAUAAAUUUAAUUUUAGAUAAAGUUCAAAAUUAAUUUAUGAGAGAUAAAAUAUUUGAAUGAGUUCAAAUAUUAAUUUAAUGUGGAUUUGUUUCAUAUUAAAAUUAUUAAUUAUGAGAUAAAGUUAUAUUUGAAUAUGAUUCAAAUUUAACUGAAUUUAACUUAAGUUAAAUAUAAAAUAUUUAAUUUAGUUAUUAAUUAAUAGUUUAGUUUAAUAUUAUUUAAUUAAAUUAAUAUAAAACUAUAAGGUAUUGGAGAGAUAUUCAUUCAAUAAGAUUUAAAUGAAAUAUUAAUUAAAUAUGAUUUAAUUAAUUAUUAACUAAUUGAUUAAUGGUUAAUUAGUCAGUUGAUUUGAAACUUCUAUUAAUUUAAUAUUUUUUAAGUUAAUAGAAUCCUAUGAUUUUCUCCUACCCCGUCUCCUACUCAAUGAAAGAAAGAGAGUUAUAAAUAUGUAGAAGAAAAACAGCUUUUCUUAACCAAAAUAAAAUUGUUCUUUUCUGCAAAAUAGAUUGUAACGACCUAAUUUUUGAAUUAAGCUGAAGUUAUUACUUUAAGACUAUAUUCGUCCUUUAACCAUAAGACUUUAUAAUUUAAAAAAAUAUAUUUUUUAACAACAUUAAAGAGUUUUUAUUCGGGCUCUAUUUCAAAUAAAAUUUUGAAAGUGUAAAAGUAUCGAUAAUAAAGAAAGUUCAAGAACAUAAAAGUCGUUCAAUCAUGAAACCCAAAACAGUCUAAAUUACUAAAGAAAACCAAAAUAAAAAAAAUAUAAAGUAGAAGCAAUUUGAAGGACAUUUCCCUAUGGCAGUUUCGCGGAAAAAGAUUAAACAUAAAAGAGUGAGUAUAAACAUACCCAGUAAGAGACCCACUACUGAUCCUGUUAGAAGAAAAAUAAAAUUGUUAACUUCCUAUUGGAGGUGCCCUGCACUUUAAAAGUCUUGUGAUCAUGUAGGAAUACACAUAAUCAGUCCAAUGCCCUAAAGGACACAAAUAUUAGUCUAGUGCUCUGCAGAAAGCACAUGUCAGUCUAGUGCUCUCGAACAAAUGCACAUGUCAGUCUAUUGCUCUCGAAGAAUGCACAUGUCAUUCUAGUGCUCUCGAAGAAUGCACAACAGGUGGUGAUCCCGUAGGACACCUGCAAGGCACACUACCCAAUCGACAAAGCUAACAAUUUUCCCUUAGUCCGUUAUAAACAUUUAAUCAAUCCAUUCCUAGUAUAGUCAAACUACUCCAUCAUAUCAUCAAUCCAACUUAACACACUUACGUUCAAUCUAUUCAAUCUAUCACAAAAUCAGUUGAUACUAUAACAACACACCAGACAGUCAAGAUAUAUAUAUAUACAUAACACCUUUCUCAGUUUACAAAUACAUUAUCCAUCGUAUCUACUUCUAUACCAGUCUGGCAUAAUAUACAUUUGUCAUCAUAUCUACUUCUACAUAUAUUGGUAAACCAUACUAAGUCCAGAGAUCCAAACAGUCAACACAUUUCAAAACUUUCAAAGAGUCCAGUAAUAGAAACCCCUUACUUUAAUGUUACUCAAAUUUCUCGAACGAAGGAAACCUAAUAAGAAUAUGGAACUCAAUUACUUUCACAAUACUUUCUUUCAUUUAAUUUCCUCAACGUAAAUUCUAGCUUACCAAAGUAUUGGCGAAUCGAACUCCAACAAAUCUACAAUUUAGUUGUGAAUCCAAAGAACUCAAACGCUACCUUCAAGAAUCAAUUAACAAUUUAACUAAUUAUCCAAAACUACAACCCAAGGAUAAUUACAAUGUAAAACCACCACACUCACCAAUACAACUUACCACAAAAAUCCCAAAAAUUAGAGUAAAAUGGGGGCAACAACUUCGAAUAACUAGAAUCGACGCGUGUAAUAGAUCAGAUCUAAUCAACAAACGAAAAACAAACUUCAGCUUACAACCCAUGGCUGGAAGGUGAAGAGCCGCGCGACGGCACUUCGACAGACGCGACGGGCUCAAGUCUGGUCGACGACUGCUUCAACUAAGUAACAACGCCGGUGAGAUGAUAGGUCAAUCGGUGACGUUCCUCGUCACCUGGAGCAGAAUGUGGUGGCGCGAACGUCAAAGGAGCUACGCGCGAAUGAAUCACAACUUGGCUGGAAAACAGAGGUGAGACGCGAUGCCGAGAGUUCGAACUCACGACGAACGGUGCUUCGACUUCAACGGAGACAAAGAGAUCGGUGACGACGUGGCCGGCUGACGUCCAAGAGUAAUAUAAAAUGGCUAAGGGAGGCAGGUGGCGGUGGGCACGGGGAAGAGGAAGAGUGAAGGAGAAAGAGAUGGGGUUGCACGUGAAUCAAUAAAGAAUUGAUAUUUUAAAUUAAUAAUAACAUUAAUUCUAUUAUUAUUAUUUAACCUUUAGUAUUAGUAUAUUUUUUUAUAAAAGCCCCCUUCACUUCCUGCUAAAUCCACACGACAACCAAAUUCCUUAAAAUUUAAAAAAUUUAGCUUGAGAGAAAUACCUUGAUAUUGGGGGUGUUACAUAGUUUCUCUCUAAAUUUUUUUUUCAUUCCAAUUGUUUUCUUCAAACCAAUCUCAUCUUCGAAGAUAGGAAGGUCUCCAACGGGUGGUGUCCCAAUUCGGUGGAUUAUAGAUUCAGAGACGUCAACAAGAGUAAGUUCUAUGUAUCUUUUAAUUUAAAAGCAUACUUAGUUCUUUAUUUAGAACUUUGAUUCUAAAUAUUGUCAAUGUACUGGUAUUUUGGAAUUUUCAAAUUAAAAUUGAUGAAUGGUUUUGUAAAGUCUUUCACUGCCAAGAGCUUUUAUCCCUUUAGGGCACACAUACCAAUUAAACUAAUGCAAGACCUUUGCCAGUAGUUAAUGGUAGCAUCUCACAAAGUGGAAGUGGUUGGCUUACCAACGGAAGAUUUUCAAUCAUUUCUAGCAGUCCCUUUUCUGUUUGAGUAUGACCUUCCAUAUUUUCUGCUAUAUUACUUAUAGUUAAUAUCAAAUGUGCAUCUCUGCCAUCUAUGCUAAUAUCACUGCCUGAUUGCUCUUGAUGUUGAUUUGCGUUGUUCAUUUUUGUUCCCUACACAGAAAAGAAAAAAAAUUGUUUUUAUUUAUAUUCUAAGCAAUUUUAAACAAUAUAAAGCAGUAACUAAUGAAUUAAACACUAACUGUUGAGUUUCUACAAUAGAUUCUUGAAGAUGUGACUCUUGAACAGAUGGAUUCUCAUGGAUGAUCACAUGUUUGUUAUUUUGAUGGUCAUCAUUCUUGUCCAGAUUGUGAUGACUAGAAUCAUCACGAAGAUCAUCAUACAUGUUGUUAAUAUCAUCAAACAAUUGAUUUUGAUUCUAGUAUAAAAAGAAAAAAGGAUAAUAAAAAAAAUAGUUACAAAAUGAUCGUGUAUCCUUAAGCAAACAAUCGUGUAGAAUAUCUAAACGGUUGUUUUACCAAGGGUGAUCGAUAUUUCAGGUGGGAUAUGCGAUCGUUCAUAUGUGAUAUGCGAUCGUGUAAAGAUAUAUCAAACCUUUGUUCUGUCAGAAGUCGUGCUAAGAAGAGUUGAAAGCUUGUAAUAAGAUCCAUCAAAACUGAAAGAUUUUACAUCAACACGUUCUGACACAGUAAUGCAGUAUCAAUGAGCAUCAAAUUACGUGAGAUACGUAUUAGAAAAUAUCUAACUGCUCAGUUAAUUUUUUAUGGACAUCAAAUCACCUUUUUUCAAGCUUAAGGAAGGAAAUGUCGGCACUAUAUAUGUAAAGAUCAAAGGUAAAAUAUAUAUAUACAUACAUUUUUUUAUAUAUUUUAUAUAUUUUUAUUUUAAUAUUAAUUUAAAUAAAAAAAAAUUCUUUAUUAUAUAUUUUUUUCUUUCUUUUCUUUUUUUCUUUUCUUUUCUUUUUCUUUUCUUUUCUCUCUUCUCCUUCCUCCCCGUGCGCCCUUCCCCUUCUCCCCGUUCGUAGCCCAGUAACCGCCGACCUCCAUUCCUCUUCUUCUUCCGUUCGCAGCAGCCGUCGACCGCCACAUGACCGCUGCCUAGUCCAGAUCUGCGUCGCAGCCCAGCAACCGCCGCCCCUAUUUCCUUCUUCCGCCGUGUGCUGCGACUCCCACCGAUCCUUUCCCAUCCGUUUUCUUCCCGCCGCAGCCAGCCGCCGAUCCUUUCUUUUCCGUUUUCUUCCCGCCACAGUCCAACCGCAGCCCGCGCGCCGAUCUGCCGUCUCCAUCUCCGGUUCGCGAAGCAACCUUGCAGCAGUCGUCCCGCGUGCCGAUCUGCCGUCUCCAUUGCCGAUUCUGUCUCCGUCGAAGCCAAGGCCGCCGCGUGAACCAGUAACCGCCACGCUCCCCGCUCACAACCGCCGCUCCACCUGCUAUCGACGUCGGCCGAGUAGUUGCUGUAACCAUUCAGAUUUGCUGUCUGUUCGGGACGGUUUCCAUCCGUGAAGCCCAGCCGCCACGUCUGAUUUGGCCGACCGCUGACCGACCCAUACUUAAGAUUUUUGCUGCGAGUUCGACAUUCGUGUGUUGAGGUGUUGGGAGUAACGUUAGGCUCCCUUACAUUCACAACCAGAUUGUGAAUUGUUAAAGGUUCAGUUCGCCAUUAUAUCGGUGAGUUGAAACUUACGUUGAGGAAAAUAAGUGGGAUAUGUAUCGUGAAAGUAAUUGAAUUUUGUGUUGUUAUGCUUAGGAUUGUUUCGAGGACGUUAGUGAUUAAGGAGCUUCCCUAACUUUGAGGUAAGGGAUUUUCUACUAGACUCAAUUGUGAUUGUGAACUGUAUGUGUGUUGAAUGUAUACUGUGGUUUGACUGAAAAUAUAUAUGAAUGCAUAUGAAUUGAAGUAGACUUAACGUCGAAUGUAUAUCGUGAUUGUCAUGGAAUAUAUAUAUAAGUGUGUGUAUGUGGACAGGACGAAGAUUGUAGAUUGUGUUUGUAUGAGAUACAGAUGUGAACUUGUGAUUUUCGUUUAGAUUGGGUGUACGUUACGCUAAAGUAUGACUGUGUGCUAGUGAACUGAGGGUGUGUUGACUGUAUAGUUUGAUUGAUUGACGUAUUAGUAUAUUAUUGACAGACAUAUGACUAAAGUAAAAUAAGUUGACUGUUAGGACGUUGAGAGAAAGAACCUUGUGUUUUGAAGUAACUGAAAGAUGGAUUGAAUGGAAUGAGGGGAAAAUUGUUAGCUUGUAUUGUGAUGUGUACCUUGUAGGUGUCCCACGGGAUCACCAAUUUAUUGUGCACCUUCGGGAGCAUUAGACUGAUAUGUGUUUCUGCAGAACACUAGACUGAUAUGUACGUCCCUCGGGGCGUUAGACUGAGAUGUGUAUCCUACAGGAUCACAAACUGCGACUGUACAGGGUGUCCCAAUAGAACGUUAACAAUUUAUUUUCCCCUGACGGGACCAGUAGAGGGUCUCUUACUGAGUAUUUAAAUACUCACCCUUCUUAUGUUUAAUUUUCAGGCAAAGGUAAUAAAGGCGGCAAACCGGCGAGGGGCAGGAAGGAAGCGUGAUCCAUAGGAAAUAUGUUGUUUGCUUCCGCUUAUGGGUUCUUGUGAGGUUUAAGAUGAAUUGAAAUUUUGACAAACGUUUAUUGUAAAUAGUAUUGUUUUUAUGUUUUCUUGAAUGUUUGAAAUUCAGGCCUGACUUAAAGAUGUUUUUAAAUUAGUUUACGUUUCAUUUUAUAUUAAUCAAAGUCUUUAAUUUGUUAAAAUUUAACGACCUCGACUUACUUAGAAAAGUUGGGUCGUUACAAUAUAUGUCAGAGUUGUGCAUUGCAAUGGAAGUGCCAACACGAGGUGAUACAUGUGUGUCUUUCUGGGAUGUAAAUGCCACUCCCCGACUAGGACCAGCAUAGUCUUAGGGAGAAAGCAUGCUAGGAAUUGGAGUUGUGUCCUCAAUUUCUUCAAGGACUUGAGCAUUUCUUCUUACACUAGAAUGUCUCCAGUUUAGAGAGUUUAUAGGAUUUCUCAAGGCCAUUUUUGCAUACUUAAUAGCUCUUGACAACGGUAGAGAGUCUAAAUCUACACUUUCAGGGGGUUCCAACUCCACCACUUGAUGAGCCAAAGAUAGAGAAGAAUCAUUAAUGAUCCAGUAAGCAACAUGAAACCUUGUAAUUUUGGGGUUAACGGUAGUCCCUCCCAUUACUAGCUCAACACUUAAACGGAGUCUCCUCUAUAAAAUAUAAAAUAAUACAGACACAAAUAGUGAAUGAAAUCUUGUGACGUAACAAACACAAAUUUUAUGUAUACUGCAAUUUGACUAAAUAUUGAACAAGAAAGCCCAAGGGAAUACACAAAAAUCCAACGUUUUUAGGGGUCAAUUUGAAAAAUGGCAAAACUACUUUUUCUUUUCAAUUUUAGCAAACAACAUUUUUUGCACGUGCAUGGUAUUUUAUAAAAUACCAAAAUAUUCACCUUCUCCAACUAUAACUAUUUUGUUUUUACAUUGUAAUUAAUUUAUGUUAUGUAUUUAUCAUCUUUUAAUUAAUUUUUACUUGAAAUAGAUACAUCAACUCAUAUCAUAACUUUUCUCUUAAAAUCUCGGGACUCAACUAAUUGAUUCAAGACUACAUUAAUUAUGUUUAGAAAGAGCUUAAAAGUGUCAUUCGUUUAAUUAUUUCAAUAUAAUGCGGUCUUAUCCAAUUUUACCAACAAAAAACAAAUCGAAUAUGGAUCAGUAGAUCUACACUCUUUGUCAUAAAAGACAUAACAACAUUUUUAGGGGUCAUUUUAAAAAAUGUCAAAACUACUUUUUCCUUUGAAUUUUAGCAACUAGCAUUUUUUGCACGUGCAUGGUAUUUUAUAAAAUACCUAAAUAUCAACAUUCUUCAACUGUAAUUAUUUCGUUUCUACAUUGUAAUUAAUUUAUGUUAUGCAUUUAUCAGCUUUUAAUUAUCUUUUACUUGAAAUAGAUACAUCAACUCAUAUCCUAAUAUUUUUCUUAAUAUCUCGAGACUCAACUAAUUAAUUCAAGAUAUUAAUAACUUUAUUUAAUCAUACUAAUUUCAAAAUAACCUAAUUGAAUUUGAAUUUCAAAAUAACAAAAUUGAAUUUCAAAAUAACAAAAUUAUUAUUUUUCGGAAUUUGAGAGUCUCAACGAUAGAUUUUGUAUUAAAAUAACCUUAAUUGAAUUUCAAAAUUAAAAAAUAUCAACCUGUUCACUAUCUUUAUCUCAAAAUAACAUUAAUGCCUUGAAUAUCUAGAUAAUUAAAUUAUUAUUUUAAAAUUGGAAGAAACUCAACAUUAAAAAAUAUUAACUUGUUUGCACACAAGCAUAGAAGCACUGCGCACACACGUACACAUGCACACUUACACACACGCGCGCACACGCACACCUACACACAGACACCCACAAACGCACGAACGCACGCACACACACAUGCACACGCUCACGUAUGCACACACACACCUAUCCACACGCGCACAAGCACACACACAUGCACAAACGCACACACGCGUACGCACAAACGCACACACGUAAACACAUAAGCACACGCGCACAAACACGCACGUGCGAGCACACCCACACACCCAAGCACACACGCAAUAGCCCGCGCACACACACGCACGCACAAACACAUACAAACAUGCACACACCCACACACACAUGCACACGGACACUCGCACGAACGCACACACAUACACAUACGCACACCUACCUAAACGCGCACACGUACACACGCACAUAUGCAUAAAGAUGUAUAAAUGAGUUAAAAUUAAAAAACAACUACAUUAAUUGUGUUUAGAAGGACUUUUAAACCAUGUUCAUUUGACUUAAUAACAUUAAUUAAACUAUAAUUUCUAUCAAUAUUGGCUUAAAAGUGUCAUUCGUGUAAUUAUUUCAAUAUAAUGCGAUUUUAUCCAAUUAUAUUAGCAACAAACAGGUCGAAUAUGAACCAGUAGAUAUACACUCUGUCAUAAGAGAUAUAGCAACAUUUUUAUGGGUCAUUUUGAAAAAUGACAAAACUAUUUUUUUUUUUAAUUUUAGCAAAUAACAUUUUUUGCACGUGCAUAAUAUUUUAUAAAAUACCAAAAUAUCCACAGUCUCCAACUAAAAUUAUUUUUUUUCUAUGUUGUAAUUAAUUUAUAUUAUGCAUUUAUCAGCUUUUAAUUAUUUUUUACCUGAAAAAGAUACAUAAACUCAUAUCAUACUUUUUUCUUAAUAUCUCGGGACUCAACUAAUGGAUUCAAGACUUUAACUUUAUUUAAUCUACUAAUUUCAAAAUAACCUAAUUGAAUUUGAAUUUCAAAAUAGCAAAAUUAUUAUUUUUCAGAAUUUGAUAAUCUCAGCAAUAGAUUUUGUAUCAAAAUAACUUUAAUUGAAUUUCAAAAUUAAAAAAUAUCAACUUAUUCACUAUCUUUAUCUCACAAUAAUAUUAAUGGCUUGAAUAUCAAGAUAAUUAAAUUAUUGUUUUAAAAUUGGGAGAAACUCAACAUUAAAAAAUAUCAACUUAUUCACACACAAUCACACGCGCAUACACAUACAUACACUUGCACGCGCGUGCACUCAUACACGCACACACACACACGUGCACACACGACGACACACACACACACAAACGUAGCACACACACACCAAACCGCACGCACACAAAUGCACACACACUCACCUACUCACGUACACAUGUAUGUGCGCAUACACACACCCAAGCACACGUGGACAUGCGCACACGUGAGCGCACACACACACGAGCGCACACACACGCACACUGAUGGUUCAAUUUCAUCGAUAGUUCCUAUUUUUGCUGACAGUUUAUUUUUUGCCAUCGAUAGAGGAUCUUCCGACAGACCUACGUGACAGUGUGUGUGACAGCUUAAUUUCGUUGGCAAAUGAAAAGUCGAUUAGUUUUUGAAGAUUUACUACGAUAUUUGUCAUCGACAAAGGGUAAAUUUCUUGUAGUGCAUGUACAUCAAACAUAUCAAAUUUGUUAAGUGUACCAAUGAAGUAUAACAAGUUUAUUAGUGGUGUAUCAAGUGUAUCAAACUUAUAAGUGAAGUCUUUAAGUGUAUCAAACUAAUCAAGUGUAUCAAGGCCUCAGGGUAUCAAGUGUAUCAAGAAGAAUCAAGUGUAACGAGAAGUAUUAUGUGUAUGAAGAUGUUUCAGGUGUGUAUCAAAAAGUAUCGAGUGUAUCAAUGAGUACCGAGUGCAUGAAUUGUAUCUAUCAAAUGUAUCAAGUGUAUCAGUAAGAAGUAUCAAGUGUAUCAAGGGGUAUUAGGUGUAUCAACGUGUAUAAGGUGUAUCAAAUGUACAUCAAUAACAAGGGCAUUUGUGACAUUUUACCUCUUGAUGUGUGAGUUGGUCUUUGUUUUUGUCAUUUUCUCAAAUAAUAAAGUAUGUGUUCUAUGGACUUAAUUAUUAUAACUUAUUUUGCCAUUUUCGCAAGUGUCCCUUAAUUGUAAUACAUGUAUAUCUAUCAAAUGUAUCAAGUGUAUCAGUAAGAAGUAUCAAGUGUAUCAAGGGUAUUAGGUGUAUCAGACGUGUAUAAGGUGUAUCAAAUGUACAUCAAUAACAAGGGCAUUUGUGACAUUUACCUCUUGAUGUGUGAGUGCUGGUCUUUGUUUUUGUCACUUUCUCAAAUAAUAAAGUAUGUGUUCUAUGGACUUAAUUAUUAUAACUUAUUUUGCCAUUUUCGCAAGUGUCCCUUAAUUGUAAUACAUGUAUAUGUGACAUAAUCUAAUCAAACUAACUCAUAAAUGGACUUAAUCGAUCUCAUGGACCACGAAUUCUUCAAUUACUUGCAAAUUUGGUGAGUUCCUUCAAACGGUGGGUGGAGAGCUUAAUUUUGAGAGAGAGGAAAAGUCGUGAAGAGUAUUUGCGAGAGAGGGGGGAACGUCGCCAGAGAGCAUUUGCGAGAGAGCUAAAGACAACGACGAUGUGGGAUGAAGUAAGGUUUUUUUCGGUUGUUGUUCACAAGUGGGAUGAAAGCUUCGAAUUAUUUGUUUUAAAUCAAAAAGCGUAUGAUUGAAGGAAAACAUUGAUUUUUUAUUAGGGUAAUUUUUAAUGACACAUAAUUUAUGUCAUUAAUUAACAAUGCGAAAAUUUUGUCAAGAAAACUCAAUUUGUGUCACGAAAUGAUAACUUUCGCCUUGUUCCAAUAACCUUAUUUUGCCUUGCUCCUCUAUCUCUUGCAAUGUACACAUAAAGCUUUGGCAAUUUUACCAAAGUGGGAAGCAGCUAAGGGGACGAAGGUAUAUUCGGAGAGAGAUUGUUAAACAAUUGUAAAAAGUAAGCCCAAGAAGAGAGGUCCAAUAAAAUUCAGCCACCUCUCACAUAGUAAUUGAAAUAGUCUAGCAACUUCAACCAUUUCCCUCACAGAGAAGAAGAAGACCAUAGCCACUCGAGGCUUUUGCACAGACAAACACCAAGAAGAUGUGUUCGGUUCGUAUCUGUGCUAAGCGCGUCGUUGUUGACGCCAGGCAUCACACCUUGGAAAGGCUCUCUUCCAUUAUAUAUAGCCAAAGAACUUCCGAAUUAUUGAAAAUAAAUAUUUUCAACAGUUUUAUAUUCUCCUUUAAUUUAUAUUCACUUUUGUUAGAAGCUAUUUCUUCUUCAUUUUUCUCACGAAAAUCACAUAAUUUAUUUACUGUUCUUGUAAAUGUGUAAUGAUUAUUUUAUCAUUUCAUGUGAACAAUAUGAUUUUGUUACCAUUUACUCUCUUUGCUUUUUACUAUUGAAAUCUCCCUAACUAUAAACUAAUUGCACAAUUUUGCUCCUAAUAUACGAUCAUGUAGCAACCUAUAAGCCAAGAGUAAAAACAAGAAUCAAUUGAAGAGGGAAUAUAUUGAUAUAUAUCACCCUGGAAGAUGAAAUACACAUGGAAGAGGGAAUAAGUUGAUACAAAAACUAAUCACCAUUCAUCAUAUAUGAACAAAAUAUGUAAUGAAAUGCUUGGAAUGAAACAUGAUGAAAUAAUUUUCAUUAGAAUAAAAUAAAGGGUAAGAAAAUGUAUCCAUACCUUCGGAUGGUAUUCAGAAACAAUCACCAUAGGCAAAUUCUGAGUAACGACACCAAAAAACUGAACUACUUUAGGAUGACGGAUCUUUUCCAAUAAUGUCAACUCAUAUUUGAAUGCAUUUAUGUAGGAAAUUCAAUAAAAUAAUUAAGAAACCUUGCAAUAUGUGAGAGAUAUACGAACUUCAAACAAAUUUUACAAGUUUCAGCAAAAAUUUUCAAACAACUUUUAAAGUUUAAGCAAAAAGUAACCGUAGGUAGGAAGGGAGAAAAAAGUGGGUCUCGAAUUAAUUCUGAAAAAUUAGUAGGCUUUCAAAAUUUAGGUUCUAGAAGUAGAAUUAUUGCAGAAAAAUAAAUAAUGCAUCAUUCAAAUUGAAUCAAACAUAUCAGGAUGUUAUAUUCUCCACAACGUAUAUAAUGGAGUAUAAAACAUAAAGUUUCUAUAUACAAAGCUAUGUAUCUCUACCCUUGACUUCUCUUUCUCUCUUUCUACCUUUUUUAUCCUUUCUUUCUCCCAUUCACUCAAUACACUUGCAAGAACCUUCAUUUUUUUGUAUUUAAAUUUUCUUGGCACCAUCCUUUUUUAAUUAUCAAGGGUUUGUUAUUGUCACAUCUCUACCUUGUCAAUUUUCGUUUUUCACUAAGCUUUCUUUCUUCUUUUGUCUUCACUACUUUCUUCGCUCCUUCUUCUCAAGCUCUAACUUUUGCUAUUAUCAACCAGUCUCAAAUGACCAUUGGAAAACCUAUAGCCCACUGAGAGGCAGCCAAUAUAGUAAUGCCUGUAAUGAUAAACUCCAAUGAAAUCAAAAGUUCUUCUUAAGAUUUGGAAAUAUAUAUUAGAUAAAGCAUAAUUAGUUGAAAAAGAACCUCAAAAUUUUGUGUUAAACGACUACAAUUUCAUCGUAUAAUAUGCCAUAUUGACAUCAUAUUUUUCCUACAAAAACAUAUUAACUAAAAUAAGCUCAUAAACACAAAAAUGCACUAAGUGUUGGUUAACAUACACUACCUUGAAAUAUGACAAAGACUUUAUUUCUCCUAACCAGACAGCAUAGUCAGGAGGUAGUUUGGGAGCAAACAUAAUUGACUUAAUUUCCCUAGCAAUAUCCUAUAAAAAUUUCAAAUUCUUGAAAUAUGGAACCCAAUGGAAGUUUUAGGGGAAUGAAGUAUAACCUCUAAAUACAGAAGGAUGACAUAAAGGGGAAUGAAGACUCAAAAGAAGGACGACGUUUUCGUAGAGAAGGACGACAAUUUUGAGGGACAACGAAUGAGUAACCAUGAAGGAUUUGGAAACGAAUAGAGGUUUAGCGAAAGUGGAAUGUGACAGAAGGACGGUGAACGUGUUUACUCGUUUUCGAACAGAGAAUGUGUUUACGCAUUUCGAACGGUGAACAGACGGACAAAUCAACGAAGGUGAAGGAACGCAAAGUAGACGAACGGUGACAGACGAUGAACGCAAAUGAAUGAAGGUGAAUGCUGAUGAACGCGAAGGGAAGUCUUUUUCGGCAAUGAACGCAGAUGAAUGCACAGAUGAACGUGAAGGGAAGGUUAGGUGAAUGACACUUUGAUUUUGGGUGGAGAAGGGACAAAAGUCGCGGCGAAUUAGGUUUAAUUAAGAAAAUGGGAAGUGAUCUAAUUGAAACGCUGUGUUUUGUAAAAAGAAUAUUAAAACAAUAAUUUUUUAGAAAUUUCUUGACGUUUUUAAAACGUCAAAAACAAAUUAAAAUUUCUUGAAGUUUGUAAAGACAUCAAUGAUCUUUUAGAAUUAUCUUGACGUUUUAAAAACGUCAAGAAUUUUUUAUAAAUUUCUUGAUGUUUGUAAAAAUGUCAAGAACUUUUUAGAAUUAUCUCGACAUUUUAAAAACGUUAAGAAUUUUUUAUAAAUUUCUUGACGUUUUAAAACAUCGAGGAAAACUAUAUAUUAUUGACGUUUAAAAAACGUCAAGAAAAAUACAUCUUACUUGAUGUUUAAUUGCACAAAAAACUCAAGAAGUUGAAAAUUGGCCUUUCAUAAAAAUUCUUGACGUUUUUAUAUUUGAAAUCACAUCUUUCUGACGUUUUUUCUCAAAAACGUCAAGAAAGGAAAACUACAACCAUCAAGAGAGCAUGUUUUGUAGUAGUGAUUUUGGGGACAAGACUCAGUGUGGAGUUGGGAUUAUAAUUGCACAAAAUGGAAUUCACUCAUUUCCUACUUUAGGGUAAGUAGAUGAAUGUUAGCUAAAUGGUGUCUCCAAAACUUGAACAAAGGGCCGUACCCUCUCGAUGACAUGAGAGGGGUUUUUGUUUAUUAGUAGACCAUAAACAAGUUGUUCAUUAGAGGAGCACUGGUUUUUAAAGGAUUAGAGGUAACAUAGGGGUAAAGCGGUAAAUUGAUCCAACUAGUGAUACAAACACUUGUGAAAGGACUAACUUACUAUUAUUGGUCUAUAUCCGUGGACAUAGAAAUAUUUUAGUGAGAAGAGUUCAGUUGUGAGUCUUUAGUGGAGUGUACACACAGCUAACGAAUAUUGAAUGUGGUUAAUGAGUUUAGCCAAUUAAUCUUAGAUCGUUAUAGCUUCUGAUCCAAGGUCCUUUUCCUAGCUCGUAAAGGGUAAUGAGAUUUAUUUGUAUUGGUUGUAAUUUAAAAUUUUAAAUUUAACUUGGAAUUAGUAUAAUGUAUAGUGAUACAUUAUAAUAUAAAGUUUAUCAAACUUUACUAUAUAAAUUUAACUUUGGGGAUGAUUCAAAAUUAAUUUAUGAGAGAUAAAAUAAUUAAAUGAGUUCAAAUAUUAAUUUAAUGUGAAUUGGAUUCAUAUUAAAAUUAUUGAGAGAAACUUAUAUUUGAAUAUGAUUCAAAUUUAAUUUAAGUUAAAUAUAAGAUAAAUAAUUUAGUGUUAUAGUUAAUUGGAGAAUUAAUUAAUAGUUUAGUUUAAUAUUAUUUAAUUAAAUUCGAUUUCAUUAAUUAUUAACUAAUUGAUUAAUGUUUAAUUAAUCAAUGGAUUUGAAAUAUAUAUUAAUUUAAUUCUUUGUAAAUUAAUAGACACAUGGUUCUCUUCUACUUCAUUUUCUAUUCCUAGAAGGAAAGAGAGUUAUAAUAUCUAGAAGAAAACAAUUUUCUUAAAAAAUGAAUUAAUAAAAAAAGAAAAAAUAAGGCUAACGCUAUUGCUGUUUGCAAAAAGAAAAGAGUUUCUCUCAAAUAUCUCUAAACUUUUUCCCAUCCCAAUUGGUUCCACAAACCAAUUUUAUCACAGAGGUACUCUUUGCAAUUUAAGCUCUCUUUGCAAUGGAUAGUCUUCAAAGUUUUUUUAACGAUGUUUCCAAUGCUUUCCUUUCUCUCUCAUGUUUAAUAAAAACCAAUUUAUCUUAAAACUUGUAGGGAGGCUACAUCGUAUCGAAUUUCAUACAACUGACGUGUUCAUCGAGUUACAACAAGUGCCCCACAAUAGUCUGUUCCGUGUUUGAAAAGUUGUGAUUGUGACACGCUGCGCACAUGAGGUUAUGAACGACACAUGGCAAGGCAAGCCCUACGAGCGCCUGCCAACGUUCUGCCACAAUAUUUUGUACGCAAGCUAAUGUCUUUCGGCUGUUUUUGUGGGUUUUGGAAAUUUUAAGCAAAGUUUUGAUAUUUUUAUGAUCAAUGGAAUUAAAUGGAAUUAUUUUCCAUUAUUUUUCAUUAUUUAGAUCUGAAGGAGUCGAACAAAGUUUUAUAAGCCAAGGUCCAAGCUACUCUCUAUAAGUGACAAAAAUGAGUUUAAAGUUGAUUCUAAACAUGAAUUUACUAUCAAAUGUUUCAAGCAUGCUUUGAUGUUUGAAUAUUUGAGAUACUGACUUAUAAAGUAUUUCCAAAGCAUGCAUUUAGAAACAUUUUGGUAAACAUGUUUUUAUUGAUGAAUUUACUAAUGAAAAUUAUAAGCAAUCAUGAUUGUGCUAAGUUUUCAAAAUGUUUAAGCUUGAAAAUAAUAUUAGCAUGUUUUAGUCUAUACCUAAAAUAUUCUAAGAUAUAUAGCAACCCUUCGGGAGAGAUUUUCUUGUGCAUAGAGGUCAUUUGAUUUGGAUAUUCAGUAAAUACCUAGCUUUCCUCAUGUAUUAGAUAAGAGAUGAAGACUUUUAAAGAUGCUUAGUUUCCCAUCUCAAGGGACGAGACCCUGUACGAAUGCCUAGUUUUCCAUCUCAUUGUAGUUAUAACGAGAUAGGGCACAAUUGAUGCCUAGAGUUUCAUCUUGAAGUAUCGUAUCACGGGAUAGGGCUUCUAUGCCUAGUUUAUUGUUUUCGUCUCGACGAUUCUAGGUAUAGCAACUGAAAGGGAAAGUUUGAGAUAAGUUGUUUGAAUUUGAUUUCAUUUAUGUUAAGAGUUAAUUGUUAAAUACUUAAUAUUUCAAAACGAUGUUUAUAAAACAAUCACUCAUUGGGCUUUUGUUUGUUUUGUUUUUUUUUUUUUUUUUUUGAAAAGGAGACAACCUCUUUAUUAAUAUUAAAAUAAUAAUAAUAAUUAGACAAAAACUCAGAGUACAAGAGAGUUAUACAAUGAACAUGUAACCAUGGAUCAGGGGGUGCACCUUGGCAUCUCAACUAGGUUGACACCCCCAUAGCACCCUCAUCAUAUCCAACCAAGCUAAAACCCAUAACAAAGGAGUAAUGUCCAAAGGCAAAACAAACACAAAAAAAGCCUUCUAUUUGUGGCUUUUGGUUUUGAUCUUGUGUUGUCGCUUUUUGGAUGUGAUGAGGGCGCUAAGGGGUGUCAACCUAAUUGAGAUGUCCAGGUGCGUCUGUUGAUCCUCUGUCCUAUUGCUCUUUGUAUAAUCCUCAUUACAUUGAGCUUUGUCUCUUCAUUUUUCAAUAUUAAUAAUAGUGAGACUCAUAUCCUUUUUUUUUUUAAAAAAAUAUGGGUUAAUUUGAUAAAAGUGUUGCUAGCAGAGAUUUGGUUUGAGCACAACCAACACAUUUUCCAUGAUAACAAACGGGAUUUGUGUUGUAAAAAUAGAUCUAUUAGAUCUCUUGGAGCAAUAAAAAAGAAAUAAGAUCUUUAUGUGAAAGCGAACUUUUUUUUAUGGAGCAUGUGAAGAAAGGCCUUUACUUUUGGGCAACAUUGGAAUUGGGGCAUGGUUGUGCGCUUAUUAUCAAAAGUUGUCCCCUAACGAUCAAACUGGUUCACUGUUGCGAAAUGGUGGGUUAGUUUAGGACAUGUCAUUAUUCUCGAACCUUCAGAUAAAUCUCCUUAUCUUAGGGAAUUAAAAGUUGUUCAACACAGGCUUGAAACAGACAUGUAUAGGGCUUCUGUAUUUUCCCAUAAGGAGCCAAUGAUUGAUUAUAUAUUGGUAUGUUUUGCAAAGGGAAAGAUUUCCCUAACACGUAUUGUAAAAAAUAUGUAGUUGGCUAGUAGUGAAAAGUUAGCAAGGCUAUUCAUGUUUCUCUUGGUGUUCCCUCUCACUCAUCUUGAAGCUUAUUGUGGGCAUUUUGUCAACUUACUUUGGGUUUCUUUUGUCUUCUGUUUUAAUUAAUUACUUCGUACUUAUUUUACAUUUUAGUUUUCAUUAGUGCGUUCUGGAUAGAGGAUUUUGUUUAGCUCGUUGUUAUUGUUGAUAAAAUUAAAAUGCCAACGAUUACAAUUCUUGAGAACGGACUCAUCUGUUUCCAAUUCAGAUGCCCAAAACUUGUUGAAUGGAUCCUAUCUCGUUGAUCGCGACAUCUUGCUGCAAAAGUAUGCUCCUCCGUAAAUGGACUCCAGGUAUUGUCCCUAAAUCCUUUGUUUUUUAUUAUGUUCCUAUAUGGAUUAAACUAGGUAGGAUUCCAAUGGAGUUAUGGACAGAUGUCAGAUUGACUGUUGUGGCUAGUGCUAUAGGAAACCUCUAUCUUUAGAUCUAGCUACUAAGGAAAGACGAAGGUUGUCACAUGCUUGAGUAUGUGUUGAAUCAAAUGUGGACUCUCCUAUGCUUGCUGAAUUUACAAUUCACCUUAGGGAGAGGAUUUCGUUAUGACUGUGAAUUAUUAGUGGAAGCCUCGAAGGUGUAAUUUAUGCCGGUCUUUUGGGCAUUCUAGUGGUAAGUGUCCUAAGAUUGUGGAAAACAAAGUUCAUCGAGAGGAGAUGUGAGCAAGGUGGUUUCAAACAAAGAGGAGGAAUGGACAAUUGUGUCUUGUGGAUGUGGUGUUAGACUUUAAAUAGUUGGAGGAAAGUAAGACUAAUAGCUCCCCCAUUAGGCAUAUUAAGGAAAAGGAGGUAGGUAAUCGGGAUGAAUUACUCGUUAUUAGGAAGAAAAGAGAGUUGGUUUAUGUUCGAGAGAAGGGUAAAUGUGUGGAUGUGAUUAUGCCUAACUCUUUUGGCAGCCUUAUGAAGUUAGGAAGACAAGUGGACCUUAUCUAUAGUGGAUGACUCCCCUCCCCCUACAAGUGGAUGAUACCGCUAUGGUUCUUAGGCGUAUGUUAUUAAUCACCUUAAGAUCAUUUCAAAAUAUAAAUAUAUUUUUAGUAUAAGUCCUCAAGAAACCUUUUUAUGAUAACCAAGAAACCUUAUUUGGAUAUUACGAAUAUGACAAAAUUAGUGAUAUUAGAUGACUAUCAAACGAUAAUCAUAGGGUUAUCAACUUUUAAAUUUACUACUUUUAAAAUUUAGAAAAUGUAGUGACAUGAGUCAUGUGAUUAUAAAUGUUUUUGUUAUUUUUGCAGGGUUCCAAAGAAAAAAGAAAAAAGUAAGAUGUGAUUGAUAAUAUGUGAAAAAAGGAAAAAAAUUAAAGAAACAUAACUCGAUAUAUCUAAUUUGUUUAAAAACGACCCCAUUUGUAAUUUUCUUUCAAAAGUCACACAACAUUCUUUGGAAAAAGUUUUUUUAGAGAAAGCAUGCCAAUACCUUCAUCCUACGUAUCGUAGAUGUAUUUUAUGAAUAAUUUUUAAAAGUUCAAAACAAUUUUUUUUAACAUUUCAAAGUUUAAGGUUAUUUUUUACACAAACUACAAAAUUCAAAAGAUUUUUUUUGUAAUUUAACUAAAUACUGUUGUAUAUAUAUAUAUAUAUAUAAUAAAUUAGUUAUCUUUUUUAGUUAUAUUGUAAAAAAAUAUGAUUAUCGAUUUAUCGAAAUUAAUUUGUAAAUGGUUAAAACAUUUAGUUUGUUGAAAAAAAAAUGACAAAACAAUGGACCAAUGGACAGCUAAUACGAGUCAGUGAACCGAAUACACAAAAUUCUGUAAAUCCAAUUAAGGAAGAUUUCAAAAAAAAAAAAACCCUACAUGUACAGUCUCUCUCAUUUAAAAUUUCUUUCUCCUCUUCUCUAACGGCCAAGUCUCCCUCUCCUCCCCCAUUCUCUCUUGCUCUCUUGUCUUCUUUGGCCUAUCUCUCAAUUUCCGUUUCUGUAAGGAAGAAACCCUAUCAUACCCAUUUCGCGGAUCCAUCUCCAUCUUCUUCUCUAAGUCACGGAUCCAAUCUCCAUCUUCUUCUCUUAGUGCGUCCUUUCCAUUUCUUCGUACACUCCAUUUUUCCUUUCUCUUUUCAAAACCCUAAGGCCUAUCUCUCAAUUUCCGUUUCUUUAAGGAAGAAACCCUAUCAUACCCAUUUCGCCGAUCCAUCUCCAUCUUCUUCUCUUAGCGCGUCCUUUCCAUUUCUUCUUCUUCUUCUUUGUUCGUACACUCCAUUUUCCCUUUCUCUUCUCAAACCCUAAUUCUCUUUAAUUAAUUAAUUCCCUCUCCUUUCUCUCUCACUUCCUCCCUCUUCCAUUAAUGGCAGGUUCCUCUUAUCUUCCUCCUUUCUCCAGUGUUGAUUCCUCCUCUACUUCGAUGUGAUGCUCUUUUCUUCUUCCCUCGCAAUUUCGAUUCCACCAUCGUCACCGAUUUUGGUUGCAAUUUCUACUCUCUUCAACCUCAACCUUCUAAAUUCCCUCACUCUCACCGGAUUGACUUCAAUGUCCUUGGAACCUCCACUACUACUAUUAGUACUCCCCUCAUCAAAGAAUCCGUUGGAUUAUCAGACGCUCCUCUUCCUUUCCUUUCUAAUCCUUGUGCUCUCUUCCAACUCCAGUGGUGAGCCCCCGAACAAAUCGCAUUACUCCGUGAGUUCCCAAUUAAUUCCAUCUUUAUUUAAUAUUCAAUUAUCCUCUUUCCAUUUGUUUCAAUUAUUGAAUAGAAAGUUAAUUGAAUGCACUAUGUUCCAAUAAUUUCAUGUGGUUCUAGUAAAGCACAGUGCAUCCGGUCGAACUUCCCCCAUUAUGUAAUUUUAUGGAGGUAGUUUUGUAAAUUGGAUUGAAACAGGGCUAUUCAAUGUGUAUGCAUUAAAAUAUAGGGAUUGUUUUUCAAUUAAAUAUAAAUCGAUUGAGCCUCUGAUGUGCUAGUAAGCAUCAGAUCUCCUCUGUGUAUAUAUAGUUAGGUACUCUUCUUUUUUUUAUAGGUUCCGUCAUAUAUAUCACGGUCUGAAGUUGUAGCUAAACUUGCUUUCAUCUUCAGUUUCUAUCACUAUUUAAAGGUCAGAUUUUGUUCGAUUAGAAGAAUGUAAAUUUGUCAAGGACAAUAGCAUGCUUAGUUUAAUUGUACUCAAAUAUUGUUACUAAAACAAUUGCUUUAUUUGCGUUGAUACCAUUAUUUGUGUGGUAGAUCUCUUGAUUCAUUUUGAUGUUUGUAUUUUGAAGACAUACAAAGGUCAUAAUACUAGUUGCUAUUCUUUUUAUCUUGGUACGUUUCAUUUUUGUUUUAAUAUUUCACUGUCUCUAUAACUGAUUGUACAAACAUAUCUCAUCAUUCAAUCACUUUUCAAGUUUUAGAUUCUGAAAUUUGUACAUAUUGGGGUUUUCCUUUUUCUUUAUUUUGGAUUAUUUCAAAUCUCCAAAGAUCUUUCUUGUAACAUUUGCAUAUUUUAGUUUGUUAAAAUCUUCGAAAGUAGAGGAGAAGGCUCCAAAAGCAUUCUGUCUCUCAUUGCCUUGCCCUAACAUUAUCAUCUGUGUAAGAUGUGCCAAUGAGUAGACCAUUUUCUUUUACUUUUUUUUCCAUAGCUUUUGAACCACUUUCCCUUUCUCUCAUUCUCUUUCAUUCUUCUUUUAUGUUAAUUGGAAGAAGCUUUGAGGCCUCUCUUGAAAAUAAUGAGGUUUUGAAUGGGAUAGAAAGAGAGUGAUGGUGGGAUCCAUCAAAGGUUUGGGAUUUCACACAAUGUUGCAUCACUCUUUUAAAUGUAAUUAGAGGUUGAGGAGUUGAUCGCCGAUCAUAGAUAAGGAGGGGCUGGUUAGUGGCUUGGAAAAGAAUUCAGACAACAUUAAUUUUUUCUAAAAAAUAAAACCAACCUUCCGACGGUUGGUUAACACUCCUCGACAGUUGAGAUAGGGUAAGACUUGUAUUCUGGUUCUGUUGAUACCUAUAUUUGUGCUUCAUCACUUUAUAAUUGUACUUUUAUUUAUCCCCUUUGUAUAUUUCCAUGUGUUUCAUGUUUGUCUUUUAUGUUUCUUCUAUUUAUAUAUUUCUUCAUGUUCUUCUCCAUUCGGGUUUGCUCUUGCGGAGGUUACACAUUCAUUGUUGUGCUGGUACUUUAGUUAAUGAUGUCUAAUAAUUUUUGUUUUGCAAAUUUUCUUGUUAGUGCUCAAGUUUGAUUUCAUACUGCCUUUAGCAUAGCUUUACGACUGCAGAAUUCAAUUGCACAUUGCCCUUUUUUAUUUUGUUAUUACUGAUGGACUUAUUUGUGAUACCUUUAAAGAAGAAAAUUUAUGGCUAUUUGUGUUGAAGUUUAUUUGUUGAUUAUUGGUUGGUUUUUUCCCUCCACUUUUCUUAAUAUUUUGAAGUGUGUAAUAAGGUAAGCAAUUUUUUAGUCCCCUAAAUUUGUUUUGUUGAUGAAUUGUUUCCUUUUUUUUCUCGGUUUUGUUUUCAGGUUUUCAUCAUUAUUCAUUUGGUGGCUAAAUAUUACUCAUGGGUAUUUGUUCGAUCUUAUUUUGUUGUGAUCAAUUGAUAUACAUAAUAUGCACUAUAAAUUUGUUAAAUUGUUGGAUUAUUUGCUUUUUUAAUAAGGUUGGAGGAACCUCAAGGUACGUUUUGUUAAAGCAUAUUUUAUAUUGAUAAAUUUGAAGUUGUCAAGUCUAUAACAAUGAUAAUGUUAAUACGAGUAAAUUUAUAGCAAAUUUAGUUGACUUAACUUAUUUACAUGCUGGUUGCUCGGACUCUUGGAAAAACCUUACGUGCAUUUUAACCCACGGUAAGAGGACUUAAGGUUGUUAUGACUUACAUAUCAGUUUUUGAGAUUUUCCUUUGUAACUUUUUCAUAGACCUUAUUGUAGUUUUUUGUUCUUCAUUUUUGUUUGUAGGACGUUUCUAGAGAAUGCAAGACCAUGUUUGAGUGAGAAAUUGGUCUCGAUGAAAUUGAGAGUUCAAUGAACAGCACAUACAAUGCAAGUAAAUCUACCUACUCAAACCCAUCUUCUAUUUCUAAAGCAGAAGGGCUUUCGGUGGCUGAAACAAGUGAGUGAUUAAGUUUUUUAUCACCCGUAUUAUUUGUUAUCACUAGGAAAAGAAAGCUGAGUAGAAAAAGUAGAAUGCCAAAUGGAAAAAAAAAAGAUUAGUAAGCAGCGUUAUUAUUUUAAAAUAGAAAACAAAAAUUAACAUUAUUGUUAAACCGAGCCAUUCUAGAGAACAUGAAAUAGAAUUGGAUAGCUGCCAUGCAUCGUGUCUAUGAAUGUUAAGAAUGAAACUAUCGGUAGGGUUAUAGAAUAAUCAUUCUAUCAGCCUCAAUUAUGAUACAGGGUUUAUGAAAUAGAAUUUUCUUAUGUAUUGUAAUAGUAGAAGAUUCUUCGUCAGGAAGCAAAGCUUAUAGCUUUGAAGAGUAUCUAAAGGUUACAGAAGAGCAACCGAAAGCUUACGAUCAGCUCCAAACCAAUUUUCCAGCACAAAGCCAGAGUGGAUCCCAAGUACAACGGGAAGGUUGUUAAAAUCAAAUCUCUUAUGUCUUAUUUCAUAACUAUUUAGUUUUGAUCUUAACUACAACAAUUUUCAUUUUUUUCUAGGUGAACAUUGUAUGUGCUUAGAAAUUAAGUGUUUUGAAAAUUAGAGGUGAGCAAUCACACUUAGAAACUAAGUGUAGAACCAUAGAAAUGUUACCCCAUCGGUUCUAGCAAUGCCUAGUUACCGCAGUUCAUAACAAAGAAAGAAAAGAGGCUCGUAAAUGCAGACCAUAAAAAAGUGAGACAAUCAACAAUUAUAAAAAAAAACAUAUGCAAUAUGCAUUAAAAAAAGCUCAUAAAAAAUAUAGAGUCAAGUCGGUUAGGUCAAGUAGAACAUGUUGAGUUCCCUAGCUAUUAGAGCUUUUGGGGGAAAACAUCGCUUUUGGCCUAACCAAAACUAGACCAUCUAUUUUUAGUGUUUUAAACAUAACGUCAAGUUUGAUUGAGGGCUUUGAAAAGAGGAGGAAUCCUCCUCGAUCCACAGUAGGGCGAAAACGAGGCUUGUUGUCACUUCGAAGGGAGCAGUCAAACUUAGCAUUGAGUUUGAUUUUUUUUUUUUGAAAAGGUAAUGAUAAUAUUAUACAACAACAAGGUGGACCUCACAGCCUGAGGUCAAGACAAAAGAGCGAACAACACUCACAGAACAAGUAGUUAGACAAAAUAACCCAUAAGUACCCAAAACAACCCCACAUCUCGGGAACAAGAACUAAAACCAAAAGACACAUACUUGUGUUCCAAACAUUAAAAGGACAAGAAGAAGAGAGAAAGACAACAAAGUUAAUAAAGAGAAGAGAAACUCCACAACCCGGGAACAAGCAAACGAAAAGAACAUUAAAUAAGACCAUGAACACCAUCCAACCAAGAAGCAGCACGCGCUUUAAUACACGACCGAAUGAGCUGGAAUACAACCAUAGGCUCCGAAUAGCACCUCCAUGAAGACGAUGAUUUCGCUCCUGCCAAAUGAAAUAAAUUGUAGCACACCAGAGAAGGCGCCACAGUUUUCUCCUCACACUCUUCCCAAUACCCUGAUUAUAAAUCCAAGAUAACCCAACCCCCCAAUAACCGAUUCUAUGAGAAGAUGACAUAAGCAAAAGGAUCCUCGACCAAAUCUCCCACCCAAAAUGACAAGAAAAAAACAAAUGAUCACGAGACUCAUAGUUCCCUCCACAAAGCAAACACGAUAAAGGAAUCGACCUAUCCCACCGACUUAACCUAUCUCUAGUACCCAACCUAUCCCUGAUGGCCAACCAAGCACAGAAGGAGUGCUUAGGAAUAUUUCCCCCACCCCAUAGUAAACCCGACCAGCCAACCCUACUACUAUGAGGACGAAUAGUCUCCCACGCACUAGUGAUCGAAAAACUAUCAUGACUCCCCGACACCCAAACCCACCUAUCCUCAACACUCGGACUCGGCCUCACUCCCUGAACCCUAUCCCAAAUGUCCAUCAAAUCCAAAGAAACAAGCGGCCAUCUCCAAUCACCAUCCCGACCCAUGAAAUCCACCAGCCUCGCAUCCCACCGACUACCCACAUCAUAGAUCACCCUCUUCCCAAACUGCUGGAUAAUCGGCCCACCCUGAAUCCAUGGAACCAACCAUACUCUACACUUCCUUCCAUUGCCGACCUCCAUCUUAACAUGAGCUUUAAGGAUAUCCCACUUACGCAAGAUUUCCCUAAAGCACCAAGAUCGACCCACCCCAACAUCGAUCUCCCACAGCGACUCCCUUUAAGGAUAUAAGAUUCCACCCAAGCAACUCACAAACUACCAGAUUUAACAAGUAGCAACCAUAAUAUCUUCAACGUGCUAGCUAUAUUCCAAGAAGAUCCAUCACGAAUAUCAAGACCUCCUUCAUCAAAAGGAAGACAAACCUCAUCCCAGGCAACUUUAGCACCACCUCUUCCCUCCUCCUUACCUCUCCACAGAUAAGCCCUCAAGAUCUUAUCAACGUCUCUGUGGACUUUCAUAGGAAGCAUGAACACACUAGCCCAAUAAACCUGAAGGCUCCUAAGGACUGAGCGAACAAGCUGAAGUCUACCUGCAAAAGAUAACACUCUAGCAGACCAAGACCGAAUACGACUGGUAAUACACUGAAUAAGGGGAUCACAAUCAGAGCUCCGCAAUCUUCCAGAGAGGAGAGGAAGCCCAAGAUAACUAACAGGGAGAUGACCAAUGGAAAAACCCAUGUUAGCAGCAAGCCGAGAAGCUUUCGAACUAUUAACCCCCACAAGAAAAAUUGAGCUUUUAGCAAGAUUAGCAAACAGUCCUGAAAGCUCACCAAACCUCUUAAUACUCUCUUUUAUGAAACUUAUAGAAUGAUUAUAAGCAGUACAAAAGAUCAUCAAGUCAUCUAUAAAAGUAAGAUGAGUUAAUCUGACCUUCUCACAAAACUGGUGGAAUUGAAAAUUCUUAGGUGGGCUGUUCAACAUGCGAGAAAGCACCUCCAUGACCAUCACAAAUAAGAACGGGGAUAAAGGGUCACCUUGUCUAAGUCCUUUCCUCCCAUGGAAAAAACCUUCCAACGAUCCAUUAAUCAUAAUGGAGAACAUCGGAGAGGUCACACACGCUCGAACCCAACUCACAAAUCUUAAAGGCGUACCUAUGGCAAUCAGCAGGCCAAAGAGGAAAUCCCAAUUAACAGAAUCAUAAGCUUUUUGGAGGUCAACCUUCAUAGUGGACGAGGUUUACCUCUGUGCAAAUGGUAUGCCCUUACAAGCUCCUGACAAAGAAGAAUAUUGUCAAUAAUACUCCUCCCAGGGAUGAAAGCUGGCUGAUUUCCACUAACAAAAGAAGGAAGCCACACACGAAGCCUAUCUGCCAAUAUUCUUGAAAUGCACUUAUAAAUAACGCUACAACAAGAUAUAGGGCUGAAAUCCUCCAAUCGAUUAACACCAUUCCUUUUAGGAAUAAGUGUAAUAGCAGUCGUAUUCACCCCUUGAGGGAAGUAAUUGGUCUCAAAGAAGUGUAAGACGACAUCACAGAAGCCCUCUCCAACCACUGUCCAAGCUCCUUUGAAGAAGCCAACUGAAUACCCAUCAUGACCUGGAGCCUUUCCACCAUCCAUGGAGAACAGAACACGUCUCACUUCCUUCCUGCCAAUAGGCGACUGGAGGGCCUGGCAACACUCCUCAGUCCAUCUAAACUGAACAAUCUCCUCAAUACAAGUAGAGAGCUCUCUAUAGCUAAUAUUCUGAGAACCCAGACUAUCUUUGAAAUAAUUCACUACCACCUGAGUCACCUGAUCAUGGUUAGUCAACCAAUUUCCAUCUGCGUCAAUAACUGAUCUCAAAGCAUUGCUGCUCUGCCUUGAUCGAACAUAUCGAUGAAAAAAGGCAGUAUUCUGGUCAUCUAGCUUCAACCAUCUGAUUUGCGACUUCUGGCGCAUAGCGGCUUCCUCCACUCUAACCGCUUUCCAAAAGUUUUCGUGGCUAAGCUCGCGUGAUUAGUCGCCUCCUCCGAACAGAGAGUUCGUCUCCAUCUCUCUUUAAGCUCGGUCCAUGGUAUCAUUGGCAAGACGAACAUCCUCACUGAUGGUUCGAUAUGCCUACCAAAAUGUCUGCGAAGAAUCGACUUGAGAUUUCUUAAGUUCCUUACACUAUUCAAAUUGGAGAAACUCUAGUAUCUUUGGUCCAAGCAGAGGACACAACAUCCAUAAAGGACGCUUCUUCAACCCAAUGGUUAAAGAAACGAAAAGAGACCACUUGUUGGCUUCGCUGAUUACUGGGAUAGACAAGUAUGGAAGAAUGAUCAGAAAUACCCCACGGGAGGACGUUAACCCACAUGUUAGGCCAUGUACUAAGCCCCUCAUCAUUCACUAGGAUACGAUCAAGUCUCCUCAUCAAACCCAACCCAUGUCUCUUACUAGUCCAAGUAAACCAGUUCCCCUGGACCGCGGGUUCAACAAGGUCCGCCUCUCGAAUAGCCAUGUCAAACUCCUCCAUAUCCUCCACGUUCGGAGCACCCCCGAAGGCUUCAGAGUGGAGUCUGAUGGUGUUAAAAUCACCAAAGACCAUACCCGGUCCUCUCCAACCAGCAGAGAUCUCAAUUAUUCGCCUCCAUAAAACACGUCUCUCGAUAUUACUAUUAGAGGCAUACACACACAGAACCUCUACCUUCUCCCCAGAGAUCAAAUCUGUUAUUACACCAGAAAUAAACUGGUCGACAACCUCGUUAGUCGUGAACACGAAUCUGUUACGUUUCCACAUAAUCCACAUCCGACCUACUCCACUAUUGCUGUAGUUACUAAUGAACCCCUACGAAUCACUAAAUCUUCUAGAUAUCGAGACAAAGUUCUCCUCUCGAACUUAGUAUCCAGGAUGCAAUAGAAACCCACCAUAGACACGGCUAAGAAGUCCUUCACCGCUCUACACUUUACAGGGCUAUUAAGGCCCCGCACGUUCCACGUACACCAACUAACCAUGAGGUGUAUGGGAGCCGCCUCUCCCAUAGGAAUUACAUCACCUAUAGUACUCAAAACGACCAUAGAAGAGUCAUCUACUCGUAAGGGAGGAGGGGAGCCAUCCACUAUAGAUAAAGGCCAUUUAUCUCCUUUAUCCACCUCCAUGAGGUUGUUAAAGGAGUUAGUGAUACUCACUUCCGCCCUUUUCCCUCUGUCCCAAAUAGAGAUCAUUCCCCUAUUUUUCCUAUCAACUGGGGUAAAUUCCUCCCGAUUUACCUCCACCUUUUCAGGCAGUUUAUGGGUAAUAAUUUCUCCUUCUUCCAUGUGUUGGAAGGAUUCCAACACAACAUCUCCAUACUCCCCACAAUCUGGAACCACCUCUUUAGUAGGAACAACCUCUUUAACAGGAACCUCUUUACUUGCAGCUUCCUUUUUACUAUUUUCAUUGCCUCUUUAAAGGGUGUUUUGCGAGUGUCCAAAAGAUCGACACAAGUUACAUUUUUUCCGUUUCCACUCAUAAGUGACAGUUACAAUAAAUUCCUCUCCUCUAAGGUUGACUGUUACUUCGGCAGGCAUAAUACUGUUCACAUUCAAUUCCACACAUAUACGGGAAUAAGAAAGACGACGCCUCUCUUUAGUAGCAAGAUCAACUGAAAGAGGUUUUCCUAUUGCACUCGCUACCACAGUCAAACCAACAUCCGUCUAUAGCUCCAACGGAAUCCUCCCUAACUUUAUCCAAACAGGAAUUGAAUCAAAGACAAAGGAUUCAGGAACUAUACCUGGAGUCCAUUUGCGGAGGAGCAUAGGUUUGCCUCCAAGGUGCCAUGGGCCACGGGAUAAGAUCCACUCUAUCGACUUCAGAUGUUUGAAUUCAAAGCAGAUGAGCCCAUUCUCCAUCAGAGUAAUUGUUGGCAUUUCAAUUCUACCCCAAAUCUUCUCUAUAAGACGAUAGAUGACUAGAUACGGCAAUUUUGCAUCAAUUAAUUGCCUGAUGAGGGAGUUCUCCCACACUCUAACUCCUUGACUAAUAAUCAAACGCGGUCACCACAAUUUUCUCUCCCACAGUAGUCAGUUGUAUAGGUCAUAGAGAAACCUCUUGUUGAGCCAAAUAAGGAAGCCCAUGAAUUUUUACCUGCACCUCCAGAAUUAUUAGAUUUAUGCACCUCAUGCCCACGAAUCGGAACAGGCGGCCCACCAUUUGAAUUAGUACCAAACGGUUCUCUAAUGGCUGGCCCAUCAUUCAAAUGCCCAUCAACCGGCCCAAUCUUUGGGGCACUUGCAAUAGCAUCCAGCCCAGGUCCAUAUCCUUCGGUCGCUGCAAUUUGCCCAACAUGCUGAACACUUGAAGCACCAACAGGUAAGCACUCCUUCUAUGAGAUCCCAGUUUCGUGUGAGAUGGGUGGCCCAUCAUUCAACGAUGGCCCAUCAACCAGAGAUCCAUGACCAAUUCCAUUCAUAAAUGUGUCCACACCAUUCGGCUUCGGCCCAUUUACCGGCUCACUAGGCUUCAUCAAGUUUUCAUUCAAAACAAUCGUCCCACACACCUUUGGGCCAACAAUCUUCAUGUGACCAUCUCCGCUCGGUCCAUUUCCUGUAUUUUGAUUUUUUAUUUUAUAUGUUUCACGGUUCACGUAAACCGGUUCGGGUCCACUCAUGUCCGACCGUUUCUUCCUCACAUAAAUUAGGUCAGCCUUUGCAGUCGCCGCCCUUCGGUCGUUCGCCGCCAUAUCAUGUACGCGUUGAAGGCUUGACAUCAUGCGUUUCUUCACCUCCUUAACGUCACUGGAUAAUUUCUUCAUCGUUUCAUGCUUAGGACAUCAACCCAACAUCCGUGAUGAUCUUUUCGGCCCAAUCUGGGAACACGAAUGAACUCAAAAAGAAUUGAAAUUCAACCGAGGAGAUUCAUGCGAGAUCCCUUCAGCGAGUGAAUUAAAUCAUGGUCUUCAAACCCAGAAGUGGUUGCCAAUAAAUCGAUUCGUACCACACACAAUACUUUCAAGAUAGUUCAAAUCAAUUCAGCUUGGAAAUAGAUUUAAACAAUUUCUGGACAGACGUUAAUUCUCCCGAAUCAAAAUGAAUAUCAUUCGUAAUGGUUCAAUUGAUCAAUUGUAAUCAAUUUCGAAAUGGAUACCAAAUGACAUUAGUUAUCACAUUCAAUCUGCCAAAACCGAAUGAAUUACCUUCAAAUUUGAUCCCUUGCUGACCGCAGCACUCACCAAGCAUUCGCCUCCUUCACCAGCCGAGUGAGAGAACUUGGAAAUCCUAGAGAGACACGUGUGAGGUACACGUGCCCGAGAUGAAAUUUUUUCCUUUUUACUCUAAUUGAGUUUGAUUGAGGGCUUUGAAAAGAGGAGGAAUCCUCUCUGAUCCACAAUAGGGGAAAACGAGGCUUGUUGUCACUUCGAAGGGAGUAGUUAAACUUAGCAUUGAGUUUGAUUGAGGGCUUUGAAAAGAGGAGGAAUCCUCUCUGAUCCACAAUAGGGGAAAACGAGGCUUGUUGUCACUUCGAAGGGAAUAAUCAAACUUUGAAACUAAGUGUAGAACCAUAGAGAGAUUACCCCACCGAUUCUAGCAGGGCCUAUUACCAUAUUGCAUACCAAAGAAAGAAAAAAGAGGCUUGUAAAUGCAAACCAUAAAAAUGUGACACAAUCAACAACUAUAAAAAAAACAUAUGCAAUAUGCAUUGAAAAAAGCUCAUAAAAAUUAGAGAGUGAAGUCGAUUAAGUCAAGUAGAAUGUGUUGAGUUCCCUAAUUAUUAGUGCUUUUGCGGGAAAAUUUCACUUUUGGCCUAACCAAAACUAGACCACCUAUUCUUAGCGUUCUAAACAUAAUGAGGGAAAAUGAGGGUCGUCACUCUGAAGGGAGCAGUCAAACUUAGCAUUGAGUGUGAUUGGAGGUUUUGAAAAGAUGAGGAAUCUGAUAGACCCCCAUAUUACAUCUGUACAGCGGAAGAGGGACAAAGAAAUUGAAAAAAAAAAUAUCACGUGCACAUGAAUAGCAUGUGAGGGUUAGUAAAGGGAAGGUUUAGUUACCUUAUUGUUAGUAUAAAUAAAAAGUAAUCGUGGGCGGGAAAGUUAGGUUUUGUUUGAGAAAGUGAAUUUCUAUUCUUCCUUGAGAGAGAGGAUAACAGGAGAGGGAUUUCAUAUUGUAAUUAGGAUUUCAUUCCUAUUCUAUUAAUCAUUAAUAUUAUAGUAGCAAUUUCAUUCCAAGACUUGUUUCCAUCAAAUUGGUAUCAGAGCAUUGAUCUCGGGCAAGAAGAAUGCAAAUGGUUCAUACUCGGAUCGAAGAGAUGGAGACGUUUGACCAGGAAAUACAAGACAUUAAGAAAGAGAUUAGUAAGAUACUGGUGAUCGAAAAGACGUUGGCCAAAAUAUCCAAAAAUAUGGAGAGGUAGAAUCAGAUGAUGUUACGAAUUAUGGAAUCGACAACAAUGCACAAUUCAUCGACGAAGAAUGUGGACGAAGGCGAAGGAUGACCAAGAUGGGAGAACGAAACAAGGAAGGAAGAAAAGAAAAUAGAUGAUGAAAGUAAUAAUGACUGCAAUAAGUUUAAGAAGGUGGAGAUGUCGAUAUUCAAUGGAGAUGAUCUCGAUUCUUGGCUGUUUCGCGUAGAGAGGUAUUUGCACAUUCAUAAACUUACUGAAUUUGAGAAAAUGACUGUAUCCACUAUUAGUUUUGAGGGACUAGCAUUGAACUUUUACCGUUCUGAAGAAGAACGAGAGAACUUUGUAGAUUGGGUGAAUAUGAAGGAAAGAUUAUUGGUGCGAUUUCGAUCCGUGAGGGAGGAAUCAUUGUAUGUAAGGUUCUUGCAAAUUCAACAAAAGACAACGAUAGAGGAAUAUCAAAAUUUAUUCGAUAAGUGGUGGUAGCUCCUUUGUCGGACCUAUUAGAGAAGGUGGUAAAAGAGACAUUUAUGUCAGGAUUGAAACUGUGGAUCUAGGCGGAGAUGGAUUUAUGUGAGUCGAAGGGAUUAGCACAAAUGAUACUAAUCGCGCAAAAGGUAGAGAACAAGGAAGAUGUCAGGAAGCAAAUCUUUCUGGAUAUUCUGGAGAAAAGGUGAUAAACUCCCACAAUAGCACCAAGGCUAAUACCAUUGCGAAUACAGAAGAAAGUAAAGGAGGAAUGAAUUGGCCGAUGAGAACUAUUACUCUACGAGGAACAACAAAAGAGGAAGUACGGAAAGAGGGACAGACGAAGCGCUUAUUUGAUGCUGAAUUUCAAUCUAGAAAGAAGGGAUUGUGCUUUCACUGUAAUGAGAAAUAUUCUCAUGACCACAAAUGCAAGAUGAAAGAGCAAAGGGAAUUGCGAAUGAUUGUUGUGAAGGAAGAAGGCGAGGAGUAUGAAAUUAUUGAAGGAGGAAUUGAUCAGAAAGAAUUGAAUGCCCCUGAGAUCGUAGAGGAGAGUCAGGUGGUGGUGGAAUUAUCCAUUAAUUAUGUGGUGGGAUUAUCCAACCUAGGGAAAAUGAAGGUAAAAGAGAUGAUACAAGGGAAGGUGGCUAUAGUACUAAUUGAUUGUGGAGUCACACGCAAUUUCAUUUCAGAAAAAAAUAGUGAAAGAGUUGCAACUGAGUACAAAAGAAACGUCGAAUUAUGGAGUCAUUUUGGGCUCGGGCACUGUAGUCAAAGGGAAGGUAAUUUGUGAAGAUGUUGAGUUAAUGCUGGGAGACUAGAAGGUAGUGAAUGAGUUUUACACUUGAAGUUCGAGGGGUAGUUGCCAUACUUGGAAUGCAGUGAUUGUAUUCUUGGGAACGACUGGAGUGGAUUGGAAGAAUCUGAUGUUAACAUUUACAUAUCAGGGAAGAAGGUAAUAAUCCAAGGAGAUCCGAGCCUAACCAAGGUUAGGGCUGUCUUAAGAAGUUUAUGAAAACAUUGGGGGGAAGAAGAUCAAAGGCUUUUAGUAUAGUGCAAAGCGUUAGAAAAAUAAUCAUAUAUAAAUAAAAUGCUUCACCAUAUUAUAUAUAAUCAUUUCAAACAAUACAUAUAUGAAUAUUUCAUAUCAGUUGCAAAAAUAAUAUAAACAAUCUCAUUAGUUGGUCAUAAGUUCAACUCAAAUCCUAGUUCAACUCAACUUCCUAAAUUAACUAACUUAUCUAAAAACUAUCCCAAAAACUUCCCAAAACAGUUUGAGAAAGCUCCAAGUCGCAACGAAAAAGCUCUAAGUCACCGGUUCCAGCAGCCUGAAAAAAAUUUGAUGAUAAUUAAUAUAACAUAGCAUAAUAGAAAUCCAGCCAUCAUAUCAAUACCAACAUCAUAGUAGAUUUUGUGUUUGCACAUUUAUUCAUUCACUUCAGCUUGUGUAAUUGUUUAGUGAUAGAUCAUAAAUAAAUUAACUAGAAUUUCAAUGAAGUUAUUAGUAAGCCAGAAAUACUUAUAAUGCACACAUGAGGGAAAGUAAGUACAUUGUAUAAUUAAACAAACACCACAUGUUUUUCUACACACUUAUAAUUAUAAUGCACGAAAGAGGAAGACAUAAUGGAAUUGCAAAUCUAAGGUGCCAAGCCUCUAACACUUUGAACUAUAACUUUCUUUCAACACAAUCAAACAAAAAGCCAAUACAAAAAAUAUGCAUAAAUCACAACUGGAUAUCCAACCAUUGUGUUUUAAGUUCUAAAAAAAUAAAUUCUUGUUACCUAUUUGCAAACUAUAGUUAAUAUGAAAGUGUAACAAAAAAAAAUUAAACAAUAUGAAAGUGCAAACAUGGUUAACAAAUUGGUUGUUACCUUUUUUAGUCAGAAAUAAGUGACUGGUUAACAAAUGUUCUGCAUUUUACCUCCUGUAAUUUCAAAAAGUAGCUAGAUUUUUAUUAGGCAUGAACAAAGAGGGAAGUGAUUGAUUGAAUAAUAAAUUGCAAAAAUAUAAAAAAAUUCCAAUAGAAUGGAGAAAUUUUGAUACAAAUACAGCUUCUGCAAUGAUGAAAUAACAAUGUAGUUCAAUAAAAUUGACGGAAAACAAUGUUUCUGGUUAAGAAACAACCUCUGUGAUAGGUAUCAAGAACCCUCUCAGAACCAUAUUUCUCCAAAAUCCAUUUGUUAUCUAAUUGAAGGGAAUAAAAAAGCCAAAAAUUGUUAAAAUGUACAAUUAAAUGAAUAAGAAAUUCAAAUAUCAUGUGAAGUAAGAUCAUCUCUUCCACCUACCUAACCUUAUAAGUCUCCUGAUAUUCUCCACCUGCAUCAAAAUGUUUUGAAAUUAAUCAUAAGUGUAGACAAAUCAUAUAAUAUACAAACAUAAAUGGGUUUGUGUUCAUUCUCCCUCACCUCUUCUCUCAUCAAUGUUUUUUUUUUUUUUGAUCAGGAGACAUUUCUUCAUCAAGUGCAGAGUUUAGAGUAUCCCUCGCGGUCAUCUGUGCAUUCGGGACAAAUUUGGUUUAAAAAUGGUUAGUCUUUUUUUCAAACAACAUCAAGCAGUAAGAUGGACGACCAUUUCUCAACCAUAAUACAACCGUAUAAGCCAAGAUAAAUAGAAGGUAGAGAAAGUUAAUGGAAAAUAGUUACAUUACUCACCUACUGUGUGACAGUAGGGAAAAUACGGUCCCGUAUAAGCCAUAUCUCCUUCUAUCAAUCUGUAUCUUCUCAUAUCAAUCAUCAACUCCAUUGGAUUUGUUAGGAGAACCAAAGCACCAUGUGAUAUAUGGACUUUCCCCAACUUUUAUACGUGAAGAGGGAAGAGGAAUUAAUUUCUAACCUCUUCAUGCGUGAGGUUCAAAUUUCUAACCCAAAAAACCCAAAGCACCAUGAGCAAUACGUUGCUUCUAUACAAAUACAAAAGGUUCAAAUCACAAAUCAAGAUAUCUUCAUACGUGAAUGAGAUUAAUUUCUAAUCUCUAAAUAAAGAAGGAUGGAGUUUCGUAUAGAAAGCGACGAUGGAUGACAUUUUCCGAAGGACCCGACUUGAAGCACGGUGGAUGGCAGACGGAGAUUGAGUGUGAAGAGAUGGAAUUAAUCUUCGUGGCGAUUUCGAAUGGUGAUUUCGAACGAGUGUGAAAGCAAUUUCGAAUCACGUCAAGAAUGGGUGUGGGAUAGGGCUUCCCAAACUUCAAGAACGGUGAUUUCAGUUGGAGAUUUCAAAAAUUCAAGCGCGACGACAAUGUGAAGGUGAGAUUUCGAAAUGCUUAGGCGUGAAGAAGAAGAAGAUGCGUUUUAAUUUCUAGGCAAAAGGAUUAAUUCUCACCUAAUUAUAAUGCGUGUUUCCUUUUUUUUUUAUUUAAUCGAACUGACGUUUUUAAAACGUCAAGAACAACCGCUCUCUUGAUGUUUAAAAAUGUCAAGAAUGUCGAAUUUAUAAAAAUAGUUGACGUUUUUAAAAACUUCAAGAAUUUAAUAGAUAUUACUUGACGUUUUUAAAACGUCAAGGAUAAAUAAGUAUUACUUGACGUUUAAAAAACGUCAAGAAAGUUGAAGAUUGCAUAUCUCCGCCUUUUCAUAGAAAUUCUGACGUUUUUUCUUUGAAAUCACCGCUUUCUUGACGUUUUUUUCAAAAACGUCAAGUAAUUAAAACUACAAACGUCAAGAAAGCCUGUUUUGUAGUAUAGUGUAAGUUUAAGGUGUUACAUUUUGGUUUCAAAAACUUUUGGAAUUUUGUGAGAGGUAUAGACGUUCAUAUUCGAAUAGAUACAAAGGUAUAAUAUUUCCUAAACCCUAAUUCUUUAAUUUAGGGUUGCAAGUUAAAUAGGUGCAAUUAGGGUAAUUUUGUAUUCCAUUUUUCCACUGCGCAUGUCUCUUUCUAACAUAGACUAUGAAGAAACUUUCUCUAUCGUUGCAUGCUAAAGUCAAUUAGAAUAGUCUUAUGCAUCGCAUGUUUUAUGAUUAUGAAAUUUGGCAGAUGGAUGUCAAGACAACUUUUUUUGAAUGAAAAAUCGUGAAGAGAGUAUCUAUAUUACUCAAUUAGGGGUUUAUAGAUCAAGAUCAAGAACAAAAUUUGUAAGAUUCAAAAAUCCAUUUAUGGAUUAAAACAAACAUCUAGACCUGGAAUAUAAGAUUUGAUACUAUGAUCAAAUCUUAUGGCUUUGAUACAAAAGGUUGACGAACCUUAUGUUUACAAAAAAGGUCGUCAAUUCCAUUGUAGUAUUCUUAGUCUGUAUGUAAUGAUAUCUACUUAUUGGAAAAGGACAUAGGAUUUCAUACUAAUAUCAAGAAAUGCUAGCUAUGCAAUUUCAAAUGAAAGUUCUGGGAAAUGCACAAUACGUUCUUAAGAUCCAAAUUUAAAUACAGUAGAAGAAUUAAAAAGGGUAAUAUUGACCCACACGAGAAUAUAGGAGAGAUUAUAGGAGGAGAGAAUAUCGGAGGAGAUCUUUCCCAUUAGUUUGUUAGUAAAGCAAAAUAAAAUGGAAGAAAGAGGAGGGAGAAAGGGGACAAAAUAUUCCAAAGAAGUAGAGGCUGCCGUCUUUCGUGCUCGGGAGAAGUAGAGGGUCCAAGUCAAGUUCUUUUUAUUGUUUGUUUUGGUCAUUUUCAUGGUUGCGGUUUGUUCUUAGUUUUUCUUGUUCUUUGUUGUGAUCCUCACUGGAGUGUGCCUUUAGGAAGUAGAUGUGAGUGAUUUUUUAUUCUCUAUACUGUAAUUCAUUGAGGUAAUUCAAUAAAGUAAGAUACACUUGCCGUAUAUUUACAGUAUCUUAACAAAUUGGUAUCAGAGCGUUUUUACUUGGGAGAAUGAUAGAGCAGCACAAAAACGGAUCAAAGAGAAGUUGGAGACCUCUGAUAAGGAAAUCUCGGGGAUACAAGUGGAGUUACACAAGUUGCUGGCAAUUGAAGAAAACUUGUUAUGCUUGCCAAAAAGCAUCGAAAGACUGGUCAUCUAGUUGGAAAAACAAGAACGGUUGCUAAAUGCAUCGAAGGAAUAGCAGAAGGAUAAUUUGACGAUCUCCGAAAGAAUGGAAGGAUCGUCGAGCAAAGGACCAACGAUUGAGAGUAUAAUCGAAGGUGGAGGUAAGACAUUGAAGGAAAUCAAGGUAGAAGGUAAAACAAACAAGUUUGAAAGGGAUGAAAACUCGAACGAUCAUAGCAAAUUCAAGAAGGUUGAAAUGCCUGUGUUCAGUGGCACUGAUCUGGAUUGUGUUUAUUUAGAACGGAUUGGAAUCUUCAGGUCCAUAAAUUGAUGGAUUUCAAGAAGGAUCUGAAUCCAUAGAAGAAUCGAGGAAAACGUGAUUGCAACGGUUAUACAACGAAGGUGAAGAGGAUGGCAAAGAGUGACCAAGAAGAAACUAUAGAGGAAGGUCGACGAGGAUUACCUGUGAGGCUCGAAAUGAAGACUCGAGUGAAGAAAAAUUUGUUGCUAAAAGAAACACAAAAUGGCUGGUUGCAAUGGAGAAAGAAGAAGCCGAUAGUUAUCGGUCUACAGAGGCUCGAGAAGGUGGUCUGGAAUAGGGGUGAAUCACGUGACGAGGAAGAAGUUGUUGCACACAUGAUGGUGCCAAUGGCGUGGUAGAAAUUGGUAGGACAGAGGAUUAGGACAAAAGGAACAAUCUUGGGUUUUACUAUUUCAAGUGGGCUUCAACUUACUCUAAAUGAGCUUCAACUUAUUCUAAAUAAAACAUUGGGGCACAUCAUUUUGUAGAUGAAGUGGGUGGAGAGUUCCAAAAAUAGGAGGGAAGAAAAACUUGUAUGUAGGUGGGUCCUAGGAAUGAAACCGGCGGCAGUAUGAUUUUGGUCUUGACGCAACACUUUGAUUAUGGCCUAGCCCACUAGAGAUGAAGAGUUUGAAAAUUAAACACUUGUUGGUGAUAUGCAAAGGGUUAACUAAGACAAUGUGUUUUGGAAAAGGAAAAUUCAAGUACAUUGGGCUGCUUUGUGGGCUGAAGUCAAUGGACCUUAUUGGAAUCGAGAGUUUUUCAAAGCCGAAGGGGAGGAUUUCUUUUUCAACAUUGAAGAGCAGAAUGCUGGGGAUUGUUUGCAAUUAAAAAGAGAAAAAAAGAGAAAGGGGCCUUGAUCAUGUUUGCAAGCACACCUUGAGGACAAGGUGUUUUGAAGCAUCGGGUAAUGUUAGAUACCUAGAUUAGUAUAAGGUUAGGGGUAUAAGGGUAAUUAGAUAUUUAGAAAGUUACUAGUAGUUAUUAUGUAAGUGUGGUUACAUCUUAUUAUAAAUGGAGGGAGGGUAAGUGAGGGGAGAAUUCUGGGAAGUGAUCUAGGGCUUGGGUGAGAGUACUCAAGAGGGAGGUUCCAAGUGCCUUAUACUUGGUUUUAUCUUGUAUUUUCUUAUAGUUCAUUAUAAUAAAUUAAGAUCUUGUUCUUGUUAGGAAGUAUCCUAACAGAAUUCCUCUAGAAGGUCUCAUGUUAGCGAAUGAUAAUCUGCGUUAAGUGUGUAUUUGUAGGAGUUCUUCUCCCGGACAUCUAUGGUUGAUAUUUUUUACCUUUCAAUAUAUCAAAGCCAAGGAUUCUUUUGCAUUUCUCUAUGCUUUUUCUUUACCCAAUUAUGCUUUUUUCAGUUAUAUUUGGGAGUAGUAUUUCAUUUCUUUCAUGUGAAAUGUUGAACUUCAGUAGUGUGGAGAGUGGAACGUAAUAUCUUACCUUUUAUAUUAGUAAACUUGAUUUUAAGCAAUGUGUUUUUGAAGAUUUUAUGUUGUAGAUUGUUUUUUGUUCUUCAAGCUACUGUUCUUAACUUUAUUUUCUCCUGUUAUUGUUCUCAAUGAUUAUCGAGCAUAUGCAUUACCAUGUGGCUUCAAGCGUGUCAGUGUGCUCUUGCUCAUAAUUUUUACUAUAUCUUGUUACUAAAAUUGCAAGUUAAUUGCAAAUUACUCAGAGCUUGGAUUGUCUCCUCCAGUUGGUUAAAGGAAAGCUACCGGGAAGGCAGAUUUGUUGGUAAGUUCGAAUGGCUUGCUAGUAUCAAAGCGUAAUGUAUUUUCUUCCACUUAUGUUUUUCAUCCUACCUAAUUUUUGUGAUUGAUUAAUUCCUUAUUGAUCUGCAGACGAGUUGCCUUACAUACUAAAUGAUGAUGACUACAUAUCGAAGUAUCGAGCCAGCCUAAAAGCUGCAGUUCUCAAGGCAAAAGCAUGUUUUUGAGCUUUAUUUGAAGGGUAUGAUGUUUGCAUAUCAGCUCACGCUCAACCACCACCUAAAACUCUAUCCCUGAUAGUCAAGUCAGCCGGUGGAAAUGUAAGUUCUCUGUUAUUGUACAAAUCUCGAGUACUAGGUUUGGUUCUCUAUAUUACACAUACAACCACUAUAAUAUGGCUAUCCUCCCAUCUAAUGAAGACGUGAAGUUCUCAACAAACAAGCACGUAUACGAAUUCUAGACAUGGGUCAAUAAAUUAUAGACAUGGUGACGUGUCAUUUUUUUCUAAAAAAUAUAGGAUAGUGCUAGAACACAGUUUUAAUAUAUAUAAUUUAAAAAGUAUGUAUCAUAUUUAUAUAGAAAUUCAAAGUCAAUAAGUUUAUGUAUUUAUAUGCUUAAAAAUAAGCUCAUCCUUCACUCAAAACUUAUUCAAAGCCAAGAGUUUAAUAUGUGUGUGUAACCAAUCUUGACCUUUAUUGCAUUGGAAUACUUGUUGUCUAACACAUCUAUUGUACUAACUAGUGUUCAACACGUGUUCUCCGAGUGUUCCAUACAUAUUGUUUAUUGAUACACUAGCCAAACUUGAGUGUAUGUGCUUCUUAAGUCUUUAAUAUUUAUGUUUGUUUUGAUCCUAGGAAUUGAGCAUGUAAUGUAAAAAGUCUAUGCACAAGGGGUCAUAUGGCCAUCUCCGUGUUUCUUUAAUUAUCAAAUUUGUUCAAGUUUUUAAUUGUCUCUAGAUCGAAAUCUGGAGUUAUUUUUUUGUGAUUUGGUGUACAAAUACAUACAUCCAUGUUUCUAAUUAUGAUUAGAUUGUUUUCUGGUCGCAACAUUUUAUUGUUUAGCUUGUCUUUGAUCUUGAACUUACUAUUAUGUUGAUUUAAAUUCCAUUUUAGCCUUAGAACUUUCAAAACAUCCAUUUUAGUCAUCGAGCUUCCAAAACGUAGCCAACUAACGGUUUUAGUAUUUUGUAAAUUAUUUUAUCAAUUAAUAUUCAUUUAUUCAAUACUCAUCGGUCAUUUCUGCUAUAUGUGAUUGGAAUAUAUCUCAUAGGAAGCAUUUUGAAAGUUGAAAAAAGAUGGAAAAUUUUAGGGACUAGAACAAGAAUUUGUUUAAUAUUUUUUUAUAGGGUGAAUUCUUGCAAUUUCCUUGUAGUAUAUACAUAAUUUUUUCUCUCAUUUGGCAAAUUCAUUAUGCUUGAAAAUUUAGGUGAUUCAUGAGCUAGAUAAAGUAAACAAUGUAUGAAAGACGAUCUUUGUGGCUUGUGAGGAAGACGUGGAGGAAGCCUUGGUGGCCGUAGAAAAAGGGAUAUGGACUUUCAACGUUGAAUGGCUAAUGGCAUGUAUAAUGAGACAAGAAGUAGACUUGGAGGCCCUUCAAUUUGCUGAGUCCCUAUGAGAAACAAGGUCACCCUAACUUUCAGUUUUGAACAAGCAGCAGCCAGCCAUUUCGUCCUUGUGUAAAUCCACUCUUUUCUCAACUCACUCUAAUUUGGUACAUAAACAAACUCUGAUCGCUCCAUCUCUAUAUUCAUCAGUACAUAAAAGACGAUAAGUUUAUUCAUGGAGAAAGUUGGAUGUAAGUAUGUUUUAGGAAUGGUCCUUCAUUUAGUAACUUUGGGAAUUGUAAAAAUGAGGUAAUGAAGUUCUAUCAAGUUGAAUGUUCUUGUUUAUGUUAGAUGAGACUGAUUCUUGGAUACCAGAAUUAACUUGAAGUACGUGUUUGAGUUCCAUUGGAGUGAUUAGAGAAAAAAUGUUCCUUUAAAAAGGGUAAUUUUUUUAUGUAGACUUUCUUUUUAUUAAAAUUCCUUAAAAUACAAUUUGAGAGUAUUUCAAUAGCUUUCAAAGAGUUGUCAAACACUUGUAGUUUUUCUAAAAUAACAUAUUUUCAAAUAUUAAAGUUUUUGACGAUAAUUUACAUGGAAUUACACGAUCAGUUACCACUAUCAAUAGAAUCACUUACAAAUAUUAACACGAUCGUGUACCGAUAACAAGACGAUUGUUUACACUAUUCAAUACGAUCACCAAUAUCAUAUGAUCGUGUACCCAUGUCAACACGAUAAUUUAUUUUAAUCAAUAUUAUCAUUUACCGUUGUUAAAUGGUCGUUUAUCACGGUUAAUAGGAUCGUUUAAUGUAUAUUAUUUCAUCGCACGAUCGUUUACUUAUUCUUGCAUUAUGUUUAGUAUUAUCAUUUUGUACAUUUUAUUAUUUUAUUCAGUAAUAAAUGUAUAUCUAUGUCUAUCUAUUUCUUUCUAUCACAAUUAAAUACUUAAUUUUAUUAUUAUUUUUUUUACAGAUUAUAAUGUCUUUUCCUAUUGUUGUUUUUUAUGGAGGUCAAUGGAAUGGAUGUAAUAUUUAUGAGAAUUACUUAGUUGCUGAAAUUUUGGUAGAUGUCCGAGUGAGCUUUAAUUCUCUAGUUGAUUUAAUAUGUGAACAGAUUCAAUUGGAUGGAUAAGUAGAAUUAUCUGUUUUACUUGAUUUUGGUAAAAGCAAGGUCCAACUGUGGUGCCAGUAAAAAAAGACAAUGAUGUGGCUUGGUAUUUAUCUUUUGCUAAAGAUGCAACUAAUAUACAUCCAUUAGUUGCCCAUGUAACUGUUGAUUUUUUAGAAGGUCUUCUUCUUCUAGUAGUGUACGAUAGAAUGUUGAUAUGCAUUGAAUGUAGGUUCUUCUUCUUAUGUUUCAAAUGAUGAAAUUAUAAGAGACAUCUCAUAUCAUGGUGAUUUGAAGGAAAAUAGUUUAUUUGAAAGUAAAGAGAUGCUUUCAAAGUGUUUUGGCAUAAUAGAAGUGAAUAACAACUUUCAAUUUAGAACUACAAUAUCAAAUUUGAGGUCUCUUGAAUUUAGAUGCCUACUAGAAGAGUGCAAAUGGUUUAUUAGGACAUCUCGUUAUAAGAAGAGCGAGUUGUGGAUGCUAUGAAAAUACAUUUAUGAACAUGACUGUUCAUUGAAUACUAGUUGUCACAUGCAAGCUUCUUCAACAGUAAUUGACAGUUGCUUGAUAGAUGAGUUCAGGUUCAUGUCUACUGAUCGUUUCAUUCCAAAAGCAAUUGUGCAUAAGGCAUGUACAAAUCUUGGAGUUAAUAUAAGUUAGCAGAAAGCUUGGAGGGCGAAAGAACACAUAGUAAAGAUAUUAAAAGGUGACACGGUUAAAUCAUACAUGUUGAUUCCAAGGUUCUUUGAUAAAUUGGUUGAAUCUAUCUCAGGUAUAAUGAGUUUCAUAUAUAGAAUGAUGACAUCAAAUUGUGUAGACAGUGUAAAUUUAGUUUUUAAAGAUCUUAGAGAACCACCUGUAGCUACCAUGUUUAGUUCAAUUAGAGAUGUAUUGCAAAAGUGGUUUGAUGAAAGAAGUAAAGCUACUUUUACAAUGAAGAGUUGUUUGACUUCUUGGGCUGAGAACGCGUUGCAUUUAGAAUAACAUGAAAAGUCAAGAAUUUUAUUGGUAAGGUUUUUUUUUUUUUUUUAAUGUUUGUAUCUCAGGUAGAUAUAAAUAGACUGCUAUUUUUGUCCAUCCGAUAGAGAAAUAUAACAAUUUAUGUGUGCUUGUUUCAGAUAGAUAGAGAUAGAUAACUAUCAUCAAUGUCUAUUUGUCUCUAUUUGUGCAUGCUUUUUUUUUUUUAAUUUUUCUAAUUAAUAGUUUAGUUUAAUAUUAUUUAAUUAAAUUUGAUUUAAUUAAAUUAAUAUAAAACUAUAAGGUAUUGGAGAGAUAUUCAUUCAAUAAGAUUUAAAUGAAAUAUUAAUUAAAUAUGAUUUAAUUAAUUAUUAACUAAUUGAUUAAUGGUUAAUUAGUUAGUUGAUUUGAAACUUCUAUUAAUUUAAUAAUUUUUAAGUUAAUAGAAUCCUAUGAUUUUCUCCUACCCCGUCUCCUACUCAAUGAAAGAAAGAGAGUUAUAAAUAUGUAGAAGAAAAACAUUUUCUUAACCAAAAUAAAAUCGAUGAUUUUCUUUUCUGCAAAAUAGAUUGUAACGACCUAAUUUUUCGAAUUAAGCUGAAGUUAUUACUUUAAGACUAGAUUCAUCCUUAACCAUAAGACUUUAUAAUUUAAAAAAUAUAUUUUUAACAACAUUAAAGAGUUUUUAUUCGGGCUCUAUUUCAAAUAAAAUUUUGAAAGUGUAAAAGUAUCGAUAAUAAAGAAAGUUCAAAACAUAAAAGUCGUUCAAUCAUGAAACCCAAAACAGUCUCAAUUACUAAAGAAAACCAAAAUAAAAAAAAUAUAAAGUAGAAGCAAUUUGAAGACAUUUCCUUAUGGCAGUUUCACGGAAAAAGAUUAAACAUAAAAGGGUGAGUAUAAACAUACCCACUAAGAGACUCACGACUGAUCCUGUUAGAAGAAAAAUAAAAUUGUUAACUUCCUAUUGGAGGUGCCCUGCACUUUAAAAGUCUUGUGAUCAUGUAGGAAUACACAUAAUCAGUCCAAUGCCCUAAAGGACACAAAUAUUAGUCUAGUGCUCUGCAGAAAGCACAUGUCCGUCUAGUGCUCUCGAAGAAUGCACAUGUCAGUCUAUUGCUCUCGAAGAAUGCACAUGUCAUUGUAGUGCUCUCGAAGAAUACACAACAGGUGGUGAUCCCGUAGGACACCUUCAAGGCACACUACCCAAUCGACAAAGCUAACAAUUUUCCCUUAGUCUGUUAUAAACAUUUAAUCAAUCCAUUCCUAGUAUAGUCAAACUACUCCAUCAUAUCAUCAAUCCAACUUAACACACUUACGUUCAAUCUAUUCAAUCUAUCACAAAAUCAGUUGAUACUAUAACAACACACCAGACAGUCAAGAUAUAUAUAUAUAUACAUAACACCUUUCUCAGUUACAAAUACAUUAUCCAUCGUAUCUACUUCUAUACCAGUCUGACAUAAUAUACAUUUGUCAUCAUAUCUACUUCUACAUAUAUUUGGUAAACCAUACUAAGUCCAGAGAUCCAAACAGUCAACACAUUUCAAAAACUUUCAAAGAGUCCAGUAAUAGAAACCCCUUACUUUAAUGUUACUCAAAUUUCUCGAACGAAGAAACCUAAUAAUAAGAAUAUGGAACUCAAUUACUUUCACAAUACUUUCUUUCAUUUAAUUUCCUCAAUGUAAAUUCUAGCUUACCAAAGUAUUGGCGAAUCGAACUCCAACAAAUCUACAAUUUAGUUGUGAAUCCAAAGAACUCAAAUGCUACCUUCAAGAAUCAAUUAACAAUUGAACUAAUUAUCCAAAACUACAACCCAAGGAUAAUUACAAUGUAAAACCACCACACUCACCAAUACAACUUACCACAAAAAUCCCAAAAAUUAGAGUAAAAUGGGGGCAACAACUUCGAAUAACUAGAAUCGACGCGUGUAAUAGAUCAGAUCUAAUCAACAAACGAAAAACAAACUUCAGCUUACAACCCAUGGCUGGAAGGUGAAGAGCCGCGCGAUGGCACUUCAACAGACGCGACGGGCUCAGGUCUGGUCGACGGCUGCUUCAACUAAGUAACAACGCCGGUGAGAUGAUAGGUCAAUCGGUGACGUUACUCAUCACCUGGAGCAGAAUGUGGUGGCGCGAACGUCGAAGGAGCUACGCGCGAAUGAAUCACAGCUUGGCUGGAAAACAUAGGUGAGACGCGAUGCCGAGAGUUCGAACUCACGACGAACGGUGCUUCAGCUUCAACGGAGACGAAGCGAUCAAUGACGGCGUGGCCGGUUGACGUCCAAGAGUAAUAUAAAAUGGCUAAGGGAGGCAAGCGGCAGUGGGCACGGGGAAGAGGAAGAGUGAAGGAGAAAGAGAUGGGGUUGCACGUGAAUCAAUAAAGAAUUGAUAUUUUAAAUUAAUAAUAACAUUAAUUCUAUUAUUAUUAUAUAUAUUAUUAUUUAACCUUUAGUAUUAGUAUAUUUUUUCAUAAAAGCCCCCUUCACUUCCUGCUAAAUCCACACCACAACCAAAUUCCUUAAAAUCUUAAUAAAAUUUAAAAAAUUUAGCUUGAGAGAAAUACCUUGAUAUUGGGGGUGUUACAUAGUUUCUCUAUAAAUUUUUUUUUCAUUCCAAUUGUUUUCCACAAACCAAUCUCAUCUUCGAAGAUAGGAAGGUCUCUAACGGGUGGUGUCCCCAAUUCGGUGGAUUAUAGAUUCAGAGACGUCAACAAGAGUAAGUUCUAUGUAUCUUUUAAUUUAAAAGCAUAUUUAGUUCUUUAUUUAGAACUUUGAUUCUAAAUAUUGUCAAUGUACUUGUAUUUGGAAUUUUCAAAUUAAAAUUGAUGAAUGGUUUUGUAAAGUCUUUCACUGCCAAGAGAUUUUAUCCCUUUAGGGCACACAUACCAAUUAAACUAAUGCAAGACCUUUGACAUAGUUAAUGGUAGCAUCUCACAAAGUGGAAGUGGUUGGCUUACCAACGGAAGAUUUUCAAUCAUUCUAGCAGUCCCUUUUCUGUUUGAGUAUGACCUUCCAUAUUUUCUGCUAUAUUACUUAUAGCUAAUAUCAAAUGUGCAUCUCUGCCAUAUAUGCUAAUAUCACUGCCUGACUGCUCUUGAUGUUGAGGCGUUGUUUCAUUUUUGUUCCCUACACAGAAAAAAAAAAAUCAUUGUUGUUUAUUUAUAAUCUAAGCAAUUUUAAACAAUAUAAAGCAGUAACUAAAGAAUUAAACACUAACAGUUGAGUUUCUACAGUAGAUUCUUGAAGAUGUGGCUCUUGAACAGAUGAAUUCUCAUGGAUGAUCACAUGUUUGUUAUUUUGAUGGUCAUCAUUCUUGUCCAAAUUGUGAUGACUAGAAUCAUCACGAAGAUCAUCAUACAUGUUAAUAUCAUCAAACAAUUCAUUCUGAUUCUAGUAUAGAAAGAAAAAAGGAUAAUAAAAAAAUAGUUACAAAAUGAUCGUGUAUCCUUAAGCAAACAAUCGUGUAGAAUAUCUAAACAGUUGUUUUACCAGGGGUGAUCGAUAUUUCAGAAGGGAUAUGCGAUCGUUCAUAUGUGAUAUGCGAUCGUGUAAAGAUAUAUAAAACCUUUGUUCUGUCAGAAGUCGUGCUAAGAAGAGUUGAAAACUUGUAAUAAGAUCCAUUAAACUGAAAGAUUUUACAUCAACACGUUCCUGACACAGUAGUGCAGUAUCAAUGAGCAUCAAAUUACGUGAGAUGUGUAUUAGAAAAUAUCUAACUGCUCAGUUAAUUUUUAUGGACAUCAAAUCACCUUUUUCAAGCUUAAGGAAGGAAAUGUCGGCACUAUAUAUGUCAGAGUUGUGCAUUGCAAUGGAAGUGCCAACACGAGGUGAUACAUGUGUGUCUUUCUGGAUGUAAAUGCCACUCCCCGACUAGGACCAGCAUAGUCUUAGGGAGAAAGCAUGCUAGAAUUGGAGUGUCCUCAAUUUCUUCAAGGACUUGAGCAUUUCUUCUUACACUAGAAUGUCUCUGUUCAGAGAGUUUAUAGAUUUCUCAAGGCCAUUUUUGCAUACUUAACAGCUCUUGACAACGGUAGAGAGUCUAACUCUACACUUUCAGGGGGUUCCAACUCCACCACUCGCUGAGCCAAAGAUAGAGACGAAUCAUUAAUGAUCCAGUAAGCAACAUGAAACCUUGUAAUUUUGGGGUCAACGGUAGUCCCUCCCAUUACUAGCUCAACACUCAAACGGAGUCUCCUGUAUAAAAUAUAAAAUAAUACAGACACAAAUAGUGAAUGAAAUCUUGUGACGUAACAAACAUAAAUUUUAUGUAUACUGCAAUUUGACUAAAUAUUGAACAAGAAAGCCCAAGGGAAUACACAAAAAUCCAACGAUUUUAGGGUCAAUUUGAAAAAUGGCAAAACUACUUUUUCUUUUCAAUUUUAGCAAACAACAUUUUUUGCACAUAGUUUUGUUUCUAUGUUGUUUCUCCAACUAAAAUUAUUUUGUUUCUAUGUUGUAAUUAAUUUAUAUUAUGCAUUUAUCAGCUUUUAAUUAUUUUUUACCUGAAAAAGAUACAUAAACUCAUAUCGUGCUUUUUUCUUAAUAUCUCGGGACUCAACUAAUGGAUUCAAGACUUUAACUUUAUUUAAUCUUACUAAUUUCAAAAUAACCUAAUUGAAUUUGAAUUUCAAAAUAACAAAUUGAAUUUCAAAAUAACAAAAUUAUUAUUUUUCAGAAUUUGAUAAUCUCAGCAAUAGAUUUUGUAUCAAAAUAACUUUAAUUGAAUUUCAAAACUAAAAAAUAUCAACUUAUUCACUAUCUAUAUCUCACAAUAAUAUUAAUGGCUUGAAUAUCAAGAUCAUUAAAUUAUUGUUUUAAAAUUGGGAGAAACUCAACAUUAAAAAAUAUCAACUUAUUCACACACAAUCACACGCGCACACACACAUACGCUUGCACGCGCGUGCACCCAUACACGCACACACACACGCGUGCACACAAGCACACACACACAAACGCACACAUGCACACACACACACCAAACAACACGCACACAAAUGCACACGCAAACACGCACACACCUACUCACGUACACAUGUAUGUGCGCAUACACACACCCAAACACACGUGGACAUGCGCACACGCGAGCGCACACACACACGCACACUGAUUGUUCAAUUUCAUCAAUAGUUCCUAUUUUUACUGACAGUUUAUUUUUUGCCAUCGAUAGAGGAUCUUCCGACAGACCUAUGUGACGGUGUGUGUUGACAGCUUAAUUUCGUUGGCAAAAGAAAAGUCGAUUAGUUUUUGAAGAUUUACUGACGAUAUUUGUCAUCGACAAAGGGUAAAUUUCUUGUAGUGCAUGUACAUCAAACAUAUCAAAUUUGUUAAGUGUACCAAUGAAGUAUAACAAGUUUAUUAGUGGUGUAUCAAGUGUAUCAAACUUAUAAGUGAAGUCUUUAAGUGUAUCAAACUAAUCAAGUGUAUCAAGGCCUCAGGGGUAUCAAGUGUAUCAAGAAGAAUCAAGUGUAACGAGAAGUAUUAUGUGGAACGAGAAGUAUUAUGUGUAUGAAGAUGUUUCAGGUGUGUAUCAAAAAGUAUCGAGUGUAUCAAUGAGUACCGAGUGCAUGAAUUGUAUCUAUCAAAUGUAUCAAGUGUAUCAGUAAAAAGUAUCAAGUGUAUCAAGGGGUAUUAGGUGUAUCAGACGUGUAUAAGGUGUAUCAAAUGUACAUCAAUAACGAGGGCAUUUGUGACAUUUUACCUCUUGAUGUGUGAGCUGGUCUUUGUUUUUGUCACUUUCUCAAAUAAUAAAGUAUGUGUUCUAUGGACUUAAUUAUUAUAACUUAUUUUGCCAUUUUCGCAAGUGUCCCUUAAUUGUAAUACAUGUAUAUGUGACAUAAUCUAAUCAAACUAACUCAUAAAUGGACUUAAUCGAUCUCAUGGACCACAAAUUCUUCAAUUACUUGCAAAUUUGGUGAGUUCCUUCAAACGGUGGGCGAAGAGCUUAAUUUUAAGAGAGAGGAAAAGUCAUGAAGAGUAUUUGCUAGAGAGGGGGAACGUCGCCAGAGAGCAUUUGCGAGAGAGAAAGACAGCGACGAUGUGGGAAGUAAGUUUUUUCGGUCGUGUUCACAAGUGGGAUGAAAGCUUCGAAUUAUUUGUUUUAAAUCAUGAACAUACAUUGACUAAAAAACUUAAAUUGAUGAGUGAAUGUAAUAAAUUUAAUAUUAAUUAUAUGAUCAAUACUUUACACAUGUAUAUUGGUAUAUCAGUCAAUAACAGUAGUAAGACAAAUUAUAAAAUAUAAGGGAUAAAAGUCCUACACAUGCAUGUAUGGUAUACUAUCUUGAUAGCAAAAAGGAGAUCAAUAUUCAGUAAAAAUACAUAACAGAAACUGGAGAGGAAAAAAGCUAAAAUAGAAUAUGCGGGGGAAGGCUAGCUAGGAAAUGCAUACAUAGCAGAAAAUAUGGUUUGAAGAGAGGGUGAGAGAGAAUGAGGAAAGUUGCAGCUAGCAAUGAUAACUUUCGCCUUGUUCCAAUAACCUUAUUUUGCCUUGCUCCUCUGUCUCUUGCAAUUUACACAUAAAGCUUUGGCGAUUUUACCAAAGUGGAAGCAGCUAAGGGGACGAAGGUAUAUUCGGAGAGAGAUUGUUAAACAAUUGUAAAAAGUAAGCCCAAGAAGAGAGGUCCAAUAAAAUUCAGCCACCUCUCACAUAGUAAUUGAAAUAGUCUAGCAACUUCAACCAUUUCCCUCACAGAGAAGAAGAAGACCAUAGCCACUCGAGGCUUUUGCAUAGACAAACACCAAGAAGAUGGUGUCUGGUUCCGUAUCUGUGCUAAGCGCGUCGUUGUUGACGCCAGACAUCACACCUUGGAAAGGCUCUCUUCCAUUAUAUAUAGCCAAAGAACUUCCGAAUUAUUGAAAAUAAAUAUUUUAAACAAUUUUAUAUUCACCUUUAAUUUAUAUUCACUUUUGUUAGAAGCUAUUUCUUCUUCAUUUUUCUCACGAAAAUCACAUAAUUUAUUUACUGUUCUUGUAAAUGUGUAAUGAUUAUUUUAUCAUUUCAUGUGAACAAUAUGAUUUUGUUACCAUUUACUCUCUUUGCUUUUUACUAUUGAAAUCUCCCUAACUAUAAACUAAUUGCACAAUUUUGCUCCUAAUAUACGAUCAUGUAGCAACCUAUAAGCCAAGAGUAAAAACAAGAAUCAAUUGAAGAGGGAAUAAAUUGAUAUAUAUCACCCUGGAAGAUGAAAUAUACAUGAAAGAGGGAAUAAGUUGAUACAAAAACUAAUCACCAUUCAUCAUAUAUGAACAAAAUAUGUAAUGAAAUGCUUGGAAUGAAACAUGAUGAAAUAAUUUUCAUUAGAAUAAAAUAAAGGGUAAGAAAAUGUAUCCAUACCUUCGGAUGGUAUUAGAAACAAUCAUCAUAGGCAAAUUCUGAGUAACGACACCAAAAAACUGAACUACUUUAGGAUGACGGAUCUUUUCCAAUAAUGUCAACUCAUGUUUGAAUGCAUUUAUGUAGGAAAUUCAAUAAAAUAAUUAAGAAACCUUGCAAUAUGUGAGAGAUAUACGAACUUCAAACAAAUUUUACAAGUUUCAGCAAAAAUUUUCAAACAACUUUUAAAGUUUAAGCAAAAAGUAACCGUAGGUAGGAAGGGGAGCAAAAGUGGGGUCUCGAAUUAAUUCUGAAAAAUUAGUAGGCUUUCAAAAUUUAGGUUCUAGAAGUAGAAUUAUUGCAGAAAAAUAAAUAAUUGCAUCAUUCAAAUUGAAUCAGACAUAUCAGGAUGUUAUAUUCUCCACAACGUAUAAUGGAGUAUAAACAUAAAGUUUCUAUAUACAAAGCUAUGUAUCUCUACCCUUGACUUCUCUUUCUCUCUUUCUACCUUUUUUAUCCUUUCUUUCUCCCAUUCACUCAAUACACUUGCAAGAACCUUCAUUUUUUUUGUAUUUAAAUUUUCUUGGCACCAUCCUUUUUUUAAUUAUCAAGGCUUUGUUAUUGUGUACCAGUAUUGUGUCGUGCCAUCUUCACUUCUCAUCAUCAUUUUCAUGUCACAUCUCUACCUUGUCAAUUUUCGUUUUUCACUCAGCUUUCUUUCUUCUUUUGUCUUCACUACUUUCUUCACUCCUUCUUCUCAAGCUCUAACUUUUGCUAUUAUCAACCAGUCUCAAAUGACCAUUGGAAAACCUAUAGCCCACUGAGAGGCAGCUAAUAUUGUAAUGCCUCUAAUGAUAAACUCCAAUGAAAUCAAAAGUUCUUCUUUAAGAUUUGGAAAAAUAUAUUAGAUAAAGCAUAAUUAGUUGAAAAAGAACCUCAAAAUUUUGUGUUAAACGACUACAAUUUCAUCAUAUAAUAUGCCAUAUUGACAUCAUAUUUUUCCUACAAAAACAUAUUAACUAAAAUAAGCUCAUAAACACGAAAAUGCACUAAGUGUUGGUUAACAUACACUACCUUGAAAUAUGACAAAGACUUUUUUUCCCAACCAGACAGCAUAAUUAGGAGGUAGUUUGGGAGCAAACAGAAUUGACUUAAUUUCCACUAGUAAUAUCCUAUAAAAUUUCAAAUUCUUGAAAUAUGGAAACCAGUGGAAGUUUUAGGGGAAUGAAGUAUAACCUCUAAAUAUAGAAGGACGACAUAAAGGGGAAUGAAGACUCAAAAGAAGGACGACUUUUUCGUACAGAAGGACGACAAUUUUGAGGGACAACGAAUGACGAUUUCAGAGUAUUAAGGAUGGCAGAUGACGGAAGUCUUAGGGAUCUCGUACUCAGUGGAUGGUGAACGACUGAAAGCGAAGGAUCUAGUACGCAUUUUCGGAGAGGGCGUGUGUGAAUGCGGAUGGACGGACGGUGAACACGGCAGAAGUGAGAGAUCCUCACAGAGAACUUGGCAUUUUCGAAUGCGGCAGAGACAAGUCUAGGGCUUCGAAGGAUUCAACCCAAAUAUUUUCUUUUAUAUAUAUAUAUAAAUAUAUAUUUAAUAACACUUGACGUUUUUAAAACGUCAAGAAAAACGAUCUUACUUGACGUCUAAAAACAUCAAGAAAUUUUAAAAUAACUCUUCUUCGGCUUUUUAUAAAAUUCUUGACGUUUUAAAACAUAAAGAAUUUUUAAGAUAUUUCUUGACGGUUUUAAAAUGUCAAGUAAAAGUACAUAUUACUUGACGUUUGAAAAUUUUGAAGAAUGUUGAAUAUAUAAACAUUCUUGACGUUUUAAAAACGUCAAAAUAUUUAUAGAUAUUUCUUGACAUUUUUAAAACGUAAAGAAAAAAUACAUAUUAGUUGAUGUUUAAUAAACGUCAAGAAAUCUGAAAAUUGACCUACCCACGCCAUUUCGUAAAAAUUCUUGACGUUUUAUCUUUGGAACUACCCCUUUCUUGACGUUUUUUGAAAAAAAUGUCAAGAAAGAAAAACAACAAACGUCAAGAAAGGCCUUUUUUGUAGUAAUGACAUACGUAUAUAUAUAUAUACAUACAUAAAUAAAUAUAUAAAUAUAUAUAUACAUACAUAAAUAAAUAUAUAAAUAUAUAUAUAUUAUUAUAAUAUUAUAUAUAUAUAUAUAUAUAUAUAAUGAAUUAAAAUGGUUUUGUUGCUUUACUGUUUUACUCUAUAAAGGAAGAGCAUUAUAAAUAUAUUAUUGAGGAAACAUCUUUCGAAAUGACUGGUUUUGGAAGUGUCAUUAGAUUUUUAGUUAGUUAAGCACAUUUUCCUCCAAAAUAGUAGUCGAAAUACAACUUGUUUUAAGAAGAAGAAACCGAAUCCUUCAAACUAGGAUAAACCUAGGAUAAGAGUCAUUACCUAUUAACAUAGAGUUAAAGUUACAAGGUUGAAGGCUAGAGGGAAGCCCGAAGCAACCUAAUCUAACAAAGCUUAAAGUUAAGAGUUGGUAGUAACAUCAUAUUGGUUACAAGAUGAAUGACGCCUAGACCAAACUCCGAUCAAGUUACAUAUGUCUUCCCACAAGUUAACAAUAAACCUUGAUUUAUCCUUAAAAUUCUAUCGUUUCUUUCUAUCCAAACAAUCCAAAGUAAGCCAGUUAUGGAGGGAGGAAUACACAUUAGAGAGCUCAGUUAAGGAUGGAGGAAUACACAACUUUUUCUCGUGGUCAUUUUCCUCGUGGGCAUUCUCUUCAUGUUUCUUCUUAUUCCGACUAAAAUACAAGCAUAAAUUAUUCUUCGCCUUCGUAUAGGUUUGUUUGAAGAAGAUUAAAAAAGUCCUUAACUUAUCUCGACACUUCCAAAACCAGAAUAUAAUACCUGUGCUACAUAAAUCCCUCUUUCCAAAUAGUCGAACAUGAACUAUCCAUGCAUAUCUUGGAAUAAACAAGAGAAACCCUAACUAAACCCAAAUAGAAAAUACGCUGCAAUCUAAAAUAUACUUAAAGAAACAAAAAGAAGUUUUAAUGUUGUGGGUUUUUUACUGAUCUUCUUCAACAACAAAAUAACUCAACGCCACAGUUCAAUUUUUCCUUCCACAAAUUGGGUUUUAAAGAGUUUUCACCGCGAAUUUAUCUUUUUUGGUUCGACAAGUAACAACAUGUGAAUCCCCAAAUGCGAGGUUUUAUUAAAAAUUUAAAAUAUAUUUUUUUAAAAAAAAUUAUAAUACCUAAAAAUAUAUUUUUUAUAUUUAUAACCUAAUUUUCUGUCAUUACAUACUUGAGAGAAAUAUAUUUUCAAUUAGCAUAAUAACCUUUAUAUAGUAAAUUAAAUUUGUAGAAUGAGAAAAGACCUUAGAUCCAAAAAAGUUAUUUAUUUAUUAUUGGAGUGAAUUGUCUAAUUAAUGUAGUUAAUGGAUGGUUUGUAACCAUAAAAAAAUAAAGAAAAUAAUUUUCUAAAAGAAUGAAUGAAAAUUUGGAAAGUUAAAAGGUUUUAGGAAUUAAAAAAAGGGUGUAACAUUAUAAAAGACUACCAAAUAUACUAUAAGAGACAUGCAUUAAAGGAGCUGAGGCAUGCAUACUACCAAAUAUACUAUAAAUAAACCAGAAUUCUUUUUUAAGAAAUUAAACAAGUAAUUAAAUAUAAAGAAGAAAGAUUAGAAAAUGAAUGAUCAAACAAACUAUGACUCAUUUAUUUUUGAUAGGUUCAGCCAGUAUCACCUGACAAUUCAUUUUCACCAAGAGAAUAAACAUGAGUAGCCUUGGAAUCAAGUUUUAAUCCAUUGGCCAUUGUUAAUAAAGUGUUAUUAUUGUAAUAAUUGUUAUUGAUUAUAUUAUUAGUUUUGUCUUAAUAACUCAAAUCCAAUAAACUAACAUCCUAAACUGUUUAAUAAGUAUUGAAUGAUCCAAUGUGUUCAUGUAGUUGACAUGCGAGUGAAGGUAUCCUAUGCAAUGAGAUUGCAAUAGACUAGACUGUGAAAUAGUAACCACUUGGUGUUACUACAUUAACUAGUUAGGUUUCUAUUUCACUAGGAUGACCUAGAUAACUUAGUCUUAAUCUUGAGUGUAUUAUGAACUCAAUGAUCUUGGAUGCAUUUGACUUCAAAUACAAACUUGGAUUCCACAACCUAAACCAAAAUAAAAUAAUAUAUCAAGUUAAGAUGGAUUCACAUAGCAACAUUUUAUCAAAUGGUUGCAAUGUUUCAAAUAAGCAACAAUUAAAAUUCACAUAUCGAUUUGGCAUCUAUAAAUAUACAAACUAAAAAGUACCUAAAUGUCAAUUAUUUACCCAAUAAGGCUAACUAAGUAACCAACGUCUAAUAUGUUUUGCAAUGAAAAGGGUUGCCAUAUUGUUAAUUUGGCCAUAUUGUGAAGGCAACCUCUUAGAUGUGUUUGUGAGAAAGGAAAGAAAUACCAAAAUAAGUAUGGACUAAGAUAGUAUCAAAUAAAGUUAAAGUUGAAUUUUAAAGCUCUAUUUUUUUCAAGAUUGAGAAAUUUCAGCUAAAGAGGAAAACACUAAGGACAACCAAGCAAAAAAGUCUAACAAAUAUCAAAAGAGAACAUGCAGGAAAGAAAGAAUGUAAAUAAGGUUUUAUCCGCACCAAGCAAAAAAGUCUAACAAGUAUCAAAAGCUUUAUAAGUUGUACUAGAAUUCAAAGCUCUAAACUCUAAAGAAUGUAAAUUUCUUUGAAGAAAUUUGUGUAUAAAGGUCACACAGUUGAAAAUUCAAUACCUUUUCAAGAAUGUUGUUGAGAAGAUUAUUGUGAUGAAUCUUUAAAUCCAAAUUAUGGAGACAAGAUAAAUAAAUUAGUUCUGAUUCUAACUGACUGAAUGAGAGUUAAGAAAAUAAGAACAUUGGAGUUGAAUUAUCAACAUUUAUUUUAAUCAAACUUACGAUAGUAAACCAAAUUAUAGAGAGAGAUCAAAUGCUAGGAUAAAGGAAUAGUCUUACAUUUGGUGAGUUCCCAAAUGUUGUGGUAGUCACGAGAGUUAUUCCACUCGAAUUGUCUUAGACAAGAGGCUUCCAUUCAGCAAGUACUGGUGAGAAUUAAAGUGGAAUGACAAACUUAAAAACACCUAAUCUUUAACAAACUUUUCCGACUUUUUGCAAUUAUUUUUUAACACAAGAUAUCAAAACACACUUAAAAACCAUAACAACCAAUUACCAUAAAACGUGUCCAAUAACAAUAAUUGGGUCAACCCAAACAUCAUUAAAUUCUUGGGAAAGGUUGUGGACUAGACCUUCACCAUCUUGCCCUAAAGCAAGUUAAAGCUUAAGGAAAGAACACAGUAGAAACAAAAAUCAUAAACUCAUCAGUUAGAUAGUAUUGGUGGUCAAAACCUCAAGGUCUCACUUCGUCCAUUUUAUAUUACCAAAUUUGAAAAUGAUUUUUAAUAUAUGAUCAUUCCUUGAAACAUGUUGGUGUACAAGUGUGAAUGAAACUAAAUCAAGUUUGUGUUUUAUGUUAUUGUUUUUGACAAUAUAUUUAUGUGCUAUGCAAUCCAUUAGAGUAUAUUUAUGUGCUAUGCAAUCCAGAAGGGGGAAUGCAACUAUACCCAAUUCAUAAUUGUAUUUGGAACACUAAUGAUUUUAGCACAAAUUCCAUCUUUCCAUUCUCUAAGACAUAUAAACCUUAUCUCCCUCACUCUAUACCUUGGCUAUAGUGCUCUUGCAACAUAUUAAAAUUCUCGUAAUUAAAAAUUCAUACACAAUUUAAAUUAAAUUAAACAUCAAGACCCUGACGAAGAUGAAUCUCUGUUCAUUUUUCUUUUUAUUAACAAACAAAAGUUUUUAGGUCCACUUAUUUCAACAACCUCCUCAAGGAUCCUUAAUUAUCUCUAUCCAAGUUCAUAACCACUCUAGUCAUGCAAAGAUUAAGGUUCAUGGCCAAUCAACAAUUAAUCUGUGAUUAAGAUAUUAUGAACGCUAUUCACAUAAAAACAUGAAAAGAUUAAGAGACAAUUGAUGCCUGGAGUUUCAUCUCGUAAGUAUCGUAUCACGGGAUAGGGCUUCUAUGCCUAGUUUAUUGUUUUUCGUCUCAACGAUUCUAGGUAUAGCAACUGAAAGGGAAAGUGUAACGCCCCAAACUCGAAGGUAAUUUAUUUUAAGAAAAUUAUUCGAUUUGUACAAGAUUUAUUUUUUUAAGAAAAUAUGUUGAAGGGGGAGAAAGAAGAUUUGAAAAUGUGAAAAUAUAAUUAUUAUAUUUAUUUAUAUUUUAGUUUUAUUAUUUAAUUUAAAUAAAAGAAAAGAAAAAAAAAAUCCCUUCCUUCUUCCUCCCGUGCGCAACCCCCUUUCCCCUUCAUUUUCUUUUUCUAUUUUCUCCUUCACCCUGCCCUAGCCUCCAACCGCACGUUCUUCUUCCCCGUUCACCAGUUACAGCUGCCACGCCAUCGCACCUCCGACAGAUCGAGCCGUCCACCAGGUUCGUCUGUUCCUUUCUCCGUUCACCAAAGCCGAACCCAACCGCCACUCUUUCUUUUUCUUCUUCGAUCCAAAACCGCCGCUGCAAUCGUCGGCUGCCAUCUCUGUCUCCGUCGAAGCCAAGGCCGCCGCGUGAACCUGUAACCGCCGUGUCUCUCCGCGCCGUUGCCCAGAUUUGCAACGCCGGGUCCCCACCGGUAGCCCCGUCCCAAUUGUUUUGCCGACGCUUGUCGUUCAGAUACGAGCCGUGUAGCAUCCAACAGUUGUGCAUCGUGAAGUCCUCAUCUAUUGCGCAACUCCUCGUUUUCCAGUCGUGGGUCCGACAUCCAUCUUUAUUGUAGUGCAUAUCUGUUUUGCACGUAUCAGUUUCAUUCGAUUGUCGCUGAUUCUAUUCUGUUGUCAAUCGUCAAAGCUAUGUUGUGAUUUCAUUGGUAAGGAGGAAUUGUGGAUUUAGUAGUAUUGUUCUUGGCUAGCGUAAGUUUGAAAUUGAUUAAUUGAUUUGGGUAUUGCUUGAUUUUAAGGUGAUAUUGGAGAGCUGUGCUUGGAUAUUUAAGUUUCGAAGUGAACUUCAUUGGAAUUGUUGCUUCAUUCUACUUGGAAUUUAAUUUAUUGGAUUUAGUACGAUUGAAGAACUUUACGUAAACUUUGAGGUAAGGGAUUUUCUACUGGACUCAAUUGUGAUUGUGAACUGUAUGUGUGUUGAAUGUAUAUUGUGGGUUGACUGAAAAUAUAUAUGAAUGUAUAUGAAUUAAAGUAGACUUGACGUCGAAUGUAUGUCGUGAUUGUCAUGGAAUCUAUAUAUAAAUGUGUGUAUGUGGACAGGACGGAGAUUGUAGAUUGUGUUUGUAUGAGAUUCUCGUUUAGAUUGGGUGUAUGAUUACGCUAAAGUAUGACUGUGUGCUGGUAACUGAGGGGUGCAUUGACUGUAUAGUGGAUUGACUGAUGUAUUAGCAUAUUAUUGACAGACAUAUGACUGUAGUAAAAUAAGUUGACUGUUAGGAUGUUGAAAGAAAGAACUUUGUGACUUGAAGUAACUGAAAGAUGGGUUGAAUGGAAUGAGGGGAAAAUUGUUAGAUUGUAUUGGGAUGUUUACCUUGUAGGUGUCCCAAGGGAUCACCAAUUUAUUGUGCACCUUCGGGAGCAUUAGACUGAUAUGUGUUUCUACAGAACACUAGACUGAUAUGUACGUCCCUCGGGGCGUUAGACUGAGAUGUGUAUCCUACGGGAUCACAAGACUACGACUGUACAGGGUGUCCCAAUAGAACUUUAACAAUUUAUUUUUCCCUGACGAGACCAGUAGAGGGUCUCUUACUGAGUAUUUAAAUACUCACGCUUCUUAUGUUAAAUUUUUAGGCAAAGGUAAUAAAGGCGGCAAAUCGGCGAGGGGCAGGAAGGAAACGUGAUGCCAUAGGAAAUGUGUUUUUGCUUCCGCUUAUGGAUUCUUGUGAGGUUUAAAAUGAAUUGAAAUUUAGUUUACAAACGUUUGUUGUAAAUAGUAUUAUUUUAUGUUUUCUUGAAUGUUUAAAAAUCAGGCCUGACUUGAAGAUGUUUUUUUUUUUUAAUUGUUUACGUUUUGUUUUAUAUUAAUCAAAGUCUUUAUUUGUUAAAAAUUAACGAUCUCGACUUACUUAGAAAAGUUGAGUCGUUACAGUUGGUAUCAGAGCCUAAGUUUUAGGUUCUGUAGACUGACUUACGAUGUAAAUCUAUGUUUUUGUGUCUUCCUAACGCGACCUUCGUCUCUCGUCAGGUAUGCUUUAUGCUUAUAUGUAUGGUUUAUGUAUAUGACCUUGCCUAAGUUAAACUAGAAUUACAUGAAUGUUAUGAUUUAAUGGUGAAGGAUUUAAUGGUGAAAUUUAGGAAAAAUGUUGCCAUGUAGACGUGUUCAAAGGAGUGGUCGAGUAGUAGAAAAGUAAGACGUUGUUAGCGAAAUUGUCUGUUUUGUGAUUGGAAAUCUAAGAAAAAUAAGUUAUGUAGGUGGUUUUAACGAGGACUAAAUACACGGUCAAGUUUAUACGAAACACAUUAAAUGGUUUUAGAAUGGAGGUAUUGGAAAAGAAACAAGGAAGAUGAGCAUGGUUGUCUUGAUGUGACUUUAAGAAACAAUUUUGAGUUUCUCGUGAAUGAAAAGUUACUAGUUUGGAGUUUGAAAAUUGGAAUGUAGUUUAACCAUGUAAACAUAAAAUGUUCAGCGAAAAUGUAGUUUCUAAUCCUUCUCCAGAGGCUAGUUUCAAGUACAAAGAGGUUGGAACUAUCGUUUUGCUAAAAUUUAUCCCAACUAUGAAGGUUAGUAAGUUGCUUGACCAGGGUACCUG